CCAGAAGAGCCGCUCCCAAUAUGUUGGCAUGAGUUUCCUAUGUUUUCCAAGGUAAUUACCUUCAGGAUCAAAGAAGAGAACUGUGCAAUACAAUGUGUAUCCAUCUCUCUCAACAACACCUGUCACUAAGUAGACUUUGUAUUUCGCAGCCAUUGAUGCCAAUCUAUCCACUUCAGGUCCUGAAAAUACAUUAAUAUGAGAUCAAAGAUGAAACAUGUAAGCUGAUGGUUCAUCACAAAGCAUAAGUAUAAUUUUUUUCUUGGUUCAUUCAUCAAACGUGUCUUGUUUCAAUAACUAAUUAAGUGGUUCAGUUCUUUAGCUAUUUAAGGGAGAAAGAGAGAGAUAACUGACCCGGCACAUUAAUGGCAGAAGCAUGGUACUUGCGGAAACUUUCUUUCCCUCUUGGCGACUGGUCGGCGAAGUUGUAUCCCCGGGGAUACCCACCGAUAAAUGCUUCAGGAAACACAACCAGUUGGGAUCCUAGUGCAGCUGCUUCUUUCAAAAACCUCUCAGCCUUAUCUGCUCUCAAAAUCACAUUGCAAGAAUUAAUAAUCCACGACUUAGAAAGUAAAUUAAUUGGUUGAAUGGAGAGAAUGAAAAUUAACUUUAAGAGAUCCCGAAUGACUUUUUGGUUGCUGAGAAAACUCAAGGAAAAACAGACCUAGAUGAAACUUGAAACUCUCAUAUUUUCAGCUGUUUUGUAACUAAGAAAAGAGAAACCACCUCAACCCAACUCAUCAAAAUAAUUGUAAAAGCAGUAAUUCCUUGAUUGGCAGCUGAAAAUAUGAUCAGGGUUCAAUCAUCCUUUUCUUUUUUUCAGUCUCUGAGAAACCAAUUAGAUCACAUAUUCCAUUACACAAGUUGCACAAUUGAAAUUAAUGGUACGUUACCUAGAGUGGCAGGAGUAUCAUAAAAGAUACUAGAAGCUUGAACAACGGUGGCUCUGACAGUUGAAGACAUUGCAGAAAUCGUAUGCUUUUUCGUUUCCCUUUUGUUUGAGGAUGCCUUACACAAAGUUCAGUAUAUAUAUUGCCCAUGAACAUGAGGUUCCUCUGCCAUUACUUGAACGAGACGAAGAGGCUGUGAAAAGUCUGCCUUGGUUUUCUAUAUUCAUUAUGAGCUUUUCUCCUCAUCACAAAUUUUUAAGUUAUCCGCAGACAUUGUGGACCAGCGACAUGACUUGUACAAAUUGAAAAUGACUGUCAUCUGUGAAAAGUAAUUUAAGAUAAAAUUCAAUUCAUGGUUUGAUAGUUUUAGACAAACAAAACAAGUCUUUUUUGCCUUAGAAAAAGGCCUCAACCAAUUAACACACAUACCCAAAUUAUUAGGCUUUUAUUUUCAUUUCUUUUAUAUAUAUAAUGCACAAAGAUAAAUUGUCUUUAGUGUUAAAGCUGAGGCCUUUUAUGACCUCAGCCAUAAAAGAAAAAAAGAAUAGUCAUUAAAAGCACAAGAUAUUUGUCAUUUUUUUUUACAAAAACGACUGAGUCGUACAUAGUGUUAUAGUUUUAGACGCCCAAAAGAAGUCUUUUUGUGCCUUGUAAGAAAACCUCAGCCAAUUCAAGAUGAUCAUCUUUGAACGAAAAGAGGGAGCCGCCCACAUGCAUGGAUUCCAUCCAUGACGUGUACUAUAUAUCUAUAAAACCCAGCAUAUAGCUAAAAACUGGGUCUGACCUUAUGUAUUGGUCCCUACCAAAAAUUAAUGAGUGAUUCCGUCACCCCAGAAUGAAAGGGGUGAUCUCAUAGUUCUUGGUCUGUGAAGAUGCGUUGUUAGGUGCUCCAUUUUAUUUUCCCAUUGAGGCAGAACCUAAACGUUACUAACAUGUUUACUUUCAUUGUGGGUAAUGUGUUUGGGUUCAAAGGCAGCUAUGGUAGAAAAAUAAAAAGGAAGAACUAUGCUUACCCUCACGUUGAUUCAAGCAAAUAUAUUUUUUAGGAAUUCUAAUUUUCAUAUUUCACCCCAAACACAUAAUAAAUAAAUUUAUUCUUCAAAUAUGUAUUUUAAUAACAACCAAAAUGAGAAUUCUAUAGUUAUCCCUUUUAAAAUCUUUAAUAUGACAAGUCAUCAUUUGAUCUAUUUGAUAGCUCUCCCACUUUUUUUUUUUCUCCUCUUCAUCACUUUCUCCAUAUAAUGUCUUUGAUAUCCUUUCCAUAUCAUGUCUUUGAUAUCCUAACUUUGACAUUUUUUUAUUUAUAUACGCUGAAGUGAAUACACUUUCAUAUUUCUUUUCAUUCUUUUAAUAUUUUCAUAUUUAUUAACUUAGUCAUUUUUUUGAAACAUUAACAUAAAAUUAUAAUAUAUGAUCAAUAACUAAUGAGAACAAAUUAAACAUAAAUAUAAGUAUGGAAUGGAGAGAAAAUAAAAUUUUAUCCUACAAAUAAUACAUAAAUAGUUUAAAAUAUUAAUUAUAGUAAUAUAUUUGAUACUUUAGGGUUUAGAUUAAAAAAUUAUGUUUUAUUUUUUAGAGGCUAGGAUAUAGGAUUUCCAUUAACCAAAGAUUUUUUGUAUGAAUCCUAAAUAAAAUGUGUAUUUAUUUUGCAAAUUCUUAUCAUAUAUAAAUAAAAUAAAAUAAAUAUAUUUUUAUCAUAUUAUUUUUAAUUUUUAUUAUUUUGUGUCAAAAUCAUAGUCAAUGAUAUUGGUUUUUGUUAUGAUAUUAGCUCUUAAAAGGAUGUUAUGAUGUAAUAAAUAUGAAGUUUAUUAUUUAUUUAAUGGUAUUUUGAUUUCACUUUUAUUAAUCUUUAUUUCAUUCAUUUUACCUUAUGAGUAUUCUAGCCUGACAUUUCUUGCACUAUACAUAACUUGGGUGCAUUAAAAAUUGCAUGAAAGAUCCAAGUUAUAGGUUCCUUGCAAGUGAAUGAUUUGUUCACAACUGCUUUGUGAACUUAAGCAAUCCAUUUGAUGUUGUAGUUCACUAUCUCUUCAUUAGAGGAAUGAUUGAUCUUGACUAUCGAGAUAGAGUUCUCAUGGUGAGUACACUAGUAUGAUGAGUUAUGAUGUAAACUUGUUGGAUAGUCAUAACUUCACUAAGUUGUUAUAUUGUAUUGUUUUCUCAACCUUGAGAGAAUAUUGAACUUGUGCCAAAGUUUGUAAUUAUUUAACCUAUGGGUGAGAUCAUAAAGUGAUUAUAUAUUCCUUACGAAUUGGGACAUAGUAGAUAGAAGUCGGUAGUAAUAAGUAUUUUCAAUAGAGACAUCAUGAUAUCUCAUGGAAUUUGAGAUAGUGUUGGGUGAUAAUAAGGACAUGUAAUCAUGAAGUCUAUGGUUGCAUUAAUUCUUUAAAUGAAGUUUGAUAUAUGCUUUUGUGAGUUAGAGUAUGUUAGUUGAUCAUAUAAUAAGAGAAUAUGUAACUCAAGGAUGGUAUAGGUAAUAUUGAAAGGCAAAUAACUUUCACCUUAUUAGAUUAUAAACACCAAUUCAUGGGGAGACUAUAUGCAAUAGAUAGCAGGUCAUGAAGUUAAGCAUUUUGUGUCUUGUUGUAAUACACAUAGGGCAUUGAAAUGUAAUUGACUUUCUAUAGUAAGAUGUUGAGCCAACUUUAAAAUUGGAUUAUAAAGGAGCCAAUACUAUCUUAUGGGUCUUAGCAGUCCUCGCUCAAGUUCAUUUAUCUCAAUGACAUGGUUUGUGAGGGUUGGAUUGACUCAUGAUUCACUUAUGUGCAAAAAGGCAUUUUGGCAAGUAUGCAUGAAUGCAUAAGAGUUUGUUGGGAUAAAACCUUAUAAAUCAUGACAUGAUGUAAUAGAUUUAGUUUCAUUAAUAAAUAUAUUUAUUUACUAUUCUAGUUCCCUUAUAUUAUCCCAUUGGCAUUAAUUGGUUAUCAAAGUAUUUGCGUCCAUAUCACUUGCAUUGUACAUGACUUAGGUGUAUUAGGAGUUGAACAAAAAAUCCAAGUCAUGGGUUCUUUGCAAGGUGAUAAGUAGUUUAUAGUGGGUUCAUGGAUUUAAGCAAUUUAGUAGAGACUAUAGUGUACUACCUCCUAAUUGGAAAGAUGACUUGUCUUAGUCACCGAGAUGACUUUCCCAUGAUGAGUGAAACAAUGUGUAUGGUUACACAUUGGACAUGACCUAUGAUGAAUUAUGACAUUAAUUGUUGGGUAGUCAUGAUUUACCAUGAUACUAUAUUGUAUAAACUCUCAACCUUGAGAGGAUAUUGAGUUUGUGCUGAAAUCAAUAGGAAACUUUGAUCUAUGGGUGAGAUCCUUGUGUGGUCAUGUAUUCCUUACAAAUUGGGUCACGGUUGAUGAAGAUUGGUGGCAACAAGUAUUCUUAAUAGAGAUACCAUAAUAUCUUAUGAGAUUAAGACAACGUGUCUCUUGGGUGAUCCUAAAGACAUGUGAUUAAGAUGACUACAACCAUAACAAUCCCUUAGUAGAAUUUGACAUAUGCUCUUUGUAAGCUAGAAUAUGUCAAUUGAUCACUUAAUAGGAGGAUUUGUAACUCAAGGAUUGGAGAGAUAAUUUUGAAAGGUUGGCAUCAUUACCUUGUUAUAUUACAAACACCGGUUCAUGGGGAGUCUACAUGCAGUGGAUAGUAGGUCAUAGACCUAAACUUUGCCUUGUUGUAAUUAUAUAGCAUAUUAGAGUGUAGUUGACUCUCUUUAGUAGGGUGUUAAGUUAACCUUAGAAUUGGAUUCAAAGUGAGAUAGUAUUUUCCUAUAGGUUCCAAUGGUCCCUGCUCAAUCUGGUGUCACAUUUGUUUGAGGGAUUUUAGGUUUGUAGUUAACAAGUGUGCAUAAGGGGGAAUUUAAUAAAAAUACAAGGUUGGACUAGAUCUUGUGAAUAGACUUUCUAGAUUGGCAUAAUUUAUUAAUUGGAUUCUAAUAGGGCUAAUUAAUUAAUUAGGACCUAAGUGAGCUAAACCAGGUAACCUAAGCCCAAUUUGGGCUCAAGUCACUAAAGUUCACAAGGAAGCUUAUAAAUAACUAUUUAAAGCCCAUUGGGUUUUAUGAGUAACUUAAGCUUGCCUUGGGUUUGGGUAACUUAUUAUAACCUAAAAAGGUUCUUAAUUGAGGGCUUAGAUUAAUCAAUUAACUUAGUCUAAAAGUACAAUUCACCAAAUUUAUUGGAAACUUUGAAUUACUCCAUUUCAUGACCCAGGAUCAUAUAGGGUGCAUGCAACUAUCCUUACGCUUCUCUAGAUCUAAUGCAAUGGAAAAAUAUGGAUAUAAAAUCCAUAAAAUGUACUAGAUUUAUAGAUUAGAACUCAUACCUAUGAUUUGAAUGUUUCUAAAUUAAAUCCAAUCCCUAAAAGACAUCAAAGAUGUUUUAAAAGUCAUUUAUUGAACAAUUUUCCACCCAAUCUCUCCUUUCACAGAUAGACCCUAGCAUAAAAGAAGGGUAGGCUUAUGUCCCUUCUUUUUUAAGGUAGCUAGGGUUUGCUCAUUCUUUUAGGGCAUCAAACUCUUAGACUUUUACUUUUUCCAUUCUCUCCCACGUGUCUAGAGAGAAUCUAGUCCCCACUCUUCUAAAUAUCUAACAUUUGAGUUCGUAGCUUUAAUGAUGAGCCAUCAAAUAGAAAACCAAUAGGUUUGCAAGAUUUUCGAUGACCCCUACACAUUUGAUAACCUCCUUGACUGCAAAAAUUUGAUUUGGGAAUAUCUAGAUCUUGGUAAAUACUUCUAAUCUAUAGAUUUAGAUCUAAUUUCUAUUUUAAAGGUGAUUUUUUUUUCAUUGCUAGGGUCUAGAUAAGCCUAGGAAAGUUUGCAUGCACUUAACGAGAUCUAGGGAUAGGGAACUUAGUGAUCUAUGCUUUCUUGUAGUUGUAGCUUUUUGCUUUUAAUUUUAACUUGAGUGUACUUUUGGCUUUUUCUUGCUUAAGCUUUUAAUUUUUUUUGAAUGAUGUACAAUGCAUUUAUUUUUUUAGAGGAAUGUAUUUAUUUUUCUUAAUGAUGUACUUUCUUUUUUGAAGGAUAUACUUAAUUUUAUAACAAAUGUAUUUAAUUUUUUCUAAAGAAUGCACUUAUUUUUCUAAGGGAUCUAGUUGUAUGGCAUAAGAUGUCCUCUCAAGCAGAGGUGGAGGUACUAUAGAUUUUGUAAUAGGCACAAUGAUUGCUAAGGUGGUAUGUGAUGGAGGGACUAGUAUAAAAGCCUGAAGUAAGGGUGUGUCCAAUGAUAUAAAUGGCUCAAGUAAGUAAAGAGAAAAUGGUGUGGAAAUUCAAGUAGGGAAGAAAGGGUUGGUAUGGAUUCAUCGGGGGAAGGAAAUGUAGGUUCCAUGAUACAGAUACCUAAAGUAAGGGAAUAGUAGAUAAUGUGUAAGCCCUAAGUGGGGGUUGUUGAUGCUAGGUCAACUGAAGAUGGAAUCCCUUGGUCGUGGCAGCAAAAAGGUUCUGUCCAAAAGUUGGAGACUGGGCUUUCACCUUCCCUGCACAAAGAUGUCUGGACACACUCUCCAAAACCUAAGUCAGACUUUGAAGUGGGCAGGAACCCUUAGAGAUAGAGAGAGAGAGAAGAUGAGAAAGUCCUUAGUAUUGCGUACCUAGGUUCUGGUUCCAAGAGGGUUUUUAUAGUGUCUAGGAUGGAGUCACUAUUGUGCUGAGUUAACAUCUUGACUUUUGUCGUCAUGAUGGCAGCACAGUGGAUGGCAGGGUAAUCAUCACCAUUUAAGCGGUUGGCAGGGGUUGCUGUGGGUAUGUUAUGAUGGUUUGCCUGUCACCUCAACCUAUUGGAGGUAUGAGGCAGUGUGUGAUAGUCGUCUGAUAUGAACGUGGAGACAAGGUAAGAUCCCAUCCCCCAUACUUUUUUUAGAAAAAAAUGAUUUCCUGCAGCAGAGAGAUAGAGUAACCAUCCGGAAUGCGCUGGCAAUUUAAGGGAGCCUAGUACUGCCGGUUGGUAGCAUGUAUAGUCCAGACUAGGACCUUCGAGUCUGAUGAUGAUCGUCCGGACAACAUUGAGAUGAACACCACAUGGGCCAGUAGUGGUUUGCCACAUGGGGGAAGAUCUCCACAGGGGUGACAAGGUUGGAAUGAAGGUAUCAUGGAAGAGGAAAUAUGAGUCUCUGACAGCUUUGACUUAUUUCUUAAAAUGAAGAUAUAAAUUGUUUUUAACUUUAAGUUACAUCAUUAAGUUCUUUUAAUAAAUAUACUUUACUUAAUAACUAAAAUUAAGUUAUUAAGUCACUUUAAGUUAUUAAGUUAAUUUACCAAACGCCUACUAAUUUUCAAAUUCUAAGUUUAGCUUUGCUUUGUAGUGAAUGCAUUUAGGAUUAUCAAAGAGGUCAUCAAGGGUUUCAAACAUAUUCUAUUGCUCAACUUCUCAAAGAGGGACUUCAGAAGAGAAGAUUCCAUAAUUCUAGUUUUGUAUUCGAUUGUAUGUAUCCUACCACAUGGAGACGAUUCCUCAGCAUGCUGAUUUAUUAUUAAGUGCAUGUGAAUUACGUACGGAAUUCCAAUUGAUAUGAACAUAAAAUUAAUUGAAUUAUGUGACAUUUUUUUUACGCAUAAUAAAACAUAUACAGUUGGAAGAUAUCUCGAGAUUCUGAUUUUAUAUCUGGCCCUCAAAAUUCUAUUUCACUGUCAGGUUGUGGAGCAUAUCCCUUGGCAUGCUGAUAUGUCAACUAUUGAAAAAUCUGCAACCAUUUUCUAUAUUCAUGAGCUUUUCUCCUGUUCGAAUUAGUUUUGAAGUUAUCUACAGACAUUGAUUGUGGACUAACUACAUGACUUGUACAAAUUGAAAAUUACUUCAGUCAUGUGUAAAAAAUAAUAAGAGAUAACAUUCAUUAAUUGUGGAUAAAUUGUCUAUAUGACUUUAAAGAAAAAAAGGUCAUAAAAAAACUGAUUGCCUUGUGGAUACGCCUACCAGUAGAUAGCUGAGAACAAGGUCUAACUCUCAACCUUUUGUACUGCCUCUACAAAGGAACACAAAUUUGAGAGAUUCAAAGGCAGCUAUGGUAUAAAUACUGUUUCAUAAAUUACUUUUCAAAUUUAAUUUGGUAGCAAAAAUAAAAAAUAUAAAAGCUUAAAAAAUUUGUUUCAUUCCCAAAAUUUUUGCAAAUAAAAUUUUAAAUAAAUUAAGACCUUGACUCUUUUCACAUCUUAUUCUCAUUUCUAUCAAAGCAAUGAUAGUAAUAAUAUCUUAUGUAUAAAUUUUAAAUGAUGUAAGAUCAUUGAAUUUUUAUUUUCUUUUAACUUCUUGUUAUGUAGUUAUCAAACAUAUUUUUUUUUAAGACAAGAAAAAAAUUAGACCAAACAAAUAUAUUUGAUAUUUAUAACAAUUGAAAACAUAAUUCGUAUCAUUUUAAAAAAUAAUAAAAGCAAAGGUGUAUCAAAACAAUACCUCAUUUGCGUAAUUAGUUAUCACAUUUCCUAAGUACAAAAGUAGGCAAGUAAAUUUUUGCUCAAGUUACAAUAGUGCUCAAAAUCCUUACCCAAGACUUAGAUCCUAUUUCACUUUUUUUCUUCCUUAGAACAAAAAACAAGAAAAUGUGUUUGACAACCGGAAAAUAAGGUUGUGGACCCCGCAUUUUGCUUGAUGCGUUCCCACUCGAUGGUGAAACUCGUUUUUUUUAUUUAUUUGGUGAAAAAUCGAUUUUUAGAAAAAGACUUGAAGUCGCCACUUAUUUUUGUUUUGUUUUUAAAGAGUAAAUAAAAUAAGAAAGAAAACCCUAAGUGUGACUCCUUAUUUUGGAAAAGAUGGUCUGUGAAAAACCAAAUAUGAGCUUGGGGGUCAGGUUACUUAUUGGGAAGGUACGGUAAAAACUGUAACACCCUUCUAAGUCCCUAAAAAUGGAUCUCUACUAAUAAAAUGAAGCAAGUGUGGAAAAUGAUUGAUCAAUUGUGGAUACCAUACAGUAAUCGAGAGUGUGAAAGCAAGACACGCGUGAUAACAAAUAAAUAAAUAAGCACAAUCGGGUACAAAGCGUACCUUAAUCGCAAGCCAAGAGUUAUCAUAAGAGACAAGAUUAGUGCACAAAUAUGGGAUAAUCGCAUGCAUGUCAUAGAGUGAGGCAAACCAAUCAAACAUAGCAAUCAAUCGAUCAAUGGAAAAUCUCAUGUGUUGGGCCCCACGAAAGCCCGAUUUAUCUUAGUGUAGAUUAACUCCGUAAAUUUCAUUAUUCGAAAUUAUAGAAUUAUUCAUGCUUAUUAAAAAUGUGAAAAUUAGAAAACUAUUAAAAAUCAAGGAGAAUUUAUGAAAAAUGUUUACCGGAAAAAAAUGUGGUGACCAAUUUUAUUAAAGAAUGGAAAAUAUUUAAAAUCAAGAAAAAAAAAAAAGAAAAAUAAAAUAAAAUAAAAUAAAAUAAAAAAUAAAAAUAAAAAUAAAAAUAAAAAUAAAUAAAUGAAUAAAAUAAAAGAAAAUAAAAAAUAAAAAAUAAAAAAUAAGAAUGAAAAUAAAAAAAUAAUAAUAAUAAACAAAUAAAAUAAAAGAUGCAUGACCAGUGGAAAGUGGUAGAGAUUGACUUAUUAGAAUUGGAUUUAUUUAAAACCAUGAGAGAAAAAUUGAAGAAUUAAAACCAUUUGAAAAACAAGAUUUUUUUUUUUUUUGAAAAUUGAUUUUUGAAGGCGUGUAUUUUCCUAUAGGAGAUGAGACAUGUGUCUUAAGGAUGGCCUAUCAAAGGUGGCCAUGCAAGGAUCUUGUGCACUGGUGGUCGAAUAUGGGAUACCAACAACUGAGAUGGCCCAGAUGACUACUGUGGGUCCGGAUGGUUCAGAAUGUCUCUUUCCUUGUGAACCCCUGCAUCCCUUUCCAGCCUAAGUCAACCCCCGAAGCUAUGCAAUUCAGCCAUUUGGGUCCCAAAAUCCUCCUUCUUAGUUCUGAUGCUGACAUCACCAUCUUCUUCAACCUCAACUCUUCCAACAUUGGGUAAACCAUAGCCAUGGCAGCGACCUACGGAUAAACGUUACCUCCCCACCCAUCCGGCACCAGAUUAAAGUCUGUAGAAUGCGGCUUCCCCUUCAGCGCCACUGACCGGAGCUCCGGGAGCCGCCUGAUCACUAUCCCAGGGCUCACAGCGUAGUAGUCCUCGACUCCUCGAUGAAGAUCCGUCAUCGGCUCCACCGCUCCACCUCAUACCACGAUUUGCACACCACAGAUAUCACGUUUCGGUCCUUAUCGGUAUGAAUGAAAGAAAAGACAUGCUCCAAAACCUCUUCCGGAAACGAGUACGCCAUUGAAAAUUCUUUCUUGGAGUUCCGAAUUCACAAACAAACCCUAAAUCGAACUUUUCGAAGUCUCAAAUCCGAGAUGUCAUUAACAAGCUCAGUUGCAGAAUACAUCUUUCCGUUCAUUUCCCCACUGGCUUUGUCCCUGAAGUAUUUGUAGUCCGACAGAUUGUAGGGGAACCUCACUGACAUAUUGUGUUCGGUCUUCUCACUCACCACGACAAGGCUAUAAAGAUAGAGUUGAAACGGCGAAUCAAGAGGCAGCUUUAAGUGAUCGAUUUUACAGAAAGAACCCGCUUCCUCCAUUCCUUCAUUGGAUGAAAUUUUGGAUAAUCAUUCACCAAUUCUAACUUUCAUCUUCACCAAGUCUCGAUGCUUCUUCUUUAAUGAGUGCAACGAAUCUGCAUGUCGGGAGACCAAAUUCUCACGACGCAUAAGAAAAGAAUUUGCACCCGCCGUUACCGAUCCUUCUCCUUUGAUACCAACUCAUCCAUAACUAUGUCAUUUAAUCACUUCUCCAUUUGACCAUCCAUUCCGAACAUGCCCAGAAAAUCAUUGCUACUUCCUGUCCAACACUUAAAAGAAAAAUGACGAUGCCGGGUGUGGUGUUGAAUACAGGACGAAAAUGAGGAGCACGAUGGUGAAAGUGACCAUGCAUAGGGGAAAAAGUGUGGUGGAGAAAUGGGAAGAAUGAAAACAGGUAGUGAGAGAAACGGUGUAACAUAAUGUGCCUAUGCUGUGUUAGGUUAUAUAUGUAAAAACAACUUUUUUGUUUUUGUUUUGAGUGGUUGUCAUGCUUCCACGUGGAGAGAUUUACACAAGUUAAAUCUCUUUGCAUCUGGUUUAAAUUCUGGUGUCUGUACAACAAAAAAGUGAAGAACCGAGAAUACAAAGUGAAAAGAAAUAGGGUCCUCUGUUUUUUUGGGACUGUCUUAACUCCUCUGUUCCAGGUCUGUUACAAGGUGUCACUCUUCCAUUUUUUCUUUCUAUAGCCUUUCUCUGUUUUAGGCUGAAACUGCAGCCAACAUAAUUGGUAUUAGAGCAACCCAUUUCACGAAUCCACCUCUCAAUCUAAUCUUCGAUCCACCUUGCUGUUUCCAAUAUGAUCUAAUCCACUUCUUCUUUUCAAGCCCUUUUAUUUCUUAAAACAUGCCUCUUGUGUAUGGAAUUUUAAGAAAUUUCCUCUGUUUUGGAAAGAGAGGAUACUAGGGUUUCUUUUAAUCUGAAGACCAAAAUCCGAACCUACAAUGUAGCUGAAUUGGUGAUGUUGCUGUGCAAUCAGAUUCUGUCUAGAAACCCUCAAUCCUGAAGCAGACGGACCAAGGACUUGAAGGGUAGAUCAAUGGCCAGCACAAGUGUUACAAGUAUGAGUUCUCAACCUUCUUCUAUUCCAUUAUUUGAAGGAGAAAAUUAUGACUUUUGGUGCGUAAAAAUGAAAACUUUAUUUGUCUCAAGAUGUUUGGGAUUUGGUUGAAAAUGGUUUUGAUGAACCUCCGGUUGAAAAAGAUCAGUUGAAAGAAUUGAAAAAAAUGGAUGCAAAAGCUCUCUUAUUUAUUCAACAAGGUGUUGGUAAUAACAUCUUUCCAAGAAUUAUGAGAGCUUCAAAAGCUAAAGAAGCAUGGGACAUCCUUCAACAGGAGUUCCAAGGAGACAAAAGAACCCAGUCAGUAAAGCUUCAAGCUUUAAGAAGAGAGCUGGAAAAUAUGAAAAUGAAGGAGAAUGAAACUCUAAAUGAGUUUUCUUCCAAAUUUAUGGAGUUAGUAAAUCAGAUGAAGUCAUAUGGUGAAGAAAUUAGUGAUAAAAGAAUCGUUGAGAAACUUUUAAUCAGUCUACCUGGCAAAUUUGACCCAAUUGUGGCUAUGAUUGAAGAAACAAAAGAUCUCUCACUGCUCAGUGUACAAGAGCUAUUUGGGUCUUUAAAAACUUAUGAAUAGAGAUUGUUGAGGCAUUCUGAAAAAUCAGUAGAAAGUGCAUUCCAAUAAAAAAUAAGCCUUAACUCCAGAAAUGUUGAAAGGAAACCUAUAAGCAAUGAAAAUAAAAGUGAUUCAUCUAGAGGUGGUAGAACUGGAUGAGGAAGAGCAAAAGGAAGAGAUGGAAGAGGUAGAGGAAGAUUCAGCUAUGGAAGAAAGUUUACUAACGAGGAAGGCUCAUCAUUCUCAAAGUGUAAUAUUUGUAAAAGAAGUAGUCAUGUUGAAAAAGAUUGUUGGUUCAAAGGGAAGCCUCGAUGCUUCAAUUGUAAAAAAUUUGGGCAUGUUAAAAAAGAUUGCAGAUUUAAGAACAAUCAACAAGCAAGUUGUGCUGAGGAGAAAGAGGCUGAUGAAAACAUGUUUUAUGCUUGUCAAAGUGUUGCUGAGCAAAAGAAUAAUGUGUGGUUCCUUGACAGCGGCUGCACAAACCACAUGACUGGUAACAAAAAUAUUUUCCUUGACAUGGAUACAACCAUCAAAUCAUAAGUCAAAAUGGGUAAUGGUGAUUUAGUGAAUGUUAAAGGGAAAGGCACAGUUGGUAUCCAAACUAAAGUGGGAACCAAGUACAUCAGAGACGUUCUUCUUGUACCAGCCUUAGAGCAAAAUUUGUUAAGUGUGGGACAGCUAGUAGAGCAUGGGUAUAAACUUCACUUUGAAAAUAAUGAGUGCACCAUUUAUGAUAAGGAGCAAAGAAGAAAUUUAGUGAAGAAGAUAAAGAUGGAGAAAAAUAGAAGUUUUCCAAUUGUCUUCAAAUAUGUUGAAAAUGUGGCUUUGAGAAUGGAAGAUGUUGAAGAAGCUUGGUUGUGGCAUAGAAGAUUUGGGCAUUUGAACUUCAAUAGCUUGAAGAUGCUUUGUCAAAGGAAGAUGGUACAAGGAUUGCCAAACGCCAUUGAAGAAAAGAAUGAAGUAUGUGACGGUUGUGCUCUUGGGAAGCAUCAUAGACAAUCAUUUCCAAAGGGAGUCGCUUGGAGAGCAAAGAAGGUAUUGGAGUUAGUUCACACUGAUAUAUGUGGACCCAUGUCUACACCUUCUCAAGGCAACAACAAGUACUUUGUAUUGUUUAUUGAUGAUUUUACAAGAAUGACUUGGGUGUUCUUCAUGAAGCAAAAAUCAGAAGUGUUCUCUAUCUUUAAAAAAUUCAAGAGUUUUGUUGAAAAGCAAAGUGGUUGCUACAUAAAGACCUUGAGAAGUGACAAAGGAAUGGAAUAUACUUCAAGCCAAUUUGGUAAUUUUUGUGAAGAUGAAGGGGUUGAGAGACAGCUUACUGUUGCAUAUACUCCUCAACAAAAUGGAGUAGUUGAAAGGAAAAAUCAAACGGUUAUGGAAAUGGCCAAAGCUAUGUUAUAUGAGAAGGGUUUGCCUAAAAUUUUUUGGGCUGAAGCAGUUAACACUGCUGUGUAUCUUUUGAAUAGAUGCCCAACAAAAGCAUUAUUGAACAAAACUCUGAUUGGAGUAUGGAGUGGAAGAAAACCAUCUGUUAGACACUUCAAAGUGUUUGGGUGCUUAUGUUAUUCACAAGUUCCAAAGGAAAGAAGGAGCAAGCUGGAUGAAACAAGUGAAAAGUGCAUCUUCAUGGGUUAUAGUUCACAGUCAAAGGGUUAUAGGUUGUAUAAUUUGAAAACCAACAAGCUGAUCAUAAGUAGAGAUGUUAUUUUUGAUGAAAAAGCUGCUUGGAAUUGGGAAGAAGGUAAAAUUCUGAAGAAAACAAUUCUUGUUGAUGAACUUCAAACAAAAGCACCAGUUGAAACUGGAAAUGGCAGCACUUCAACUUCAUCACCUCAAGAAUCUCCAAGAUCAGUUCCAUUAUCUCCCUCAAUUGAGUCUCCAACUUCAAGCUCGUCGUCACCAUCCUCAACUCCAAGAAAAAUGAGAAGUUUGACUGAUGUUUAUGAGAGAUGCAAUUUGUGCAUUGUUGAACCUCAAAGUUUUGAAGAGGCAAUAAAAGAUGAAGAUUGGAGGAAAGCAAUGGAAAAAAAAAUUGAUGUCAUUGAGAAAAAUGAAACAUGGCAGCUGGUUGAAAAGCCAAAAGACAAAGAAAUCAUUGGGGUGAAAUGGAUUUUUAGGGUGAAAUGGAUUUUUAGGGUGAAAUACCAUUCUGAUGGUAGAGUUCAAAGGCUUAAAGCUAGAUUGGUUGCAAAAGGCUAUUCACAACAGCCGGGUGUUGAUUUCCAUGAGACCUUUGCUCCAGUUGCUCGCCUUGAUACUAUUAGAACUAUUAUUGCAGUGGUUGCUCAAAAAGGUUGGUUGUUGUACCAACUUGACAUAAAAUCUGCAUUUUUGAAUGGAAAGCUGGAAGAAGAGAUCUAUGUUGAACAACCUCAAGGAUUUGUUGUUGAUGGAGAAGAAAACAAAGUUUACAAGUUAAAGAAAGCCUUAUAUGGUUUGAAACAAGCUCCCCGUGCCUGGUACACUCAAAUUGACAGCUACUUCAUUGAAAAUGGUUUCAUUAGAAGCAAAAGUGAGCCUACCCUCUAUGUGAAGAGCAAAGAUAAUUCCCAAAUCCUUAUUGUUGCUCUUUAUGUUGAUGAUUUGAUUUUUACUGGAAAUGGUGAGAAGAUGGUUGAAAAAUUUAGAAAUGAAAUGAUGAAAAAAUAUGAAAUGAGUGAUAUGGGAUUGUUGCAUUAUUUUUUGGGAAUUGAAGUCUAUCAAGAAGAAGAUGGUGUGUUUAUUUGUCAAAAGAGGUAUGUUGAACAUAUCCUCAAAAAGUUUGGCAUGGCUGGUUGUAAUCCUGUAUCUACUCCUUUAGUUGUGAAUGAAAAGUUGAGGAAAGAAGAUGGAGGGAAGAUGGUUGAUGAAACUCACUUUAGAAGUCUUGUUGGAAAUCUGUUGUAUCUCACUGCAACUAGACCUGACAUCAUGUUUGCAGCAAGCUUGCUGUCAAGAUUCAUGCAUUAUCCUAGUCAUUUACAUCUUGGAGCAGCAAAAAGAGUCUUGAGAUAUUUGCAAGGCACGGUUGAACUUGGAAUAAAAUAUUUCAGGAAUAUUGAAGUGAAGCUAAUUGGCCAUUGUGAUAGUGAUUGGGGUGGCUGUAUUGAUGACAUGAAAAGCACAUCAGGCUAUGCAUUCUCCCUUGGUUCAGGUGUUAUGUCUUGGGUCUCAAAAAAGCAAGGUUUAGUGGCUCAAUCCUCUGCUGAAGCAGAGUACAUUUCAGCUUCAUUGGCAACUUCUCAAGCAAUAUGGUUAAGAAGAAUUUUAGAAGACAUUAAGGAGAAGCAAAAUGAAGCAACACAUCUACUUUGUGACAACAAAUCUGCUAUAGCCAUUGCAAAAAACUAUGUUUUUCAUAGUAGGACUAGGCAUAUUGCAGUGAAGUAUCAUUUUAUUAAAGAAGCUAUUUCAGAUGGUGAGGUUCAAUUGAUGUACUGUAAAUCAGAGGAGCAGGUUGCUGAUAUCUUCACUAAAGCAUUGCCUUUGGAGAAGCUUGUUCACUUCCGAAAGCUUUUGGGAGUAGAGGAACAUCACAUUAGGGGGGAGAAUGUAACAUAAUGUGCCUAUGCUGUGUUAGGUUAUAUAUGUAAAAACAACUUUUUUGUUUUUGUUUUUGUUUUGAGUGGUUGUCAUGCUUCCACGUGGAGAGAUUUACACAGGUUAAAUCUCUUUGCAUCUGGUUUAAAUUCUGGUGACUGUACACAAAAAAAGUGAAGCCGAGAAUACAAAGUGAAAAGAAAAAGGGUCCUCUGUUUUGUGUGGGGACUGUCUUAACUCCUCUGUUCCCAGGUCUGUUCCAAGCUGUUACUCUUCCAUUUUUUCUUUUUAUAGCCUUUCUCUGUUUCAGGCUGAAACUGCAGCCAACAAGAAAAAAGGUGUUAAAACCCAUUUACAGAUAAUCCUACUUUUUCAAGCAGAGUAGUAGGAAGCCUAGAGAGUAUCGAUAGGAAACAUGCAAGUGAGAUGGGUUCAGUUACAUAUAACUGCUCAUGCCUUCUGCUCAUGUUCUGUCCACAGUAUUUAUGUUUAGUAAGCCAUCNNNNNNNNNNNNNNNNNNNNNNNNNNNNNNNNNNNNNNNNNNNNNNNNNNNNNNNNNNNNNNNNNNNNNNNNNNNNNNNNNNNNNNNNNNNNNNNNNNNNAUGGCUGGUUGUAAUCCUGUAUCUACUCCUUUAGUUGUGAAUGAAAAGUUGAGGAAAGAAGAUGGAGGGAAGAUGGUUGAUGAAACUCACUUUAGAAGUCUUGUUGGAAAUCUGUUGUAUCUCACUGCAACUAGACCUGACAUCAUGUUUGCAGCAAGCUUGCUGUCAAGAUUCAUGCAUUAUCCUAGUCAUUUACAUCUUAGAGCAGCAAAAAGAGUCUUGAGAUAUUUGCAAGGCACGGUUGAACUUGGAAUAAAAUAUUUCAGGAACAUUGAAGUGAAGCUAAUUGGCCAUUGUGAUAGUGAUUGGGGUGGCUGUAUUGAUGACAUGAAAAGCACAUCAGGCUAUGCAUUCUCCCUUGGUUUAGGUGGUAUAUCUUGGGUCUCAAAAAAGCAAGGCUCAGUGGCUCAAUCAUCUGCUGAAGCAGAGUAUAUUUCAGCUUCAUUGGCAACUUCUCAAGCCAUAUGGUUGAGAAGAAUUUUAGAAGACAUCAAGGAGAAGCAAAAUGAAGCAGCAUAUCUACUUUGUGACAACAAAUCUGCUAUAGCCAUUGCAAAAAACUAUGUUUUUCAUAGUAGGACUAGGCAUAUUGCAAUGAAGUAUCAUUUUAUUAAAGAAGCUAUUUCAGAUGGUGAGGUUCAAUUGAUGUACUGUAAAUCAGAGGAGCAGGUUGCUGAUAUCUUCACUAAAGCAUUGCCUUUGGAGAAGCUUGUUCACUUCCGAAAGCUUUUGGGUGUAGAGGAACAUCACAUUAGGGGGGAGAAUGUAACAUAAUGUGCCUAUGCUGUGUUAGGUUAUAUAUGUAAAAACAACUUUUUUGUUUUUGUUUUGAGUGGUUGUCAUGCUUCCACGUGGAGAGAUUUACACAGGUUAAAUCUCUUUGCAUCUAGUUUAAAUUCUGGUGUCUGUACAACAAAAAAGUGAAGAACCGAGAAUACAAAGUGAAAAGAAACAGGGUCCUCUGUUUUUUUGGGACUGUCUUAACUCCUCUGUUCCAGGUCUGUUACAAGGUGUCACUCUUCCAUUUUUUCUUUCUAUAGCCUUUCUCUGUUUCAGGCUGAAACUGCAGCCAACAAAUGGGAAUGAAAUGUGAUCAUGCAUGCAUGAGGAUAGAUGGAUAGCGGAGGAAGUAGGUUUAUAGGUGCUGAAAGAAAUGGGUGUUUAGGUUGAAUGGAAGGUGGAGAUGUGGGGCGUGGUGACGGGUAUGAUUGAUGGGCUCGGUGGGUAUGAGAAGAAGGAAGAUUGGAUAGUGGGAGAAAUGGGUAUCGAAGAUGGUCGUGUUUGCAUGAUUCCCAUGCAUGCGUGGAGCUUCAGGCACGUGAGAAAUGAUAGAAAUGAGGUCAAGGUUGGUUGGAUGAAUGAUGAGGGUGGAUGUGUUGGUUUUGAAACCAGAUAAAUAAAAGAAAAAACGGAAGCCAAAAAAAUUUUCUCAAAAUUUUUUCUCAAUGAUCAAUACUUGUAUUAAUUUAAUGAAAUAACAAAUAUAGGUAAAUUAGAAUUGUACCUUGCGAUUAGGCUGAUAAAUUUGAACUUCACCAAAAGGAUCUUAGAAUUCCAAAUCCUCUAAAGCACCAUGGAUCUUUCUCUAACGUUCUCCAAAUUAUGAUGAACUCAAAACGAGUGGGCGUUUUUCAUUCUUGGGUUUUUUUCUCACACAACUUAAUAUAUAUUGAAAACUUGUAUUCUCUUCCCAUCAUCCGAGAAACAUUGAGAAAAAAAAAAUUUAAUACCACGAAGAAAAAAAAAUAACUGACAUGUUUUGAAUUUUGAAAAACAUGGGAGAGAAUAUCUCUCCCCAUGAUCCCCACUUAAAAAGUGUUUCUUUGAAUUUUGAAAAACAUGGGAGAGAAUAUCUCUCCCCAUGAUCCCCACUCAAAAGGUGUUUCUUAGGGAAUACAAGUAAGUGUGGUUUUCACCACAUUGUAUCAAAAAAUAUUUUAAAUAAUCAAAUUAUAAAAUAAAUAAAUCAAAUCAAGAUUGUGUGAAAUUAAUUUAGAAUUUAAAAUUCCAAAACUAAUAAAAUCAACCCAACAUAAAAAAAUGUUCAUAUAAUUUUAAUGGAGCCGUUGAGAGGAACUAUGGACAUUAUAAUUUUAAGCUCCAAUAAUUUUGACAAUUAAUUAACAACUUAAUUAAAAAAUCAAAAUUAUUAAUUCCAAAAUUACUCCACUAAAAAUUUGGAAUUGCACUCUUAAAAUUAUAAAAUUAAAUAUAUUCAAAGGAUUUGAAUUGCCCAUUGAUAUAGUCACUACAUAUGAGUCAAUCCUCCAUAAACGGUUCAUAAUUAAAGCUAGGUUUUUCCGUUAACCUCUUUAAUUAUAUCUUUCUCCUUAAGUGCCAUUGGUUCUCUAAUGAAUAAUAUAUUUAUGGUCUAAUCAUAAAUUGAGCGCUCUUAUCAUUCAAGGCCCGAACCAAUACUUAUGGGAACCGUCCAUCUGACUUCUUAACGAAGGAAUGGAUUUCAUCUUGUAUAUUAAUAUUCCCGGCUAUUUAUUUUAUUAUACUUCCAAUACACCAAGAAUUUGACACUAUGUAUUUGUGUCAUUACCCGGUAUGUCAAAAAAUACAAUAGAAUAAAUAGGAGUCUAUUAAUCACUCAGAAUUAAGAUCAAUGCAUAUAUGACCAUCAUUGAUUAAUAUUAAAUGCUCUAUAUUAUAAUGGAAUUUAUCAGAGAUUCAUAAUUAAUCGUGUUCCAGUCCUAUAUAAUCAAAUUAUAUAAAGCGCUUUCAAUCUAAUAAUCUCAUUAUUAACAAUCCGGAUAAGAUCAUUUCAUUCAGAAUGUAAUGAACCGCGCUAGUAAUUUUAAAUUAAAGAUCCCAUCUUUAAUUUUUAAUUACGAACAUAUUAGAUUAUUUUACUUUAAAUAUUAUCCUCUUGUAUAUAACACUUAUAUACAAUAUUUAAAGUUUCAAUUAAAUAAUCUAGGGUUUUCGAUAUUUAUAAAGCAUCUAUAACAUGCAUGCAACAAUAAUAUUGAAAUAAUUCCUUAAAAAAAUAUUAAUAAUCAGCAAAAUAAAAAACAUCUCAUUUGUUUAUGGGCACAUAUUCCAACAGGAUGGUAUAGGAGAAACGAGCAUGGGGUUGGUGAGGUGGGUUAGUGUGGCCGUGUAUGGCCAUGCAAAGGUGGGAGGGAAUGAGAUUGAGAAGAGUGAAAAAGGGUAGAGAGAGAAAUGAGUAUGAAAGAUGAGUGAGUAUGUGAGGAUUGAAAAUGGAACGAGGUGAAGGUGGCCAUGUGCAUGAGAUUUUCAUGUACAUAGAAAAAUGAAGGAAAUGGGUAUUAGUGAGAGAAAUGGGUAUGGUGGAGUGAAGGAUGAAAGGGUGGCGGGAUUAGAUGGGCAUGGAUAGUAAGAGGUUAAAGAUGGGGAGGAUGGGUGUAGUGGUGAAACAGUGUGCAUGAAGGGUACGUGGUGUAGAGGGAUAAAUGGGUUCAUACGUUUCAAGGAAAGGGUGAUAUGCAUGGGAGGUUAUGAAAGAUAAGUAUGGAAAUGGGCAUGAGAAGGUGGGCAAUAUGGGUAGGAUGAGUUCGAUGGGUGUGAAGCGAUGGGUUUGAUGGAGGAUAGGACGGAUGAGAGAUGAAGGAUGAAGUGGGUUAGAGAGUAUUAAAGAAGUGGUGGUGCAUAGAAGGUUAGGGAGAAUGAGGGGAUGAGUUUGGGUGUGAGUAUGGUUACGAGCAUGGUGGAGUGAAGGAUGGAGUACAAAAGUUGCAGGAAUGAUGAGAUGAGGUGGCCAUGUGUAGGAAUUCCAUGCAUGUGGGUAGGAAACAAAUAGCUGGGCAGCAAGGUGAGUGACGACCUGAAAACUCUCAUCAUCAAGAGCAUGGGUGGCAGUGGAACAAAUCUUUUCCUCAAACCUUUCAGCAAUUUUCCAUAUCUCACAUAGUUCCUCGGAAUCAGACCUUAACUGAUCUAGCUGGCAACUCUUUGAAGGGAUGAGUCAUAAGGUUACAUACCAAAGAGAUUCUUAUGGUUCCACACCUCAGAGUAUAGUUCCCGUACCUAAGAACGCCUGAACAUCAGGAGCAGAGGGAAAGUAGCAAAGACGGAGCAUAGAUGAAGAAAAUAAGAUUAACCAUCAAAAGCCACACUUCGUGUCCUAGUCAGUGGGCUUAAAGAUAGGUGGAUUAAAAGAGUUUCUAAAUGGCGCGAAGGAGAUAAAAUGGAGUUGAAACAAUUUUUGAACACAAACAGGAGCAAUAGAGGAACUGUCAACUAUGAAGAAAAAAAAACCAUAAAUCAUCCAAAGAUCAACAGCAACACAUCUAAAUAAUAGUAGAUGAAAAGAAAAGAAAUAUACACAGUGGAAGACUUACUUCUGGGAAAAUGUUGGAGGUCCUUCUUCUCUGCUUCUUCUUUUUCUCUUCUCCCACAACUCAUUUUUCCCUCAACUAUUUUAUUUUUCUCUUCCAGAACCCUCCGGAACCAAAGGUGUCCCCCCCUCCAGAUACUACCCCUCAGUUCAAAAAUAUCUCAUGUCUCUCUGAACACACUCCUCUCUCUCUUCGAUUCCCUCUCAAUCUUCUCUGAAAAAAAAACUCUCGGCCCCCCUCCAAAAAACGCCUUUUUUUCUCUUCCCUAAGCUAUCUAUCCCCUUGUUACAACCCACAAAAAUGUCUUUCUUGUCAUGUAGCCCCAUUUUCUGUUCAGUUCUGUCUCCUCUCUUCAAACGGUUGUGUCUCCCCUUUUUGAAACAACUCACCAUCAGCUGCUUUUCUUCCUACUUUCCAUCCCGUCUAGCCACCCAAAAACAACUCAUUCCCAGUCCUCUUUGGCUGCCCAAGAACGGCUCACCCAUCAUCCGCUUUCUUCACCUUCCGUCUUCUUUGGCUGCCCGAGAACGACUCCUUCUCAGGGUGGCCAGAAAAAUAAAAAAAAAUAAUAUGAAACCCCUCCAUCUCAAGGGUCUACAAAGGUGUUUUCAAAAAACAUAUAUUAGUUGUUUUUAGUUUUCUUCAUUAGCUUGGUUGUUUUAAAAAAAUAAUUAUACAAAAAAAAUGAUUAAAAAUAUAAUAUUAUAUACAAAAAUUAUUUAAAAAUUAUAUGCAUGAGUUUUGGAAAGUCUUGCAAAAUAAGCAAAGCUAUAGGAAAAAUAUGCAAACAAAAAUUUGUAUUAAAAUCAUUGGGGGCGGACAAUAUUUGUGGAAAAAUAUUUUUUGCCAAAGAAUAUUUUUUAAAGAUCAAUUGAAAGCCUAAAGCGACUUGUUCCCAAAUGAAUUUAUUGAAUGGUGAAGAGCAUGUAUGUUGCGAUUUUUUGGAUUUGUAGGGGGUAUUUUAUAAAGCUUUUUUUCUCUUUGUGAAACUUCUUUUCAUAUGUGAAAUUGUUUUAUUUUUUUAUCAUUUUCAUUGAAGGAAGUUGCAGAUAUUUAUAGAUGAAAUUAAAAAAUUAAAUUUAGAAUUUCUAAGAUUUGAUUACUUAAUUAAAAAAAUUGGUUUCUUAAUUUUAGCAACUUGUCUUUUUCAUUAAGGAAGUUUGCUAACAAGAGAUUAUUUACUUCUCAUUUUCUUUUGACUUCAAUUGGAAGAUUUGUUUCAUUUGUUUAGAAAAUUUGCCAACGAGAAAAUAUUGAUUUCUAAUUCUUUUUUAUUUCAAUUUUUUGAUUUGAUUUGAUUUUGCAAGACUUUAUUGUAUAGCCUUCCAAAUUUCGCUACAUGCCAUUUUUUGAAUCAAAUGCCACAUGUUCAAUAUAUAUGACUCAUCACUUAUCAAGCCCAAAUUUUGUUGAGCUAAGGAGUUACAAUUUUGAAGACUAAUUUGGUAGUAUUUUAAUCCACUAAAAUUUUUUAUGUUUACAAAUGCCCUGAAGACAGAUCACACACAUACAUUGCCAUGUAUAAGAGGUGAAUCUUGAAGUUAGCCAUUUGAAUCUUCCAUAUCCUUCUUUGAUUUUAUUUUUUUCGAAGAAAUAUUUUAAUAGGAAAUUUCCUAUUCAAAAUACUUUUCUUCAACUUUUUCCAAACACUACUUUAUUUAUUUAUUUAUUUAUUUAUUUAUUUAUUUAUUUAUUUGCCUGGUAUCAAAGAAAGACCUUGUGUUAAUGGGAAAGCUUCUUAUUUGAAUAUCUAUUUUCUUUUCUCAUGGUAUUUUCACUUCCAAUUUGCCAUCCUACAAUAAGUCCUUCACCCUAGCUUGGUCAAUUGCAUCUUAGACUUGUUCACAUGCCUUUAACUUGUAAUUCAAGUUCCAUUUUUUUUUGUUUAAAAAAUAAUACAAUAUAUUUGAGCAAGACCUUAAGCAAGAGAAGAGAGGUGGAGGAUGGAGCACCAGCUAACCUUAGGGCAAGAUCUUGAGCAAGAGAAGUAAGGUGGAGAAUAGAGCACAAACUUCUUUAGAGUAUGGUAGGCAUGUCGUCACAGAGUUAUCUUCCACAUGGAGCAUGGUAGGGCAUUAUAUAUAUGAUAGGGUGUGCCAUCAUGUAACAAUGAAGAACAACAAUCCAUGGUGUACAAUUGGGAACAACAAUUCAUGCUAUCAAGAUUCACCUGUUUUUAUUUAUUUUUUAUUUUUUAUUUUUAUCCCUAUCUCCACCCUCGACUCCAUUUUUUUUUUUUUCAAGUUUCUAGAUCCCUUUUGAUUCUUUCUCAUUUUCUUUUUUCAACUCUUUUUUUCCCUCCUUUUUUAAGCAUUGUUCUUAAGGAAAAAAUAUAAUUUACGAGUACCUGGAUUCUAUUCGAAUAAAAAAGAGCCAUUCACAUGCAUGGAUUAAAUAUAUAUCUCAUGGAUACAUUGUACUUAGCCACGGCUGAAGCUUUCCACUAUGACUUAGAAACAAAAAAAGAAAGAUAUGAUUAAAAAACUGAUUGGCAUGUGGCUGUGCUUGCCAGUAGAUGGCUGAAAAGUAGUUCUGACCUUUUGUUUUGGCCUCUACUAAGGAACCCAUUAUUGAGAGAUUUAAUGGCAACUAUAUAUGGUAUAAAUAAUGUUUCAUAAAGUACUUACACAUCUUAUUCUCAUUUCUAUCAAUGCAAUAAUGUAGACCCCCAUGUGGGGCUUGAUCUGCUGCAGCACAUUUGGCCACGUGUCACUCUCCGAUUGGCCAUCAUGGAUGCUCUUGAAGGCCAAUCUGGGGUCGACACGUGUCAUCAUGGAAUCAGACAAAAAUCUUUUUUUGGCUGUUAUUUGAGGGAGAAAAGCGGCUGCAUGAAGGUGGUGGUCUGGCCGUUUUGAGGAGUGCUUUUGGGAAGGCUGCAGGGUAGUGGUGCAGGGGGUGUCGUCUGGCAGCUGCAUUGAGAGUGAGAGAAAAAGGAGGGGAGAGACUGAGAGGGCAAGUGUUCACUGUCGUUUUGGCAUUGGGAGAGGGGGGUUUUUUUUUUCUAGAGAGAACAGAGAGCUAGAGGGAGAGUAAGAGUUUUGCUGGAAGGGAUUCCUUGAGCUGAGGCUGCCGGAGAGAUAUUUUGAGAGGGAGAGGUUUUUGGUGGCUGUUUUUCUGCAGGUCGUAAGGAAAACAGCCAGAGAGCUAGAAGGAGAAAGGGAAAAGAAAAAGCUAAGAAAAACAAAGCAGAGAGCUUUAGUGAGAGAGAGGAUUCCAGAGAGCACUGAGAGGAGAGGUUGCAGAGAGGAGUCCAGGGAGAGUUUCCAUUAGAGAGAGAAAAACAAAGGAAGAAGAAGAAAGGCAAACUGAGAGAGAGGGAGGAGAGAAACAGAGUAAGCUACAGGAGGUAUGGAGCAGAAAGAGUGAAGUAGAGCAACUCGAUACCCAUCUGGUCUUGCAAGAAAGAGGUGUGUUCAGGAUUUGAGAGAGGAGCAGGUGGGAUUAGAGAGGGUUCUUUGGCAGCUGCAGGGAAGACAAGGGAGGAUCUCCAAGUAAGUUUAUCAUGGUUUUCCAGUCUUUUUCUUAUUAUGAUAAUUGAUCCAUUAUUCUUCCUGCUAUUUCUGGGUAUUGUUUGAUGGCUUGAGCGUGGAUGCCCCCCAUUGUUUGAUUUCUAUUGGUUUCAUGGUAUGAAUGUGGAUUUAUUGUUAUAGUUUUUUUUGUCUCUCUUUCCUCUUGGGUUUUGCUGGAAAAUAACCUCACUCUAUUUCAAUUCCACUGUGAAAUGCUUGAGAAUCAUGACUUGUUCAUAUUGGCAUGAAUUUUCCCACCUAGUUAGCAGGCUCCCUGAUAACCCAUGAAGUGGAGCCUCAUUUGAUGAUAACUUUAUUUUGUUUUUCUUUUAUGUUCUGUUUUCCAUGGCUUCUUCUUUCUUGUGGCUCUUAUCUAAAUGCAUGGGAUGUGAGGAAAAGACCAGGAUCUUCAAGAUCUCCAAGCUGAAGAUGUUAUCAAGGAGCAAGCAAGUCAGACUUCUGUAUAAGUUCCACGACCCUAGGGAAAUGGUCUGAGAAGGUCUCUCGUGAAGCUAUGUAAGGUUGGCCGGAAGAGUCUUUCUAUGUUUCAACAAGCAGUUUCUGUGGACUUAGUUGGGUGCUGGACUUGGGUUUUAAAUGGUGGCCAGUGGAGAGCUUUUCGAAAAUCUCUUUCUAUUCAGGAUAAAGAGGUGCUCAAAGCCCGGGAUUUUGUUUUGAGUGAGGCAAGGAAGUAUGAAAUCGGGUUCAUAUUGUCAUUAAGUAAUAAUUGGGGAGAAUAUGGUGGCAAAGCAUAGACAACAACAGGCUCCCUCUGGUCACGGUACUGCUGAAAAUAAGGAAAGAGUCUUUCCAUGCUGGCAUGAGUGUUGAUGAAACCACCAUUACCCUACUCUCGCAUGGCUAUCUAUUUGCCCAGUUUCUCAUACCCACUUUCAUAUUAGCCUUCUCAAACCUCCCAGCAUGCUGUUUUUUUUUUUUUUUUUUUUUCUUGAAAUCUCACGGAUCAAUUCAUUCUUCUAUGCCCUUUACCCUUCAUGCAUACUAUUUUACCACCACAACCAUUAUCCCCACUUUCAGCAUAAUACCGAAAAUGCCCAUCAAGCAUUUUUUUUUCAUUUCAUAUUAUCCCUUCCACUAAUUUCCCACUCCCUAUUCCACACCAUACCCCCCGUGGUAAAUAUAGUCAAUGUUCUGACCCAAUUUUUUUUUUUUUUCUUUUAUCCCAUGCACGGAUCCACCUUUAAUAGACCCUACACAAUCAUCCCUUGGGACCCGAACUCACAACCCGUUUUCACUAUCAUCCUUCUCGCUCCUCUGUUUGUAAGUCAUUCAUGCCACUUUCCAGUUUUGAUAGAAAUGGAGCAGUUCCAUUGAUGUUUGCAGGGCUGCAAAUAUUCAUACCAGUAGGUAACCAUGCUAUCUCAGGACUGAAGUCUCGGAUCUUGGAAGGGUUCUCGCAGCGGGGUUACAGCGUUUUGCUCUCUUCACGAUCCGUGACUGCAGCAUAGUCGUGGUUUCCAAGUACAAUAUGGCAAUGGAAGUCAUUCAAGGGCUUUUGAAUGCAUAAUCAGUCGAUGGAGAUAUUCGGAAACAUGCAGAAGAGAGUUUAAAACAGUUCCAGGAGCAAAAUCUUCCAAAUUUCCUACUAUCUCUUUGCUUUGGCAAACUUUACCGAUGGUAUGGAGCGUGAUUAUAUCAUGAGAGUUGUCUGUGAAGCAACUCUGUCUCCUGAAGUCAAGAUAUUAAUAAAAGAGGUAGUGAACAUCCAAAGCAAGGAGAUGAUGAAGACGCUGAUGCUUCAGAUGAGAACUACAAUGGUUGAGGCAGAAAUUGAAGAUUGGACAAGGGAUUAUAGCAUCCGUACCUUGCUGAAGUUGCCAUGGAUAAAGGGCCCCUCUUCCAUCAAUUCAAACAGGGAUUACCUUUUGUUCUUUUCUGAGAGUUACAGAUUUUAUGGGAUGCAAUUGGGGCCCGCCAUGCAGCAUUAUUGACGUCAAAUUCACAGCUACAUGCUGAUAGUUUGGAUGAUAACAUGUGCGGCACAACUGUAAUAACAGUAUUGAUUCGUGGUCGGGCUAUAUAUGUUGCUAACUCAGGGGAUCCCAGAGCUGUUACAGUAGAAAGAAAAGGGAAGGAAAUUGUAGCUGUUGAUUUAUCAAAUGAUCGUUACCAUCCAUGCAGACUCUUGGUGGAUGACAUGUCCAGGGAAGCAUUUCCAGAAUCCUGAUGUGUAAAGGUAUAGCAGGAGGGAUGGUUGGAGAGUUGCAAGGGUUACGUCGCCCACUCAUUUGAGGUUUGAACUUGAUGUGCUAGCAUUCUCUGGUGCUACUUUAAUAAGGGUUUGGGUCACUUUGCUCUUCCCCCAGUGAAGCUGUGAACUGCCAUCUGUCACUUCCUCAAGUCAUUAUAACCCCGGUCGUGGUCUUCUCUCCCGUGCUAGGUCUCUCAGACUUCCUCAGGGCAUGCCUUUUUUUCAUUUUGCCUAUUCCCUAUUAUUGUUACUAUUAUUAUUUUCAUUUCUCUUUUUAUUAUAUUAAAUUUAUUUCACCUUUUAUUAUUAUUAUUAUUUUCUUUAUUAUUAUUAUUAUUUUAUCCUUGUUGUUUUCAAAAUAAUCCAUCAAAUUCCAGCUUUCAAAGGGUUUUCCAAAUUCCAUUUUUAUAAAAUUUAUUUACUUUUAAUUUUCAUCUUUAGUUUUUUUAGAAUCCCUCAAAAAUCUCAUUUCAAAUAAAAUUCACCGCCAUUUUUUGUUUUGGCCAGUGACUUUCACAAUUCCUCUGAUUUUCAAAAUGUUUUAAAUAAGCUAGAAUCGAAUUCCGUAAUUCCUAGUGAUGGAAUUUAUGGAAUUAAUUCAUGCAAAAAUGAAUUGGGCUUUGGUGGGGGCCCUACAUAUGAGAUUUCAUGAUUGAUUGACUGAUUGAUUCAUUCAUUAGCUAUAUGUGAUUGAUUUACUCUGUUUCUUGAUAUACACAUUAUCCUUCUGUGUUUGUUCACUAACCCUGUUUCUGAUAGCGCGUUACGGCUCGCGGCCCAGGUACGCACUCUCUAUACCUAUUCUGUUUUUUUUUAUAAGUGUAAGAUGGAUUUGAGUAUCCAUUGAUUUUUCCAUUGAUUGUCAUGUCAGCUUCAUUUUAUUAGUAGAGACCCGACUUUAGGGACUUAGAGGGGUGCUACGGUCUUUACCGUACCUUCCCGAUAAGUAACCUGACCCCCGAACCCGAUCCGGUUUUUCAUAGACCGCCUUUUCCAAAAUGAGGAGUCACACUUAGGGUUUUUCUUUCUUAUUUUGUUUACCCUUUAAAAAUAAAACAAAAAUAAGUGGCGACUCCAAGUCAUUUUCAAAUAAUCAAUAAAAUCAAUUUUUCAAAAUAAAAAUCGAGUUUCACCAUCGAGUGGGAAACACAUCGAGCUCAGAAUCGAAAAUGCGGGGUCCACAAAUAAUCAUAAUCAUCUUAUCUAUAAACAUGGCCUAGAGCCACAGAGCUGCCUUUUCUUUAGUCCUCGAGCCAUUUCAGCUAAAAGUAGUCUUUCCUUAGCAUUUCCGGUUCUAAGCUCCCAUUUCUUUAGGCCUUGAGGCAUUAAUUUUCAGCCCAGAGCUGCUUUUUCUUUCGGCCUAAGCUGCCUUUCUCUAGCAUUUUCAGCCCAGGGCUACCUUUCCUAGGCAUAUUAGCCCAAAGCUUCUAUUUCUUUAGGCCUGGAGCCAUUUCAACCUAGAACAUUUGUUUCUUUAGGCCUUGAGCCCUUUUCAACCCAGAACUGUCAUUUCUUCUAAAUAACUUCUCUUUUAAAAAAACUUCAAUUUUUCUUUCCAAUCACAAAUUUUAAGGCUUUGUUCCAGGUUUCAAGAAGCUGGUAAAAAUCUUCUAUUUAACAUUUCAGCAGUGAAUCGAAUUCACGAAGGAAAAAAAAAAUCUUGACGGCAUAAAGUAGGACAUGGGAUAGUUUGAAAUGCGUAAUUUUCAUCAUUCAAAUGUAAAACAUAUUAACUCUAUUUAGAUACUUUAACCAUUUCAAAUACUACAUACAUGUUCUCUUCAUUUUUUUUCUCUCUCGCAUUUUCCAUCAAAUUUUUCAACAAUCAAACAUAACCUUUAAAAAACAGAUAAUUUUACUUAUUUUGAAAGUGCUUUACAUAUAGCUUCUAUGAAAAGCUGUUUCAUGUUAAUUUAAUGAUGCACUUAUAAUAUUAAGAUUGCCCUUUCAUAAUCAUGAAUUAACCUUUAGUUUCAACUUCUACAAGAGGCUAAAUGAACAAAGCUAUCACAGAGGAGGCCUCAGCCAAUGAGUCAGAUGCACUGUUGUACCAAACCAAGGAUUUAUUUAUAAUGAAGUGCAGUCUCCAUAUGCACAUGAGACUGCAUUUACAGCAAAAAGACAAGGAAAUUAACAAUGUUGGAAUUACUGGAAAAUCACACAAAUUAUUGAAGGAGGACCUUAGCUAGGUUGUCUCCUAAAUUGCCCAUCUUUUUAUAUCUUUGCAUUCAUCUAUCUCAUCAUCGUCUUUGAUUUUAGAUGGUGAGGAUGUGAAAGUAACAGGAAGCAGUGGACGAUUGUUCACAGUGAGGCUUAGCACAUCAGCUCUCGAAUAAUGUCCUACCACGUCAAACUGGAACUUUGCUUUAGGAAUCUCUCCACGAACAUCUGCAUAUCAAGUGAUCAUAAAAAUAUUUGAUCAGCCCAUGAUAAAUAUCAUAGAGUAUCAAGUCUUCCAUAAAACUAUGUUUGCAGUCCCUUUAAACCUAAAGAAUUGACUCAUUUGCCUUAUCUGCAUACUGAAUUAUUUGGAUAUAUAAUCGGAGAAGUUAGGGCCAUACCAAGAUCAGCUGUGAAGAGGCCUUCUCCUUCAUAAUUCGGUCCUGCUAGAAUUUCGCCAUGGGGCGAAAUGAUGACACUACCUCCAGCCCAAACAAUAGAAUCUGGAGUGACAUCUUCUUCUGUAGGACUGUAAAGAUACUCAGGUGGAGGUGGGUAAUCUUUCCUCCGACAGAACUGGAUGGGUGAAAGAACAUAGCAUCCACCCUCCAUAGCGAUGUGUCUCAUUGUAGCUACCCAUGUAUCCCCGGAAUCGGCAGUAGGAGCACAAUAUAUCUCAAUUCCUAUAUAGAAUCGGUGUUUUGUGAUCAAUCAAUCCCAUAUCAGAGCCAUAAUGUAUUUCAAGCCUAUUUAGGCUAAAACCCUAAUAACUUAAAAAAGAGUACUGAAGUAUUUCAAGCCAAACCAUACUAGUUAGUGAAGAGAAAGAAAUGGUAAAAUAUAUACCUUUGCCAUACAUUGCUGUCCUCAGAAGCGGCAUUCUAUUUUCCCAACAAAUGACUGAACCAAGUUUUCCAUAUGGAGUGUCAUAAACUGGAGUUGUCGAGCAAUCUCCGAAACCCCAGACGAGCCGCUCCCAAUAUGUUGGCAUGAGUUUCCUAUGUUUUCCAAGGUAAUUACCUUCAGGAUCAAAGAAGAGAACAGUGCAAUACAAUGUGUAUCCAUCUCUCUCAAUAACACCUAUCACCAAGUAGACUUUGUAUUUCGCAGCCAUUGAUGCCAAUCUAUCAACUUCAGGUCCUGAAAAGAUAUUAAGUGGUUGAUUCAUCAAACGUGUCUUGUUUCAAUAAUUUAUUAAGUGGUUCAGUUCUUUAGCUAUUUAAGGAAAAGAGAGAGAGGUAACUGACCCGGCACAUUAAUGGCAGAAGCAUGGUACUUGCGGAAACUUUCUUUCCCUCUUGGCGACUGGUCGGCGAAGUUGUAUCCACGGGGAUACCCACCGAUAAAUGAUUCAGGAAACACAACCAGUUGGGAUCCCAGUGCAGCUGCUUCUUUCAAAAACCUCUCAGCCUUAUCUGCUCCCAAAAUCACAUUGCAAGAAUUAAUAAUUCACGACUUAGAAAGUAAAUUAAUUGGUUGAAUAGAGAGAAUCAAAAUUAACCUCCAGACAUCCCAAAUGACUUUUUGGUUGCUGAGAAAACUCAUGGAAAAAGAGACCUAGAUAAAACUCGGAACUUUCAUAUUUUCAGCUGUUUUGUAACUAAGAAAAGAGAAACCACCUCAACCCAACUCAUCCAAGUAAUUAUUCCUUGAUUGGCAGCUGAAAAUAUGUUCAAGCUUCAAUAAUCCUUUUCUUUCCUUCAGUUUCUCAGCAACCAAUCAACUCACAGAUUCUCUUACACAAGUUGCAGAAUUGAGAGAAAUGGUACGUUACCUAGAGUGGCAGGAGUAUCAUAAAAGACACUAGAGGCUUGAACAACGGUGGCUCUAACAGUUGAAGACAUUGCAGAAAUCGUAUGCCUUUUCGUUUCCCUUCUGUUUGAGGAUUCCUCACACAGCGUUCAGUAUUUAUAUAUAGCCCAAAAGGUUCUUCUGCCAUUACUUGAACAAGACGAAAAGGCUGGGAAAAGUCUGCCUUGGUUUUCCAUAUUGAUUUAAGUUAUCCGCAGACAUUGUGGACCAGCCACAUGACUUAAAACAAAUUGAAAAUAACUGAGUCAUCUGUGAAAUAUAUAUAUCUGUGAAAUAUAUAUAUAUAUAGAUUUCAUCUUUUAUACUUGAAUCAUCUCCCCCCUCCUUUUUUUUUUCCUAGUUUUGGCCUUAUUUUUUAAAAAUAUAAUAUUUAUUUUACUUUUAAUCAAUGGCUCAUAUUUCGAACAAGUGCGCCAGAUUUUCUGAAGUUGUAUAUAUAAUAAUCUGAUAGUGAUUAUAUUUGGAUAAAAAGAGGGACCCGCCCACUUGCAUGGAUUCUAUAUAGGACACAGACAAAUUGUCUUUAGUGGCGGCUGAGGAGGCUUUCUAUGACUUAAAAAAUAAAUAAAACAAAAAUAGUCAUUAAGAAAUCAGUGCCAUGUAGUUAGUGUCCGCCACUAUCUACACUUUCUUUAAAAGAACAAAAUUGUCAUUUUUUUUAAUCUCAGAAAUCACUGAAUCGUACAAAAUAAUAUAAGAUAAGAUUCAAUUCAGUCUUUUUUGGCCUCAUAAGAAAACCUUAGCCAACUCAAGGUGACCACUCCAGAAUCAAAAUAGGUUUUCUUUUUCUUCAAAAAAAAAAAAUAUAUAUAUAUAUAUAUAUAGUUGGUGAAAGAGGGUAUAAACAAAUAUAUGCAAAAAAAAAUUAUGAUGAUUAUAUUUGAAUAAAACAGAGGGAGCCCCCACAUGCAUGGAUUCCAUCUAGCACCCAGAGGAAUUGUCUUUAGUGGGGGCUGAGGCUUUCCAUGACUUAAACUAUAUAUAUAGGUAAAAACUAGGUCUAACUUUAUGUAUUGGACCCAACCAAAAAUUGAGUGAUUGAAUGGCAGCUCUAGUAAAAAAAUAAAAAAGGGAGAACCAUGCUUACUGUCACAGAAUGCUUGAAAUGAGCCCCCUUAUGGGUUUAUAUAGAGUUCAAGAAGCUUCUAGAGACUCCUAGAGCCAUCUACACUAAGUCAUUGAUGGGAAGAGUGUGGAAGGUUCUAGAGAUGCCUAGAGAUGUCCACACAUCUCUACACUAUAGUGGAAGGCAUGAGAGGAGUCCAAGGUUUUCUAGAGAAUUCUAGAAAUCUCUUAUAUAUUCUUGUACAUAGGUUUGUAUAGGAUAUUCUAGAAUCUUCUUGAGUUCUAAGGAACCCUCCAAGGUUCCAGAGAGUUCCAUUGGUAUCUAUAAAUAGGUGAGACCCUCAUUUGGCCAAUACACCACCCAAGAACCUAAUCAACCAAGCAAGUGAGUUCUCAAAGCACUUGUAAAGGUUUCCUUUGAGCAAUAAAAGCUUUCAUUCUUUAAGAGUUGCCUACUACGCCUUCUAAAGCUUCCAAGUCAUGAGCAUCUUAGCCUAGCAAGCUAAGCAUUGGGAGUAACGCUAACUUAGCAAGAUCAAGUACCUUGACUUGUCUAAGUGCCACAUGAGCUUAGGAAAAGAUUAAGUCUGUGACAAGUGGUAUCAGAACACGACUACGAAGCGGGCAUAGUAAAGGAAGCAUGUCGGGUUCCAAUGUAGAAGAGACUAGUGAGCAAAUCCGUGGGAGGGAGACCGAGCCUGCUGCACGGGGCAGGGGCGGGGAGGAUAAGUCUCGUGAUGUCGUUGCUAACAUGGAGGCAAGCUUAGUUAAGGUGCAUCUAGACAUGGCGGACACUCGGGAGGGGUUGGACUUGAUCGAGCAAGGCAUGAAGAAGGGCUUAGAGGAUCUAAGGGAGUAGAUCCAAGACGUUUGUGAGGGGAUGUUAGUCUCACAAGUUCAGCCAGUGUCACAUGAGGAGUUUGUGUCCUUCCAAGAAAAGGUCUUGAGCAUGCUUGCUAGCAUGGAGUCAAGGAUAGAGGCCUUGGUCAUUUGAAUGGAGUCCCGAGACCAAGUUAGGCAAGAGUUGGCCAUCUACAAGGAUGCUGUGUUGGCACGGGUCAUGGCCAUCCAGGAGGUAUCUAAGGUGGAGGAGUCGAAACCACAAGAGUUUAGUGGCAAGUGGGAUGCCAAGGAGUUGGACAACUUCUUAUGGCAUAUGGAGAGAUACUUUGAGGCUAUCACACUAAUUGAUGAGGUGGUUAAGGUAAGAACUGCAACCCUUUACCUUACUGACACAACUACUCUAUGGUGGCGUCGGAGGUUUGCCGAUAUGGAGAAAGGCAUUUGCACCAUAGUGACAUGGAGGACUUCAAGAGGGAAAUCAAGAGGCAGUUCUACCCCAAGGACGUGGCAUUUGCACCAUAAAAAUAUUACCAUAUUCAUUUUUAUGUUGAAUUUAAAUGUUUAAUAAUUUGUUAAAAAUAAAAUAACGUAAUUAUGAUAUAUGAUGAUUUUUUUUUUUUGUUAAUAAAUAUGUUUUCAAAUUUUAUAUCAUUUUUAUUUUUAUUUUUUUUCCAAUUCUAUUUUUAUCUCAUAUUUAUUUUCUUUAAACCCAAAAUUGUUGAGAAUGGAGGAAGAAAGAAGGCCACAACCGGUUCUUUCCUUAAGUGGUUAAGUUGAAUUUUUAUUUCAAAUUUAAAAUGGAUGGCCAAGAUGUAAUCUUGGACAUCCAAUGGCUUGAAAAACUUUUUCGGUAUGUACCGAAGAGGUACCGUAGAAUUUUCUAUAUAAUAAUCUACAAGUUACGAUAGUGAUUAUAUUUGGAUAAAAUGAGGGACCCGCCCACUUGCAUGGAUUCUAUAUAGGACACAUAAAUUGUCUUUAGUGGCGGCUGAGGCUUUCUAUGACUUGAAAAAAAAAACUAAAAAUAGUCAAUAAGAAAUCAGUGCCAUGUAGUUAGUGUCCGCCACUAUCUAUACUUUCUUUAAAAGAACAAAAUUGUCAAUUUUUUUUUUUUUAUCUAAAAAAUCACUUAAUCGUACAAAAUAAUAUAAGAUAAGAUUCAAUUCAGCCUUUUUUGGCUUCAUAAGAACACCUUAGCCAACUCAAGGUGACCACUACAGAAUCAAUAGAGGUUUUCUUUUUCUUCACAUAUAUAUAUGGUGAAAGAGGGUAUAAACAAAUAUAUGCAAAAAAAUAAUCUACAGGUAUGUUGAUUAUAUUUGAAUAAAACAAAGGGAGGCCCCCACAUGCAUGGAUUCCAUCUAGCACCCAGAGGAAUUGUCUUUUGUGGGGGCUGAGGCUUUCCAUGACCCAAACUAUAUAUAUAGGUAAAAAUUGAGUGAUUGAAUGGCAGCUCUGGUAAAAAAAAUAAAAAAGGGAGAACCAUGCUUACACUCUCGUUCAUUCCAACAAAUAUAUUGUUUAGGAAUUCUAAUUUUAAUAUUUCACCCCAAAUACAUAAUCAAUAAAAUUAUUCUUCAAAUAUGUAUUUUAAUAGCAACCAAAUUGAGAAUUAUAUAGUUAUCCCUUUCUAAAAUCUUUAAUGUAUUUGAUAUCCUCUCCAUAUCACGUCUUUGAUAUCCUACCUUUGACAUUUUUUUAUUUAUAUAUGUCGAAGUGACGAGACUUUCUCUACUCAACCUUUUUCCUUUCAGAUUUCUUUUCACUCUUUUAAUAAUUUCACAUUUAUUAACUUUAAUAAUUUUUUGGACACAUUAAAUAUAAAAUUAUAAUACAUAAUAAAUAACUAAUUAGAAUAAAUUAAAUGUAAAUACAAGUAUGCAAUGGGUAGAAAAUGAAAAUUUUAUCCUAUAAAUAGUACGCUUGAUAGUUUAAAAUAUUAAUUAUAAUAAUACAUUUGAUAAUUUAGGAUUUAGAUUUAAAAAUUAUGUUUUAUGUUUUAGAGGCCAAGAUAUAAGAUUUCCAUUAACCAAAGAUUUUUUUUAUGUGAAUCUUAAAUAAAAUGUUUGUUUAUUUUGCAAAUUCUUAUCAUUUGUAAAUAAGACAAAUAUAUUUUUAUCAUAUUAUUUUUAAUUUUUAAUAUUUUGUGUCAAAAUCAUCAUCAAUGAUGGUAAUCUUUAUUAGGAUAGAACCCUUAAACGUAUGAUAUGAUGUAACAAAUAUAUAGUUUAUUAUUUAUUUAAUAAUAUUCAAGUUUCACUUUUAUCUAUCCUUAUUCCAUGUAUUAUAUCUCAUGAGUAUUCUAGCCAAACAUUUAUUGCAUUAUACAUGACUUGAAUGCAUUAGGUAUAGACCCCCCAUUUUGUUCUCUUAGCACAUGCAUUAUGAGGUGUUCUUUCAAUACUCCACAACAAUUCCCUAGUGUCCCAUUACUACUCAUACUUUUUGAGCCACCUUGGAGACUCUGGUCGAGGGAUUUAUAUGGCUCCUCAUUGUGACCAUUGGUAACCUUGAGUUAGAUUUAGGUUAUUUUUUUCCUUUUUCUCUCAUGUUAGCCCUUUUAGGUGCACUUUCCGUUUUUAGGAUAGCAUAUUAGGCAUUUCCUAGGACACCAUGCCCCACUUAAGCUCUUAGGCACGUUUUACAUUAGUUCACCCAACCCCCUUAGGUUCACUUAGAUAGAUUUUUUAGGCUUAAUGUACUUAGGUUUGUUUUUUGAGUUGUGAUGGCAUGAUUCUGAGUUUAUGUGAGUAUUUAGUUUGAUUUUUUUUUUUUGUUUUUUUAAUUGCUUCAAUAUUUAGUUAUGAGAUUUUGACAUUUCAUUUUGUUUCAUCAUUAAUUACACUAGAUUAACAUUUGAAUUUUGAUUGCAGUAUUUAGCAUCUAUAUUAUUAUUAUGAAUUAUUUAUUUAUUUUUUGUCUAUUUUUUAUAUUUACUUAUCUAUUUAUUUAUUUGUUAAAAAAAUGCAUGAGGUUGCAUUUUAGUUUUUUUUUUUCCAAAAAUUGCAUGAAUUGAUAUUCAAAUUUCCUUAUAGAUGGAUAUGAGUUAUUUUAUUUUAAUUGGGUUUGGGUUGUCAUUUCUCAUUUUUGGGCUUUGUUUGUUUUGCAUGGGCCCAAGAGUUUUCUUAGGGUGGAAGUCUUGAAAGCUAUAUAAAAAGGGCACAGAAGCCCUAGGCAAUAGGGAGGACAAUCAAAGAGAGAAAAGGUGUUGCUACUUUAUUCUUUUUGUGCGUGUGUGUGUGUGGUUUCUUUCUUUCUUGAUUGUAUAUUGUUGGUGAGAGAGAAUUUUUCCUUACUAUGUAUCUACUAUAGGGCAGUUCAUUUGUUUUUUUAUAUUGUAUUCGUAUGUUGGAGUUGCCUUUGGUUCGGAGAGUCUAGAUCGAUUUAGGGUGGCAUUCAAGUAAGUUAUUUCUUCUUCAUCUCUUUAUUUGUAUUAUGUUUUUGUUCUUUUUAGGAUUUCUUAGAUUUAUCUUGUUUUAUAUUUAUUAUAUUUGUAAGCAUUUUGGUAGUUGAAUAUUUUAGCCAUUUCAUUUAUUCAAUUCUUUGCCUAUUUGAGUUAUAUGUUCAUUAUACUCUAUAUUUUGUAUGUAUGCACAUUUGCUAAACUUUUUCUACCCAUCUAUAUGUUUGUCAUGUUUAUUUAUUAUUUUGUUGAUAUGUGUUGACAUGUGUUUCUAUAUGGUCAUGCGAAAUGAAACAAAAUAGGCUUGGUUGCAGCACACAAGGGAAACGUGAAAAGUGAUUUCGCAUGACCAUGCGAAAUUUUCGCACAGUCAUGCGAAACCCUCCAAGAAGAUGAAAAUGAAGCUGAUGGACUUUCCACUUCGCACCAUCAUGCAAAAUUGCUAGGGGCUCGUGCAAAAUGCAUUUUCUCCAUAUGUUGUUUCAAGUUUUCUAUAUUUGUGCAAUUCCUGUCCUAAAUUUUCUAUAAUUUUGUUUAUGUUAGUCUUGUUGCCUCAUUUUUCAUUUUGUCUUAAUUUUUGUAUAAUUCUAUUAAUAUUAGUCUUGUUGCUUCAUAUUUCAUUGUCUUAAAUUUUUUAUAAUUCUAUUUAUGUUAGUAUUUUUGUCUCAUAUUUCAUUUCAUGCCAUAUUUGGGUUUUGAUUUAUUUUUCUGGCUUGAGUUUUCUUUCUUUUUUUCUUUUUUUUUACUAUGCAAUAAAAAUUUCAGAAAAAUCAGUUUUAAUAAAAUUUCUAGAAAAAUAGUUUUUAAUAAAUUCCAAAACGGUUUUCUUUAAUUAAAAAUCUAGAAUUUUGUUUCCCAUAAAAUGCAAAAAAAAAAUUGUUUUAAUAAAAUAAUAUGGAAGAACCAUUUUUACUAAAUUCAGAAUUUUGGUUUAAUAUAAAAUAAUUCAAAAAAUCAUUUUUUUUUAAUAAGUUCAUAAAAUUCAUUUUUUUAAUAAAAUAAUUCAAGAAUUUCAUUUUUUUUAAUAUAUUCGGUAAAUGGUUUUUAAUUUAAUAAUCCAAAUAUUCAUUUUUUAACAAAUCCAGAAAAUUGGUUUUUUAAUAAAAAUCCUCAAAGUUUGUAAAGUCCUAAAAGUUUGUUUGAUGGAAAUUUUGAAAUUUGUGUUUUAAUAAAUGUUCUUUAGAAAAUCAUUUUUUUAAUAAGUUUGAAAAUUCUAAAAUUUGUGUUUUAAUAAAUGUUCCUUAGAAACUCAUUUUUUUAAUAAGUUUGUUAACUGAAAAAUUGUGUUUUAAUAAAUAUUCUUUAGAAAUUUUUUUUUUAUAAAUAAGUUUGUUAAUUGAAAAUUGUGUUUUAAUAAAUGUUCUCUAGAAAAUCACGUUCUAAUAAAAAUUAUGAAAAUUUGUAAUAUCCUAAAAGUUUGUUUAUUGAAAAUUCUGAAAAUUCUAUCUUAAUAAAUGUUCUUUGGAAAGUCGUUCUUUAAUAAAAUUAUACAUUAUGAAAAUUGUGUUUUAAUAAAUGUUCUUUAAGAAAUCGUUUUUUAAUAAAUUUGUAAAUUCUAAAAAUUGUGUUGUAAUAAAUGUCCCUUAGAAAAUCGUUUUUUUUAAUAAGGUUGAAAUUUUUGAAAUUUGUGUUUCAAUAAAUAUUCUUUAGAAAAUAAUUUUUUUAAUAAGUUUGUUUACUAAAAAUUGCGUUCUAAUAAAUAUUCUUUAGAAAACCAUUUUUUUUAGUAAGUUUAUUUACUAAAAAUUAUAUUUUAAUAAAUGUUCCUUUAAAAAAAAUCAUUUUUUUUAAUAAGGCAUAUUUAAUGAAAAUGCUUAAAAUAAGUGUUUAAAUAAAUAUUUUCAAAGUUUUUCUUCAUAAAAGUCGUGAAAGUCAUAAAAGUCAUAAAAGUUCUCAAAUUUGAUUUAAUUAAAAUUUUCAAAAUAAAUGUUUUAAUAAUUGUUCUCAAAGUUGUGUCUUUUAAAUUUACUUAAAGUUUGUCUCAGUAAAAGUUUUAAAAGUUUUAAUAAGUGUCUUAAUAAAUUCUCAAAAUAAGUGUUUUAAUCCUAAAAAUUCUCAAAUUUUGUUUUUAAUAAAUUCCCAAAGUUUGCCUUAUUAAAUUCUAAAAGUUGCUUAAUAAAAACCCUCAAAGUUAGUCUAAAAAUCCACAAAGUUGUUUUCUCGAAGUUAGUGUUUUAAUCAAUGUCUCUCUUUUCAAAUAAAUUUGAUUUAUAAAUAUUUUUUUCACAAAUAAAAGUUGAAAAAUUUUGUUUUCUUAAUGAAUUGAAAUUUGGUUCCUGUCAUUAAAAUAAAUAAACCAUUUUUCCUUGUAAAAAUAUUUUUUUUCCAAAAGUAGAACUGAUGUUUCUUUAUAAUUAUCGAAUCUUCCUUUUUUUUAAAAAAAAAAAUAAAGUCGAAGCCAAUAUCAUUUCUUUGUAAAUAGAAGAUCAAAUUGAGCUUUUCUUUUUAAUAUAUUUGAAUUCAAUCAAAAUUAUUUUAAUAAAAUCAAGAAAAGUCUUCUUUUUUUUUAAUUAAUUUUGGAUGUGAAUAAAAAUCGAGUCUUUUGUAAAUAAAUUGAAACUUUGUGAGUAAAUAAGUUUGAAAUCUUUAAUUUGGAAUUGUUCCCAAUAUAAAUAAAUUUCUUUUGAACUUCCUUUGAAAUGUUGCAACUUGAACAAAUAAUUAAAUUAUAUUUUGUGCUCUUCACAUUCAUUAAUUGUGUACAUUCUUGUGUAAUCUUUUUCUCAUCUCAUGACUUAUAUGUAUCUUGUUGUCCUGUUAUCAGUAUCCUCAAUAAAUUAAUCAAUUCAUACUGACUCGUUUUGAUUUAUGUUUGCAAUUUUUCAAGAUGAUUGACAUAAUGUGUUUCAAAGGAAAAUCAAAUCCUUCUCACCAAGUAUGUCUUAAAAUAAUUUUUUUUUUUUUAUAACUUCAAAUUAGAAAUGUCUUCUUAGCUUUGAUAAUGAUCUUUUGUAUUUUUUUUUUUAAAUUGCAACGAUUUGAAAACAUUAUAGAAUAGAGUUAUUUAUAAACUUAUUUUUAUGUACAAAUAAAUUAUACAAAUAUGUGAAAUUAAUUUAUUAAUUUAUUAAAUUAAAAUUUAUUUCUUAUUUUUCUAAUUUUUUUUCUUCAAAUGAACUCAAAAUUGUAGCUUUUAACAUGUGAAGCUAGAAAUGUUUGGAAGGUAUAUAAUAAUGAUAAAAUAGGCAAUCAUCAUUUUCCACUUGCAAGAAAAUCAUAAAAUAGGCAAUGGUCAUUUCAAGAUUUGUAUCAUUCAUCAAACUAGUAAAUUUGGAAAUGGAACUCCAUUAGAUUGUGAAAAAAAACUACUAUAAACCAAAAAAUAUAACAAAGAAUAAAGAAAUUAGAAUAUAACUUCCACUUUGAAACUAUUGCUUGUAUGAACUAUUAUCCACUUGCCAACUUAACAGAAUUGACAUAGCCAUAAACCUAAUAUAAAAUAAUCAUUUUAGCAAUCUAGAAUAAUCAAGCAUAAUUUCAAAAUGCGUCUCUCAUGCUUACAAUGUUAUAGACCAAACAAACUAAAACAAUGAUUUUUCUCCACUGAUACAAUCUUAAAUAAAUUUAUUUUAGAAACAACAUAACCUAAUUGCCUAAUGAAACAUCAUUGAUCCAUAGACCAGUAGACAUUUUUCCUGAUUUCAUUUUUUGGCGACAUUAUCAUUUGUGUUAGGAGUUUUUCCUUGUACUUCAUGACCUUGUCCUAUACAAAAGAGUAUAUAAUAGAAUAUUAACGAAAAUUCAUGUUAUUUUAUUGAACAUAAAAAAUAAAAAAUAUUGUAUUCAACACAAUAUAAUACAUUUGCAAUUGUAUGAAAAAAUCCAUUGUUAUCCCAUAAUUGCAUAAACUUGAUUACAAAUAUGCCACAAUCUGUUCUACAAGUAGCAAUUAAGGAAAUUAAAAAUAAAUUAUGCAUCAAAUCAAUAAAUUUAGAACCUCAUUUGCUUUCCAUAGGUAAAGAGGAAUAAAAUUCUUGCAACUUAUGAAUUCAAUUGUUGCAAAACUUCUAAAACAACGAAUUUGAAUUUAGUCAUGUCCAUUGAUGGUCUUCUUUCUUGAAUCCCAAUGACAAUUGAUAGAACGCUUACCUUAACACAAUAUAAAAUUAUAAAUAUGGACAUCCUUAAAAAAUAAUGACAACAAGUCACAUAAGUAAUUGGAUAAUAACUAUAUUUACUAGUUUCUCUGUGAAGACAUCCAUUUGCUUUUUCCUUUCGUCAAUCAAUGAAUCCAACAACUCGAUUCUUUUUCUAAUGAAUAUUCAAAAUGUUUAAAUACCAAUGAUUUCUCCUGCAUAUUGGUAUGAACAGCUGAAAAAGAAAAAUAAAUAAUGAUUUUAUCAAGUUAAUUGUGUUCAUGUAUUUCCUGCACUAUACUUAAAAAUAUCCAACUAUAUAUGACUUUCAUUAAAUUAAAUAAAACAUGUUCAUAUGUGUACAACCGAGUGUUUUUAAAAUAUUUUCAUAAAUUGUCACAUGUAUUUUGGAGAAAAUGUACCCCUCUUAUUUUCCACAUCAAAUUGUAAUAAUAAAAAAAAUACAAAACAUACAUUAGAUUAAAACAAUCUACUUAAAACAAGAAAACCAAUCUAUAAUUCUUACAACAUAUCUUACCUCAAAAUGGGGAGAUAAGAAAUGCUCCCUAUUUCCUUUAUCCUUACCAUUCAAAAUUCGACAAAACAUGGUUACAACCUUCAUGUAAAUGAAUGAAAAUUAGAAAUAUAGUUUUAGAGUAAUUUUAUCUUAACUUCAUAUAACUAAAUAUGAAUACCUUAUUGUUAACUAAUUUGUCGGGUCCCAAGCAUUUUAAGUCGAAUCUUAUCAAGAAGAAAUCGUACAUGGAACACAAUAUUUGGCUACAUAGAAAUAAUUAUGAUGUUAUGAAUUAAAACUAAAUCUUUUAAAUGGUUGUCUUAAUUGUACUUGUUUAUACUGAAUCAAGUUCAACCUGACCUUUCAUCACGUGUAUCGUCCAAUGCAUAUGCUAAAACUUACUUUGCUACAAUGAAGACGUUGAAAAUUUGAUUGAUUGUUGUACCACAUAUGGUGAUUGUAGGGCAGUAGCACAUCGACGUAGCCGACAUAAACAUAAUGGAGGAUGUUCAGUCUAGUAAGGAAUAAUAACAUUCGACUUAACUUCAUCCUCAACUAUAUGUAUAGAAAAUAAGAAAAAAAAUUCAUUAACGAAAAUAACACACAGAGGAAAGACUAGCCAUUAUUAUGAACUCAUUAAUAUUUUGAUAUUAAAAAUUACUAUAAAAAAAUAAAGAUGCAGAAAGUAUAAUGCUAUGUUGCGCUACUGGCUGUGAGGUCGAUGGCCCUGCAUUAUCUUCACCAUGAGCGGAACGAUCAUUCAAUGGUGAUCCAUAUGCUAAUUUAAAAAUGGAUAACAACCAAAUUUUAAAAAAAAAUUAUAGAACAUUUGCAAUUCAAUUAAAAGUAAAAAAAAAAUUUAACAGCUAAUGCUAUAAAAACCUUAUUACCAUGUGGUGGUGAUGGGAAAGAUUCAUUGAUGUCAGGUUGGUUAUGACUUCCGCUUUGAUGAGAAGGUGAUGGGGUUUUGUUUUUAUUAUGCCGCUUUGCUAGUUUAUCAAUUGCUUCUUUCAUUGUUCGAAGCAAUUGGUGAAUUUGUUCCUCCACUACAUUAUACUCUGCUAUAAUUUCCUACAAAAUGGUACAAAGUGUAAAAGAUGUAUAUUAUUAUGCAUAACAUGUUUGGUUUACUCUUUAAAUAAAGGAAUAGAUGUAAAAGGUUCUCACAUCACUAGUCUCUUCUUCAACUUCAUCUACUGGAUUAGUAGGGUCUUCAUGUGCAUCUUCCCCCCUUUCAUCUUCCUGAACCUACAAUAAUAAAAAGAAUAUAUAAUUUUUUUAAAAUUAUUUUUCAAAUAUUAAAAUAAAAAGAAAAUGUAGAAAUAAAAUUUUGUUCCUUACAUCGACUAGUCCAAGGUCAUCAUAAUCCUGCAACUCUACAUGCACCAUUUUCUUCAUCAGGUCAUCACUCUACAAUGCACAUAUGGGGAUGGUGUGUGGCACCAACAUAAUUGGAAUGUAGAAUUUAUUUACAUAAAAAAGCUCAUACACAAAUAUUCCACACAUCAAUACGUUAUUUAGAGAACACUGUUUAAACAUAGAAAAUGAUAUGGAAACCUUGAGCAUUUAAUAAAAAAAGAUAUUUACCUACAAAAAAAAAAAGGUAACCUGUAAACCAUGAGCCUUUACCCAAUCGAAAAUGCCUAAUUCGAGCAACCAAUGUGUCAAGUACAAAUUGGUCCCAAUUAACAUUGAUGUCAAAGUUUCUAGCAAGCAAAGUACACCGCAACUCAUGACUACCAUCCAACUUCAAUGUUGGAGCAAGUAAUGUAGCACAUGAGAAGAAGAUAAACAAUUUUUUAAAGUCACCCAUGUCUUCCAUUGAGAUCAGCCUAUCUCUAAGGAUAGAUAGGUUUUCCAUCCUAUUAUUCCUAUUGGUAGGUGUAGACACUCCAUUUUGUAUAUCUAGUACUUGUCCUAUUAUGUGUUCGUUUGGUACUUUACAACAAUUCCCUGGUAACCCAUUAUUACUCAUGUAACUUAUCUUUUAUGAGCCACCUUGGAGACUCUGAUUGAGAGAUUUAUCUAACCUCAUUACAACCCUUAGCAACCCUAAUUUAGACUUAGGUAGUCAAUACAUGUCUAGCAUAAUACCCUAAGCUCCCAUUUUUACAACUUGGAGGGCUAAAUUGGGUAAAAUAUAAGAAUGUCAAAUAACAUGUAUAUGUGAAAUAUGGACAAAAAAAAAGGAAUAGAUAAAGGUAAUGAUUAAUUAUAUUUAUUAAGAAUAGUGAUUAACUUAAAAAAAAAAAUAGUUAACUUUUGUGAAAAUAUCCCUUAGAAAAGAUCAUGACUUUUAUGACUUCAUUAAGGUAAAUCAAUCAAGCUUCAAGAGCAAUUAUCGAUAAUAUAUUUGGAAAUAUGUAGUAUUAGCAUCCUUUUACAUCUCAUAGAUUGACAUUAUAGAAGAGAAAUGCAAUUAGUAAUUAUAAGGAAUAAAUGUUUUACAUAUGAACAAUUUGAUUAAAGAUGGAUAAAAGAGUAAAGAGUUUAGAUUAGAGAGAGAGAGAGAGAGAGAGAGAGAGAGAGAGAGAGAGGUUGUGCCUUACAAGAAAUGUCUAAACUAAAUAUAGGAUGUAUAUAAGACAUACUAAGGCCAAAAGAAAGAUAUAAAGAACAACUCACACCUAAGUAACAUGAUCAAAGCUAUUUAAAUGAAUCCUCAUUGCUUCCUUACCUAUACAUACAUCUAAAUUGUUGUAAAGGAUUGUAAAUAUUAUGAGUUUGUUCUUUUUUAGUACUACUUCAUUACUAGUGGAAUAAUGGACAAAUGAGUACAUUGUAUUCAUAGCAAUUUAGAUUAUAUUUUCAUAAGGUGGUGAAACAAACAUAUAUGGUAUCCUUCUCAACUCAACUUAGGAAUAGGAAAUAAUAACAAAAACAAUUAUAAGCUAACAAAAUUCAUAUAUAUAGGUAUAUAUUCAUGUGAGAGGAAGCCAUAUAGAAUCUUUACAUUUCAAAAAUCAAGUAAACUUUAAUUCAAGAAAGCAACUUAAAUGUAGGUAAGUCUUCAAAAAGUUUAGAAGAAGAAAAAAAUGUAACCUCAAUAACUAUCCACUUGAGCUAUUUUUUAGAUCAUUUCUUCUUUUGAGAUACAAAAAUUCGAAACCCCCUGCAAAAAAGAAGAUUACAUUAGUGUUUAUUUUGAAACAUGAAAACUAAAAUUAUGGUAGACUUACAUGUUCACAAUAUCUUUUAUAUCUUGGUAUGGUUGUUGUAAUAGCAAGUCUAAAUAGUAAACUGUUUGUAAUUUGAGGUCAAUUACAGCCAAAACCCAAUGAAACCUACAAUAUAUUAACAUAUAAUUUAGAUAAAUAGCAUUUAUAAGGCUAAGAAAUUAAAAACAAUUAUAAUUAACAACUUACCUUGGGUUAUACGGAAGAAAAAUCAGAUCUGCCAAUUUGGAGUCAAUUAGGCGAUCAACAAUGAUCUUUGCUCUUUUUUCAAUUUUUGGGGCUAUUGUUCUAGCCUUAGACACCAGUCCUGGAUGAACAGAUAUAAUUUUCUCAUGUAGUGUAUCAUCUAGAUGUUCAUGCAACCACCUAAUGAAAUAUCACCCAGUUUAGAAUUACUUAAAAAAUAAAAAAAAUAAACGGUUUCUACUUAUUUAUAUCAUGAAUAUAACAUAAAGAUUUACAACAAAAUCUCACCAAAUAUAGAAACAUAUACAAUUCAUAGUCAACUCUUUUGCAAAAAUUACAUCAUUCAUUUCAGUUGUCAAGAGGAAGAUUUGAAAUUUCAUCCCAAAAACAUUGAUUGGAAAGUCAACUUUGGGUGCCAGUUUACCCUCCAACAUUGUUGAAACUGUUUUAAAAAAUAAUUGUAUAUCUCUUGGAUUCUCAUAUUUGAUUUUCUUUGGGGAUGCUUGUAUCUUAUUCAUUUUAUUCUUCCUCUUGCCAAAAUCCUAAACACAUAAAUAGAUGCAUGACAUUAAAAUGAAAAAUAAAUAAACCAAGAGUGUAGGAAAAUAUAACUCAACUUUGAAAGUUUGGGUAUAACGUUAUUCCCCUCAACAUUUUCAUCAUUUAUCACAAAUGCAACAGGCCACAAAACCUCAUAUCCAACACCCUCCCUUAUUGUACUAAUGUUUUCAGAAAGUGGGAAUGAAAGAAGUGCAUUAGGUUGAAGAGGGUAAAGAAUGACCACUAAUAUAUCAGUUCUAUCAAUGGAAAUGUUUGAAUCUCACAAAUAAGUUCCAUAUGCAACAAUGUUUUCUUCAGUUUCAAGAGCUAAUUUGCAUUUAUAAACCUGUAAAAACAUAUUUUCUAAUCCUUCGUCUUUCAUUAUAGUUAUUUUAUAUAUUGUUUUUAUAAAUUUAACUUAGGAAAAGCCAUAUAUACCUGAGUUAGUGGAGAAGCUUUUUGAGUCCUUUCUGCUGAUAGGUUCUCCACAUGAGCACUAUAAUGAGUCUUCUCUCGUAUUUCUUCAUGUUCCAACAAUUGUUUCCUUAUGUUUGUGCUGCUCACUUCAGAGUGGGGUGUGAGGGGUUCUUUUUUUUUUCAGCUUUCAAAGAAAUGAUCUCUUCUUCCAAGCUUUUUACUUUCUCCCUUAGCAUCCUUUGACAUUCCUCUUCUUCAAGAGUUUUUAUGGGUUUUAGUGUGUUGAAUAAUUGUUUGGGAUUUUUUUUCCCACCUUUUCCUCUAACCCGUCCAGGAUGCUCGGAUGUACCCAAUGCUAAAGUGAGGAUAUCCUUUUGGCCAACACAUGUGAUCUUCCCUUCCUCAACAGCCUUUGCCAACUCAUCCUCCAAAAAUAUAUAAGAUGCUUCAAGAGUCAUAUUUAAUAAAAUAAAAAAACAAAUGAAAUUGACUAAAACUAAGUAUAGGUUUGACAACUUACAAUCUUUUCCGCUACAGGCCUCGUAACAUCAUCAUAUUCACCUUUUUUCAAUCUUUCUAGCUUCCACAAGACCCAUCUAUCAAUAGGUUUCCUUGAACCUGUCUUUUGCAUCUAUCAAAAAACAAAAAAGUGAAGCAAUUAAACUUUACAAAAGUAAAUGUCCAACAAAAUAAAAUACACUAAUUCAACUUACCAAUUCUUCUUGAAGUCUUGCAUAUCAUUUCCUACUCACUCAAUGAAUAUAAACGUAUUUUGCCCUCCUUUCUUUUCCUUUUUUUGGUUUAACUUGAAACUCUAUUGACAACCUAUUAGCCACUAACUUUCUCCAGUCUUCAAUUGGAAUGUAAUUAUAUUCAAUUGGUGGCUACAAAAGGUACUCGGGCUUAUCCUUAUAAGGCAGGUGUGGACCCCGCAUUUCGAUGGCUCGAAUGCGUUCCCCACUCGAUGGCGAGCUCGAUUUUUAUUUUGAAAAAUUGAUUUUUAUUGAUUAUUUGAAAAUGACUUGGAGUCGCCACUUAUUUUUGUUUUAUUUUUAAAGGGUAAACAAAAUAAGAAAGAAAAACCCUAAGUGUGACUCCUUAUUUUGGAAAAGGUGAUCUACGAAAAACCGGAUCGGGUUCGGGGGUCAGGUUACUUAUCGGGAAGGUACGGUAAAGACCGUAGCACCCCUCUAAGUCCCUAAAGUCGGGUCUCUACUACUAAAAUGAAGCUGACAUGGCAAUCAAUGAGAAAAUCAAUGAAUACUCAAAUCAAUCAUGCACAUAUAAGUAUCAAAACAUGCGUAUAGCAAGACCAGAAUAAGGACAGAUGCGUACCUGGGCAACGAUCUUCAAUGCGCUAUCAAGAAGUGAGAUUAGUGCACAAUUAAAGGAUGGUCACAUGCAUAUCAUAGAGCAGAAUAAAUCAUGUAUGGCACCCAAAUCAACCAAACAAUCCAUCAAUCAUAAAAUCUCAUAUGUUGGGCCCCCACCAAAGCCCGAUUGAUUUUUGCAUGAAUUAAUUCCAUAAAUUCCCUUGCUUGGAAUUACGGAAUUUUAUUCUAGCUUAUUUUAAAACAUUUUGAAAAUCUGAGGAGUUGUGAAAAUUGCUUGUCAGGGAGAAAAGUGACAGCAAAUUUUUAUUAUAAAGUGGAAACUUUUGGGAACCUAAAGAUUCCAAUGAGGAAACAUGAGAGAAUUGGAAUUAUUUGAAAAACCAGAUUUUUGAGAAAAUGCUUGCAAAAUGGGAUUAGGAACAGUUAUUAAAACAGAGAAUGAGGAAGUAAAAGGUGGUGGCACAUGGUCAAAGGCUGCAUGUCCUAGGUGGUCAUGCAAAGAAGCGGUCUCCUGUAGCUUUUGUAGGGUCCAUUCUCUCCCCACUUCUCAUCCCAUGAGUUCUUUACGAUCCAGUAAGGCCUGCCCUUCAUCCGGAUGGGAUCAUGGCCUGUUGAACCAUGCCCCACCAGUAACACUCCAUGAGCCAUCAUCUCAGAGCAUAUGUAUGGGCGUGACACUUCCCCAAUAUGUGUCUGCAUGAACACUGUAUUGAUGCCCACUACCAUUUGACCAUUUUUCACAAGAUUAGCAGCCAUCUGAUCUUCAUCAAGGAAUGAACCAAAAGCUUUGGCUGCAUCGGGCUUCUGGAGAAGAACUGUUUUGAUUGCAUUCAAUAUCUCAUCCACGGAUCUUCCUGUGCUAAUGUAUUCUGAAAUAACCUCCCAUCUUCAAGACAUUCCUCUGGGAUAUUUCAGCAUCCCUUUUAUCAAGAGCCCAACUUCUUCUCUAUCCCAAGGUUUCUCCUUAUAGUGUGAUCAAAAGAAUGAAGUUGGGGUCACUGAAUUCACCUUCCACUGAAGAGUAGAAAGCAUCAGAAGCCCUAUCCUCUGAAACGUCUUCACUUCAAGCACAUAUUUUAUCUCCUCCACCUGCAGGUCCAAGAGAAGAGGAGCAUCGGUUUUACUGGAGCUUGACUUUCUCUUCUCAGGGGCAUUUUCCUCAUGGGGACUCUCUAUCUGAUCUGUUGAUGCAGCUGCACUUUCUCCCUCAUUCUCAUGGCCAUCUAAUCUGCUUCCGCGGAUGCUGCAUCUGACACCACGGCCUCUUGAACGCGAGUGGAAUCCAGCUGGCAAUGGACCCAAUGGAGGCCUCUCAAUGGGUUUACUUUAAGAGCUUCUUGAGGGCCCAAAGGAUAUUGCAGGACCCGGACUUAGGACGCCAUCUUAUCCGUGUCAUGCUGAGGAAUUCGUUCUUUGUGGUAUCAGAUUGGCUACAGGAGGCCUUAUAGAAGUGAAGCUAGGGAUAUCUUCAGAAAUGGAACUUGGACCCUUCCCUUUGACAGGUUCAUCUCCAUGAGAACCAAAUUUUAUAAGCUCGGUAACUCCAGGUUGUUGAAUGAACUUCCCAGUCUCCUUGUCAUGCAACAAAGCACUUUUUGCUUCAGUUUCAGUCUCCACAGGUGCCGGGGCCGCUUCAAAUCCCACAACCUCCAUGAAUUCACCAUGCUCCUCCAAGAAAUAACCAACAACACUAGGUAGCAUUUCCAAUUCACUUCACGACCUUGGAAUGAGCAGUUGCUUUAUCAGUUUCAUGGCAGAGGGUGAGCACUGGAGCUUUCCUCUUGACAACACUUUACCUGGAAAGCGGAGAGUGGAUACCGGUAAUCCAUGAUAAAUAGAAACUUCCCCACUUUUCCGGACUGGAGGUGAUCUCCUCAUGUUGCUGGCCUAUAGAUCCAUCUUCUGGAGAAAACACCAGUUGAAAAUUAUCCACUGAAGCAACUGUCACUUGUCCACGGAAGUCCGAGCACCAGCAUACCCAGAUUGGUGGUUUUGGAAUAUAGGUUUGAAGAGUUUGAUGGGUGUGCAAGGUGUAGACAUGGGGCAUGAUAGCAAAGUGGUGAGAUGAGGUGAUAAUGAGUGUAAAUAGGCUUAGAGAGAAAGGUGAAUAAAUAUGGUGGGGGAGUAGACUGUUGACAAUGGGUAUGUAUGAGUCCUAUGCCUGUGGGUAUGGUGAGAGAUGAACUGCAAGUGAUGGGCAUGAUGUGGUGUGGGGUGGAUUAGUGGGAUGACAGUAUACAAAGAGAGCGUGGUGUAGAGAGAGAAUGCAAGAUGAUGAGUGCAUGUGUAGAUAUGGGUGUGGGCAUGGUGGUAUGAAGCGUGUGGUGGAUGAUGGACUGAAGGUGAUGGGCAUGACAAUGGGCAUGAACAGGGAUGGAGUCAUGUGGGCACGAGACGAGCAUGAGCGCGGAAUGAGUGUGAUGCAACCAUGCAUGGUAUGAAAAGGGUUUGGUGUAGUGAGAGAAAGUAGAUUAUUGGUGAUGGGUAUGAAUAAUGGCCGGGUUUGCAUGGUCCAUGCACUUGGAUGGGUGAGUUUGGGGAUGCUAGCAGAAGCCUUGGAAGGAAUACGGGCAGCCAUGCACGCGUGGGGUUUCAUGGAUAUCGAGUCAGGGUAUUUUGCUGGAGGAAGAGAGCAUGGGUCUGCACAAUAUGGGGAUUGGGAUCUCCUACGGACUCCCUAGCUAAUGGAGUUGUGAAAGGGAGACCAUCUGCUUUUCCGAUACCAGAUUAUGGGAAGUUCAGUGAUGGCUUCUCAAAAAUGGACCUUGAUGUUAACAAACCACCCUUGGGCAAUUUAGCAAUCCCUUCAUUCUCAGAAGACUCCGUCUCCAACAGACCAUAAUGAUACUGAACUAAUCCAUGUGAAACGGACAAGAAAGGCUCUGCUCGUGAAUGUUCCCUGGCAUAACCUCCUCUAGAAUGUCAUCAGACGAAACAAAACUAGAGAACCAGGUAUCUAGAACAAGUAAGUCUUCUCACUGGGCCAAACCCUCAACAAGCCUGUUGCAUUUCUCUGAUUUCUCCCACUGUUCUGCCAAAGUCUUUAUUUAUAAUAUAAUGGUUUAGAAAUAUCCUCCAUUAAUCACUCUGCCUUUGACCAACCCUGGUUAAGGAUCCAUACAUCAAAUCUGAUUACCACUUCUGGCCCACAACCGCUCGAGUUGAUAAUGAUUUUCCUCCAUAUCUACUCCUGUUCAUCUUCAUAAAAUUCCUUGGAAUCAUCAGUAUACUCACUGCAAUCUGUGGUAAAGACCACCACAUCCUCAUCGACAUCUUACUUUUUUCCUCUACGAAUGGCGCCUCACACUACUCACUAUUCUUUGGAUCUGAACCACUUUUUUUUUUUUUUUUUUUUUUUCAAAUAUUGGAUGUCAAGCCUCAACAGCAUAUAGUAGUCAAUUUGUACCAUCCCCAAUGUAUGGUAUGCAUGAUGCCCCGUGCUCAAAUUGCUCAAAAAGAACAGAGGAAUAUAGCUAAGAAAACAGGGCAUAGGAGAAAGGAACAAAAAAUAAAUCAAGGGCAACUGCAUUUCAGGACAUAUCAAUGUGUUCCCACUGGUGGAUGAAAGAUAUGAACAAAUUCAAAACAAAAAAUACGCCACAUAUGUUCAGGUGCCUAGCAACGAAAUAUGAUGCAAGUCCUCACCCAUUUUCUUAAACCAGGUUAAUGAAACAGCGAAAGGAUUAACAUCACAGAUGGAAACAUGACAAAUACAAACAACAUAUACACCCAGUGAAAUGAUAUUCAGAAUAAUGAAAUCAUACGGCUAAAUAUAAGCAUACCUGAAUGUGAUAGAUGUCCUACCCAGCUUUUCUUACUUUCUCUCUGUUUUCCUUGCCUUUCUAGCUCCGACAAUCGAAUCACCUUCUCUCUUACUCUUCUUUUCUCCCGCUUGAAAAACCUCCCUCUGGAAAUAUAUCUCUCCCCCAGCCAGACGACACCCACCUGCCUUGCAGUUGCAAGCCUCCAUUACCUUCAGAUUUUUCUGCCACCUUCCUCUUCUAGGCCCAUUUCCCCACUACUCUGCACCACUACCUUGCUAAUAACAGAAGACGCUCCUCAAUACAACGGCCUGCAGAUCCUCAUGCCACCUGUCAACCUUCCAUUGGCACUUCAAAAACAACAUACGAUUCUGCAUUGCCCUCUCAAAAGGAGACACGUGAUUGAGCAAGGCUCUUCCACGUGGCCAAAACGGGUAGCUGCAUGAAAGGCCCCAAAUGGGGGUCUACAAAUAUGCCCCUCUUUGGUAGAGUUCAUGAGUGUAAAGAACAUGAACACUGGAGUGAAAAGUAAGUGUGAGUAGUGAGUGAAAUGAAGUGAACUCUACCGAAGAAUCAAAGAGACCCCCAUAGGGAUAUUGGUGAAACGCGAAGUCACCCAGGCUAGUAGACGAACACAAAGGCUCUAAUCCUAAAAGAGAAAGAUGUCACAAAAUGCCUCUGCGGCCAUACUAAGGAUCCAAGCUCCCUCUAAGAUGUCUCCCGAAAGUGACUCGAAAAACCAAAUGCUAGAGGUGAGUAACGGUCGAGUCACCCUAGGGUACGGACAAGAAUGCGUCUAAAGGAGACUGCCCUAUGUGGACUACAUGAUGAAUACACGAUAAGCACAAAGUAACGAAGUGAGGAGGACGAUAAUAAGUGCAAAUCCAAUGAAGGUGAGACACGCAAUGCCACUGAAUAGGAAUGCUAGGAGCUGUGACUCUACAUGACAAGAUUGACUCUAAACACUAAACUAGGAAACAACGGCUCUGGAAGCCAACCAAAAACUAACUCUAAAAACUAAACUGAGAAUAACAGCUCUGGAAGCAAACCAAAAACUAACUCUAAAAACUAAACUAGAAAACAACAGCUCUGGAAGCCAACCAAAAACUAACUCUAAAUGCUAAACUGAGAAUAACAGCUCUGGAAGCAAACCAAAAACUAACUCUAAAAACUAAGCUAGAAAAUAACAGCUUUGUAAGCAAACCAAAAAAACUAACUCUAAAAGCUAAACUAGGAAACAACAGCUCUGGAAGCCAACAAAAACAAAAAAAAAACAAAAAAAAAAAAAAAAAAAAAAAAACUAACUCUAAAAGCUAAACUAGGAAACAACAGCUCUGGAAGCCACACAAAAAAAAAAACUAACUCUAAAAGCUAAACUAGAAAAUAACAGCUCUGGGAGCCUAAACAAGACGACAGUAAUGGCUCUGGAAGCCUAAACAAGAUGACAGUAAUGACUCUGGAAGCCUAAACGAGAUGACGGUAAUGACUCUGGAAGCCUAAACAAGAUGACAGUAAUGACUCUGGAAGCCUAAACGAGAUGACGGUAAUGACUCUGGAAGCCUAAACAAGAUGACAGUAAUGGCUCUGGAAGCCUAAACAAGAUGACAGUAAUGGCUCUGGAAGCCUAAACGAGAUGACGGUAAUGACUCUGGAAGCCUAAACAAGAUGACAGUAACGGCUCUAGAAGCCUAAGCAAGAUGAUAAUAACGACUUUGGAAGCCUAAACAAGAUGACGGUAAUGACUCUGGACGUCGAAACUAAAAAGUGAUGAUGAUGACUCUGAACGUCAAACUGAGAAGUGAUAAUGAUUCUGAACGCCGAAACCGAGGAUGUGACUCUGAAUGUUGAUCUGAAAAUCGAUGAUAGCUCUGAACGCCGAAACUGAGAAGUGAUGAUGAUGACUCUGAACGUCAAACUGAGAAGUGAUAAUGAUUCUGAACGCCGAAACCGAGAACGCGACUCUGAACGUCGAUCUGAAAACCAAUGACGGCUCUGAACGCCGAAACUGAGAGAAGUAGUGAUGAUGGCUCUGAACACCGAAGCUGAGAAGUGAUAACGACUCUGAACGCCGAAACCGAGAACGCGACUCUGAACGUCGAUCUGAAAACCGAUGACGGCUCUGAACGCCGAAACUGAGAGAAGUAGUGAUGAUGGCUCUGAACACCGAAGCUGAGAAGUGAUGAUGAUGACUCUGAACGUCAAACUGAGAAGUGAUAACGACUCUGAACGCCGAAAUCGAGGAUGUGACUCUGAAUGUCGAUCUGAAAACCAAUGAUAGCUCUGAACGCCGAAACUGAGAAGUGAUGAUGAUGACUCUGAACGUCAAACUGAGAAGUGAUAACGACUCUAAACGCCGAAACCGAGGAUGUGACUCUGAAUGUCGAUCUGAAAACUGAUGAUAGCUCUGAACGCCGAAACUGAGAAAUGAUGAUGAUGACUCUGAACGUCAAACUGAGAAGUGAUAACGACUCUGAACGCCGAAACCGAGGAUAUGACUCUGAAUGUCGAUCUGAAAAUCGAUGAUGGCUCUGAACGCCGAAAACGAGGAUGUGACUCUGAAUGUCGAUCUAAAACCCGAUGAUGGCUCUGAACGCUGAAACUAAGAAGCGGUGAUGGCUCUGAACGCCGAAACUAAAAGGUGAUGGUGUCUCUGAACGACGACAAAUGGAAAAGUGGCUCUGAACGCCGAACUGAAAAAUGUGACAUGAUGACUCUAAAUGUCGUAAACCGUGAAUGAACGGCAGCUCUGAACGCUAGACUGCAAGGAAACAAUGAGGGGGAAAUAUGCCCCAGUGUGGCAUGCCGCUGCAAACCUCAAACUACUAGAAAUGGCUAAAAGGGACUCUACGAGUCUCGAACGACGCACCACUGAGAGCUCAUGUCAACGAAGAGCUUAGGAACAAUGGUCAGUGAGGCGAAUACAAUAUAUCUCGGCUGAGUGAUGGAAACUGCGAUGGACAUGUGAGAGAACGAUCGGCUCCAUGGCUAAAUGAGGGAAAUAUGCCCCAGUAUGGCAUCAGAUGUAUCCGAUCUAUCCUGAUAACCCGAGAAUAGCACCGAUGGGACGCGUAACAGAUCUGAUAUGUACCCCACUGAAAUGAUGACGCGGGAAAUCCAGGCACCUAAGAUAACCCCAUCCAGGAAUCACGACUAUAUCAAAGAGUAUGAAUCUGGCUGAACGAAGUCAAGAGAGGCUCCUCGGAGUAUCCGGACAAAAUGAAAUCAAUCAUCAACCUGGCGUGUAUCUCAUGGCCGUGGAUGAUCAUGUAAACCAGUGGGGAUCUAUAAAUCUCGAUCAAGAUGGGGAAUAUGCCCCAGUGUGGCAUCGAAAAUGUAACAUGUCAAAAAAAAUCAGAUGAACUCAAAUCAUCUAUGCCUGCAACUGGCUAGAUGGCUCUCGAUAGACUCCACUAAGGAAUCAUCGUGAGGAUUGCGAAUAUAUCAUCAUCCCUGCAUACAUCUCGCAAAUAAGGAUAAGCACGCAACUCCCUCAUGAUCUGUAAAUCUCAUCCGAACGGAAAUAUGCCCCUGUAUGGCAUCGAAAUGCAGGAUAGGUCGGAGAUCAGAUAGCAUGGAAUCAUCUAUCCUAUAACAUGUGACCUCUGCGAAGAUCCAUAAAAAUCCUCCGAAACGGAAUAUGCCCCAGUAUGGCAUCUGACGUGCGACAAAUCAGGAAAAAACAGGUGACAUCGAAUCAUCCCUCAUCAAACACGUGAUCCUGGUAAUCCAAACACGGUCGAAACGGAUCUAAACAUCUGAGAAGUGUCUCCCAGAAGAAGAUGCAUGGCAAAUAUCUGGAUGUCGACUGAAUCUCAAACACCUGUCCACAUAGAAGCCGUAGAAGACGAUAUCUGAUCCCAUGGCCUCAGGGUGGUCUUAAGACACGGGACGUAAUGUAGGCUAGGGUGAUAGGGUGAUAGAAACGAAGGGAAACUAAGCUCAAAUACCCAAUGAUCAAAACCCAUGCCCUCGUGUGUGAAAUGCAACAUGUACAGAAAAUCCUGUGAGCCCUGGACCUGAGGGUGUCUAAUGUGAAUAUGAUGUCAAUGAGGAAACAAGUGAAGCAAAUCAAACUGAUAAUGAGAUAUGUAAUGGUGAUACGAAGGGAAUAUCAAACCCGAGAUGGGUCGUGGUAAGAAAAGAAUAAGAAGUGAAGUGAGAAUGACGAAUCAGAAGCGAAAACGAGGACGAUGAUAAUGAAGCGAAUAACAUCAAAAGGAGUGAUGAUCAACUCUGAUCAGACAUGGAAUGAUGUCACAUCAACUACGAACAUAAUGAUGGAACGGACAAUAACCCAGAGCUCCCAAAAGAAAGUCACUCAUCUCGCUCACAAAAUAUGCAACAAAAUGAAUACAAAGCCUGAGGGAUCCCGGGAAGCUCACAUACGAACUCCCGUCAACAAACAUACUCGAUCAAGUGGCCCUCGAAUAUCAAUACAUACACUCAGUGAUGGAUAACAAUACAUACCUGGUUUUUAUUUCUUUUUCCAUUUUUUUUUUUCUUUUUUUUUUUUUUUUUUUUUUUUUUUUACCCCCAAAGAUGACAUCAAAAAAGGAUAACAUACUCUCAAAUGUCAAUGUAACAUGAACUCUCUCUGAUGAUGUGACUUUCUCAAACUAAGGAUCCCUGGACCAACGUCCGUAUGAUAGAUAGUGGAAAUGACAUGACUACCCUCCAUGUAGUGAACUGAGGAAGAUCACCCCUCGGGGUGAAAGAAGAUGACGUGAAACGAACAGUAGAUAAGAUAAAGAAAAUAUGAUGAAUAACACGAACAGUGAGAUGAGAUGAAAUGCAAUGAUGUAGUGGCGAGCACAGAUAAUGAGAAGAACGUGCCCCUAGGUCCAAGGCUCAAUGAAACUCUCAAACAAUGCAUGCAUACACUAAAGGGCCCCAAUCCCGGUGUGAAAAUGUGAGCAAGGCUAUAAGAAAUGAAGGUUAUGAUGCGCGUGCGAGGCUCAAAUGGGCUAGCAAUGGACUAUAUAUAUCAGAAACGGGAUAAAGGGAUAUAGCUAACCGAAAUGAUAGCCACCCAUCCUGCGACCAUGGUCUCAAACAUAGUACCUCUUUAGCUGAUCCACAUUAGUCGGCUCUGAGAACUGGUUUCCAUCCAAAUCCAUCAACCAUGCGGCGCCCUCUGGGGACAACUCUCUGAUGAAGUAAGGCCCGCUCCAACUGGGUCUGAACUUCCCUCUAGGAUCUCUGAUCAAUCCUCUGAUGACUCUCAAAACUAAGUCACCUACAUGCAGUGGUCUGGGCUUGACCCGCUUUUUGAAAGCGCGGGCCAUCUUCCUCUGAUAUGCACGAACAUGGUCUGCUGCUCUCAAUCUCCUCUCAUCUAGGAGAUUGAGCUGAUCAAAUCGAGCCUGAGCCCAAUCCGUCUCGGGAAUCUGCUGCUCCAAGGCUACCCUCAAUGAACCCAUCUCGAUCUCAACUGGUAGCACUGCCUCCAUACCGUACACCAAUGAGUAGGGUGUGGCUCCUGUAGAGGUGCGAAAAGAAGUCCUGUAAGCCCAUAGUGCGAAAGGAAGCUUCUCGGACCAAUCCCGAGAAGUCUCAACCAUCUUCCGCAAUAUCCUCUUAAUAUUCUUAUUCGCGGCCUCUACUGCCCCAUUCGUCUGCGGCCUGUACGCAGACGAUCUAUGAUGCCGGAUGCUGUAUCUCUGUACUAAGGUGUCAACCUCUGCUCUGAAAUGCACCCCUCUGUCUGAAAUAAGCUCGUGAGGGACUCCAUAGCGACAAAUGAUGUGCGAUCUAAUGAAACUGGCAACUCCAGAUGAUGUCAAUCUCGCAUACGAGGCGGCCUCCACCCACUUGGUAAAGUAAUCAAUAGCUACCAGGAUGAACUCAUGACCACUGGAAGAUUUCGGCGAAAUCUUCCCGAUGAUAUCGAUACCCCAUACUGAAAACAGCCAUGGUGAAGUCAAUGCAUGCAACUCUGAGGGCGGCACGUGAAUGAGAUCUCCGUGUAUCUGACACUCAGGACAUCUCUGGACGAACUGACAACAAUCCGUCUCCAUAGUCAACCAGAAAUAGCCGGUCCUCAUGAUCUUACGGGCCAACAUAUGCCCUCCCAUAUGUGGUCCACAAACUCCCGCAUGAACCUCUCUCAUCACUCGAUCGGCAGAGGCACGGUCUAAACACAACAAUAGCAUCCCGUCAGCUGAUCGUCUAUACAGCGUCUCGCCGCAAAUGACGAAUCGGGCAGCCAACUGUCUCAAUGCUCUCUUAUCCUUGGCCGUGGCGACCUCAGGAUAUACGCCGAGUCUCAAAAAGUGAUAUAUGUCGUGAUACCAUGGCAAACCAUCAUUUGGCUCUACAUCAUCAAUCAAACAACAAUACGCAGGAGCAGAUCUCGACUCGAUCAACAAUGGUCGAACAGUGGCAUCGGCGGGAAUGUCGAUCAUGGAAGCUAGAGUAGCUAAAGCAUCAGCAAACUGGUUCUGCGCUCUAGGCAGAUGUGUAUAUCUCAUAUCCUCAAAUCUCGCGACCAGUAGCUCCAAAUACGCGUGGUAAGGCCUAAGCUUCACAUCUCUAGUCUUCCACUCGCCCUGUAUCUGUCUCAAUACCAGAUUGGAGUCACCAAACACCUCCAUCUGUCUAAUCCCAAGCUCGAGGGCUGUCUCUAACCCCAAGAUACAUGCCUCAUACUCAACAAUGUUGUUCGUGGCCAGAUGUUGAUUCGAGAAUGCCAAACGAACAGAUCUGGGAAUGUGAUCACCAUGAGGGGAUAUCAACAAAACGCCUAUCCCGUAUCCAGAAUGGUUGGCUGCACCAUCAAAGUACAUGCGCCAACCCGACAGACUAGUCACAGCUGCGACAUCCUCGUCUGGAAAAUCAUCGUCAAUAGCUCUGGCAUCAGAAACUGGUAAUGAGGCUAAGUGAUCUGCGACAAUGCUCCCUCUGAUGGACUUCUGAGUGACAUAAUGAAUGUCAAACUCAGUCAGAAGUACCAGCCAUCUCAUAAGGCGACCAACUAGGUAUAUCAAGACGAGGAAUCAAAGGUCCGAUCCUACAAAGCACGAAGAACGGAAUAAGGAUAUGGCUCGGGGAAUGUAUAGAAGAAAAGAUAAUCUGAACGGGAACAAGCAAAGCAUCCAAGUGAAGAUGAGCGGUCCGACCGUACUCAAAUUCGUCCUGAUCUCAGUGCACUCUCAUCUGGAGACUAAACAGAGGGAAAAUCGGAUCCAAAACUACGGCUACAGAGGCACGGAAAGCCCUCAGAUGCACCCACGUGUAGGGAGGGAAUCCUAAUCGAAGGAUCUAUGGCUCAACCUACAAGGUCAAGGUGGCUCUAAAUGGAUAAGGGUGGACUUUAAAAUAUCCCUAGCAGAAGCGAUCAUACCCUCCGGCGAUACGCAACCCUCUGCACGCCUCCGAAGAGACGGGGCGCUUCCAUGCAAGGUGGUCAUCACCUCCACACAUGCACUACCUCGCAUUCCAGGGGGUUUCCUAUGGUGAAACCUCUCAAACUCUCAACACUCAAUAGUCUACUAGCGUGCACAGUGAUGGUGUGGGUGCAUCCGAAACCCUAAGAAGCUAAAGCAGGAUAUGAAACACACUGGCCACAUAAAUAUCCAUGAAACCUAGCUCCGGGCUAUACAGGUCUUCAAUGAUCGGACUCCAAUCGACAUCAAAGUGUCGCUCUCCUCCAGAANNNNNNNNNNNNNNNNNNNNNNNNNNNNNNNNNNNNNNNNNNNNNNNNNNNNNNNNNNNNNNNNNNNNNNNNNNNNNNNNNNNNNNNNNNNNNNNNNNNNAGGCAUGUCAAGAAUGGCUCUAAUCUUGUCCGGAUCCACCUCUAUGCCUCGCUCACUGACUAUGUAUCCCAAGAGUUUCCCAGAAGUCACUCCAAAAGUGCACUUCUUGGGAUUCAGUCUCAAUCUGAACUGUCUGAUCCUCUCAAAGAACCUCUCAAGAGCUGCCAAGUGAUCUGAUCUAUCUCGGGAUUUCACUAUCAUGUCGUCUACAUAAACCUCGACAUCCCGAUGCAUCAUGUCAUGGAAGAGUGUGGUCGCUGCCCUCUGAUAGGUGGCUCCUGCGUUCUUCAAUCCGAAUGGCAUGACUCUAUAGCAAUAAGUACCCCACUCGGUAAUGAAGGACGUCUUCUCCAUGUCCUCUGGAGCCAUCAAGAUCUGACUGUACCCGAAAAAUCCGUCCAUAAAGGACAACAUCGAGUGACCUGCUGUACUGUCAACUAGCAUGUCGAUGUGUGGGAGAGGGAAAUCAUCCUUAGGACUGGCCUUGUUGAGAUCUCGGAAAUCAACACAGACUCUCACCUUGCCAUCCUUUUUAGGAACAGGGACGACAUUGGCCAGCCACUCCGGGUACUCGACCACUGAUAGAAACCCCACACUGAGUUGCUUCUGAAUCUCCUCUUUCACCUGCAAGCUCCAACGAGGGUGCAAUCGUCUCAACUUCUGCUUAACCGGUCUGGCAUGGGGCAGAAGUGGCAAACGAUGCUGGACGAUGGAUGGAUCAAGGCCCGGCAUGUCCUCAUAGGACCAUGCGAAAACGUCCAAGUAGGAUCUGAGCAACUGGAUGAGACUAUCUCUCUCAUCUGAGGAUAAAUCUGACCCGAUCCUCAACUCCCUAGGCUGAUCUGCGGUGCCGAAAUCAACAAUCUCUAUGUCUCCUAUAGCAGGUGAAACCCUCUGAUCAACGGGAUCCGAAUCGGAAACAGAAGAUGAGUCAUCAUCUGAGUCGUGCUGUGCAAUCUCAUCAUCAAUAUCAAAAAUCUGUGGUGUGGGUGAAGAUGGUGCAGAUAAAUCAAUAUCCCAAGAGACAGGCAGAUACUCAAAAAUGCUCAAAUCCAUAGAUGAAACAUCGGAAACAAUGUCAGAACAGGAGACGAACCCCGACAGAAUGUCAAAUGAAAGAGGUGGGUCCACAAAGUCGGACGCUCCCUCAACAAUGCCAACAUGGCUAUCAAUCAAAUCAUCAAAAACUAUAGCAUCCUCAACAAUCUCCAGAGUAGGGGUUGUCUGGAUCUCCUCAACGAUCUCGAUGAAAGACACCCCGAAAAGAUCGAAUGGUGAAGUGAGCCCAGGAUGAACUCUCUCCUCGAUCGGGCUCAAGCUCAGGGCGAGCAUCUCGUCGAUGUACUCGUCGUGUGGGACGGCUCCGUCCACUAUGUCUUCGACCCCAGCAAAGGUCCCAUGCUCAUCGGUCUCGUCCGGGAAGCAAAGCGUCAUAAGGCUCGUGCGAUCUGGAGACGAAGGAGCAAUCAACACAGAAGUCGAAGAGCCAGGAGCUCCGUCUCUCAAUCGUAACUGCUGGACAAGGCGCUGAAGCUCGACCUCCUGAGUGGUGCUAAGUCCUCCAAUGAUCAUGUCCGAACGGGUCAAUGGCUCUGAUGCCCUCACAAAAUAAUCAGAUAAGCUCCUGGUGUAUGGACGAAGAGGAUAGUAGAAAGGUGUGUGGGUCAGUCGAGCUCUCACUCUCUCCUUGCGCAAACGCGCCAUGUAGAGAUAAUCGGCCUCAGUGGGGAUGAACCCAAGUCCGAACGGUACGUCGUGAUCAGGGAUGGCUAUGAACUCGCUCGGUCCAUGCUGACGUCGACCCAACCCCAUGCCGGGUAGAUAGGACAUACUCCGCAUGAUAUCGAGCACCACUGUGCUCCCAUGCCGGUCAAAGGACAUGGCCACAAAAUCCCGGCAGAAAUCCUCUAUCUCCACAGUCUGCACCUCAUCGAAGGUGAAUCCAGUCAGAAAAAGAUCGUCAUCAGUGUGACUAAUCUCGAGCACAAGCUCGGCAGCAAUGAACAUGUCUCCCACAGACUGCACCACGACGACCUGACCAUCGUGAAUAAACUUCACCUUCUGAUGAAGGGAAGAAGGAAUGGCCCCGACUCUGUGGAUCCAUGGUCGGCCCAGAAGCAGGUUAAAGGAUGUAGGAAUCCUCAAAACCUGGAAUACAGCGACAAAAGUGGCCGGACCGAUCAGCAACUCGAUCUCCAAUGUACCCAUGACCUCCCUCCGAGUACUGUCAUAUGCGCGAACGGUCUGAGUAGUGGGACCAAAAUCAGAAGGAGCGUAUCCAAGGGCGAUGGCAGUGGCAAGAGGACAUACGUUCAGGGCCGAGCCAUUGUCCAAGAGGACAGAUGGGACUCGGCGGCCUGAACAGCCAACAGAUAUGUAGAGUGGGCGAGUGUGGUCUGAGCCCUCCGGUGGCAAGUCAUCAUCGGAAAAGACGAUACAAGUGGCUCUGCCAACCGUCAUCAUAUGAAUGAGUCCCUCGGGAGUGGUCGUGGUAUCAACUCUGAUCUGGCUCAGAGCUCGAGUCAGUGCAUCCCGAUGAGUACUGGAGGACGCUAAAAGGCUCCAGAUAGAAAUACGAGCCUGAGUGCUCUGCAACUGCCUCAAAAUCUCAUCAUUCUCUGCUCUGACCUCCUCCUGGGAUGACGUAUCCCCUAAGGGUCUAGCGGCAGCGGCUGGAGGUGGCUGUCUCACUACUCUCCCUCCCCGGAGGAUAUACUGAACGUCCGGAGUCUGAGGAUCAUCACUGUGUGGAGCCUGAACCUCCUCAACAUCUGGGAUCAGAAUGUACGGCGCCUGAACGCUAUAGCGCGUGAAUGUCAGAGGCUCGGAAGUGGCUGCCUGUACAGAUGCUGCCUCAGGAACUAAUCGGAAUGGAGCAGGAAUCUGUGGCUCUAGGGUCACCCCACUCGUCUCAUAAAUCCCAGCUGGCAUGAUAGGCUCCGGGUCUGAAUCAUCCCAACUCAACAUAUGGACAUGAUCAUCAGUCUCAUCGAAGUCCAAGAAAUGAAUACCACCGGCUGGUGGAGGAACUGCAUGUGUGGUGUGGGUCGGCAACGGGUUUGUGGUCACACUCGGCUGACCCAAGUGUACCAAACCCUGGUCUAUCAGAUCCUGAAUAGCAUGCCUCAGAGCGGUGCAUCGAUCGGUCUCAUGUCCAGGCCCCUGAUGAUAAGCACAGUGUAAGUCCAUCCUAAACUGAGCUGGAAUCGGCUGAGGUAGUGGUCGAGGAGUGAGAGCAGUCAAUAAACCAGCCUCCGUAAGCUUCCGAAGAGCCUGGCUCAACGGCAUGCCUAUCUGCGAGAACUGCCUCUGCGUCCUCAAAGCGAACGGAGCAGAAGUCUGCUGGGCUCCAGGUCGGGGAUAAGGCGCCGCAGGUCUCGCGGUGAACUGAGCAGCGUAGCAUGGCUGCCCUGUGGCUGUGUAGGAGACCGCGGGUCUCUCAAUGCCCUGAGUGGCAUAAGAAGGUAAAACCAAUGUCUGUGGCAUGUGCGUCUGAUCGUAAGCCGGCCGAGGUGCCCGUGGCCUGUACUGAUGAGAUGCGUAGGAAGAAUGAGGCUCGGAAAACUGUGGGAUCGGCUGAUGGCGUCUGAGAGGCCUCUGACUGGAUGAACUGAUAGCACCAACCUCUGUCGGUCUCGGUCCUACGAAUGGUUUCUUCCCCUUAACAUCACUAGGGGAAGAAUCUGCCCAUAAACCUCUCGUGAUGCCGUCCUCGACAUCAUACAAAGCCAUAACCAGAGACCCAAAAUCUGUGAACGGGACCCCGACCACAUGUCUGGCGAUCCCCGGCUGUAGGCUCCUCAAAACCAUCUGAAUCUGGUCUCUCUCUGAUGGUCUAUCCACUAUCUCAGCUAUCUUCCCGCGCCAGCGGGAAAUGAAAGAAGAAACGGACUCCUCUGUCCUCUGCCUCAGAGCCUCGAGCUCUCUCCUCGAUACGUCUACAACAGUGUUAAACGAAAACUGUCGUAGGAACUCCUGGGCCAAGUCAUCCCAUGUACGGCGUCUCGAGGACUCUAGAGACGCAAACCAGCGCUGAGCCGCCCCACUCAAAGAUAGGGGGAAAAGAGUGAUCAUCUGAGGCUCGUCCAGUCCAUGAGCCCUCAUCACGGUGCUAUAAAGUCUGAGGUGGAGGCGCGGACAACCAAUACCAGUGUACCUCUCAAUAUCUGGCAUCCUGAACUUAGCCGGCAAGCUGGCUACCGGCAUAGCCCCAAAAUCAUCCCAAACAACGGAUCCAUCUGACACUCUCAUCUGUCUCAUACACUGCUCGAUGCGGUUCAUGCGCGCAUGCGUGUCAUCAGCGACAACGGCCUGGGCGACUGCAAGUGGAGCGAUCCCAGAAUGCCCGUGUAAUACAUAUGGUGAUGUCUGAUGCACUGAAGGAACUGGUGGGGGUGGUGGAGGUGGCACCGGGUCAUAGGAUACCUCGUCCUGAGCGAUAUGUGGCCUGCUCUGCUGGUCAUUGAUCUCCUGCCUAAGGCCAGCCAGAGCCUCCUGGAUAGAAGCCAUGGCAGUCGUGAACUGAUCGACCGUGACAACCUGCUGAUCCAUAUCUGGUGUAUCUGAAACCCGAACUAAUCUGCCCUCUACUCUGAUCCACGAAACUAUACCCAGACUGAGAGUAAAAAUCCUGAUCCUGAAAGUACUCCUCCUCUGCUCUGAUCCACAAAAGGUAUAUCAAGACGAGGAAUCAAAGGUCCGAUCCUACAAAGCACGAAGAACGGAAUAAGGAUAUGGCUCGGGGAAUGUAUAGAAGAAAAGAUAAUCUGAACGGGAACAAGCAAAGCAUCCAAGUGAAGAUGAGCGGUCCGACCGUACUCAAAUUCGUCCUGAUCUCAGUGCACUCUCAUCUAGAGACUAAACAGAGGGAAAAUCGGAUCCAAAACUACGGCUACAGAGGCACGGAAAGCCCUCAGAUGCACCCACGUGUAGGGAGGGAAUCCUAAUCGAAGGAUCUAUGGCUCAACCUACAAGGUCAAGGUGGCUCUAAAUGGAUAAGGGUGGACUUUAAAAUAUCCCUAGCAGAAGCGAUCAUACCCUCCGGCGAUACGCAACCCUCUGCACGCCUCCGAAGAGACGGGGCGCUUCCAUGCAAGGUGGUCAUCACCUCCACACAUGCACUACCUCGCAUUCCAGGGGGUUUCCUAUGGUGAAACCUCUCAAACUCUCAACACUCAAUAGUCUACUAGCGUGCACAGUGAUGGUGUGGGUGCAUCCGAAACCCUAAGAAGCUAAAGCAGGAUAUGAAACACACUGGCCACAUAAAUAUCCAUGAAACCUAGCUCCGGGCUAUACAGGUCUUCAAUGAUCGGACUCCAAUCGACAUCAAAGUGUCGCUCUCCUCCAGAAUGCUCCCGUACAUCGAUAUAGCCCGUUGCUAGACCCUACUCCUAAUCUCUGGCUCGGUCAGAGAGCAAACACACAGAAGGUCUCACACUUGCAAUAGUGAGAACCGGGAUGAAAGGAAUGACCGAAACCAAGAGAGUUGGAGGUAAGGGGAUAUAUGUGCGGCCCACAUAGACAGGCAACAUGCAAUCAUGCAGAAGGAAGGCAGUCACGUGUCAUACAGUCAAGCAAAGUACAGGAUAUAUCACUCAUGUCCACACAAAAAGCUACAACUAUCAGGAUGAAUAGCUAUAUGAACAUCAUGCUCAAAAGACGAUCAAGAUAAUAUGCAAGUCAGAGAAAACAACACAGCAAGUCAAAUGAUAUACACCAGUGAAUCCAUGCAUGUGAGGUGAGCAGAAUAAUCAGGAAGAAACAGAAUCGCUAUACCAAGCAAAACAAGGUGAGCAACCUAUGAUAAUCGGCAUGUCAAUGUACCAAACUAAUAUAGCAAUGAAGUACAGAAAAAACGACAUCCGAAGCCCCAAAUCAAGAUGAUCAAUCAUAUCAAUGUCACAACACAAUAUCCAAGCAUACAUCAAAAACUCCCAAUGUGCAAUCAAGAGACAAGUACUCGCUGAUCGACUCAUCAAAUGCCAUGUUUGCUUCAUCUUAAGUUCAAGUUUGACCCUCUAUAGUUCCCCAGCGGAGUCGCCAUUUUGUGGACCCCGCAUUUCGAUGGCUCGAAUGCGUUCCCCACUCGAUGGCGAGCUCGAUUUUUAUUUUGAAAAAUUGAUUUUUAUUGAUUAUUUGAAAAUGACUUGGAGUCGCCACUUAUUUUUGUUUUAUUUUUAAAGGGUAAACAAAAUAAGAAAGAAAAACCCUAAGUGUGACUCCUUAUUUUGGAAAAGGUGAUCUACGAAAAACCGGAUCGGGUUCGGGGGUCAGGUUACUUAUCGGGAAGGUACGGUAAAGACCGUAGCACCCCUCUAAGUCCCUAAAGUCGGGUCUCUACUACUAAAAUGAAGCUGACAUGGCAAUCAAUGAGAAAAUCAAUGAAUACUCAAAUCAAUCAUGCACAUAUAAGUAUCAAAACAUGCGUAUAGCAAGACCAGAAUAAGGACAGAUGCGUACCUGGGCAACGAUCUUCAAUGCGCUAUCAAGAAGUGAGAUUAGUGCACAAUUAAAGGAUGGUCACAUGCAUAUCAUAGAGCAGAAUAAAUCAUGUAUGGCACCCAAAUCAACCAAACAAUCCAUCAAUCAUAAAAUCUCAUAUGUUGGGCCCCCACCAAAGCCCGAUUGAUUUUUGCAUGAAUUAAUUCCAUAAAUUCCCUUGCUUGGAAUUACGGAAUUUUAUUCUAGCUUAUUUUAAAACAUUUUGAAAAUCUGAGGAGUUGUGAAAAUUGCUUGUCAGGGAGAAAAGUGACAGCAAAUUUUUAUUAUNNNNNNNNNNNNNNNNNNNNNNNNNNNNNNNNNNNNNNNNNNNNNNNNNNNNNNNNNNNNNNNNNNNNNNNNNNNNNNNNNNNNNNNNNNNNNNNNNNNNNNNNNNNNNNNNNNNNNNNNNNNNNNNNNNNNNNNNNNNNNNNNNNNNNNNNNNNNNNNNNNNNNNNNNNNNNNNNNNNNNNNNNNNNNNNNNNNNNNNNNNNNNNNNNNNNNNNNNNNNNNNNNNNNNNNNNNNNNNNNNNNNNNNNNNNNNNNNNNNNNNNNNNNNNNNNNNNNNNNNNNNNNNNNNNNNNNNNNNNNNNNNNNNNNNNNNNNNNNNNNNNNNNNNNNNNNNNNNNNNNNNNNNNNNNNNNNNNNNNNNNNNNNNNNNNNNNNNNNNNNNNNNNNNNNNNNNNNNNNNNNNNNNNNNNNNNNNNNNNNNNNNNNNNNNNNNNNNNNNNNNNNNNNNNNNNNNNNNNNNNNNNNNNNNNNNNNNNNNNNNNNNNNNNNNNNNNNNNNNNNNNNNNNNNNNNNNNNNNNNNNNNNNNNNNNNNNNNNNNNNNNNNNNNNNNNNNNNNNNNNNNNNNNNNNNNNNNNNNNNNNNNNNNNNNNNNNNNNNNNNNNNNNNNNNNNNNNNNNNNNNNNNNNNNNNNNNNNNNNNNNNNNNNNNNNNNNNNNNNNNNNNNNNNNNNNNNNNNNNNNNNNNNNNNNNNNNNNNNNNNNNNNNNNNNNNNNNNNNNNNNNNNNNNNNNNNNNNNNNNNNNNNNNNNNNNNNNNNNNNNNNNNNNNNNNNNNNNNNNNNNNNNNNNNNNNNNNNNNNNNNNNNNNNNNNNNNNNNNNNNNNNNNNNNNNNNNNNNNNNNNNNNNNNNNNNNNNNNNNNNNNNNNNNNNNNNNNNNNNNNNNNNNNNNNNNNNNNNNNNNNNNNNNNNNNNNNNNNNNNNNNNNNNNNNNNNNNNNNNNNNNNNNNNNNNNNNNNNNNNNNNNNNNNNNNNNNNNNNNNNNNNNNNNNNNNNNNNNNNNNNNNNNNNNNNNNNNNNNNNNNNNNNNNNNNNNNNNNNNNNNNNNNNNNNNNNNNNNNNNNNNNNNNNNNNNNNNNNNNNNNNNNNNNNNNNNNNNNNNNNNNNNNNNNNNNNNNNNNNNNNNNNNNNNNNNNNNNNNNNNNNNNNNNNNNNNNNNNNNNNNNNNNNNNNAGAAAGGUGAAUAAAUAUGGUGGGGGAGUAGACUGUUGACAAUGGGUAUGUAUGAGUCAUAUGCCUGGGGGUAUGGUGAGAGAUGAACUGCAAGUGAUGGGCAUGAUGUGGUGUGGGGUGGAUUAGUGGGAUGACAGUAUACAAAGAGAGCGUGGUGUAGAGAGAGAAUGCAAGAUGAUGAGUGCAUGUGUAGAUAUGGGUGUGGGCAUGGUGGUAUGAAGCGUGUGGUGGAUGAUGGACUGAAGGUGAUGGGCAUGACAAUGGGCAUGAACAGGGAUGGAGUCAUGUGGGCACGAGACGAGCAUGAGCGCGGAAUGAGUGUGAUGCAACCAUGCAUGGUAUGAAAAGGGUUUGGUGUAGUGAGAGAAAGUAGAUUAUUGGUGAUGGGUAUGAAUAAUGGCCGGGUUUGCAUGGUCCAUGCACUUGGAUGGGUGAGUUUGGGGAUGCUAGCAGAAGCCUUGGAAGGAAUACGGGCAGCCAUGCACGCGUGGGGUUUCAUGGAUAUCGAGUCAGGGUAUUUUGUUGGAGGAAGAGAGCAUGGGUCUGCACAAUAUGGGGAUUGGGAUCUCCUACGGACUCCCUAGCUAAUGGAGUUGUGAAAGGGAGACCAUCUGCUUUUCCGAUACCAGAUUAUGGGAAGUUCAGUGAUGGCUUCUCAAAAAAUAUUGGUCCACCUUGAUGUUAACAAACCACCCUUGGGCAAUUUAGCAAUCCCUUCAUUCUCAGAAGACUCCGUCUCCAACAGACCAUAAUGAUACUGAACUAAUCCAUGUGAAACGGACAAGAAAGGCUCUGCUCGUGAAUGUUCCCUGGCAUAACCUCCUCUAGAAUGUCAUCAGACGAAACAAAACUAGAGAACCAGGUAUCUGGAACAAGUAAGUCUUCUCUCUGGGCCAAACCCUCAACAAGCCUGUUGCAUUUCUCUGAUUUCUCCCACUGUUCUGCCAAAGUCUUUAUUUAUAAUAUAAUGGUUUAGAAAUAUCCUCCAUUAAUCACUCUACCUUUGACCAACCCUGGUUAAGGAUCCAUACAUCAAAUCUGAUUACCACUUCUGGCCCACAACCGCUCGAGUUGAUAAUGAUUUUCCUCCAUAUCUACUCCUGUUCAUCUUCAUAAAAUUCCUUGGAAUCAUCAGUAUACUCACUGCAAUCUGUGGUAAAGACCACCACAUCCUCAUCGACAUCUUACUUUUUUCCUCUACGAAUGGCGCCUCACACUACUCACUAUUCUUUGGAUCUGAACCACUUUUUUUUUUUUUUUGUUUUUUCAAAUAUUGGAUGUCAAGCCUCAACAGCAUAUAGUAGUCAAUUUGUACCAUCCCCAAUGUAUGGUAUGCAUGAUGCCCCGUGCUCAAAUUGCUCAAAAAGAACAGAGGAAUAUAGCCAAGAAAACAGGGCAUAGGAGAAAGGAACAAAAAAUAAAUCAAGGGCAACUGCAUUUCAGGACAUAUCAAUGUGUUCCCACUGGUGGAUGAAAGAUAUGAACAAAUUCAAAACAAAAAAUACGCCACAUAUGUUCAGGUGCCUAGCAACAAAAUAUGAUGCAAGUCCUCACCCAUUUUCUUAAACCAGGUUAAUGAAACAGCGAAAGGAUUAACAUCACAGAUGGAAACAUGACAAAUACAAACAACAUAUACACCCAGUGAAAUGAUAUUCAGAAUAAUGAAAUCAUACGGCUAAAUAUAAGCAUACCUGAAUGUGAUAGAUGUCCUACCCAGCUUUUCUUACUUUCUCUCUGUUUUCCUUGCCUUUCUAGCUCCGACAAUCGAAUCACCUUCUCUCUUACUCUUCUUUUCUCCCGCUUGAAAAACCUCCCUCUGGAAAUAUAUCUCUCCCCCAGCCAGACGACACCCACCUGCCUUGCAGUUGCAAGCCUCCAUUACCUUCAGAUUUUUCUGCCACCUUCCUCUUCUAGGCCCAUUUCCCCACUACUCUGCACCACUACCUUGCUAAUAACAGAAGACGCUCCUCAAUACAACGGCCUGCAGAUCCUCAUGCCACCUGUCAACCUUCCAUUGGCACUUCAAAAACAACAUACGAUUCUGCAUUGCCCUCUCAAAAGGAGACACGUGAUUGAGCAAGGCUCUUCCACGUGGCCAAAACGGGUAGCUGCAUGAAAGGCCCCAAAUGGGGGUCUACAGCAGGAUAUACUUUUUCGUCAAUGUGUGCCUGAAUGACCUAAAACUAGUCCCAAUUAAUGAUAUGACAUUGUAUUUGCUAUUCUCAUCAACCAAGAAUACACCCGAAAAUAUAAGAUCUUGAUUAUUUAAUAAGCAUGUAAGGUAUACACAAAAUAUAGGAAAAUAAUUUAAGUACAUUACUAUAUACCUUAUAAGAAGAUCUUGAUUAUUUAAUAAUCAUGUAAGGUCUACACAAAAUAUAGGAAAAUAAUUUCAAUAGAUUACUAUAUACCUUAAUGCAAUCCCAUAAUUUCUCCUUCAAUUCCACAGGCAUUACUCUCCAAUCAAUAUGAUAUACUGGCACCAUGGUUUGUGUUAGCACCCCCAAGUAUGAUACAAGUUGUACAUAUCCCUCACCCACUCCCUCACCAUCAUCAUUAUAUUGAAUGUCAAUUUUCACUCAUUCACUUCUCUUUUUAGCAAUUUCAGGUUUUACAGUUGGGCCUCUAAACAUUUUUGGUGAAGUAAUCUUCUGUUUUCCUUCCUUUCCAUCCAUCUACAUGACAAUCAAAAGAAUAUGAUCAAUCUCAUAAUACAUAUAUAUAUAUAUCUUACAUUCAAAAGUAAAGCAUGAUAUUUUAAUAGUUACCUACUCUUUAUCUCUUCUUGGUUGAGACAUCUGUAAAGAUGUUGCACUUUUUGGCCAAGUUCCAAAUAAUUAAGAAUUAUGCACUACUAAACAACACUUGAAAAUGUAUCUCAACUAAAUCUAAAGAAAUUAGUUACAAAAUGAUUUCAUAAGUAGGAAUAAAUCAUUGUUGUACAAAACUUGCAAUACAUGAAAAUUAAUCUUAAAUCUCAAUAUAUAUAAAUAUGAUACUAACUGAAUUUAUUUAAAAUAGCUUAGCAAGUAUAUAAUAGUAAAAAUAUAUUUGAGAAUAAUAAAAUAAAAACAUAACAUUGUUGAGCAUCACAUUGUAGAUUAACAAUAACUCAAAAAUCACAUAAUACACUUAGUAGUCACAAAGCAUAACCCCAAAAAACAAAAACAAAAAACAAGAAAAUUGUAGACCCUCAAUUUUGUCCCUUUAGCACAUGUCUUUAAGUUCACUUCCAAUGCUCCAUAGUAAUUCCUUGGUGGCCCAUUGCUACUCAUACUACUUACCUUUUUUUUAGCCACCUUGGAGACCUUGGUUGAGGGGUUUAUCCAACUCCACAUUAUGACCUUGGCAGCCCUAAUUUAGACUUAGCCACUUUCCUGAACGCCUUAGGCCCACUUAGGUACACUUGGCCCACUAGGCGUCACCUUAAGCCCACUUAAGCACUUUUAAACCCAUUUUUUAUAUGACUUGCAUGAUUGCAUGGCCUACAUGACUUGUGUGGCUUAUAUGGAUUUCUUUAUUAUUUAAUUUCAUUUUAUUUUAUUUUAUUAUAAGUUUUCUUGGCUUUUUGGGCAUGAGGAAAGGGUCUGUCAUCUAUUUUGAAGGAGAAUCAACAGAAUUUUGAAAAAGAGGAGAUUUUGUUUUUAUAGGGAUAGCACAUAUAUUAUUUUCAUGGGGAAAUCGGUUACAAAAGGGAAAAAACUAAGAAAGGAAAGUGGAUUUCCUUUUUGGAUCACAAAAGUUUUUUUGGAGGGAGAUUUUUUUAUUGUCUUUGUAGAGAGACACAAAAAGGAAAAAAGGAGGGGAUUUUCCUCUAACAUAUUUGGGGGGGUUCUUUGGGAAGGCUGAUCUACGCAAAAAAUGAGAGGAAAAAAAAGCCACAGAUUAAGGGGGAAGGGACUCACGGAUUUGGAGGAGGAUUUUCUCCAUGGAUGAAGGGGGAAGGGACUCCCGGAGGAUUUUCUCCAUGGAUGAAGAGGGAAGGGACUCACAGAUUUGAUGAGGAGGAUUUUCUCCAUGGAUGGAGGGGAUGGGUAGCAGAAGAUGAGAGGCUGCUUCGAUAGUGUGAAUUUUUCUGGAAAGGGCCAAGGACCAUAGGAGAGGAUCAGGGACAGAGGCACUAUUACUUUGAGAAGCCCAUGAGUUCUUGAAGUCUCCAACAUAUCCCUUGAGGUAAGCUCUUUAGUGUGAAAUCCAAUUUAUUUUAUUUUCUCUGUUUCUUUUCCUCUUUCUUCUAUUGUCAUUAAGAUUUGCUACUGUUGAUUUUAAGUGUUUCAUAAAUUUGCCUGACUUCUGAUCCCAUUGUUGCUUCUUUGUUUGUGUUCAAGAAUCGUUCAAUUCUUCUUUGUGAUAUUUCAAAACCCUUUUAUUCCACCUGCAUUUAAGCCCACCGAUUCAGACAUGAAGUGUGGCUUUUUGAUAGUUCUUAUUUUCUUCAUUUAUGUUCUUUCUUUCUUUAUUAUUUUUUUGGCUAUUUUCUCCUUGCUCUUGGUGUUUGCACAUUCUUGGGCAUGGGACUACACACUUGGACGUCAAACCAUGGGAUGAUGAAACUGACAUGAAAGAGCUUGAGGCAACAUUAAUCAAAUCAAGAUUCGUGGCAAGACUAUGGCUGCUAUAUUGAGUUAGAUGUUUUCCAUAUGGGUUUGGUUCUCUUUCAUGAAUUUGCGGUUGGUUUAAAGUCUCCAAUUUUCUAUAUGGGAGAAGCAAUAUUAAGUAUUUUGGAUAUCUAAGUUUGUCUCUACUUCUGCAUUGAUUAUAUGUUGUGAGCAUGGUGGGUUUGUGAGGAAGGAAAUGUGUAUCAUUGGGGAAUUUUAAUCUUCAUAGAAUUACCACCACAGAGGACUACAGUGGACUAGGACAUGGUUAUAAAGAAUCCAGGCUAGUUCCCCAGUCUGUAAUUGCAUUGAUCAAUGAUAUUUUUGUCCAGUGGUUCAGUCAUCAGUAGUCACAAUUGCUUGUCCAAUGGUUCAGUCAUCAGUAGUCACGGCCGCUAAAAGGGGGAGGUUAACAACCAAAAAAAAAGAAGUGGCAAUUCCUGAACUAGAGCCUCCGAGAUGGUUUGUUAUAGACCUGCACUAUGUGAACUGGGGAACUGUUGUCUUUCUUCUGUUUAGUGUGGAAGUUGUACUACUUAAGCAAAUGAGAAAAAAGGGGUUUGAUAAUGGGUGUAUGGAAUGCUCCUACAUCGGUAAGAAUAUUUCAGGGUCUUCUCUCGCUGCUGAUGUUCUGGACUAAGGCAAGGAAGAGUGUUUUCUCAUCUAUGAUACUAUUCCCAAUGGAAGCUUGCUGCAAUAUCUGGAUGUGAUUGAUAACAAUGGGAAGGUCCUUGAAUAGUCUACUAGAGUUUCUAUCAUCAACGACAUUGCCAAAGGUGCCAGGUAUUUACAUGAGAAGAAAGUGAUUUAUCAAACACAACAUGGGCCCUACAAAUACUAGAAUGAAGAUGCAUCCAGAAUGAAGACCUCCUAGAAUCCAUACAAUGUUCCAUUGAAACAGUCGAAGUCCACUCCUUCAUUGAUGUUGGUAACACAACACGCAAAGCCUGUACUCAAGCUUCUCUAGUCUCUCCUCAAAUCCUAAUGCCCAACCUCAGUGGCUUAAUACAUCUGAAACUGAUGCCAAACGGAUCCCUGAUGAAGGAAAUUAUGGAUACAUACAAAAGAUUUAAGAAUCAGCUUCAUCAGUACAAGCCCCAGAAGCAGUUUGCUGGAAAUGUACUUAAGCUCCAUGAGCAGACCCGUAAGUUGCAGUCGUGUCUUUGAUCGAGUUAGUAAGCUGCUCUCCCUCAAGGUUCGAACCAGAUAAAGGCAACUGGAGUUACUGCUGGUUACACUUUAACUUCUUCAUGGCCUAUACAGUUGGAAUUGCAGAUGAUAUGCAAGUGCUCAUAUUGAUGGUAUCGCUACAAAAUACUCCGAAAUUGUCGAAACAAAAGUUAUUCAAGCAAAGAUGGCAAACUGCAAUGAGAGUCUAUUGAAGAUCUCAGAGAUGAGAGGUUUGCUGAGUUCAAUAAAGAUGGCAAGUAACUUGAUGCCGAUGUUCACCUCAAGCACGUUCCGCGAUGGUCAUGCUGCUGCAUAUGUAGUGAUUUUGAUGGAAGACAGUAAGCCCAUUGGUGAGAAAUCGUUUUAUAACUUCCCAGAAUGCUUGGGAAGCAUCCCUGCUGUUUAAAUGAACUUCCCGAGAAGUGCUUGUGUAACUUGCUAAGCUGGCUACCUGAGUUGAACCACUGUGAUAUCAGUGGGGGAAAGAAACAACAAAGGCUCAACGAAGAGAUUGUACCCCGGGAGUUCAGAACUGGUGGUUAUGCGUGACGUUAUUCGGGAUUUAUAAUCGAAAAGGCUUCCUACAUGGCCAGAAUACAGAGGAUGAUUGGUUUGGGAUUGAAAAGAAGAUGAUCAUUAUUCAUCAGCUUCAUCCAAUUUUGGAGACUUUCAUGACAAGAUUGUGGGUUGAAGCUGGUCAUGUCUUUUCUUCAAAACAAAUCUUGUUGCCUGCCAAAAGAGGGCUCAUUUCUCAUGUCAUAAAAAAUGCUCAUGUCCUUGGAGAAAUUUGUGAGAUAAAAUGCGAUUAUAGUUUGCUAGCUAAAACUCAUUUCCAAGGUGCCAAUUAAAUCAACUGCCAAAAAGUUCACAGAGCACUACUCUUUGGGAUUUCAAUUCCUAGUGAUAUUGGAUAUAGGGAGUUUGUUUGUGAUAUUUUGUUCGAGAUAGAGUCUAAAAACGCAGGUUCUUCUGACAUGAAAGCCAUUGAAAACUGACGUGAGCCACCGAACAUUUCUGCUCAUGACAAGAAGAGUUGUAGGAAAAGUUGGCCAGGUUGUCUGAUGACCAUUGAUGUCCAAUCAGUUCAACAUUUUCGGCUACAGUAGCACCAGUUGUGAGUGGCUUUCUCAAGACAUCGUUCCUGAUUCCUGAAAGCAUUUCAGAUCAGUAUGAGACUUCAAGAUGGAAAUUAAAGAAUUUCCCAUGACUGCCAGAUUCGGUAGUUUGAUUUGAACAGAAUGGCGUCUCGUGAUUUUUGGAAUCAUGCAAACGAAUACACCCAACAUUGCAAAUGGAUCAAUUUCCUAUGACCUGGAAUCUCAACUAACUCUCUGGGUUAGAGAAUUCCAGUCGUAGCCAUGUCAUGAUACUACAAGACACCAGAAUUUAAAUUCAAGCAGCCAUACAAGGUUUCUUCCAAGCUGAUAGCACCACCUAGCACAGGUUUUGAUACCUUAACCUGUGGACAGAGUUUGCUUUUGGGAACAUUCCAUAUACUCGAAAUGGCAUCAAUGUCUUCUAAGUCACUACUUUUGGAUCAGUAUUUAGAGCUAGAUCUUAAUAUCGUCAUGCUAAAUUGUUGCUUUUGGUUUCAGAGACAUGAAUUGCUUGGAUAAUGCAUCCGGCUUGGCAAUUAUAAUUGUAAUGUCAGUCAUCACCUGCCUAAUGUCUCUAGUUACUGGAUUGUGUUGGCACCAGAACAUCUCCUCUAUAAUUGGCUUCAUAUUCUUCUCUGGCGUAAUUGAAGCUUUCUACUUCUUGGCUUUUCUCAUCAAGUUCCUGGAAGGAGCAUGGAUUUCUAAGCCACUCCUGAACAUGCAUAUAGGAAUGGAUGACGAGUCCAAUAAUCGUGACAUGGUGAAUUCUAGUUUAGAAAUCCCUAAUGCAGGUGAUGGUCAUGCUAAUGCCUUUCAUGCUAGCGUUGAUAUUGAUAUGAAUGGUGCCAGCGCUGAAGAUCAAACUGAGUAAAUUGGGUCUACUGCUGAAUAUGGUACGGAUGAACGACAAUCAAGGCAAAACACUAGUUUUCUUGCUACUGAGAUCCACUACUCAUCAAAAAAACCUAUCCCAAAUCAGUCCAACAAAAGGUGGGAUCUCUUUUUCCUUAAUUUUGCCUUUUUUUAAUAGGCAAAAUGAGCAUAAACAAUACUUUAUAAGGUGUCAAUGAAAAUAAACGUUCUUUGCCAUCUCAAAACCUUUUUAUAAGAUGAAAAUUAAUGUAUCCAUCUAACCUCUUAAGUUGUUCCUUCAUUGCAGGAUCUAAAUCAUCAUCAAUAUCUCCAUCUUCCAAACUAUGAUUAUGGUGGUUUUGAAAAGUGUGAACCUGAACAAUGUUCGAUUCCCCAAUUGCAUGAGCUAUGACUUUCCAAGGACAUUCAUUAACUGUGCAAACAACUGUCAUGUGUUUCCUACUAUUCCUCUUGAAGCAAUAACGGAAUCUACCAGUAAUUAACAUCAAAUAAACGGCAUCACGGAACUCGACAGCAUUGGGGAAGGUAUGUCCACUACCCAUAAUGGAAUUUUCAAACCGCCUUGAGUCACGUUCGAGUAUAUUUGAUUCCGCACAUCUUUGGGAAAACCCAUAUGACUCAAUUGUAAGAGAGUUAUUACAGAUAUCAAUUGGCGGAUCACCACCGGAGGAAAGUAGGUGUGCCAAAUUCGAACCAACAAUAGGAGUAGGGGCACUACAAAUUUAAAAAAAAAAAAAAUAUAUAUAUAUAUAUAUAUAUAUAUUCAUCUGUCUACAUAUAUUUCAAAAGUUGAUAGACAAAGUGAAUGUGAUGUUGGUAAGGCUAUAAGUACCUAUUCGAUACUAUACAGGCUUCAACAACUUCACUUGAUGAUGAGACAUAGGCUCGACAAAACAUUUCGUUGAAUUGAAUAGUGCAGGCAUGUGAUAUUCUAUAUAGGAUUGGUGAAUAGUCUCAUAGUCUAAGAUCAUGUUUGGUAGAGAGACAAAUGGAACACAGAUUUAUGAGAGGACAAGAUUGAAAGUUUGCAUAAAGCAAUUCUCUAAAUUAAGGACAUUUUGAAUAGUUCACUAGGAGAUUACAAGAGGAAAGAGAGAAGUAUGGCUUACAAGCCCACCAUGCUUAUCUCGAUGUAUUUGGAAGUGAAGCAAUAAAAGAAUCUUUGAUGAUGUUGAUCAAUCAGAAUUGUAGCUGAACAAUGUUUUCCUAAAUUUUUUGUUGAAUGGUCUGCUAGAUCAAUAGGAAAUAGAAGCCUUUCUUUUGUAGAUUUCAUUUGAUAUUUCAGCUAGUACUUUAAGGAUCAAGGAGUUUUAUUUUCCCCCUUUUUUUUCUUUUAAAAUCCUUAUGAACAUCACAAGUACAAAGGAAGUGCCCUCUUCUUAGCAAUUGUUUCACAACAUUUUACGUAUCAAAACAUUUUUUUUCAUUCUCCAAAAUGCCAAAAAAAUAAUGUCCAAAACAUUGAUUUUUAUUUUUUUAUUAAUCAAUUAAAUAUAAUUUAAAAUAAAAUAAUUAGAAUUAUAUUUUUUUAAUGAUGAACCUUAACUAAUUUAAAUUAAAUAUAUAUUAUCAAAGAGUACCAUAGUCCAAUGGUAGCAGGGAUUGAACCCAAGCCACAAUUUUGAUUUAAUAAAAAUUAAGAUGGCUAAUUAAUAAUUAAUAAUUAUUUAUAUGGAGCAAAUUGUUCUCAUGAUUUGUUUCCCCUUUUGUUUUUUUUAUCAUACUAAAUCUAAAGCUCAAAAGGGUCAUCCACUUCUCUCACUCGGGCAUCAAGGAGCCCUUUUCUGAAGUUGCCCUCCAAACGAGAGAAUCCCUAAAAAGGCCCUAUUUUCCUCUGCAACUCUCAAUCCUUGUAGGUACUAAUCUAAUCACAUUAUUAAUUUUUUUUUAAACCCUCAUUUGAUUCCCAAGAAAAUCCAUCCCCCAUUUGAUUUCCGGGAAAAUUCAUCCUUGUUUGAUUUUCGAGAAAAUCCAUGCAAAACCCCAAGGAAAACAAAAAAAAAAUGCUUUUUUUUCCUCCCUAUGUUUUCUAGAUCUGUUCUAGGGGUCUCUUUGCUUUUGUGCCAUUGGGUUUAAAUUUCACAAACCCUAAAUCCACGAUUUUUGAGCUAGGUUGAAAAAUAUAACCUUUGCCUGCAAAUCGUGAUCAGAUUACCAAAUAGCAUCUUAUGUUUUUUUUUAUAUAUAAAAAAAAAAUUUGGAUAGAUUUUGCAUCAUGCAUGGGCUAUGCUGGUAGGAAAUAUCGGGAAAUUUCCCGAAAAUACGAUAAAAAAUACCGAUAAAUACCAAAAUAUUUCUCGAUAUUUCAAACACUAGUGGUUCUCAAAUUUUUUUUCCUCAAUGAUUCCCCACAAACAACCGUCUUGUAAACAUAAAUAUUUAAGAUAUAACAAAAAAAAAUCCCCAAAUAUUCUAAAUCACGGGGUCGUGAACAAUGCAAAACAACCUUCAGCCCAAAUAUUUUCUCAACAGCCAAACAAAUCCUUAAAUGGAAAACUCACAUGCGAUUAAUCCAAAAGAAAGAGGAAACUCCACUUCGGUUUCCAGAAACCUGAAAAAUAUUCACCUUUGAUGAAGAAAUAUGAAGAUAUGACUCAACUUUGGCUUCGUUGAAGGUUUUUGGAAGAUGGCUAUUGGGUUUGGGUGGUCAGCUCGUGAAGAGAGACACUAGGGUUAGGCCAAAAUGAGACGAAAUGAGAGGAAGUGAAGAGUCAUGAAAAUGCAGAGCAAACGAGCCAUGAAAAUGUAGAUUGGGUUAGGGCAAAAUGAGAGGAAGUGACAGAGAGUUUCCCCAAAUUUCAAAGUUUAUCGAGUCGGGUGUUCUAUGGGUUUUGCAAAUUUGAUAACUUUUAAGUUUUUGAUUUUCGUGUUUAUUAAAGGCACAACUCUCGGGUGACAUGGACACGAGUGAUGGUUGCUGAUAGGGAUGCAUGGAGGGGUAAUUUCGAAAAUCCAAUUAUAAAUUGUAUAUAAUGCAUGAAAAGGAAAAAAUUUCUUGAAAUAGUGGACAUAUCUUGGGUUAUGCAAACUUGGGUUUUGAAAACAAUAUUAUUAGGAAAUGGGGCUCUCGAAACACAACUUUCCCUAUUUUUUAUAUUCCAAAUAUAAUAGUUCAUGUUAAUUAAACUAAUUAAAUAAUUUAAUUAAGUUAAUUUUUUGAAUCUAAAUCUAACGAGAUUGAAAUUAACUAGUUGAAUCUAAUUCUUACUAGUUUGAAUGUGAAAAUAAAAUUAAAUAAUCAUCUAAAAUAUAACAUAUCCAUCUAUAAUUAAAUAAUCAAAUUAACCUAAGCUUAUUCAAUAAAAAUAUACAAAUUAAUUACAAUUGAAUGUAAAAAUAAUAUUAAAUCAUCCAUAUUGAAAAUAUACUAAUUAAUUGAAAAUACAUUAAUUAAUUACAAUUGAAAACAAAAUUAAUUACAAUUUAAAACAAACAUACCUUAAAAUAAUUGAAUAAUUGAGCAACCUUAGAAAAUUUUUGAGCAAUAAGAGAUCAAAUAAAGAAUGAAAUUAAAUGUGGAUGAAAUGGAUGCAAAAUGAGUUAUUUAUAGGAAAAUUUUGGGCCAAAAUAGCUAUUGAUAGAUGAUUUCACUAUUGAAAAACAGUUUUGGCCGUUGGAUCAAAAUCAGGGCGACAUAUGACCAUUGGAUCAUGAAAUAACCAUUGGAAUAUCAUCCCAACGUUGGACCAAACCCAAAUUCAAUCUGGGGAGUUAGAUCAAUGCAGGCAUGAUGUAGGCCGUUAGAUCACGCUGAAAAGAGGAGGCAAAUUUUCUUUAAAAAAUCGACGAUUUAUCACCGAUAUAUAGACGUUUUUCCAACAUCAGUGAUGAUUGAUUGAUAAAACCGUCAAUUUAUCGCUGAUCAGCGAUAUAUCGACUAGAUUUUGGCAAUUUUUUGUUUUUUUGCCUCUUCGAUAAAUCCCCACAAAAUAUCGUGUUGAAACUCUCCGAUACACGAUAUAUCGAUGACAUACCGCCGAUAUAUCUUUGUGUUCCUAGUGAGGUUGAUGAUUUACUAAUAUGUUUCAAGUGCACAAUGAGGGAUUAAUUCUUAUUGCACACUAGGGCAUAGCCAUUUUAAAUAUCUUUAUCAAAGUUAGUGGUUUGAUUUUUAGAGAACACUUCUUAUUUGUUGAUAUUGCUAUCACCUACAAAGUAUGGUUUUAUACAUCCCUAAUUCGAAACAACAACUAUCCAUUGCAUUUGAGCAAGGUGGAGAUGUUGUUGGUUAUUAUUGCAUGCUAGGGCAUAGCCAUCAUCAUGGUUUUCUAAUCAAGUUAAUGAUGCAUUGACAUUAUGACGGAUUGAUCUAGUUUGGUUGUCUUCAUAGUUUAUUUUUGUCAAUGAAUGGCAUUGUCAUGGAUGAUUUAAAUACAUUAAUUCGAACACAUUCAUUUUGAAAACAAUCCAUGAACACAUUCCAAAAAAAGAAAAAGGGUAUCUAGGGAAUGGAUCAAUGCAUGUAUACUGAUUAUGUUCUAUAUCAUUGCACUGAGAAUAAUGAAUAGGUCUCUUAUGACUGCAUUAUGAUUCGAUAAGACAUUGUCAUAGUCUCCUAAUAGAUGUUUUACUUUAGGGCUUUAAGAGAAGGAAAUGAUCAAGCUUCUUUAUCAUGCAUGCAUGCUCUCAUCAACACAAAGUUGAGGCAUGUCAUUCAUCAAUAUAGAUCAGAAUGAGCCUAAAUAAAUCAAAGUUCUAAGUGGAAAAUGUUCAAUAUAGGGUUAUACAUCUAAGUGUAACAUGAUCGAAUUUUAUUCAAAUGUAUAAACUAUAAAUGAUUACAUACCUUUUUUUUUUUCCGAAUUCGCUCAUACCAUUAAGAUUUUUCAUCCACAAGAUACAACCUAUAUUGCAAAAAAUUAAAAAUUAAAAUAAAAGUGAAAAAAAAUUGUAUUAGAAUAUUAAGAAAACUCUACUUAUAAAUAUAAAAGAAUCCAAUUGUUUAAUAUUAAAAAAUCUCAAAUUUAAAAUCUAAAUAUUGAGGGUAAUUUUCUAUUUUUCCAUCUCAUAAUGAAUGAAACUCUAAUAUCUCCCUGCUAACUUACUAAAAGGGUCAUUAUCAACAUUUUUCACCUUAGAGCGAAUGUAAAAUUAUAAAAUUAUUAUCUGAGAACACCCACUUUACAAAUUAGAGAAAAAAACCUAAAAUAAAAAGGAAAAGUAUACCAUAAGGAAUAUUUAUUUCAAGCUCUUUAAAGUACUGAGAGCACCCAUUUUACAAAAUUGUACUCAAGUCAUGUAACAUUUGAAUCCAACUCAUUGAAACUCAUCAUUUUGUCUCAAAAAAGGUUUUUCAUUUUUUUAUUAUUAAAAAAAACCAUAAGCAGCUGAUUGUAUUCAAGUAAUUCAAUGGAUAGCCCUCAAAGGUAGGCAUCAAUUUAUCAGACAUUCAAACUAAACCACGGCAUCAAAAGAUUAUAACGAUAAGAAUAUAUAUACCUCCAGGCGAAGGAGCCAUUGAUGCUAUUAAAAGUUUGUUCUUCAAAAGAGCUUUAAGAAGUGAUCGAUUGUUCUUCAAGAGAGCUUCCAAAGAGCUUAGGGGGCUUUUUCUGUAUCCAAUUUGUUGAUCUCACUCUCAACCAACAGUAAAAGAAUAAACCUAAUCAGGAAAGAUUAAAGCUAACCAUAAAAGAACCAAACUCACCUCAGUAUAUAUGAGUUGGAUUUUUUUCAAGAGACAAUGAAAUAGAGAUGCUUCUGAGAGGAGAGGGUGAGGACAUGCAAAUGAGGAUUUGUGUGAAGAAAGAAUCGUUUACUUUCCAAAGGGACAUGCGGGCUUCUUCACUAGGAGGAUUUAAGUCAACUGGGAAUGGAUUUAAACAGCUCCAUGGUAACAAAAAUAAAUAAAAAAAUAAAGAAAAAUGUGUCCUCCAACAGUUUAUUGAUACAGUAAAGUGGACAUAUUACACUACCAUUAUGAGAAAUGACACAUUUGAAGGAGAGAGUCUUUUGAUAUAAUUGAGGCAUUAAAGUUUAAGCACUCUAUCUAACUUAUAAUCUUUAUAAAAAAGAAUUUCACGGAGACCAACUCAAAUGUAUAAAUAGCUUAUACAUUCCAACAUAAAGCAACAGCUGAUGGGAAACUGUGACUUCAAGGAGUUUUGGGCUGAAAGAAGGGGAAAGUCCCAUUAUGGUUUUUAGUCGAAUAAACAUGUUGACAGAUUCACACAAAAUCGGGCGGUUCGUCUGAUUCGACGGUCUAACUCUCUGGUUAGAUGAUUCAAUGGCGAUUCAAACUCAGAACAGUCCAUUCCGGCGAAUCAGACCGAAGGUCGGACCGAUUUUAAAACUAUGCAUUCACCAACGAAUCUGAGAAAAUCAAAAUUAAUUUUUACAAGCCGAAUUCAUAAGAAGACGAGAAAGGGAGUCAUCUCUGAACAGUAGACACAGAAGAACUUUAUUGAAAUUGGUGUUGCUUUUUGAAAGAGACGAAGUCGGCCAGCUACUUGGAAAGUUUGACUGGACAAGACUUUGAGUUGAUUUGAUGGGAGGUGGAGCAGUUUAUUGGGACUUCAAAAAUAUUUUUCUCUUCCAACCGUCCUUAGAUUUAAAAUAUUUUUUAUCAAAAUAUUUAUUUAGAAUUUUUUUCUUAAUGGAAUCACUUAUUAAAUACUUAAAAAAAAUUAAUAAAAUUUCCUUAAAAGUUUAAACAUCAUAAGAUAUUUAAAUUUUUGAAUGACCAUGUUUCGUAUUUAUGCCCAUAAUAAUUUCAUAUUAAAUUAAAAUAAAAUAUUUUUAUUUUAGUUAUUAAAUAAUAAAUGAUAUUUAAAUUGAAUUUAUAAUUAAAUGAUUAGUAUCAAAUUUAUUUCUUUUUAAGAUAAACAAAACAAACUCUACUAAUACUAAUAGUAUUUUGAUCAAACCUGAAGCAAUGGUCAUUGUAAGUAUAUUUCCCACCAAAAUAAUAUAAAAGUAAACAAUAAUACCCUUAUUAACUAAGGACAAAAUAAAUUGGAGUUCAACUAUUUUUUUAUUUUAUCCAAAUUUACCAAAAGACAUAAUAACUCCAUUUUUUUUUCGAAUUUAAAGAUUCAAAUAUGACAAAUAUAUAAGAAUUUAUAUAAUUUAAAAUAAGAUAUAAAAAACAAUUUUUAAAAUUUUCUAUUAAUUUUUUUUACCUCAAAUAAGCACUUAAUUUUUUUUUAGAGCAUUUACUAUAAAAGAAUUUAAUUCUCACCUAAAUAGAAGUAAAAAAUAAUUAUUAUUAUUAUAAAUUAUUUAUCUAAAAUUAUAGUAUGAAAAUCUUAAUAAUUUUUUAUAUUGAUAUUAUUAUUUUAAAUUUUUAUUAUUAUUAUUAUUAUUAUUAUUAUUAUUAUUAUUAUUAUUAAUUUUAAUUCAAUUAAUUAAUUUAUAAAUUCCUAACUUAUGUGAAACUUUUAUUUUCUAAAUUUAUUUUUACGAAUCUUCUAUUUUCUUUAUUUAAUUAAACUAAAUUUCUUGGAAACCUAUUUCUUUUAUUAGUAGAACUAAACUUAUUACUAUUAUAAAUUUUAUUACAAUCAUUCAACAUGCUUAAUCCUAUUAGUAUUUUUAUUAUUCUUUAUUAUUACUAUUUCUAACACAUUCUUACUCACGCACAUUAUCAUGUAUCAAUCACUUUCCAUCCACUGUAAUUACGUAUCUCUUUCACUUUUCCUAUAGCUAUUUUUUUUUCUUUUUACUUUUUUUUUCUUAUUUUCAUAUUAAAUCCACCGCCAUUUUUUUGUCUAAACACCUACAAGCACGCGCAGAGUGGCCACCCAACCCAACUCAUUCCUUGCAUCAUCAUAUCAUAUGCACAUAAUGCAACGUCUCCUCAGAGGAUGAUGUUAAUUGUCAGUUGUCACUCAUCAUUUCAUACUUAAAUGCCAUUACAAAUAGAAUUAGUCCAAGAUCUUAUUGAAAAUCUAGUCUCUUCUAAAAGGGAGAAUUGUGUUUUGGGUCCAGCUGAGCCCAAAAAUUAAGAUAAGGUCUAUGUAAUUGACCUAAUUAAUGAUAAGGAUAUUAGAUGUUAACAGACGAAAAGACCCUUUACUUUUUCAACUCAAAUGGUUGUAAAUUAAUGGGUUUCACAACUGGUAAACUUGAAAUGUCAUGUCACCAGAGUGAAAAUUUUGAAUCUUCCUACCCCUUUCUCUCCCUUCGUAAACAACAUAUGCACAAACGAUGUCGACUAUGACUGUCCCCCAAUCGCUUUCUUCAACAGCCGAGGAUUGUGAGCAUUUCAGAAAAGCUUUUGUAAGUAUUUUAUCAUGAUCAUUCCCAAAUCCAAAUGACGGGGGUCUGAAUUAUUUGCUGAUAUUUUGAUUUGAUUAGGUUGAGGCGUUUAUAGGUAUUUUAUCAUCAUCGUCCAGAGUGAAUAAAUGGGUUUCGUCCAAACGGUGAGCUUUGGGGAAGAAUAUUGUUCGGUGAUGAUGCAAUUAAUCUGGAAUAGCUAUCCUUCGGAUCAAAAAUAUUUUGAAAGCAAAGAAGUUGGUCAACCUAACGAAACAGAGAAAAUGAAGAACUCCAAUGAAGAUAUAAACCGGCCACAACUGUGGUCGUGAUGAUGGCAGUGGCCCAACAACCUCGUGUGAAUAUGGAAAUAUGUUAAAUAGGGUAUAUGCCUUAUUGUUGGGUAAGUUUCCAUUUUAUAAAUUGAUGGCUUCCACCAACUGCUAUGUCCACCAAUUGACUACUCAUUGUUAGCAUAUCAAACAUCUAUGUAGUCCAUCAGCUUCAGUUUUAGUGGGUUGUGGGCCAUAUGGUGCACCAGUUGGACAAUGCAAAACCUCCGUUCUCUUUGAUGAGUCCAGACCUCUAAAAAGCCUCGAAUGUAACUAUUGUUCUGUGGCUGACAAACACUGGGCAAGGUGUAUAUGCAUAAGGUGUUGUGUUCCUUUGGAACAUUCUAGGUUAUUCCAUUUUUUACAUUUUUCCUUUUCGUUUUGUAUACCUUGACCUGGUUACAUGAUGCAUGCACAGUUAAUGCUACUUUUGGUCUUAUUGUCUUUCUAUGUGGCUGGAGACUUUUGUAAUCAGGCUUUAUAAGCUCUAGAGGCUUGGGGCUCAUAGAAACUAAUAUCAUGAGAUUAAUUUAGGAUCCACUCUCUCAGAAUCUCUCUUGCUCUUUGUGUUAGCUGUAAGUUCAUGACUAUUUCACAUUCUAUUAAAAAUUCUAUUAGCUAUCUUGAUUUUAUCAAAAUCAUUCUGCUUGAAUUCCUAAAUUUUCUUUUUGAAGAUUUUUCUUGUCUUAGCCCACUCCACCCAACUUUUCCUUUCUUGUUCUUUUGAUUAGUAUCUGAAACAAUUUUUAUUUCGUUGAUCAAUGUAUAUUCUUGCAACAAAUGAAUUAAAAAUUUAAUUUGUGCCCAAUUAGUUUGGUGUAAAUUUCAUCCACAUUUAUCUCAUGUAAUUUUAAUUGGAAAUAUUUGGUGUUUAUGGGAAUAAACAGGAAGCUUGAAAUUGCUAAUCAUUGGCAUUAAAUUGAAGCAGGUUUAGAAAUGAAAGUUCUGGAUCAGGAAAGAAUGGAUGAGAAGGAGAAUUGCGGACAGAAGAAAAUAAUGUCUCCCUGUUUGGCUCUGAAGAAUUGCUUGGAGGAGAAAAGGGUGACUACUCUAAAAGUCAGCCACAGUUAGAAGCAUUUUGGUCUUCUUUAGAGUUUCCUCGUAAAUUAUAGACAAUUGUUAAGCCUGGUGCCACAUGUGAUGUUUAAAAAGUUGUUCACUAGUUGAAUGGAACCCAUCUUUAGGCAUGUUUUUUAUUGAAUAAAAUAUAUGUUUGAAUAAUAAUUUGCCAUGCUUAACAUAUAAUCUUCUUCUGAAUUCUAGUUGGAAAGUUGGAAUUAGCUUCGAAUAGUUUCACAUUAAUGGACAAAUUGCUGUUUUUUUAAUUUUCUUGUAUUGUUAAAAAAGUAUAGGGAACAAAUUGAUACUUCAAUUUUUCCUUAUUUUAUUAACCAAAAGAUUGCAAACAUGAUUAACCUAUGCAUGAGCAGACAUUCAAUAGUGGUUGUAUGGAAUUUUUGUCUGUGUACAAGACAUUUACACUAAGUGUACAAGAUAUAUGUGCUUAAUGUACAAGGGUGUACAAAGGUACCUAUGUUGAAGUAUUUGCAAUCGUUUUAAAAUCAUGUCCAUUUUGAAAGGAUGAGGAACAUUCCCUCACACACAUUCCUUGAUCACGCACUCAUCCUGUUCAAUUUUAUUACUUCAUACAUGUUGAUUGGAUGACCAACCACAGUAAUGAUGAAUAGGAACCUAUAUUGGGUUUUACUUCCCCCUUUUCCCUUAGGCAUCACAUUGGAACAUGAUAGCUCACCCAUAUGCACGCUUUUAGUUUUAGGUAUGUCAAAUUUUUUCCAUUGUAUAAGACAUUUAAACUAAGUGUACAAUGCAAAUGUGCUAACUGUACAAGUGUGUACAAUGCUACCUAUGUUGAAGGAUUUCAAAUGGUUUUGAAUAAAUUGCUUGCUCAUUUAUUUUUUUUAAGGGGGACAUUCCUCAUAGUCAUUCCUCAUUUCCCUUCGUACACAUUCAUUGGAUGAGAUAACACACUUAUGAUGAAUAGGAACCUAAAUUGGGUUUCAUUUUCCCCCUUUUAAUUGAGCCAUGACAUUGGAAUGUGGUUAACCCGCCAAUAUGCACUAGUUCUAUUCUAGCUAGGUUGAAUUUUUGCAAUUGUACAAGGCAGUUACACCAAGUGUACAAGACCAAUUUACUAAAUGUACAUAGGUAUACAAGGGUGUCUAUCUUAGGGGAUUUCAAGUGAUUCUGAAGAACUUCCUAUCUUACUAUUUCCAAUCGUGGGGGACAUUUCUCGCACAUAUUGCUUGACAACACACUUAGUGCAUGCAUUUUAUUUGAUGUCUACUAUGUUAAUUCCUUCUAUUAGCUUCCCUAGUAAUGAUGAAUAUGAACCGAAAUUAGGGUAAAGUUUUUUUUCAUUUUCCUUAAUCCAUGAGAAUGGAAACAUUGGUUACCCACCCAUAUGCACUCGUUCGGUUGUGCCUAUGUGGGAUUUUGUGACUGUACAAGGCAUUUACACUAAGUGUACAGUGCAAAUGUGCUAACUGUACAACUGUGUACAAUGCUACCUAUGUUGAAGGAUUUCAAAUGCUUUUGAAAAAAUUGUUUGCUCAUUUUUUUUUCUAAGGGGGACAUUCCUCAUUUCCAUUUCUACACAUUCAUUGGAUGAGAUAGCGCGCUUGUGAUGAAUAGGAACCUAAAUUGUGUGUCAUUUUUCCCCUUUUCAAUGAGCCAUGACAUUGGAACGUGCUUAACCUGGCCAUAUGCACUAGUUCUGUUGUAUCUAGGUGGAAUUUCUGCAACUGUACAAGGCAUUUACACUAAGUGUACAAGGCCAAUGUACUAAAAGUACAAGGGUGUACAAAGGUGUCUAUCUUACUUUUUCAAAUCGUGGGGAACAUUUCUCACACAUAUUGCUUGAUAACACAUUCAUUACAUGCAUUUUAUUUGAUGUCUACCAUGUUAAUUCAUUCUAUUAGCUUCCUUAGUGAUGAUGAAUAUGAACCGAAAUUAGGGUAAACUUUUUUUGUCAUUUUCCCUAGUCCAUAGUAAUGGAAACAUUGGUUACCCACCCAUAUUCACUUGAAAAUAUGUACCUAUUAGGGAUUUGGUGACUGGACAAGGCAUUUACACUAAGUGUACAAAGCAAAUGUGCUAACUGUACAAGUGUGUACAAGGCUGCCUAUCUUGAAGGAUUUGAAAUGCUUUUGAAAAAAUUGCUUGCUCAUUUAUUUUUUCUAAGGGGGACAUUCCUCAUUUUCCUUUGUACACAUUCGUUGGAUGAGAUAGCACGCUUAUGAUGAAUAGGAACCUAAAUUUGGUGUCAUUUUUCCCCAACUCAGUGAGCCAUGACAUUGGAACGUGGUUAACUCGGCCAUAUGCACUAGUUCUGUUGUAUCGAGGUCAAAUUUCUACAACUGUACAAGGCAUUUACACUAAGUGUACAAGGUCAAUGUACUAAAAGUACAAGGGUGUACAUGGGUGUCUAUCUUACUUUUUCCAAUCGUGGGGAACAAUCCUCACACAUGUUGCUUGAUAACACACAAUUGCAUGCAUUUUAUUUAAUGUCUACCAUGUUCAUUCAUCCUAUUAGCUUCCCUAGUAAUGAUGCAUAUGAACCGAAAUUAGGGUAAAAUUUUUUUUCAUUUUCCCUAGUCCAUGGUAAUGGAAACAUUGGUUACCCACCCAUAUUCACUUGAAAAUAUGUACCUAUUAGGGAUUUGGUGAUUGGACAAGGCAUUUACACUAAGUGUACAAAGCAAAUGUGCUAACUGUACAAGUGUGUACAAGGCUGCCUAUCUUGAAGGAUUUGAAAUGCUUUUGAAAAAAUUGCUUGCUCAUUCCUCAACUGAAAUGAUAAUAACCUUUCAUUGAUUGAUAUCCACGUGGGCCCUCCUCAUGAUUGUCUUCAACCUGAUAAAGGGUAUGUGUUUUUUUUUUCCCUUAGUGAGAAAGCAAAUAAAGGCAUAAUAGAUAUAUGAGUGUGUUGGCUACUAAGUAGGUACUGGUUGGUGUUUGAUGAUGUUAAAAGCCUUUAUAAAGCAGCCUCUAGUAAGCACUGAUUUUGAGAUUUAAGUUCUUUUGAAUUUGAUCAUUUUUCCCUUUCUUUUCCAAGGUUUUUCUUUCCACCUUGGUUUUGUGAAGAAAGCUUGCAUUAUUGGAAUGAUUGUUAUUUAAUGUCGUUGCAGUUGCAAAUGACACAGCUAUUCACCAAAUCCCAACCUCUGUUUUGAAUCUGAGACAAGGUUAACAAUUCGUAUAGUUCAAGUUCUUCAUGGCCUUCUAGAGAGUGAGCAUGCAGCACAUGCAUAAGCAAACAAUAGGGCAAAAGCUCUUUCUGUUCAACUACAAUCCACACAAGGAAAACUUGAUUUACUUCAGCAACAAUUAACAUCAGUUUCUUUGAAUAAAACAGCAAUGGACGGUAAGCUCAACACUGCUUCCCAUGGAAAAUGUUUGAGAGUAGAUGACUUUGACCUGACUAUUGAAUCUGUUGAAGAUAUGGAUGGUAAUGAAAGAAUAACAAGAGAAAAUAAGAUGUCAACGAUCACAACUAGCCCUCUGAAGUUCACGCAGUCAGAAGAUGGUGUUUAAAUAUUUAAGGCCAACGAGGACAACAACAGCCAACAUACGAACCUAGAGGACUAUACAAAAUUCAUUGUGCUGAAACUUAUGAAAGAACUCACAAAACAUCAUUAUGGGGCUGAGCUGCUUCAGUUCAGGAAUCCCAACAAGAGAAACAUCUUGCUUUGUAUGAGAAACACGUGCUUUAAAAAUUGUAACCUGUCUAUAAUCUAACAAGAAUUGACUUGAUAGAUUAGCUUUUUAACCAAGUACUUAGUGCUGAAGAAGGUGUUUUGUGCUUGAACGGUGUCAUUCCCAUUAGUCCAAAAUUUUGGGAUGAUGAUCGCCAUUUUUCGAUGUGCUGAAUGAUUACUUUUAAGGUGUGGAGCUACUGCAUUCUGAGAAUGGUUAAUAAUAAUUUUUAAAAUCAUACAUAAUAAAUUUGAAAAUAAAGACUAAUAAUUUUCAAGUGAUUAUGGAUUAUUCUUGAGUUCCCCUUUUCUCUUGUCUGAACUUGCUAGUUCCCAAUACUAAAGUAGGAGUCCAGGGAUAAUUUCAACACAAAUAUUAACUAUAAGUCUCUGACAAACCUUAUUCUUAUUACCACCCAACUAACCUAAGGGCAAAGUGGGUUCUUAUUACCAAGCCAUGAGCAAUUUUGCCCACCAAAAAACCUAGGACAAAAAAGGGAAAAAGCCACACCAACAUGUAUGAUAACAAAUAAGAGCAACCAUACACUCUAUUAGGCAUAGACAUCUAGGUUAGUGUGGAGGUACUCUUCCACAACCUUGUACAUCCCCAUGGCCUUGUCUUUGCCGGUCUUGAUGUCCUCGUCCUUGAGCUCAAUAUUUGAGUGAUAAUGGCUAGUCAUCUUGCACAUAGAGCCUGAGCCCGAUGCCUUGAACUUUACCUCGUUUGAAAUGGCCUUGUUUUUACACUCUUAAUUGCCUAAAUUUCCUUUCUAAGAGGCUUCAUUUUCCAAUUCUAUUUCCUUUCACACCUUCAAUGGGAAUUUAGGAGACAACUUUUAGUAUUGUGUCUUAGUUUGAUUGAAGGUAAAAUUGAAACCCAUAACAACCCUGACUUGUUUGAACCCCAUGUCAGAAAAAGUAAAAAGAAAAACAACAAAGUGUAUAGAUUCUUCAAAUAGAUGUAUCUGUAAUUGAAACAAAACAGGUGGAACACACCCGUGAACUCACCAUUAACAUUACAAGCAACUAGAAUUAUUGCUGCCUUGAACUAGAUAUCAUAGAGAACACCAAAAGAAAAUAUCUAUAUAUAAAACAUAAAAUCUUUGAGUAAUCACAAUGCUACUUUCUAUUCCUAAUUUUCCGCUUCCCAUCUGUGGGAACUGGGUGCCUUCCAUUCCUGUGCUGUAGGGUCCCAACCCCAUUUGAUAGUUUCCAUGAUGGUGAAGGGCCCACGGUAGAAUUCAAAUUCCUGCAGGAAAAUUUUGAGAACAUUUUGUCAGUAUACAUGGGAACUUACUAGGUAACAAUAGUUGAAAUGAGAAAUAAAUCAGUUUGCAUUACCUUAGUUCUGGACUAUUUGCUGGCUUUGUAUUAGGUUUCUUGAUUUUUGACUCAAUCCCAUUAAUCAUGCAAAUUAUAUUUGCAUUAUUGAAUUGCCAAAGCAAAACGGCAUCAGAAGAAGCACUGAUGGCAGCAUCCUCAUGCAAAUCAUCAUUAUUAGCAAUGUCAUAACGAUUGUUUUCCAUGAAUAUGUUAUAUGAUUGAUCCGGGAAUAGCUUUGAAGAAUUUGAAAUAAGUUUUUGGUAGAAAGCAUCAGGCAAGUUCCUAUUCUCUGUUUCCCAACAUCCUAAAGGGUUUGGAACUCUAGGUACAACAUCUUGCUUAUUCACCAUAACCAUAUAUACCCACUAACUAGAGCCAAUGUCUUUGUCGUCCUCCAAAUAAUUUUGCACAUUACUAUUGACUGGAGGCCAAGGAGGUGAUUUCCCUAGUAACUCCUUAAGAUCAAAGCUUUGGUUCUUUUGCCUCAUCAUGGAAUUGCUGCGUGCCUACAUAAUCAGAACAUCAAACUUGAAUUCUGGUUUCACAAAGACUUGGAUGCAUAAUAAUCAGUCAACUAAAAUAAAGCCAUUGUUUGACAUCUACCUAGACCACAUCUAUGUGGAACCUAAUCAUACAUGAACUAGAAAUUACUUUUUAUGAAAAUUUCCAAUGAAUGUGAUAUAAUACAUAGUUUAUGAUCAUCUUCAAACUUAGGCAUGGCGUGUCAUGAUUAUCAAGAAAUAAAGGUUCCCUCACCAUCAUCAAUUUGCUAUCAUUCAAGUUUAAAUACACUUAUGUUAUUAUUCAAAGCUAAAUAUCAAUGAUUGGGGUAAAGAAAGAGGAAUAUCUCAUCAUGAUUAAAAAAAUAUUUACCUCGAUGUUGCUUGCAUCCCACAUUGGUUGCCUGCAACUAUUUUGAUCAUCUAACAUAUCUCCAGCCCGCUUGUUACAAUGAAAAGGUGAUAAAUCACUGGUUUUUGUUAUGUAUCUUUCAGAACUGUUUGUUUUGGUUCUCCUUUUUCCUUGCCAGAGCUGCCUUUAGAGUAGCAAUCUGAAAUAAUAGUUCAAAGUUUUCAGAAGAAUAAAUAAGAAUUGAGAAGAAUGAUAAAUAAUGAGAGCAUUCAGAACCUGUUCUUUCAGCUCUUUCACAUCUACACUAUCCUUGUUUACACGAGUAGCACUAAGUUCUACCGUGGCAAAUUGCUCUGCAAAUUUAACUGUGCUAAUUGUUUCUCCAUCCGCAUCCAGUUCAGGGCUAAUGUGAACAAACAUUAGUGUCUUAGCUUGCCCCCUUAAAGAGAAUUACAAUCUAAAAGCCAUAUUAUAAUUUUAAAAAUAAAAUUAAAGAAAACAGAAUCAAAUAUGAAGUUCAUACUCUGAAAAUACAUUAGUUUAUUCUUACCAAGUGAGUCUUGAAGAAGUUCUGUUAGUUUACUAUUCCUAUAAGGGACAUGUGGACUCUUCUGGGCAAGGGAAGAGAUGACAUCCCCUAGAGCAGAGAGAGAUCUGUUAAUAUGAUGUUCCUCCUUUAGUCUAUCUCCAGUGACCUCAGAUUUGUCUACUCUCCCACUGUCGGCCAGAUCAACAAGAUGCAUACAGCCAUGAAGAAUAGUUCCUGACAUCAAGUCUCUUCCCUGAACAUGAACAGUUAGGCAUAUGCAAGUUGAUUGAAAAUCAAGUGAGCAAAACCAAUAGAGAUUACUAAAAGAGUAUUCCUAGAUAAAUAUAUAAAGGAAUAUGAUCAUACCUAUGAGAGCAACUAUUAUGGUUUCAUAUGUUCACAAGUGGUAGAGAACCAGGGUUUUAAUUUCUAUGCAAUUUUGAAAAUUCAUUCUAAUAAUAUUUAAUUCUCCCUGUUUACUUACAAUGCAAUGACAAUCAACUUAAGUCAAAAAGCAGUCAAACUCCUACUAAUCCCAUAAUCCCAGUGUUCAUUUCCGCAUGUGGCACCAUAAAAAAACAUUUAAAGAAGUACGUUUGUCCACCAUAAAUUACAUACAAAUGUGCUAACUUUAUACAGUCUCGUCACAAAUUACAAUCCCCAUUAAUCCAUUCAGACACGGUCUUGGUGUGCAUUUUGUGCUGAAAACAACAUACUCCCCAUAAUCUUCAACCUAUAAUGUUUCAAUUUCCCCUGCAUUCAUUCAAGUUGAUAGCAACAAAUCAGCAAAUUAAUUAAUUAGGCUUUUGUAACUAUUUUAACAUUAAUGAGAUAGUCAUAGAUAAUUCCUCCUAUGUACCACAUCGAUUGAUUUGGAGAACCUGCCCAUUGACCACAACUCCAUGAAUUUCAUUACAAAAACUCCGCAAUCGUGCCUACGUCAAUAUCAUUAUCAAAACGUUAUUAAGUAUGGAAUUAUAAAUAAGAGAGGAACUUAAAAUAAGUUGCAAUCCAUUUUAACAUCAUCCCGGACUGCAAGGUCAAUACUCACUCAUUAGGUUGGAGAGGUACAUCAGGUGUUAGGAAAUUGAAUGUCCUCAAAUCAUAAGGUGAUACCUCUUUUUUUUUUGUGCAGCCAACCAUAGGACAACCUUAGCCUGAAACAUUUAUUAACACAACAAUUGAAAUUUUUAUGGGAAGACAUACUUAACAAAUUAUUAGUUGUUACUUGUUACUUUACCAAAUUUUGUUGAAUUCCACUCAAAGUUGUCUUCUUCCUACCAGGACAAGAAUCUAGCAAUUGGAUUCUCUUGUUUGAUAGGUCAUAUAUGCACAGUGUCCAAUGGUUCUUUAUGAGAACCGGUAAGAAGACCUACACCAAUAGACUGCCAUUAAACAUACAUUUAAAUAUUGUACCUUCAUGCAAUAAAAAUACAAAUCCAAGCAUUAAACACAGGAAUCCACCUUGUUAACAUUGACAUAUGGAAUAUCCAUCUGAUACACAUGUGGUUCAAAGCGUCCUAUAACUGCCUCCCUCACUAAGUGUUUUGCCUAGGAGUGGAUUACCAUUUCCUGCAUAUCAAAUAGGGGAUAACAUCAGGUUUGUCAUUGUAGGUAAUGCCUGGUUCAAGACAUGAAAUAAAGUUAAGCAAUGAUUUAAUGGAAUAGUCAUCAUUACAGCUAUGUAGGGGGAUAGAAACAGUUUCGUCUUCGGUUUAUGUUCAUACUGCAACAAUCUACAGUAGGCAUCGACGACCUGAUUUUGUAGAUCAUAAAAGUGUAAGCAACUAAUUAUAUUAAAGCCACACUUUCACUUUCAAACUUAAAAUAAUGCAUAAAGAGGGAUAAGAAGUCAUAUGCACGUCGUUCCCUAUCCAACCAUUCCCUUCGAAACAGCCCAAAUUGCCUCUGGUUAGGAUAGUGUCAUGCAUAGACACUAGUUCCUCACUAUUGCAAACACAUACAAUUUAGUUUUUGUGUUAUCACUAUCAUACAAUGAGAUGAGUGUCUCUGAAGUAUGUUACCUAGCAUCCAAAUCCUCUCUAAAUACCAGUGCAGCUGCUUGUUUUAAGUCCAUUCUGAUGGCAGAUUGUUUAGUUUGUGGUUGGGAUAUGUAUGGGGACAACAGGUUUGGAGCCAUUCAACGCACUCGUCGUCUCUAGACGUUCCUAUUUGUGGGGACAACAUUACCUUUUGGUUCUUCUUCACCAUCUGCAAUACGAGAUUUAGAACUAGUCAGCAAAGGUAUACAUUAUGAUUGAGUACUUGAGUUGUUAACCAUAUGGGUGUUUGCAUAAAUUUUAUCACUUACCGCUUACUACAUUAAUGGGUACACUGGGCUGCAACUCAAACUCAGGGGCAACAACGCGAUCUGGUGUGUCUAUCACAUGGUCUGCAGCAUGUGAAGCCAUGUACUCAUCACCAAGAAAUGCAUGGUCAUCGACUGUGGGAGUGUUGGCUGGUGCAUCGCCAGAGUGACCACCAGCAUCUGAAUUUACCCCACUAUGUCUUCGAGCCCCUAACUUAUGCAUAAGGCCACGCAUUAUUCUCAGCUGCUACUGAAUGCCCCAUUGAUAUUGGUCGAUUGCUCGUUCCGCAUCAUGAUAUUGAUGUCAUUUUUCCUAUCACAUGAUAUUGAUGUCAAUCUUUGAGCACAAAAUAUCACAACAACAUAUUUCUUUAUAGUUAAGAAUCAAAAAUAAAUUACAAUGACAAUGAAAUGAACAUUUAUUAAUUUUUUUAAAAAUUAACAGCUUACAUCACUAUUUUCAGCAUCAACAUUUGUGUCAUGGUCCACAUUAGUCUCUACCUCCAUAGUUCUUUCUACAGUUGGAGAUCUCUAGGACGCCUAUAAUUAGCAUUGAAGAUUAGUAAUUAAAUAAUGAGUGUUAUGCUAGUAAUGACAAUAUAUUUAUGCAUGCAUCACUUACAAAAUCAACCUCAGCAUGUCCGAAUGCUCCAAACUCCUUUAUCUUAACGACUAGUCGCCGCUUAAUCAAAUCAUCAGUCCAUGUCAAUGCUAGGGGCACUAUAAUGGGGACUUGAACUGAAGGAAUUUGGAAUUUAAUGACAUAAUGCAGCUGCAUAAUAAAUACAAACAUCAGUAGGCAAAUGUUACUUAGUUGUGCAAUAAAAUUAUAUAAAAAAAUGGAAGACAAAUACUGAAUAAGUUCAUUACCUGUAGAAAUAAAACACAGCCAUGUACCCAAGAGGUGUUAGACUGUUGGUAUCGCCUAAUUCCCUUAACCAGUUGGUCAAGCACAAACUAGGCCCAAUUAACGUCAUUUCAGAAUCCAUCCUCAUGGAUGGUAUGCCACAAGUUACGGCAACCAUUGAGCCUAGACGUGGGGGCCAACAAUGUGGCACAUGCGUAGUAAAUGAAUGCUCUACGAAACUCCUCGCCUACAGGUAAGUUCAGGAGUUUCUCCUUGCAUGCCCGAAUAGUCCUAAAUGGAUGCUCUGAUGAUGUAAAGGUCACCUGCAGAAUCCGCCCUUCUGUUGGGAGGCCGAAAAUGAGGCCAACAUUGAUGGCUGUAACAGGAUAGUGUUUCUAAGCUGAGAACUCUAUCCGUCUAAAUCCAACAUUGAAAUGUUGGAUUAGAAAGAUACAGAUGUUGUGGCGCACCUCUGUGCAAUUUAAGUUUAAGAGACCUCCAAAUUGGAGGUCUCUUAUGGCUUGUAUUUUUUCCUCUGGUAAACGGUUGCAGAGUUUCUUAAAUCGUGCAGUUGAGCAUCGUGUAAACAUUGAUGGGCCCUGCAUGCAAUGUUUGACAACAUGGCCAUGUUAGGAAUAGCAACAUCAUUGCAGUUGGUAAUGCAAAAAAUAAGUGAAAAAGUAAAGAUGUCAUUUCUCAUAGUUACAAAGACUUGUUUGCUUGUAUUUAGAAAUAAUAUACAGCAGGGUAAGACAUGAGAUGGGGUUAGGUGCUAUUGACAGUGAGAUAUCCUAUAAGAGAGAGGAUUGUUAGUUUAUGAAUAAGCUUAUAUAGAAUAGACAAUAACAGUAAAACUGUACAGAAUAGACUAUAAAAGUACAAAAAUAAAUAUGGGAAUAUUACAUGAUAUAUAAAAGAAGGAAAUCAAGUCAAUUUAUGGAAAUAAAUUGACUAAUUCUAUUAGAGAAAGAAACCAUAAACAAAUCAAUGAAUAAUCCUAUUUAAUUCCCAUUUAGAUUGUAAGACAACUUGAUAGAACCAAAAUCAUUGGUAAUGAAUUUGUGAUCUUCAACAACAAUGAACAAAUGGAGUAAACAGAAAAUGCUAUGGAAAAGUAGAUUUCUUUCAUUGCCUUAACAUGGUUACAAUAAAAUGCUUGAGAAGGUGGAAAUAAAAGCUCACUAACUCAAAGGCCUUUUCUUCGUAUUCCCUCGCACACACUAGGUUUUGUGUCAGGAAUAAUCUUUGCAAUAAUUGUAUUCCCCCAAGUGUUUUCCACUAUACCUAACAACAUACUGGUUGCUAAGGGCCUUGCAUUCAUGGAUGUGAGCAAGGAAAAAAACUUAAAGAGAUCUCUUUGUUUUCCCUGUUCUUUUCAUUCUUCUGGCUAUUUAAAAGGGGUCUAACCUGCUCCUUUUGAUACUUCUGACAGACACAAAAUCUUGAGGAACUACUAGAGCAAGCACUUUGCUAUUGCCAUUGAACAUGGACAAGGUUUGGAAUCCAAGCUUCCGUUGAGAGUAUUCCCACAUGGUAAUUACUAUCAUUGAAUAAUUGUACACUAUCUUCUAAUACCAUGAAUCAUGUGUUCGGCCGAAGUUAAUUCAUACCUAAGUUGUUAGCUGAGUGAGGAUCCAUGGGAAAAUAAAUGAAAACUAGGACUCUAAAUCUAAACUUCUGAAAGUUUUGAGGCUUGAAUCUGAUUCACUGGGCAUAAUAAUCUAAAAUUUGCAAAAUAGAGGAAGUGGUCAUUUCAAAUUAGGUACUGAUACAAUAUGAACUGCUACUACAUAAUUUUUUGUAGAAUAGUAAACAAAGAGUAUCUUUGCCCUUGAAAACAAGAAUAAAUAAGGUGAAUCCAUGAGUCUUGGAGAAUUAAAUGAAUGAAGAGGAGUUUGGAAACCAUAAACUCCAACUGGUAGAUGGCCAAUACAACAAGAACAUCAACUAAGGUAAUAAACAUCAAACAUAGUUUCAAGUAGAGGUUAUGACACUGCUUGUUACACUUGAAACUUCAUCAGCAGUUCUCCUUCAUUACCACAACAGUUUAACUAGCAUUAAGUUAUGUUUUAUGCCAAUGCAUCAGUCUUAAAACCAAAACAUAGUUCACAACAUACACUUAUAAUAUCCUGCUUAAUUACAAGUUUUUUGUUUGCCUAAGAAAUCAAAAUUUUAAUAUCAGGCAGGACUCGACUAGAGUUUCAACAGCUUGGUUGCAUACCCAUUUACAGAUGCCAAAUUAUUAGAUAUUUGAGAAUAUUCUGAGGCUUUAAUUUCAAGACUUAAACUUCAAGAAUUACAAAAAUCUUUAGAGAGAGAGGACUUAAUUAUUUGGACAAUAUUUACAACAACAAUAAUAAUCAUCAUCAUCAUGAAGAUUGAUGUUUCAGUUCUAAUGUUUCAGUCAGUUCAUGCACCAAAUCUUCUAUCAAUUUCACAUGGAGCCGACCUAUUCAUCCACAUUCACAUUUGGUUGAGCGAGAUAUUGGUCCAACACAUUAAAAUACUGCCCCAAAAGGAGAAUUUCUGCCUUAUCGCCCUGGAAUCCCAACUAUUUAAUUGAAUUUUUUUUGAGGUACAAGUCAAGAAAACUUCUGCAAGGGAUUACAAUCAUAUGUGCCAGAUUUUCACAGAGAGCACCAUUUCAUAUGUUUUAAAGGCUGGAUAUACAGUUGAGAGAAUUAGAGUGCGUUUGGAAAUGUUUUUUCUCGAAGUGUAAUUAAAUAAAAAGUUUUCCUUUCUCAUAGAUUAAAAACAUAAAAUAUGAAAUUUUUGAUAAAAUGGAAACCACUAUUUGGGGUGGGUAAGAAUAGCUAAGAGAUUGUAUGCAACAAAAAUCAUGAAGUUAGCUCAAAAUGGGAAUGAAAUUUUUAUUCCAUUAUAGAGUAUUAAGUGCAACCAAAUAUUGAAAUGAAUCUUUGUUAAGAUUUUCUAGAUACCAUUCCAUUCUUAGCAAAGGAACAGUCUUAUUAAUUCUAAAGUAAGUGUUAAGUACCUAAAGGAGAACAAAAAUAAUAUAAAAGAAAAAAAUUUUAAGAAAAUAAAUUGUAAACAUUUAUUUAUCUUCUUUUCCUUGAUUUUCUUAGCAAUCAAAUAAGAAAACAAUUUUAUAAAGUUAGAAAUAGAAAAUAUGAAAUUAAUAAAAUUGAAAACAUUAUUUAGAGGUGGAAUGAGAAAAACUUAGAGAUGUUGAUGAAAUAAAAAUAAUGAAUUAAAUUAACAUAAAAUUGGAAUGAAAUGUUCAUUGCAAUUCAACUUAUUAAAGUACAACAAAUAUUAGAAUGAAUAUUCAUUACCAUUCUAUAACUAGGAAACAAACACAAGACGAACUGAAUGCCUCAAGCAACAUCAACUAUCCAUUAGUUUGAUUUCCAGAAACUAGAAAUCCAAGAUUCACCUAGGAAAGUGUAAGAAGUGAUCUGAAGUAAAUAGAAAUCUUUAGUGCCAGUUAGAAAGUGAGGCUACUAGAUUAGCAGUAAUCUCUAUAUCUGAGCAGCUCUUGACAGUGAACCGAAGUUGAGCGUAAAAAAUAACUCUUGGUCCGUAUAGAAAAUCAAAUUUCAUUUUUUCACUCAAAUAAGCUAAACAAAGGCCAAAGAGGAAAAUAAACACAAUCAAAUUUCAUUCAUUUGGAGAUUUAAAAUUUGGGGAAAGAGACUCACUUCCUAGGGUUAUUUAUCAUUAGUCUCUGACAUGCAAUUUUGAUUCGAGUAUGGCAAGGAUUUCGGUGAGCGAGUUGGUUGUUCAUCAGCAAUCUAGUUGCUGACUCAGCUCCUAAGGUUUUAUGCCUUUGGAAGAAGAGUUCAAUGGCCAUCACUAGCAACGUCUCUCAACAUUGAGGGUUGAAAAGAGUGAAUAGAAGAAAAAUGUCAAACAAUUAGUAAGAAAACAAAAUCACAAGUCAUUUGAAGAUUCUCACCAGUGGGUUCUUAAUAGUUUAAAGUAAGGAAGUGGCUCUUAGUGGGUUAUUGGCUAAAACUGGGGCUACCUAGUAAAACCUGUUGAACCGAUUCCAAACCGGUUCAACCGAUUGAGAAAAAUUCUAAAAUUUAACAAAAGAUUCCUCGAAGAAUAAGGAAUCCAACAAAACAAAAAAAACAGCGCUCAAUUUCGAGCUUGGAUGAGGGAGAACCGGUCAAAACAAUGCAAUGUGUUUAUAAAACGGGGCUGCUUAGCAAAACCUGUUUAACCGGUUCCCAAACGGUCCAACCGAUUGAGAAAAAUUCUAAAAAUUUACCAGAAGAUUCCUCGAAGAAUAAAUAAUCCAACAAAAAAACGACACUCAAUUCUGAGCUCGAAUGAGGGAGAAUCGACUAAAACAAUGCAAUGUGUUUAUAAAACGAGGCUGCCUAGCAGAACCUAUUGAACUGGCUCCCAACCGAUUCAACUGAUUGAGAAAAUUUUUGAAACUUUACUAGAAGAUUCCUCGAAGAAUAAGGAAUCCAAAAAAAAAUGAAUCUCAAUUCCGAGCCUGGAUGGGGGAGAACCGGCCGAAACAAUGCAAUGUGUUUAUAAAAUGGGGUUGCCUAGCAGAACCUGCUGAAUCGGUUCCCAACCAGUACAAUCAAUUAAGAAAAAUUAUGAAACUUUACCAAUAGAUUCCUAAAAAGAAUAAGGAAUCCAACAAAAAAAACGACGCUCAAUUCCAAGCCCGGAUGAGGGAGAAUCGGCUGAAACAAUGCAAUGUGUUUAUAAAAUGGGGUUGCCUAGCAGAACCUAUUGAACCGGUUCCUAACCGGUACAACCGAUUGAGAAAAAUUCUGAAACUUUACAAGUAGAUUCUCAACCGACAAAACAGCCUCCAUACCAUACACUAAAGAGUAAGGUGUAGCUCCUAUGGAGGUGCGAAAAGAGGUACAGUAUGCCCACAAUGCAAAAGGAAGUUUCUCUGACUAAUCUCGAGAAGUUUCAGUCAUCAUCCUGAAAAUUCUCUUAAUAUUCUUAUUCGCAGCCUCUACUGCCCUGUUGGUCUGUGGCCUAUAUGCUGAAGAUCUAUGAUGUCGGAUGUCAUACUUUUGCAACAAAGUAUCUACCUCAACUGGGAAGUGCACCCCUCUAUCUGAAAUUAAUUCAUGGGGAACCCCAUAGCGGCAAAUGAUGUGUGACCUGAUGAAACUAGCAACCCUAGCAAAUGUCAAAGAAUAAGGAAUCCAAAAAAAAAAAAAAAAAAACGGCGCUCAAUUCCGAGCUCGGAUGAGGGAGAACCGGCCAAAACAAUGCAAUGUGUUCCUUGUAGAAGGCCAAACCCGAACCACCCAACCUUAUUAAAACUAAGGCCACGGAUCUCAUUAAACAACCAACAAUGCAGCCUCCCUGAACUCAAGAAACCCAACUGGAAAUUCAGCCACACAGACAUCCACAUGCGGCCACCUAAAUCUCCUGAAACCAAACUGAAAUUUCAUUCACUUGAAGCCUUCCACCUACAGCUACUUAAAUCCCAUGGAACAAACUGAAAUUUCAGCCUCCUAUAGCCUAUGAAUCCAGUUGAAAUUCAGCCACCUAUAGCCCCCUCUCCCCAAUACAACUACUGGAAUCACCAAGAAGCAAACCGAAAUUUCAGCCACAUGGGGCCUCUACAUAUAGCCACAAGACCCAGGGUUUAAGUCCAGAUUAUUGAUGGGUAGCCCCAAAUUUAAAAAACAGAGAAGGUCAUGGAGACCCUUUCUCAAUACAAAGCAAAGGAGGUUUCAAGAAAAACCAAGUGGCAGAAAUGCCCAUACCAACAUAGCCACCUGAAUCUAGCAUUUAAGAAGUUCCUCAAUCCAAAGCUACAAGGCCAUAAGAAUCCUUCCCUUAACAAUCAAAAGGUCACAAUGACCUUCAACCAAAACCAAAACUAAUGAAGGCAGUGACCCUAUUACUCACACAUCAAAAGUAGGUCACACACCCCCCAAUUCUUUAUCAGAACCAACCCAAAAUGAGACAUCCACAACUAACAUAAAAAAUGAAACAUGCAAUAGUUACAUAUCAAGAGCAUCCAUAAAGCUUACCAGAUUGUUCUCCCCUCAAGCAGAAAUUUGCUUGGCUUCAAGGCCGUCUUUCCUUCAAGUUCUCACCAAUCAAGAGCUCCUUACUCUCUUCCCUCUUUGCUCACUUCACGUGCACCCAAAACUUUCUUAAAUGCUCAAAACCUUCUCCACACUCUGUUCUUUUCCCUCACCAAACUUGGACAAAGUUUUGUCCCUUAGAAAAAAAUGCAAAGGAAAAGGUCCUUCUCUAUUUCCAUUUUGCCUUUUUAUACCAGAACCCCUGCUCCUCCCACUUCCACCUUCGUUUUUCCCUCUUUUAGCUCUGGAAAGUGCCCCCAUCAACCUCGGAAUCCAUCUCCAUAAACACUCCUCACAGUCACGAGGUGAGCUGUUCUCUCCACAUUUACUCCAUUGCUUCACCACCAAGAAUCCAUAUGGAUUCAUGGUGGGCUAUAAGGAACCUAAACCAAGGCUCAAAAUGGACCCAAAAUAUUUCCCAAGACCGAUUUGGAGCUUAUGGGCCCUAGUCAUGUAGGAUUUGGGCCCCAAAAUCAGUGCUCUAUACAAGUUGGCCCAACGAAUUGGUUGAACCAGUUGAUAAAAAAAUUGAAAUUUUGACAGAAUAUUCCUUGAAGAACAAGGAGUCCAUAAAAAAAAUGGUGUGUGAUUCUGAGUUCGGAUGAGGAAGAUAUGAUCGAAACAAGCUCAAGUGCUCCGUAUUCGAACCUGCUCCUAUGAACUCUGGCUAAACUAAAGAUUUGGGGAGAUCUCACUUCCUUCUUUUAGCAUGAUGUGAAAAACUAAGGAAUUGGUCAUGACAACACUCCAAAAUGAACUACACACUCACACUACAUUGGANNNNNNNNNNNNNNNNNNNNNNNNNNNNNNNNNNNNNNNNNNNNNNNNNNNNNNNNNNNNNNNNNNNNNNNNNNNNNNNNNNNNNNNNNNNNNNNNNNNNUGACAACACUCCAAAAUGAACUACACACUCACACUACAUUGGACCGCAGAUGAACCUACACAAGGCUCGAAAAUCGAUCAAGCCCAAAAGGGGGUCAUGGUGGUGCCAUAAGGAAAAAAUUGGGUGCAUGUGACAUCCCUAAGAUAAAUGCAAGUGUCGAAGGACAAAAUUGAGGGUCUACAGUAUUACAUUUUUCAAAGAGAUUAUGGAUGUCAUGGAAAACUCUUUAAAGAUCUCAAAUUUAUCAAAUAAUCAAUGGCUCGAUGAUAAUACACUGUUGUUGAUUCCAAGAUUUUCAAAUCCGAGUGGGCUGAUGGUGACUCACAAAACUGUUCUUCAAUUCUGUGGUUCAAAUUAGUGGACUUCUUUAAACCACCUUUCAAAUUGGACAGUUGCAUAGAGGACAAAACUGCUUUUGAUGGAUUUAAAGCUCUUCAAAUCCAUGAACUUCAAAGGUUUUUAGAUUCGUCCUCAAAGCCUAUAUAAGGCCCCUAUUUCUCUUUAGAAGGCAUCAACAUUUUAGUAGGAAAAUUGAGAGCAAACAAGUGAGAUAUCCUCUUGAGUGAAUGACCUUGUAAUUGAGAAAACUCAAAACUCUCAAAGUGUUUGUAAGGCAAUGUUUGGGCCUCAAAUGAAAUGGUAGCAAGGGAGAAAAUCAGGAAAGAGAAAAACAACCAAUGUCUAGGGCUAAAACCAAAUGCUUUGGAGGUAGUAAAAUUAGGGUAGGAUACGUGGAAUUCCAACUUAGAUUUUUGUGAUUUUGUUUUUUCAUAAUCAGUAAAGGCCAUUUUCGAAAAUAUUAAAAAUUCAUAUUCUUCUUCUCAAUUUUGACACUUCCUUUAGGUCUUAGGCUUAAAUGACGAGAACUUAUAUGGACCAAAGAUUAAUUUUUGGGCCUAGCUGGAUCCAAAACACAAUUCUCCCUAUAUUAUGUACACCUGAAACAUUUUUCAAAUUAAUUUUAUGAACUAAUUUUGAAAUAUAUCUUCAUAGCAUCUACACAAAGCAUAUAUAUUGUGUAUGUACUAUUAAUAAAAAUUUGUUUACAUGAAAUUAAAAAUAAUCAUGUUUUAAAAUAAAUAAAAAAAUUAUAUAUGAAAACCUAAGAAUAUACUAUUAUUUCAAUAGAGAUAAAAUUGUUAAAAUACUAAUAAAUUAAAUAUCUUAAAUUGAUAAAUUAUAUGAAUAAAUAAGAAAAGAAAAAAAAAAUAUAAAAAAACAACAUGCAAACAUGUGAAACUAAAAAGUUCAAAGGCAUGAAAUUCAAUAUGGCAAAAAUUCAAAAAAAUGGAACCACAUUUGCAUUUUUAACUUCAUACAUUUACAUUUAUUUUAUUUUAUUUUAAGUUUGUCUUAUUUAUAUGUUAUACAACUCUAUUAUUUUUAAAUUAUUAAUUUAUUGAUAAAUAAAAUAGUAAUUAUUAUUAUUAUCAAUUUAUUUUUGUUUAAGUAAUACUAGAUCCUUAAGUUUACAUGUAUAAUAUUUUUAUCAUUAAAGUAUAUAUUUUUAAUUUCAAUAAUAAUUUUUAAAAGCACUGAAACUUCAAUAGUGAAGUCUUAUUUGGCAAUUACAACAUUAUAAAAAUGAAUUCACAUCUGGCAAUUGAGGUUUUAACUUAAAUUUUUUUUAUAAAAAUGAUAACAUGGGUCCUCCAUGUCAACAAAAGGGGCAUUUUAGACAAAAGUUUAGGAAAGUGGUUAAAAUAAAAUUUUCCCCAUAAUAGGGCUAUUUUGGCCCAAAACACUUCAGAAAAAAAAAAAAAACUCCUAAAGUUUUUGUUCCUUUCUCAUUCUCAUUAAUGUCUAAUAUUGGAGCGAAAACAAAUGAUUAUUAAAACCUUAUAGUCCUAGGUACAUUCAAGCACAAGAAUCAAAAUCAUCAAAUCCAUUCCUAUUAAAAAAAAAUUGGGAUGAAAACAUAAUAUUGAUUCUCUUUCCCCAUUUUUAUGUACCAAACAUGGCCUAAACAUGUGAGAUAAAGAAAAUGAUCAAGCUUCUUUAUUAUACAUGCUUUCUUAAAAGAAAAAAAAAAAGUAGGCAUUAAUUUUAUGCAUUGGUAAUGAUCAAAUUGAACCUAAAUAAAUCAAGUUUUAGGCAAACAUCUAAAUAAACUUGACUUUAUUAGCACAAACAUGAAAAUAUUUAAUAUGGGUUUAUAUAUCCAUGUGUAACAUGAUUGAAUUCUAUUCAAAUGUGUAAAAAUAAAUAAUUAAAUAAUUACAUACCUUUUUUUCCGACUUUGCUCAUGCCAUUAAGAUUUUUCACCCACGAAAAACAACCUAUAUUACAAAAAAUGAAACAAGAUGAGCAACAUUUUUAAUGCUAAAGCAAAUGUUAAAAUUAUAAAAUUAUUAUCAUUGGACACAUACUUUUUUAAACAUAUGAGCAAGCUAAUUGAAAAUAAUAAAUAUAAAAAACAAAGAUUUUUUAUAAUGCUUAUAAAUAAGUUAAAACAACAAAUAAAAAAAAUAUUAAUAUACUAAAAAAUCCAAGUUUAUGAAAGGUAUUAAGAAUCCAGUGUAUAAGUUGAACAAUUAAAUAGGAAUUUAAAAUUAAAAUAUUAUACCUUAAAUUGGAAAUAGCUAGAUACUUGGUGUUUAUCAGAAUCUUAUCUCUACCCUAUACAGAUCAUAAACAAAUUAAAGAAAAAAAAUAAAAUUAGAAGGAAAAAUAUACUAUAAGGCAUAUUUAUUUCGAGCCCAUCGAAAUACUGAGAGCAACCACUUUACAAAAUUGUAUUCAUGUCAUGUAACUCACUGUUUUUUCUCAAAAAAAGUUUUUUUUUUUUAUGAAAAAAAAAAAAAACAUACCUAAACUGUUGAUUGUCUUGAAGUAAUUCAAAGAAUAGCCCUCGAUGUAUCAUAAAUUCACAUUAAACCACAAAAUCAAAAGAUUGUAAAGCUAAGAAUAUAUAUACCUCCAGGGGAAGGAGCCAUUGAUGUUGAAAGCUUGUUCUUCAAAAGAGCUUUAAGAUGUGAUUGUAAAGCUAAGAAUAUAAAUUCACACUAAACGACCUUUCUCUGCAUCCAAUGUUUUGAUCCCCUCUCAAACAUUAACGCUAACCACUACCUCGGUAUAUGCUUCGGAUUUUUUCCAAGAAAGAAUGAAAGAGAGAUGCUUCUGAGAGGAGAGAGAGAGGACACAUUUGUAAAGUGGACGUAAUACAACCUCUACCAUUAUGGGAAAUGACACAUUUGUAGUAUCGGGGUUUGUGGUAUUGGAACUUUCAGAUAAGGAAUUUGAAAAUUUUUAAAUAUAUAAUUAAAAAAAAAAUAGUCGAAUAAGAAAGUCCUUUCAAUAUGAUCUUUAUGAAUAAUAAAGAAAUGUUUGCAUGAAGAUCAACUCAAUAUGAUCCGUAUGUUCUAAUUAAUUUUCUUUUUCUUUUUUUUUUUUCAUAUUAAUUUUAUUAUUAAUUCUACCACCAAUCCUGAGAAGAUCAAAAUUAAUUCCUACAAGCCUAAAUCAUUGAAAGACCUUUUCUCGAGAAAAGAGAGUUCAGAGAUAUUUAUGAACCGAGAGUGGAUACAGAAGACCCUUAUUGAAUGUAGGGUUUCUUUGAAAAGAGACGAAGUCGGUCAACAUCUCUGAAAAGUCUGAAUGGAGAGGACUCUGAGUUGAGUUGAUGGGGCAGCGGACCAGUUUAUUGGGACUUUAACAGAGAUAUUUUCUCUCUAUGACGCUGCCCUUUGAGCUGUCUCCACUUGCAACUUUUCUUUUGUACCAGACCAUCCUAACAAACAAAAAUUUAAAUUUAUAAAAUAUAACUAUUUAAAAUUAAUUAAUAAUUUACAUUUUUUAAUUAAAAUUACUACUUUUAAUGUUUAAUAACAGUUUUUUAAUGAUAUAAGUAUUAUUUUUUAUUAUAAUAAAUACUAUUUUUAAUUGAGGAGUAUAUAAAAUUUGAAUUAUUUAAAAAAAUUUUCUAUUUUAUAAAUAUUUUUAUAUAAAUACAUCAAAACUUUUUUUUAUUUUUUCAAAUGAAUAUAUAUACAUAUAUAUAUAUAUUUUUUAUUUUUUCAAAUGAAUAUAUAUACAUAUAUAUAUAUAUAUAUAUAUAUAUAUAUAUAUAUAUAUAUAUAUAUAUAUAUAUAUAAUUGAUUCUUUAAAAUAUUUUAGACAUUUUAAAAUUUUAUCCAAUUCCUUUUUAUAAAAAACCAUUUUUUAACAUUGAGGUCAUUUCCAAAACUACCCUCAAAUGUUAUUUCAUAUGUAAAACCAAUUCAAUCUUAUUUUAUGUAUUAAUUUUAUUUUAUGAGUUCAAAUAAUAAUAGCAUAAUAAUAUAUAUUAAGCUACAAUACUAAAAUAUUUUAAUUAACAUUAAUAUUUUAACAUUUUGGAUUGGAAAUGCUCUAAUGAAAGAUAUUUUGCUGCCCAUUGCAUUAAAACAAGCAUUUGACAAAACAUUUUAUCUUACAUAUUGGCACAACAAAAUUUCAUUAUAAAUCUACAAAAUAAUCCAUCACAAUGAAUAUGCAAACAUUUUCACCAUGAUUUCCAACCAUGUUUCCCUAUGAUCACUACUAUUUACGAGGAAAGAUUUAAAACUUGUUUGUCAAAAUUGAUUUAUUAAUUAUAGUUUUAAUUAAUAAUUAAUCAAUUAUUAAUUUAUUUUUUUUGUUAUAAAAAUUAUACUUCAAGGAUUUUAUUACAUGUUCAUGGUUUUACACUAUUCUAAAUAAAUCAAAAUUUAGGUAAAAUAAAUUCAUUUUUCUUAAGAUUUAAAUUAAAUACAAAUGCAGCUUAAAAUUCCACCCAUUACCUCCCUUAAAAUACUAUAACUAUUCAAGUUAUACACUACAAUCAAACAUAUUACAAAAAAAAAAAAAAAUCAUUAGUCAGAUUAAUUCAAGAGGUAGUGUAAAGCAUAGUAUGUUAAUUUUGACCAAGUGUUGCAUCCAAUUCUUAUACAAAAGUCUAUAUAUUACAAGAAAUUAAAGUGAGAAAAGGAUUAAAAGUUUAAAAACAUGGGAAUGAUAAACCCCAAGUAAAUAUCUAUUUGAAACCUUGUCAAAAUUUGCCUCAAGUUGACUUUUGAAUUAACUUUACUAUUAUAAUCACUACUACAAAAAUAAUAUAUGAUGUUACUAUUUAUGGUGUCGCAUUUAAAAUAAUGACACCAUUGAACUUAAAAUUUAUAAAGGUGACACAUCAUAUAAAAAAUCUUCAAUUAGGAUAGUUAGAUGAUGCUAAUUUCAGAUUUACGGUGUCAUUUUUUGGAAGUGACACCAUAUGAAAUAAAAAGUUUUAAAUUUUAUAACUCAAUGGGCCCUUUUUAAAAAUAGUGAGUAGGAACAAUUUAUGAAAAGUCCAUUGUUUCCAUAUAUACAUUAACUAAUAUAAAAGAUCUUGUUGCUUAACCCUAACCAUCGUUUUCUUCUCUUUCUUCUCACACCCAUGGUCGGCACACCCAUAAUUGAUAUUCUUUGCUUCGUAAAAUCUCGUGUAAGUCAAAUCUCUUAUCUAUCAUCUUCAUUUUUUUUUAUUAAUGCAAAAACUUUGUAGUAUAANNNNNNNNNNNNNNNNNNNNNNNNNNNNNNNNNNNNNNNNNNNNNNNNNNNNNNNNNNNNNNNNNNNNNNNNNNNNNNNNNNNNNNNNNNNNNNNNNNNNNNNNNNNNNNNNNNNNNNNNNNNNNNNNNNNNNNNNNNNNNNNNNNNNNNNNNNNNNNNNNNNNNNNNNNNNNNNNNNNNNNNNNNNNNNNNNNNNNNNNNNNNNNNNNNNNNNNNNNNNNNNNNNNNNNNNNNNNNNNNNNNNNNNNNNNNNNNNNNNNNNNNNNNNNNNNNNNNNNNNNNNNNNNNNNNNNNNNNNNNNNNNNNNNNNNNNNNNNNNNNNNNNNNNNNNNNNNNNNNNNNNNNNNNNNNNNNNNNNNNNNNNNNNNNNNNNNNNNNNNNNNNNNNNNNNNNNNNNNNNNNNNNNNNNNNNNNNNNNNNNNNNNNNNNNNNNNNNNNNNNNNNNNNNNNNNNNNNNNNNNNNNNNNNNNNNNNNNNNNNNNNNNNNNNNNNNNNNNNNNNNNNNNNNNNNNNNNNNNNNNNNNNNNNNNNNNNNNNNNNNNNNNNNNNNNNNNNNNNNNNNNNNNNNNNNNNNNNNNNNNNNNNNNNNNNNNNNNNNNNNNNNNNNNNNNNNNNNNNNNNNNNNNNNNNNNNNNNNNNNNNNNNNNNNNNNNNNNNNNNNNNNNNNNNNNNNNNNNNNNNNNNNNNNNNNNNNNNNNNNNNNNNNNNNNNNNNNNNNNNNNNNNNNNNNNNNNNNNNNNNNNNNNNNNNNNNNNNNNNNNNNNNNNNNNNNNNNNNNNNNNNNNNNNNNNNNNNNNNNNNNNNNNNNNNNNNNNNNNNNNNNNNNNNNNNNNNNNNNNNNNNNNNNNNNNNNNNNNNNNNNNNNNNNNNNNNNNNNNNNNNNNNNNNNNNNNNNNNNNNNNNNNNNNNNNNNNNNNNNNNNNNNNNNNNNNNNNNNNNNNNNNNNNNNNNNNNNNNNNNNNNNNNNNNNNNNNNNNNNNNNNNNNNNNNNNNNNNNNNNNNNNNNNNNNNNNNNNNNNNNNNNNNNNNNNNNNNNNNNNNNNNNNNNNNNNNNNNNNNNNNNNNNNNNNNNNNNNNNNNNNNNNNNNNNNNNNNNNNNNNNNNNNNNNNNNNNNNNNNNNNNNNNNNNNNNNNNNNNNNNNNNNNNNNNNNNNNNNNNNNNNNNNNNNNNNNNNNNNNNNNNNNNNNNNNNNNNNNNNNNNNNNNNNNNNNNNNNNNNNNNNNNNNNNNNNNNNNNNNNNNNNNNNNNNNNNNNNNNNNNNNNNNNNNNNNNNNNNNNNNNNNNNNNNNNNNNNNNNNNNNNNNNNNNNNNNNNNNNNNNNNNNNNNNNNNNNNNNNNNNNNNNNNNNNNNNNNNNNNNNNNNNNNNNNNNNNNNNNNNNNNNNNNNNNNNNNNNNNNNNNNNNNNNNNNNNNNNNNNNNNNNNNNNNNNNNNNNNNNNNNNNNNNNNNNNNNNNNNNNNNNNNNNNNNNNNNNNNNNNNNNNNNNNNNNNNNNNNNNNNNNNNNNNNNNNNNNNNNNNNNNNNNNNNNNNNNNNNNNNNNNNNNNNNNNNNNNNNNNNNNNNNNNNNNNNNNNNNNNNNNNNNNNNNNNNNNNNNNNNNNNNNNNNNNNNNNNNNNNNNNNNNNNNNNNNNNNNNNNNNNNNNNNNNNNNNNNNNNNNNNNNNNNNNNNNNNNNNNNNNNNNNNNNNNNNNNNNNNNNNNNNNNNNNNNNNNNNNNNNNNNNNNNNNNNNNNNNNNNNNNNNNNNNNNNNNNNNNNNNNNNNNNNNNNNNNNNNNNNNNNNNNNNNNNNNNNNNNNNNNNNNNNNNNNNNNNNNNNNNNNNNNNNNNNNNNNNNNNNNNNNNNNNNNNNNNNNNNNNNNNNNNNNNNNNNNNNNNNNNNNNNNNNNNNNNNNNNNNNNNNNNNNNNNNNNNNNNNNNNNNNNNNNNNNNNNNNNNNNNNNNNNNNNNNNNNNNNNNNNNNNNNNNNNNNNNNNNNNNNNNNNNNNNNNNNNNNNNNNNNNNNNNNNNNNNNNNNNNNNNNNNNNNNNNNNNNNNNNNNNNNNNNNNNNNNNNNNNNNNNNNNNNNNNNNNNNNNNNNNNNNNNNNNNNNNNNNNNNNNNNNNNNNNNNNNNNNNNNNNNNNNNNNNNNNNNNNNNNNNNNNNNNNNNNNNNNNNNNNNNNNNNNNNNNNNNNNNNNNNNNNNNNNNNNNNNNNNNNNNNNNNNNNNNNNNNNNNNNNNNNNNNNNNNNNNNNNNNNNNNNNNNNNNNNNNNNNNNNNNNNNNNNNNNNNNNNNNNNNNNNNNNNNNNNNNNNNNNNNNNNNNNNNNNNNNNNNNNNNNNNNNNNNNNNNNNNNNNNNNNNNNNNNNNNNNNNNNNNNNNNNNNNNNNNNNNNNNNNNNNNNNNNNNNNNNNNNNNNNNNNNNNNNNNNNNNNNNNNNNNNNNNNNNNNNNNNNNNNNNNNNNNNNNNNNNNNNNNNNNNNNNNNNNNNNNNNNNNNNNNNNNNNNNNNNNNNNNNNNNNNNNNNNNNNNNNNNNNNNNNNNNNNNNNNNNNNNNNNNNNNNNNNNNNNNNNNNNNNNNNNNNNNNNNNNNNNNNNNNNNNNNNNNNNNNNNNNNNNNNNNNNNNNNNNNNNNNNNNNNNNNNNNNNNNNNNNNNNNNNNNNNNNNNNNNNNNNNNNNNNNNNNNNNNNNNNNNNNNNNNNNNNNNNNNNNNNNNNNNNNNNNNNNNNNNNNNNNNNNNNNNNNNNNNNNNNNNNNNNNNNNNNNNNNNNNNNNNNNNNNNNNNNNNNNNNNNNNNNNNNNNNNNNNNNNNNNNNNNNNNNNNNNNNNNNNNNNNNNNNNNNNNNNNNNNNNNNNNNNNNNNNNNNNNNNNNNNNNNNNNNNNNNNNNNNNNNNNNNNNNNNNNNNNNNNNNNNNNNNNNNNNNNNNNNNNNNNNNNNNNNNNNNNNNNNNNNNNNNNNNNNNNNNNNNNNNNNNNNNNNNNNNNNNNNNNNNNNNNNNNNNNNNNNNNNNNNNNNNNNNNNNNNNNNNNNNNNNNNNNNNNNNNNNNNNNNNNNNNNNNNNNNNNNNNNNNNNNNNNNNNNNNNNNNNNNNNNNNNNNNNNNNNNNNNNNNNNNNNNNNNNNNNNNNNNNNNNNNNNNNNNNNNNNNNNNNNNNNNNNNNNNNNNNNNNNNNNNNNNNNNNNNNNNNNNNNNNNNNNNNNNNNNNNNNNNNNNNNNNNNNNNNNNNNNNNNNNNNNNNNNNNNNNNNNNNNNNNNNNNNNNNNNNNNNNNNNNNNNNNNNNNNNNNNNNNNNNNNNNNNNNNNNNNNNNNNNNNNNNNNNNNNNNNNNNNNNNNNNNNNNNNNNNNNNNNNNNNNNNNNNNNNNNNNNNNNNNNNNNNNNNNNNNNNNNNNNNNNNNNNNNNNNNNNNNNNNNNNNNNNNNNNNNNNNNNNNNNNNNNNNNNNNNNNNNNNNNNNNNNNNNNNNNNNNNNNNNNNNNNNNNNNNNNNNNNNNNNNNNNNNNNNNNNNNNNNNNNNNNNNNNNNNNNNNNNNNNNNNNNNNNNNNNNNNNNNNNNNNNNNNNNNNNNNNNNNNNNNNNNNNNNNNNNNNNNNNNNNNNNNNNNNNNNNNNNNNNNNNNNNNNNNNNNNNNNNNNNNNNNNNNNNNNNNNNNNNNNNNNNNNNNNNNNNNNNNNNNNNNNNNNNNNNNNNNNNNNNNNNNNNNNNNNNNNNNNNNNNNNNNNNNNNNNNNNNNNNNNNNNNNNNNNNNNNNNNNNNNNNNNNNNNNNNNNNNNNNNNNNNNNNNNNNNNNNNNNNNNNNNNNNNNNNNNNNNNNNNNNNNNNNNNNNNNNNNNNNNNNNNNNNNNNNNNNNNNNNNNNNNNNNNNNNNNNNNNNNNNNNNNNNNNNNNNNNNNNNNNNNNNNNNNNNNNNNNNNNNNNNNNNNNNNNNNNNNNNNNNNNNNNNNNNNNNNNNNNNNNNNNNNNNNNNNNNNNNNNNNNNNNNNNNNNNNNNNNNNNNNNNNNNNNNNUUGAUAUACAAAUAUUAUUGGAUGAUGUAAUAUGUUACAAAUUAAUUCAUAAGCAUUAUGAAAAUAUAAGUUAAAUGUAAUAUGAUUAUUAUAUUUAUGGACAAUUUACACAGGUUAGUCUUAUUUAUUAAUAAGCAUUACAAAAAUCUACAAACUAAUCAACAAAAAACAACCAUAUCUUCCAUAAUCAUUUACAAUGAUGUGACACCAUAAAUUAAAGGUGAUACAUUUAACGUGACACCAUAACUCAAAGAUGAUGCAUUUAAUAUGACACCUUAUAUAUUUCAUACAACUCUAUAUCAAAUUAAGCAUCACUAAAAAUAUAUGGUGUCUCUUCUAAAUGUGUCACCAUUUAUUUGCUUUGGUGUUGCUUCCAAAUACAUCACCAAUUGAUACCCUCUAUGGUGUCAGUGGAUAAGGUGACGCUAUGUUGUAGUGACACCCUAUGUUUAUAGUGACUUAUUAUAAAUGUCACCAUAUAUCUUUUUCCUUGUAGUGAAUGGAAGUAUAAAUUUUAAAAGGAUUCUCUGUGAUUAUAGGAUUUAAUUCUAAUACUCUUAUACGUAGCCAAGGGUCAUUGGACUCAUGGCAGCACACAAACAUAUCCCCUUGUAUCUAUGGAAAUUGACAUGCAAAAUACAAAUAUUUCCUCUUACAUCCCUAUUGUGUUAUAGCAUGAGUAUGAAUGUGUAUUGUCAUCUUAAGCAAACUAAUGUUGUUGCCAAUUUUUCUUGGACGCUUUUUUUAAAAAUAAAAAUAAAAUAAUGUAAGGCUAUAUAGCAGAUUCAAUUGAUAUUUUUUUCAUCUUGUCCUACAUAUGAAAAUUACAAGUAGUUCAAGAAUCCUUGUUGAAUGAAAUUGACUGAAAACAAAUCUUAUUUAUGUAAAUUCUCAAAUACUUACAACAAGAAGCCCAAACCCCCACCCCAUCUUCAUGAACUUCAUAACAAAAUACUAUAAUCCUCCCUAUGAAAUAGAACUAAUUAAUUUAAUAUCAAUAAAUCCAAAUUGCUUUCAACAUCAGGCACAAGGAGGGAUUUGAAAGUUUGUGGUUUUAUACAAUAGAACCAUCUAGAGGGAGGUUGAAUAGAUAAUCUUUUAUUAUUAGCUCAAAAACUUCAAUUUUUAUUUUAUUGUAUUGAGUUAUAUAAUUGUUAAUGUUUAAACAUCUUAUAUCGUAAAACUACUUGGAGGUGAUUUAGUGUCUUUAUGUAUUGGCAAUUCUAGGUUGAAAUUUUCAUUGUAUUCGCCUAACUCAGUUACUUCAAAUCCUUCUUCAAACUCUUGUCAUUCCUAAAUUGCUCAUAAUUGAAGAUUGUUAAAGGAGAUAGUUGGUGUUCUUGAGGCAAUUGAUGAUAUUAAACAUUGAUCAACCGAGUUUUAAACUUUUAUUCUUUUGCUGAAAAUUGGAGUUGAAGUUUAAGGAUAUCAAAUUUUGUAUUUAAAUUAUUUGGAUCAAUUACUAAUUGAUCAUGCUAAAAGGUAACAAUUUAUGUUGUAACAUGAAUUUUACAAUCUCAUCUUAUCUAUUAGAAUUUGAUCAAAUCUAUAAAAUCUUUAUUUUUUCCAAACAAAUCUGAGUUAUUAGAUGGAGAUUAAAACCUUAGUAUUUAAGCCCCUUUUUUUUAGAAAAGGCUUUAACAAUUGUAAGAGCUAGGUGGCUUUCUUGAGCUUCAAAUUCUUUAUCUAUUUUGGGAUGUUUGGUUUGAUUUUUUUUUUUAUUUUUUUUUUAUGGGUUUUAAGUUAAAAAUCUUUCAAAAUGAGUUGAUUCAAUAUAGGUUUCAUUCACACUCUUGCAUUUGUCAUCUUUAGGAUAAAAUCUAAAUUUCUUCUUAUGUAGGUUCAAGAAAAGGUCGAAAGUUUGGUGUGAACUUUAAGUAUGCUUUAAAAGAAGAAAGUGGGUAACUUAAGUUUGAAGGUACUAGGCAAACAAUUCCAAAGAGGAUUGAAGGUUUGAGUUAAGUAAAUCCUUGUAUUCAGUUUUUUUUUUCAUAGUGUUUGUUUUUUUUUAUCAUCUAUAGGCCUGUGAUAGUUUACCUAUUCAAAGGUUUUGUAUAUUAAAUCUUGUUGUUAUUAUCUCUUUAUUUCUAUCUUAUAUUUUCAUUAGUCUAUGUUGUGUCUAUGAAAGUUCCAUUGAUUUGUUAUAUAUGUUGGUUGAUUGAGAAAAUGAACUAAAAAAUGAUCAUUUAACCUUUGGCAUAGUAUGAAAUAAUUUAUGAUUUAGUAUUAAUGAGAAUUAAAACUUUGUAAAUUAUCAAAACUAUGUAGAUUUGAGCUCAGAUGUUGAAGCAUCUCUUAAAGGCAGUUGAGGUGCUCUCAACACUUGACUAUCACUUGAGCAUCUUUUUAAGACUCUAGGGUAUGCUUGAAGCUCAACUUCAAAAUUUUAUUUUUUGAUUAAAAUAAACACCUACUUUUUCAAUUUUCAUAUUGUCUACUUCAUGUAUUCUUAAAUCAUCAUUAUCCUUUUUGUAACUCCCAAUAUUUAUUAGCAUCUUUCUGAGUUGAUUCUACAACAAUCUUGCAUCUUCAAAAGAAGUGGAAGUCAAUGGAACCAAAUUGUCAACCUAAUCUAAAUAGAUUAAUGUACCAUCACUUUAAUUAGGAUAUAAUUAAUCAAUUAAAAAAAUAGCAUUUAAUCAUAUAAAGAAAUAUAUGAUUUAUGUGAAAAAACCACCAAUAAAGCAUCCUAGAGACCUUACAUAUAUAAAAGUCAUAGGGUUCAUAGAUUGUCAAGUUAAAUUCACUAAAUAUGAAGAAUAAGUACAUAGAUUUAGCUAGUAAUUAUUACUCUCCCUCAAACUUAUAUUGGUAGUCACCAAUUCUCAAUUCCAUAACAUAGUUACUUCCAUGCUGCUUAGUGGAUUGCUCAUGACCUUAAGGGAAUGUGAUAGACAAUGUGAACUAAAAACAAGGCAAGCUCAUUAAGAUGUUCCUUUUUAAUGCAUAAGGUGUGCAAUAAAAUGAGAUCGAGAAUCCUAUGCUUUGAGAGAAGGAUACUACAGUAAAAAAUGGUACCCAAAUACUAUUGAAUGACAACAUAGCUCUUGUUGCUCCUUUAUUUUUAUUUAUUUUAUUUUUUUAUUUUUGUAAUUAUCUCUUUUUUUGUUUUGAUAUCAACAUUAGAAAUAUAGAAGUCCAGAAAUUUUUUUUAGUGCUUGCAUAUUGAAGGUUCAUGCUAUAAGAGUUGGAAAAACUUGAAUAGAAACUCCCUUGAAUGAUGUAUCAAAGCUCAAUGUAUCAAUGUUAACAUAAACAUUUGAGUAGAGUAGGAUAACAUUUCUAUGUCAUAUGAAGAAAUAUACUAAAAGGGAACCAUGAAUACGAUUGGAGAAAUAUAUAUUAUAAUUUAGAGGAUUAUUAUGGUCUAUUGGUCAUAUUCAAAUGGAAGUAAUAUGGUAAUCAAUAUUUCCAUGUCAUUUGAAGAAACAUAAUAAGAGGGAACCAUGCAUGGAUAUGAUUUGAGAAAUAUAUAUUAUAAUUUAGAGGAUUACUACCUUAUAUUGGUUAUAUUCAAAUGAAAGUAAUAUGGUAAUCAAUAUGUAAUCGGUAAGAAAAUAGGUUAUGAACAAGUCAUAUUAUAACUACCUCAAAAAUCAAUAAUACAAGGAUGAAAGAGGUAUACUGAGGAAGGGUCACACCUAAAGGAUCACUUUAUUAGCACAAGUAGGAAAAUGUUAACAUAGGGUUAUGCAUUUAAGUGUAACAUGAUUGAAUUUUAUUACAAUGUCUAAAAUUUAAAUAAUUGCAUACCUCUUUUCUGAUUUUGCUCAUGCCAUUAAGAUUUUUUAUCCACAAGAAACAACCUAUAUUACAAAAAAUGGAAAAAUUAUUUUAGAAUAGUAAGAAAUUUAGGGUUCUUAUAAAUAAAAAAGAAUAUAAUUUUUUAAUACUUAAAAAAAAAAUUCCAAAGGUAAGAAUCUAAAAGCCUAUUUGAUUGUGUGAUUUAAAAACAAUUUUCUGUUUUUAAAAAUAGAAAAUUGUUUUUAAAAAUUUCUAAUUAACAUUGUUGGGUUGUCAUUCUCUAAAAACAAUUUUUAAAAACAAAGUGAAAUAGAUAAUAAUUUUUAGAGAAUAAAUAUGAAUUGUUUUCACUAGUUUUUACAAAUAAAAGAAAAAUGUGGAUUCAUUUGGGUUAUGUUUUUUUAAACUUGUUUUUUAUUCUUCAACUUAAAAAUAAUUUUUAAAAACAAAUUUAAGAAAAUAUGGCCAAAAAAACCCUAAAUGUUUACAGUAAUUUUCUAAUUUUUCAUCUCAUAAGCAAUCAAACUCUAACAUCUCACUAUUAACGUAUUAGAAAUGCAUUAUCAACUUUUUAAGUGAUACAACAUUUUGCAUAUUAAAGGGAAUGUAUAAUUAUAAAAUUAUUUUCAUAGGACAAAUACCUUUUUAAACAUAUGAGCAACCUAAUUCUGAAAAAGAGAAAAAAAGAAUGAUAAAGAGCACAAUAUUUUUUUUUUGUAUAGUGCUUAAAAAUUAGUUAAAACAACAAAUAAAAAAUAUUAAUUUACUGAAAGAUCUAAGUUUUUGAAACAUAUUAAGAAUCCAUUGUGUAAGUUGAACAAUUAAACAAGAAUUCAAAAUUAUCCUAUUGUAUUUUAAACUGGAAGUAGCUAGAUACUCACGAGGUUUAUCAAAAUCUUGUCUCUAUUCUCCAUAGAUCAUAAAUAAGUUAAAGAAAAAAUAAAACCAAGAAGAAAAAAAUACUAUAAGAUAUAUUUAUUCCAAGCUCGUCGAAAUACUGAGAGCACCCAUUUACAAAAUUGUAUUCCCGUCAUGUAACAAUUGAAUCCAACUCAUGUGACUCAUUGUUUUUUUUUUCUCAAAAACAAGUUUUUUUAAUUGCAAAAGAAAAAAGACUUAUCUGUUGAUGGUCUUGAAGUAAUUCAAAGGAUAGCCCUCAGAGGUAGGUACCAAAAACCACAAUAUCAAAAGAUGGUAAAACUAAUAAUAUAUGAAGAGUCGGUACAUUAAGUGAGAUUUUUUUAUAAGAGUACUGUAGUUUUAGAAAAUAAUUCUCAAACUACCGUAGUAGGAAAAAUAAUUCCAAAUCCACCGUAAUUUUUGUCAGGUAUGAAAGAUGAAUUUUUUUUUUAAAUCGUCUCUUCAAAAUACUAUUUAUAACAUUUUAAAAAAAAAUUUUAAAUCAUCUUUCUAAAAUAUGAGAAAUUGUCUCUUGAAAAUACAACUUUGGAAAAAAAAAAGAAGAUGAUUUUCAGAAGAAAGAAAAACUAAGAAGUAAUAAAUCAUCUCUUGAAAAGACGAUUUUUCACCAACAAUUUUCACAAAAAAAAAUUCAUAAAAAAAAGAAAAAGAGAAAACUUCAAAAAUCCAUUUUUCCAUUCCCUACUAUACUUAUACAAUAAUACAAUUAUUAUAAAUAUAUAUUAUAAAAUUAAUUAAUUUUAUUUACUAAAUUUAAUAUUUUUUCUAUUAUUUUUUUCUAAAAAAAAAAUUAUUAUUAAUUUAUUAAAAAAAUAAAAAAUUGAGAAAUUGUCUCUUGAAGAGACGAUUUUCACCAAAAAAUAAAAAAAAAGAAUAAAAAUAAAAAUUCAAAAAUCAAUUUUUCCAUUCUCUGUCAUACUUAUACAAUAAUAAAAUUAUUAUAAAUAUAUAUUAUAAAAUUAAUUAAUUUAUUUACUAAAUUUAAUAUAAGAUAAAUAAUAUUUAUCUAUUAUUCUUUUUUCUUUCAUUUUGGAAAAAAAAUAUUAUCAAUUUAUGUGAAAAAUGAGUUUAAAAAAUAAAUUUAUUAUUAAUUUAUUAAAUAAUUAUUUACAAAAUAAUUAAUUUUGUUUUUUUAUUUUAAAAUUAAUUUUAUUAUAUAAAUUUUAAAUUUUAAAAUAUUAAUCUUUAAGUUAAAAUUUUACUAUAAAAAAUGAAUAAUUUCACAUAUUUUUAGGCGAAUUUUACUUAUCAUAAGGCCUCCACUACACACAUCAUUUCCCCUAAUCCAAUAAUGCACUACACCCAUAGACCAUAGGAGAAUCUUACCUAGUACACUCUAUCACUUCAUACACUAUUACACUACAAUUCCAUUACAACACUCAACCAAUUUGACAAGAGUUUGAAGUAUUGUCAUUUCUUUUUAAAUGUUUAAAUACUCCACCAAUUUGAUCGUUUCAAGUAUUGUCAUUUCUUUUAAAACAUUCAAACGUGUGUAUAUAUAUAUAUAUACACACACCCCAUAUCCUACACACUAUACCCAUUCUACCUCUUCCCAACUUCACUUACAAUAUAAAUCAAUUUCAAACUUCUUCAUCCUCAUUUUCUCUUUCUUCCCCAUUUGAAACCAAGUUUUUCACUUUCCAUCGCUUUUAUCCAAAUCUCCCAUUUCUCUUUGUGGAACUUCUGGGUAUAUCUCCUAUUUUUUCUUCAAACACUCACACUGUUUAUCUUGAAAGGUAAUAUUUUUGCUUUAUUUUUAUUUCAAAUUAUUUUGUAAUAUAUGGUUUUUAUUAUUAUAUAAGUUUUAAAAUUUAUUUGGAUUAUGCAAUAUUUGUUUGAAUAAUAUUUAUUGGAAAUUAUUAUUUUAAAUAGAUUAAAUCAUUAAAAAAUAAAUAAAAGUUAUAUUAUUUUAUUUUUAGAUAAUAUUUUUGCCCUUGUUUCAUAUUUAUUUUGUAAUGCAUGAUGGAUAUUUAUUGUUAUACAUAUAUUAAUUUAUUGGAUUUAUGUUAAUUUUUUUAGAAUAUUAUUUGUUGUAAAUUAUCAUUAUAUAAUUCAAAAAAUAAAAGUGGUAUUAGUUUAUUUAAUUAAUAUGGAAUAAUAGGAUUAUUGAUUAUGUUUAUCAAUCAAAUAAUAUGUUUUAUAAAAUAAUAAAAUUAAAAAUUAAAAAGAAAAUAAAAUAUUAGUAAAAUGAGAAUGGAAAAUAAUAAUAAUAAAAUAAUUAUAUAUCUAUGUAUUUGCAUAAAAUAUUAUUUUAAAAAUAUUAAAGUCUAAAAAAUAGAAAUACAACAUUAUCUGACAUUAUGAAUUUAUUCUAUAUAUUUUUUUAAAAUUAAUGUUAGCCUUAAAUCAUUGAAAAAAUUGUUGUAAAAAUAAAAAUAUAAAUAAAAGUAGAAGUAAAACUAAAAUGUUAUUUGAUAUAUUUAAAUGAAUAUUUAAAUGUAUAGAAUAUAAAAUAAAAAAGUAAUGGUGUAUAAUAUAAAAUAGUAACCGUGCGUAUUAAAUGUAUAUAAUAUGUAAAUUUAUAUUUAAAAUGUUAAAUAAUAGCCAUAUUGUGGAUCCCGCAUUUCGGCUCAUGCGAUUUCCACUCGAUGACAAGUUCGAUUUUUAUUCGAAAAUGAUUUUAUUUAUUAAAAAAAAAUAUGACUUGAAGUCGCUACUUAUUUUUGUUUUAUUUUUAAAAGGGUAAACAAAAUAAGAAAGAAAACCCUAAGCGUGACUCCUUAUUUUGGAAAAUGUGGUCUGUGAAAAACCGGAUCAGGCUCGGGGGUCAGGUUACUUAUUGGGAAGGUACGGUAAAGACCGUAGCACCCCUCUAAGUCCCUAAAGUCGGGUCUCUACUAAUAAAAUGAAGCUGACGUGGCAAUCAAUAGGAAAAUCAAUGGAUACUCAAAUUAAUCAUGCACAUAUGGGAAUCAAAAGCAUGCAUAGAGAAUGAACAGAACGGGAGUGGAUGCGUACUUGGAACAUGAACGAGCGAUACGUUAUCAUAAAAAUAGAGUCGGUGUACAAUAAAGAAUACAAAACAUGUCACAUGCAUUACCAAACAAUGAUUAAGCUGUUCGAGGGAGGAUUGAAAUUUAUUCGAGGAUUGGAGUCUUAGAGAUUAUUUAAAAAUCGAAUUUUUAGGAAUUAAAUAUAAGAAUGAGAAUUUUAGAAAUUAAAUUAGAAAUAAAUUGGGACUUCGAGAUUUAUUCGAGAAUUGGAGAUUUGCAAAAUAAAUUUAAGGACUGGAAUUUCUAAAAUUAAAUUUGAAAGAAAUUGGAACUUUGGAAAUUAUUUGGGAGUUUGGGAUUUUUAAGAAUUAUUUGAGAAUGAAUGAAAAUUCGAUUUGAAAGAAAUUAGAGUUUCAAAAUUUACUUGAAAGUGAAAUUUUAGAAAUUAAAUUCGGAAUUAUGGAAUUUUUGGAAAAUUAAGUCUUAAAAAUUUGAAUCUUGGAAAGUUAAAUUUAAAAUUAGAAUUUGAAAAUUAUUCCGAGAAUUGAAUUUUGAAGAAUUAAAUCUAAAAAUUGGAGCUUUGGAAAAUUAAAUUAAGAAUUUGAGUUUUGAAAAUCAACUUUAGAAAUUGAGGAUUCGAAAAAACAUUCAAAAGUGGAGACCUUGAAAAUUAGAUUUAAGAAAAGAAUUUUGAGAAAUUAAACUUUGGGAAUAAAGAUUUUGAAAGUUAAAUUCGAAAAUUAAAAAAAAAAAAUGGAAAGUUAAACCUUGAUAUCAAAGAGGAAGAAUUUGAAUAAAUGAAUAAAUAAACAAAUAUAUAUAUAUAUAUAUAUAUAUAUAUAUAAAAGAAUAAAAUGGAGGUGGUCGUUGGGGGUGCGGGCCAAGGGUGGCCCCGUGAAGUGACAUGAUCACCUCAUGAUUACCAUCUCCCUAAACUUUAAGCUCCGCCAUACCAAAUAACCGCAAUCAGUCCAACGGUCUCUGAUGAUCGAGAGUUGUUUCAUCAAGAGAGGGUAUUUCUCCAUUGAUUUUAGGAACAUGAGGAAUAGAGACCAUCUGAUUUAAUAUUUUGCCUACUUCACCAUCGAGUGCAUUCUCAUCUGUCAGAUCUAGAGAAUAUGACCAACCCUCCCCAUUGUGUGACUUUUCGUCAGGACUAGAACAUGAACUAGAAAGUCCCAUACCAUCUAUAUCUUUCUGGCCGCUCUCAUGCCUAAAUCCAUAAUUUUCCAUAGAUUGAUCGGGCCAUUCUUUUGGAAGAAUAGAUACUUGCAAAUCCUCUACCACUUCAUGUGAAAAUCUAGCUGUUUCGUCAAUAGCAAGUUGUGAUAGUUCUUCUUAAAGAGCAUGUUCGAUAAUCUCACCAUUCUCCGCAUUGCCACAUUCAUUAUCAUAACGAUCUUCCUUUAAAUGUUAUCCAUCAUAAUAACUUACAUCAUUUUGCACAAUGGUGCCACCAUACCCGCACUUAGAAAACGGAUCAUCAUCAGAAGCCGGAGACCCCACCGAACAACAAUAGGAUCUUGCCCACAUGCGAUCAUUUGCAAUGAUAUCAAUGUCGGCUGCAUUGAUCUUGACAGCAGCUAAUUCUUUCUCCUUCAUUCUCAUGGCAUUCUCGUUAGCAUCGGUCGACAUAAUGACAAUAAGCAGUUUUUGAGGUUCUUCUUGAAUUUUAUCAAGGAGAUAUCGUCCAUCCAUGCAGCUGCCCCAUUAUUUUACUUUGACCGGGACCUGAAAAACUUGCCUCACUAUUCAUUCCCGCAUNNNNNNNNNNNNNNNNNNNNNNNNNNNNNNNNNNNNNNNNNNNNNNNNNNNNNNNNNNNNNNNNNNNNNNNNNNNNNNNNNNNNNNNNNNNNNNNNNNNNCAAGCAUGACAAUAUUAAGAUCCAACUCUAGGUAUUGAUUCAAAAGUAGUGGCUUAGGAGGCAUCGAUAUUAUUUUGAGUGUAUGGAACGUUCUCAAAAGUGAACUAUGCCCACAGAUCGGAGUAACAAAACCUGUAUUAGGCAAUGCUGUCAGCUUGCAGGGAGUCUUUCAUGACUGCUUAAACUCGAAUUCGGGCAUCUUAAAGUACCACAACAUGGCCAUAGUUGAAACUCCCAAACCCGAAGAGAGUUAGUUGAGGUUCCAGAUAAAGAAAAUUGGUGCGCUUGAGCUCAUCAGGUGCAGAAGGUAUGACCUUAACCGAUUCGGUGGGUUUGGGGUUGUAAGGUUUAGUGGUUGGAAUGUUUUGGUAAGAAGAAUAGGAUGAGAGACUAGUUGAGCUAAGGGAUCAAAGUUGAGUUGUAUCUGAUGGGUGAUCCAGAUGACGGUUUUCUUCUUGUUAAGUGCAACAGAUGAAAAGUUGGAUGGGGUAUGAGGAGUAUUUGGCUUUUGGUUUAUGCUCGGUAUAGAACAAAUGUCAUGGGAAUGCGUUGAAAGGAUGCUAGGGAAUCGUACGUACGUGUACACAGCAUCUGCGUGGGAGGCUAGAGAAAUAAUGGGUGGGAAAAGAAAACGGGUCAAACGUAAGGGGUGAUUUGAAGAUAGUGAGAGAAUGAAAUAAGUGUGUAUGCUUGUGGUGGUUAUCGAAAAUGUGAGGGGUGGGGAGUGUGAUAGCUUCAAUGGGUAUGAGAAUAGGGAUAAGCCGACAGGGAGCACGAUAGAGGGUGGAUUUUGCAAAAGGUCUUGUGGGCCAUGCAAAGGUGGAAGAGAUGGGGUACAUGGUAGGUAUUGAAAAAUGGUGUGUGGUGUAGAGAGAUGAAACGGGAGGUGAGCAGUGAGUGGGAUGUAGGGGUAAAAGGGUGGCCAUGCACACAUGUGGAGUAAACCCAUCAAUAUUGCACUUCCCAAUUCAUCCCGUGGCCGAUGAAUACAACAUCCCGGUGCUACUUCUCAUACCCAUUUUGCAUUUUCUGAAUGUCAACACCUGAAUAUAGCUUUGAAUGCUGAAAAGGUGGCGACAAACACCCGAUCAUGAUAGGAUGAUGGCUCUGAAUGUCAAGCUGGGAAGGAAUGGUGGCUUUGAAGGCCCAAACCGAGAAGAUAUGGUGGCUUUGAAUGUCAAACUGCGGAGAAUGAUGGCUCUGAACGCCCGAAUGUGAGAACGACGGCUCCUUGAACGCCUGAAACUGUGAAGAGGUAGUGGCUCUGAACGUUGAACUAAAAAGAGAUGAUGGCUCUGAAUGUCGAAACUGAAGAUGCAAUGAUGAUGGCUCUGAACGCCGAAACUGAAAAUGUGACUCUUAACAUCAAAUUGAAAAUGCGAUGAUGGCUCUGAACGCCGAAACUGAGAAGCGACGAUGAUGGCUCUGAACGCCAAAACCAAAAAUGCGAUGAUGAUGGCUUAGAGUGCCGAAACUAAAAAUGCGACUCUGAACGUCAAGUUGAAAAUGUGAUGAUGAUGACUCUGAACACCAAAACUAAGAGGCGAUAAUGAUGGAUCUGAAUGCCGAAACCAAAAAUGCGAUGAUGAUGGCUCUGAACGCCGAAACUGAAAAUGCGACUCUGAACGUCAAGCUGAAAAUGUGAUGAUGAUGGCUCUGAACGCCGAAACUGAGAAGCGAUAAUGAUGGCUCCGAACGCUGAAAGAAAAAAUGAGAUGAUGAUGGCUCUGAACGCUGAAACUGAGAAGCGGUGAUGAUGGCUCUGAAUGCCAAAACGGAAAAUGAUAUAAUGACCCUGAAUGCCGAACUAUGAACAUGGCUUUGAAUGCCAAACUGCGAAUAAAUGGUGGCUUUGAACGCCAAACUAAAAAUAAUAGCCAUGAAUGCUAAGCAAAAACAACGGCUGUGAACGCCAAUGAUAACUAUGAAUGUCAAGCUGAGAAANNNNNNNNNNNNNNNNNNNNNNNNNNNNNNNNNNNNNNNNNNNNNNNNNNNNNNNNNNNNNNNNNNNNNNNNNNNNNNNNNNNNNNNNNNNNNNNNNNNNCAAAAACAACUGGCUGUGAACGCCAAUGAUAACUAUGAAUGUCAAGCUGAGAAAGACAACUUUAAACGUCGUAAUUGAGAGGACAUGGUGGCUUUGAACACCAGGCUGAAAAUGGAUGACUUUGAACAUCAUAACCGAUAAUGGAUGGUGGCUCUAAAUGCCAAACUGUAAGGAAAUGAUUAGGGGGGGGGGGGGGGGGGNNNNNNNNNNNNNNNNNNNNNNNNNNNNNNNNNNNNNNNNNNNNNNNNNNNNNNNNNNNNNNNNNNNNNNNNNNNNNNNNNNNNNNNNNNNNNNNNNNNNAGUCUCAUGACCCGCUCGAUGAAAUCACGAGGUUUGUCGGAGUGUCGCAAUAAGCCGAACUCCUCUAACUCAUAAUGCUCUGCCGAAAGAAUCUAUCGUCACCCCGAACGGAUAAUCCGAUAGUCUUAGGGAGUAGUCUGGUAAGAGACAUACCACGAUCUUGACAUAACAAUCUACUGAAUAGUCUUGGCUAGUGAGGCUAUCAAAACCCGAAUAUCGUGCUCCACUGAAAGCUCAUCUCGACGAAAAGCACAGGAAUAGUGACCAGUGAAGCAAAUGCAAUAUCUCUUGACUGAGUAAUGAAAACUAUAAUAGAUCUGUGAGAGAAUGAUCAUCUCCAUAGCUAAAGGAGGGAAAUAUGCCCCAGUAUGGCAUCAGAUAUAUCCAAUCUGUCCUAAUAACUCAAGAAUAACUCUAUGGGGACAUACAAAGGAUCUAACAUGUACUCCACUGAAAUAGUGACGCAGGCAUCCACGCGCCUGAGAUAACUCCUUCUAAGAAUCACGACUAUAUCAGAAAACGUGAAUCUGGCUGAAAGACUCAAGAGAGGCUCCAUGGAGUAUCAGGACACAAUGAAAUCGAAUCAUCAACCCGAUGUGUAUCUCAAAAUCGAGGGUGAUCAUGCGAAUCAGUGGGGGAUGUACAAAUCUCGACUGAAAUGGGGAAUACACCCCAGUGUGGCAUCAUAAAUGUGACAAGUCGGAAAGUCAGAUGAGCUCAAAUCAUCCAUCAUCGAAUUCGUGAUCCAAGUCAUCCAUGUCUAUAACUGAAUCAGACCCACAGAUCAAAGGGGCGUCUCCCAGAAGGAAAGCAUGAUGACAUCUAAGUGUCGAGAAGUGCAGGCCUAACUGGGCAAUUCCCAAGAGGCUCCAUUGAGGAAUCAUCAUAAAGAUACCGAAUAGAUCAUCGUCUCGAUGUACGUCUUGCAAAUGGGGAUAAGCGCGUAACUCCACCAAGAUCUAUAAAUCUCAUCCUGAAUGGUAAUAUGCCCCAGUAUGGCAUCAAACAUAUGAUAGGUCGGAGACCGGGCAACAUGAAAUCAUCUAUCAUCGAACAUGCGACAUCUGUGAAGAUCCAUAAAUCUCAUCUAAAAUGGAAAAUAUGCCCUCGUAUGGCAUCAGGUGCAUAAUAGGUCAAAAGAACAAGUGACAUGAAACCAUCUCUCAUCAAACAUGUGACCUCUGUGAAGAUCCGUAAAUCUCAUCUGAAACGGAAAUAUGCCCCAGUAUGGCAUCGGAUGUGUGACAGGUCAGAAGAACAAGUGACAUGAAACCAUCUCUCAUCAAACAUGUAAUCCUGGUCAUCCGAAUCCAUAACUGAAUCAUGCCCACAGAUCUAAGAUGUACCUCCCGGAUGGAGAAGCAUGAUGGCAUCUAAGUGCCGAGAAGUGCGGGCCUAGCUAGAUGGCUCUCGGCAGGCUCCACUGAGGAAUCAUGAUAAGGUAACGAUCAUGUCCACGUCUUAGUGAGCAUCUAGUAAGUGAUGAUGAUCGUGCAAGUCCAUGAGGAUCCAUAAACCUCUAAAUGAAAUGGGAUAUGCCCUAGUGUGGCAUCAGAGGUACGAUAGGUCAAAAAUCGGGUGACACCAAAUCAUCCAUCGUCAAACACAUAAUCCCGGUAAUUCGAACACAACUGAAUCGGACCUACACAUCAAAGAGGCGACUCCUAGAAGAAGGAAGCACGACGAUAUCUAAAUAUCAACCAGAUCUCAAACACUCGUCCAAGUAGAGGCUGUCAAAGAUGACAUCUGAUCCCAUGACCUCAGGGUGGUCUUAAGACAUGGGACGUAACGUAGGCCAAGGUGAUAAGGUGAUAGAAAUGAAGGAAAACUAGACUCAAAUACCCAAUGAUCAAAAACCCACGCCCUCAUAUAUGAAAUGCAACAUGUAUAAUGAAUCUCGUGAGCCAUGGACCUAAGGAUGCCUAACAUGAAUAUGAUGUCGAUAAGGAGACAAAUAAAGCAAAAUGAACUGAUAGUGAUAUGUGUAAUGAUGAUGUGAAGAGAGUAUCAAACCCGAGAUGGGUUGCUGUAAGAAAAGAAUAAGACGUGAAGUGAAAAUGAUGAAUCCAAAGCGAAAACGAGGAUGAUGAUGAAACAAAUAACACAAAGAGGAGUAGUGAUCAACUCAAAUCAGACAUGGAGUGAAGUCACAUCAACAAUGAACGUAAUGAUGGAAGGGACAAUGACCCAGAGCUCCUAAGAGAAGGUCACUCAUCUCGCUCUCAAAAUAUACAAUAAAAAUGAAUACAAAGCAUAGAGGGUCUCAGAAAGCUCACAUACGAACUCCCAUCAACAAACAUACUCAAUCAAGUCACCCUCGAACAUCAACAUACACACUCAAUGAUAGAAAAUAAUACACAUGCGUUUUGUUUUUUUUUUUUUUACAUAUAUACAAAUGUACACACCUUGAACAUGAACAAAAUAAGCCUAAAUAUGAUAUCAAUAAUGGAUAGACGCUAUCUCGAAAGCUAAGGUAACAAAAACCCUCUUUGACAAGAUAACCUUUUCAAACUAAGAAUCUCUGAACCAGUGUCCGUUGGAUAGAUAGUGGUAAUGAUAUGACUACCCUCCAUGUAAUGAACUGAGGAAGAUCACCACUCGGGGUGGAAAGAAUAUGAAGCAAAACAAGUAGUAGAUAGAAUAAAGAAGAAUAGAUGAAGAACACAACCAAUGAGAUACAAUGGAAUGCAGUGAUGCAAUGAUGAGAAGAGAUAAUGAGAAGAAUGUGCCCCUCGGUCCAAGGCUCAUGAAACUUCCAAACAAUGAAUGCAUACACCAAAAGGGCCCCUAUCCCGGUGUGAAAAUGUGAGCAAGGCGAUAAGAAAGAAAUGCUAUAAUGCUCAUGCGAGGCUCAAUGGGCUAGCAACAGACUAUAUAUCAAAAGGGAAUAACAAGGUAUAUGGCUAACUGAAAUGACGGCCACCAUCCUACGACCAUGGUGUCAAACAUAGUACCUCUUUAGCUGAUCCAUAUUGGUCGGCUUUGAGAAUCGGUUUCCAUCUAAAUCCAUCAACCAUGCAACAUCCUCUGGGGUCAACUCCCUGAUGAAGUAAGGUUCGCUCCAGUUGGGUCUGAACUUCUUUCUAGGAUCUCUGAUCAAUCCCCUGAUGAUCUUCAGAACCAAGUCACCUAUCCGUAGUGGUCAGAGCUUGACCUGCUUUUUGAAAGUGCGGGCCAUCUUCCUCUGAUAUGCACGAAUGUGGUCGGCUGCUCUCAAUCUCCUCUCAUCUUGGAGAUUGAGCUGAUCAAAUCGAGACUGAGCCCAAUCUGCCUCGAGCAUCUGUUGCUCUAAUGCUACCCUCAAUGAACCCAACUCUAUCUCGACUGGUAGCACUACCUCCAUAUUGUAUACCAAAGAGUAGGGUGUGGCUCCUGUAGAGGUGUGAAAAGAAGUCCGGUAAGCCCACAAUGCGAAAGGAAGCUUCUCAAACCAAUCCCGAGAAGUCUUGAUCAUCCUCCGCAAGAUCCUCUUAAUAUUCUUAUUCACGGUCUCUACUGCCCCGUUCGUCUGCGGCCUGUACGCAGACGACCUAUGGUGUCGGAUGCCAUAUUACCGCACUAAAGUGUCAACCUCUGCCCUGAAAUGUACCCUUCUAUCCGAAAUCAGCUCAUGAGGGACUCCACAGCAACAGAUAAUGUGUGACCUGAUGAAACUAGCCACUCCAGAUGAUGUCAAUCUCGCAUACGAAGCGGCCUCCACCCACUUGGUGAAGUAAUCGAUGGCGACCAGGAUGAACUCAUGACCACUGGAAGAUUUCGGCGAAAUCUUUCCGAUGAUGUCAAUACCCCAUACAGAAAAUGGUCAUGGUGAAGUCAGUGCAUGCAACUCCGAGGACGGCACGUGAAUGAGAUCUCCAUGUAUCUGACACUCGGGACAUCUCUGAACAAACUGGAAACAAUCUAUCUCCAUGGUCAACCAGAAAUAGCCAAUCCUCAUGAUCUUACGGGCCAACAUAUGUCCUCCCAUAUGUGGUCUGCAGACUCUUGCAUGAACCUCUCUUAUCACUCUAUUGGCAGAGGCUCGGUCCAAGUACAAUAAUAGCAUCUCGUCAGCCGAUCGUCUAUACAAUGUCUUGCCACAAAUCACCAAUCCGGUGGCUAACUGUCUCAAUGAUCUCCUAUCCUUGGCCAUGGCAGUCUCAAGAUACACGCCAAGUCUCAGAAAGUGAUAUAUGUCAUGGUACCAGGGCAAACCAUCAUCUAUCUCCGUAUCAUCAAUUAGACAACAGUACGCAAGAGCAGAUCUCGACUCGAUCAACAAUGGGCGAACGGUGACAUCAGUAGGAAUGUCAAUCAUGGAAGCUAGAGUAGCUAAGGCAUCAGCAAACUGGUUCUGCGCUCUAGGCAGAUGGGUAUAUAUCAAAUCAUCGAAUCUCCCAACCAGUAGCUUUAAAUAUGCGUGGUAAGGCCUAAGCUUCACAUUUCUAGUCUUCCAUUUGCCUUGAAUCUGUCUCAAUACUAAAUUGGAGUCACCAAACACCUCUAUCUGUCUAAUCCCGAGCUCUAGGGCCGUUUCUAAUCCCAAGAUACAAGCCUUAUAUUCAACAAUGUUGUUCGUGGCAGGAUGUCGAUCCCAGAAUGCCAAACGAACAGAUCUGGGAAUGUGAUCACCAUGAGGGGAUAUCAACAAGACGCCUAUCCCGUAUCCAGAAUGGUUGGCUGCACCAUCAAAGUACAUGCGCCAACCUGAUAAACUGGUCACAACAGCCACAUCCUCGUCCGGGAAGUCAUCAUCAAUGGCUCUGCCGUCGGAAACUGGUAAAGAAACUAGGUGAUCCACGACAAUGCUCCCUUUGAUGGACUUCUGAGUGACAUAAUGGAUGUCAAACUCGAUUGGAAGUACCAACCAUCUUAUGAGGCGACCAACUAAGGCGGGUUUGUCAAACAAAUAUCUCAGAGGAUCUAAAUGGGAUAUCAAGUGCACUAAAUACUCUAUCAUAUAAUGUCUCAGUUGGCGUGUGGCCCAAACCAAUGCCAAACAGUAACACUCAAUCAUGACAUAUCUUGUCUCAUAGUCUAGCAUCCUCUUACUCAUAUAAUAAAUAGCUCGGUCCUUGCCUGAAUCAUCAAGCUGAGCUAACAUACACCCCAAUGCUACGUCUGAAACUGAUAGGUAUAGGAGUAAGGGACGACCUGGUGUAGGAGGCGCCAAGACUGGAGGUGACAACAAGUACUCUCUGAUCCUCUCAAAUGCACGCUGACACUGAUCAUCCCAAAUAGUAGGUUGACUCUUCCUCAAGAGUCGAAAAAUGGGCUCACAGAUGUCUGUCAAUCUGGCAAGGAAUCUGCUGAUGUACUGAAGUCUACCUAGGAAGCCUCUGACCUCUCUCUCUAUCCUCGGUGCAGGCAUGUCAAGAAUAGCUUUGAUCUUAUCCGGAUCUACCUUUAUGCCUCUUUCAUUGACCAUAUAUCCAAGGAGUUUCCCAGAAGUCACUCCGAAAGUGCACUUCUUGGGAUUGAGUCUCAAUCUGAAUUGUCUAAUCCUCUCAAAGAACCUCUCCAGAGCUGUCAGGUGAUCUGGUCUAUCUUGGGAUUUCACUAUCAUGUUGCCUACAUAAACCUCGACAUCCCGAUGCAUCAUGUCAUGGAAGAGGGUGGUCACCGCUCUUUGAUAAGUGGCUCCUGCGUUCUUCAAUCCGAAUGACAUGACUCUAUAGCAAUAAGUACCCCACUCGGUAAUGAAAGACAUUUUCUCCAUGUCCUCUAAAGUCAUUAAGAUCUGAUUGCAUCCGGAAAAUCCGUCCAUAAAGGACAACAUCGAAUGACCUGCCGUACUGUCAAUUAGCAUGUCGAUGUGUGGAAGAGGAAAAUCAUCCUUAGGAUUGACCUUGCUGAGGUCUCGAAAAUCAACACAGACUUUCACCUUGCCGUCCUUUUUGGGAAUAAGGACGACAUUGGCCAACCACUCCGGGUACUCGACCAUUGAAAAAAAUCCUACACUAAGUUGCUUCUGAAUCUCCUUAUUUACCUGCAAGCUCCAACGAGGAUGCAAUCGUGUCAACUUCUGCUUAACCGGUCUGAUAUGGGGCAGAAGUGGCAAACGAUGCUGGAUGAUAGAUGGAUCAAGGCUUGGCAUAUCCUCAUAGGACCAUGCGAAAAUGUCCAAGUAUGCUAUGAGCAACUGGAUGAGGCUAUCCCUUUCAUCAACAGAUAAAUCUGAUCCGAUCCUUAACUCCCUAGGCUGAUCUGCUGUGCCGAAAUAAAAAAUCUCUAUGUCCCCUACAACAUGUGAAACUCUCUGAUCAAUGGGAUCCGAAUCGGAAAUAGAAGAUGAGUCAUCGUCUGAAUCAUGCUGUGCAAUCUCAUCAUCAAUGUCAAAAAUCUAUGAUGUGGGUGAGGAUGGUGCGGGUAAAGCAAUAACAUGAGAGACAGACAAAUACUAAAAAAUGCUCAAAUCCAUAGAUGAAGAGUCAGAAACAUCGUCAUGACGGGAGACAAAUCCCGAUAAGACAUUAAAGGAAAGAGGUGGGUCCACAAAGUUGGACGCUCUCUUAACUAAGCCAACAAGGCCAUCAAACAAGCCAUCAACAACUAUAACAUCCUCAGCAAUCUCCAGAACGGGGGCGACCUGGAUCUCCUCGACAAUCUCGAGGAUGGACACCCCGAAGAGAUCGAAUGGUGAAGCGAGCUCAAAUGGGGCUAUCUCCUUGAUUUGGCUCAAGCUCAUCGCGAUCAUCUCAUCAACAUACUCGUCAUGUGGCACGACUUUGUCUAAUAUGUUGCUGCUCUCGAAAAAUGUCCAGUAAUCAUCGAUCUCAUCCGAGAAGCAAAGCGUCAUAAGGCUCGUGCGAUCUGGGGAGGAAGGAGUGAUCAACGCAGAAGUUGAAGGGCCAGGGGCUCCGUCACUCAAUCGUAACUGUCGGACGAGGCGCUGAAGCUCGGCCUCCUGGGUGGUGCUAAGUCCUCCGAUGAUCCCAUCAGAUAGUGCAUGUGGCUCCGACGCCCUCACAAAGUAAUCUGUUAGGCUCAUGGUAUAUGGGUGAACAGGAUAAUAAAAUGGAAUAUGGGUCAGUCGAGCCCUCACCCUCUCCUUCGGCAAUCGCUCCAUAUUACGAUAAUCAGCCUCAGUGGGGAUGAACCUGAGUCCGAAUGCUACGUCGUGAUCAAGGAAGGUCAUGAACUCACUAGGCCCGUACUGACGCUGCCCUAACCCCAUGCCGGGAAGAUAAGACAUACCCCUCAUCAUGUCAAGCACUAGAUACUGUGCUGGUCGAAAGAUAUGGCUACAAAGUCUCGACAGAAAUCCUCUAUCUCCAAAGUCUGCACCUCGUCGAAGGUGAAUCCGAUCAAAAAAAGAUAGUCAUCAGUGUGACUAAUCUGAAGUACAGGCUUGGCAGAAAUGAACACAUCUCCUAUAGACUGCACCACAACGGCCUGGCCAUCAUGAAUAAACUUCACCUUCUAAUGAAGGGAAUAAGGAAUGGCCCCAACUCUAUGGAUCCAUGGUCGGCUCAGAAGUAGGUUAAAGGAUGUAGGAAUCCUCAAAACCUGAAACACGACAACAAAAGUGGUCGGACCAAUCAAUAGCUCAAUCUCCAAUGUACCCAUGACCUUCCUCUGAGUACUAUCAUAUGCGCGAAUGGUCUGAGUGGAGGGACCGAAGUCAGAUGGUGCGUAGCCGAGGGCAAUGGCAGUGGAAAGAGGACAGACGUUCAGGACCAAGCCAUUGUCCAGAAAGAUAGAUGGGACUCGGCGGCCUGAACAAUCGACAGAUAUAUAAAGUGGACUUGUGUGGUCCGAGCCCUCCGUGGCAAGUCAUCAUCGAAGAAUACAAUGCAUGUGGCUCUGCUGGCCGUCAUCAUAUGAAUCAAUCUCUUAGGAGAAGUGGUAGUAUCGACUCUGAUCUGGUUCAAGGCUCGAAUCAGAGCAUCACGGUGAGUGCUCAAGGAUGCCAACAGGCUCUAGAUGGAAAUACGAGCUUGGGUGCUCUGUAGCUGUCUCAAAAUCUCGUCAUCCUUUACUCUGACCUCCUCGAGAGCAGAUAUACCCUCAACUAACCUAGCUGCUACGGGAGGUGGCUGUCGCAACACUCUACCUCAUUGGAGAAUAUAAUGAACAUCUAGAGUCUGAGAAUCAUCAACACGCGGAGCCUGAACCUCCUCAACAUCCGGGAUCAAGAUGAAUGAAGUCUGGACGCUGUAAUGUGGAAAAAUCAAUGGCUCAACAAUGGUAGUCUGUACCGAUGCCGCCCUGGGAACUAAUUCGAAUGAAACGGGCAUCCAAGGCCCCAAAGUCGCUUUGUCCAUCUCAUAAAUACCAUUUGACACAAUAGGCUCUGGGUUUGAAUCAUCCGAACUAAGCAUAUGAACGUGAUCAUCAAGCUCAACGAAGUCCAAGAAAUGUAUGCCAUCGGCCGGUGGAGGAACGACAUGUGUAGUGUGGGCAGGUAAUGGGUUUGUGGUCACAUUCAGCUGACCCUGACCCAAGUGCACCAAACCUUGGUUGAUCAAAUCCUGAACGACAUGCCUCAAAGCAGUUCAUCGAUCGGUCUCACGUCCAGGCCCUUGAUGGUAUGCACAGUGCAAAUCCAUCCUGAACUGAGGUGGAAUAGGCUGAGGAGGUGGCCUAGGGGUGAGAGCAGUCAAUAACCCGGCCUCUGUAAGCUUCCGAAGAGCCUGGCUCAAUGGCAUGCCUAAUUGUGAGAACUACCUCUGCGUCCUCAAAGCAAAUGGAGCAGAAGCCUGCUGAGCUCUGGGUCGGGGAUAAGAAGUUAUGGGUCUCGUAGUGAACUGAGCAGCAUAGCACGAUUGUCCUAUGGCCUUGUAUGAGACAGGUGACCUCUCGAUGCCUUGGGUGGCAUAGUAAGGCAAAGCCAAAGUCUGUGGCAUAUAGGACUAAUCAUGAGUCGGACGAGGCGCCCGUGGCCUAUACUGCUGAAGUGGAUAUGAAGGAUGAGUCUCUAGAAGCUGUGGGACCGACUGAUGGCGCCUGAGAGGUCUUUGACUAGAAGAACCGAUAGCGCUCACAUCAACUGACCUCUGUCCUCCAAAGGGUUUCUUCCCCUUAACAUCACUAGGGGAAGAAUCAGUUCACAAUUAUCUCAAGAUGCCGUCCUCGACAUCGUACAAAGCCAAAACCAACGAACCAAAAUCUAUGAAGAGUACCCCAAUCACGUGUCUGGCAAUCCUGGGCUGUAGGCUCCUCAAAACCAUCUGUAUCUGAUCUCUCUCUAGAGGCCUGUCAAUGGUCUCGGCAAUCUUCCUACGCCAACGGGAGAUGAAGGAUGAAACUGACUCAUCUAUCCUCUACCUCAGAGCCUCGAGCUCUCUCCUUGAUACAUCCAUCAUAGUGUUAAACGAAAACUAUCAUAAGAACUCCUAGGCCAAGUCGUCCCAUGUCCGGCAUCGUGAAGACUCUAGGAAUGCGAACCAGCGCUGGGCUGCCCCACUUAGAGAUAGCGGGAACAAAGUGAUCAUCUAUGACUCAUCCAAUCCGUGUGCUCUCAUCACUGUGCUAUAGAGUCUGAGGUGGAUGCGAGGACAACCAAUGCCCGUAUACCUCUCAAUGUCCAGCAUCCUGAACUGAGCCGACAAACUGGCCACCAGCAUACCCUCAAGAUCAUCCCAAAUAGCUGAUCCAUCUGACACUCUCAUCUACCUCAUAUGCUGCUCGAUACGGUCCAUAUGUGCAUGAGCGUCAUUAGUGACUGUGGUCUGAACGAUUGCAGGUGGGGCAACCUCAGAAUGCCCAUGCAAUACAUAAGGUGAGGCCUGAGGCACCAUUGGAACAGGUGGUGGCAGUGGCUGUGGCAACGAAUCAUGAAGAGUCUCAUCAUGAACUACGAGUGGUCUGCUCUACUGGCUGCCAAUCUCCUGCCUGAGGCUAGCCAAAGCCUCUUGGAUAGAAGCCAUGACGGUCGUAAACUGAUCCACUGUAACAACCUAUUGAUCCAUACUCAAUCUCUCGGAAUACCGGACUAAUCUCCCCUCUACUCUAACCCAAGAAGACGUAUCCAGACUACGAACAAAGAUUUGAUCCUAAAAGCGCGAAGAAAUGAAUAAGGAUAUGGGACGAAGAAAGCACAGAAGAAAUGAUAAUCUGAAUGGAAACAAGCAAGACAUCUAAGUGAAGGUAGACUUUCUGACCAUACUCAAACUCAUACUAAUCUCUGUACACUUUCAAUUGAAGACUAAAAAAGGAGUAUCGGAAUCCAAACUGUGGCUACAGAGGCUUUGAAAGUUCUCAGAUGCACCCACAUGUAGGGAGUGAACCCUAAUCGAAUGAUCUACGGCUCAACCUACGAGGUCAAGGUGGCUCUAAAUGGAUAUGAGUGGGCUUUAAAAGAUCCCUUAAGCAGAGGCGAUCAUACUGAUUACUACUCAAAAAGUGCUAUUUGAUAGCUUAUAAUUAAUCCUUUUAAACACUUUUGAGUAGUAGUUUAGGCCUUUUAACUCAAUUGGCAUGUUAAGGACCCUUGAAAGGAAUUUUAAUCACUUUGUGUAAGUUUUGGUGUUUUUGUUAGUAAUUUGAUCAUCAAAGCAAGUCAAGACUGAGGAGAGCUAUGAGGAAUCUUGGGCAAAGCUUAGAAGUCAUUUGCCAAGAGUAAAUCCGGAUUGCAAGGAGAAAAAGUAAAGAGAAUCUGCCAAGAAGCAUAUUCUUGAUGACAGUCGUAUCAGCCACUUUUGGAGCCUCUUAUGAGGUCCAAUUGAUGCAUGCUAUAUACCAUUUCAAAGCUCAGGAAGUCAACAAUCCAAUGCUACAAACGGUGUAUAAUUCAGAGUUGAAACGAAGAAGUUGCAGCCAUUGCAAGCCAAUCACUCCGAGCUGAAGGAAGCAUUUUGCAAAGUGCUGCGAAAUCACCCUUUUGUUGCGAAGUGAUUCCGCAGCCUUUUUGUACAGUAGGGUGUAUUUCCUUCUGAAGUUGCCCGACAUAUACCGCGAGAGGGAAGUUGGGAACCUCAAGGUGGAAGCCAACUUCGCAGCCCUGCGAAGAUAGCAUGUUGUUGCGAAAUGAUUUCGCAGCCCUCUUGAGUGUCUGAGAAAUCUCGCAGACACCAUUUUCUCUUGCGAAAUGGUUCCUGGAGCCUCCCGAUAUUUGCUACCGACAUUGGGAGAUAUUUUACAUCAGAUUUUUGUUGUCUAAAUCCCAAAAUACUCCUUGUAAGCCACCAAUUACAAGAUUCCUUAGCUUUUAAGUUAGUAAAAAGAGAAAAUAUCUAUGUAAUAAUUAGUUUUAUAUUAUGUUCAUAUAUAUACCUCUCGGGAGCCUGUUCUCAGGGAGGAGAUCCUUUUGUAAAGUUUUGGGUAAGCAAGUAAAGUUUAUUUUUUUCUACUGCCUUACCUUCUCACUUUGUAUUUUUUAGUUAAUACUAAGUUAUGAACUCUCUGAGGAGUUUUCCCCAGAGAAUGAGUAACUAAACCUCUAAUUCCUUGGAGCUAAGGUUGCCGGGGAAGGUUCCAAGUGCAAGAAUGCAAAGCUUUGUGGUUUUAGCUAGUAAUGAAGAGGAAGUGAAAUCCUUUAGUGAUUUCUAUGUUUUUAGUUAACUUAAAACACCUUAGAGUCACCUGGGCCAACACUUGGUAAGGCAAGUGAUUUCCAACCAUGGAAAUGCACUAGUUUACCCCUUGCAAGCCUCUGGUAGGUGACUUCAGGGUAGGAUUUUCUAGAAUAGCCAACACUUGAUAAGCUUUUGGACUCCAAGGAGACAUCCAUUAGUUAUCUCUUGCGAGCUUUUGACGGGUAAUCCAAGGUUAAGGAUCACCUUGAAUGGUUAAGGCUUAGUGAGAGGCUUAAACCAUUGCAAGUUGCAUCAGUGAGAGAAUUAAAGUGAAAUCUAAUUGAAGGAUGAAUCUGUACAACACCAGCUAGAGAAUUGACUAUAUGUUGAAUCUCUAACGCGAGGAAAGGAACCAUCUGACCGGAGCUAGGUCUUUUGCAUAAGGAACCACCCCAGUGAACCUAACUCUCCAAGGAAUGCUUUUCUUCCUAAGUUAUUCCGAGUACUUGUUAUGUUAGUUAGUUUAAAUCUUUACCAAUCAAAGUUUGUGUUUUAUGUCUUAAGCUAACCUUGAAAUGAAACAAGACCAAUUCACUUGGAAUUGGUAUCAUUGAUAGCUUGCUAAUCCUUCCCAGUGAACGAUCCUAGAGCCGCUAUACUAUAGUAGCUUUUUCUUUGCUACCCUAGUAUAUGGUGUUAUAGGUUAUAAAUUUUGUUGAUUACUCCCUCAAUCAAGGAGCACCAGCUGGACACGAAUCAGCUGAGACACCAAUUGGGCACGAAUCACAUACCCUCCGACAGUAUGCAACCCUCUGUACGUCUCCGAAGAGACGGGGCGCUUCCAUGCAAGGUGGUCAUCACCUCCACACAUGCACUAUCUCGACAUCCCAAGGGGGUUUCCUAUGGUGAAAACCUCUCAAACUCGCAACGCUCAAUGGUCAACUAGAGUGCACAGUGAAUGGUGCGGGUGCAUCCAAAAACCCUAGGAAGCUAAAACAGAAAGAUGAAACACACUGGCCGCACAAAUAUCCAUGAGACCUAGCUCCGAGCUAUACGAGUCUUCAAUGAUCGGACUCCAAUCGACAUCAAAGUGUCGCUCUCCUCCAGAAUGCUCCCAUACAUUGAUAUAGCCUGUCGCUAAACCCUACUCCUAAUCUCUGGCUCGGUCAGAGAAUAAGCACACAGAGGGCCUCACACUUGCAAUAGUGAGGACCAGAAUGAAGGGAAUGACCGAGACCAAGAGAUUUGGAGGUAGGGGGAUAGAUGUGCGGCCCACAUAGACAGGCGACAUGCAAUCAAGCAGAGGAAGGGUAGUCAUGCGACAUGCAGUUAAGCAGUAGACAGAAUACAUCACUUAUGCACACACACAAACUAUGACGAUCAGGAUGAAUAGCGACACGAACAUCAUGCUCAAAGACAAUCAAGAUAGUAUACAAGCCAAAGAAAACAACAUGGCAAGUCAAGCGAUGUGCAAUAGUGAGUCUAUAUAUGUGAAGUAAGUAGAACAAUCAGGAAGAAUCAGAAUCGCUAUACCAAGCAAAACAAGAUGAGCAGUCUAUGAUAAUCAGCAUGUUAAUGUACUAAACUAAUAUAGCAAUGAAGCACAGAAAAAGUGACAUCCGAAACCCCAAUCAAGAUAAUUGAUAUAUCAAUGUCCCAAUACAAUAUCCAAGCAUGCAUAAAAAAACUCUCAAUGUGCAAUCAAGAGACAAGUACUCAUUGAUUGACUCAUCAAAUACCACAUUUGCUUCAUCCUAAGUUCAAGCUUGACCCUCUAAAUGAUCCCCAACGGAGUCGCCAUUUUGUGGACCCUGUAUUUCGGCUCAUGCGAUUUCCACUCAAUGGCGAGCUCGAUUUUUAUUUGAAAAUGAUUUUAUUUAUUAAAAAAAAAAUAUGACUUGGAGUCACCACUUAUUUUUGUUUUAUUUUUAAAAGGGUAAACAAAAUAAGAAAGAAAACCCUAAGUGUGACUCCUUAUUUUGGAAAAUAUGAUAUGUGAAAAACCGGAUCGGGCUCGGGGGUCAGGCUACUUAUCGAGAAGGUACAGUAAAAACCAUAGCACCCCUCUAAGUCCCUAAAGUUGGGUCUCUACUAACAAAAUGAAGUUGAUGUGGUGAUCAAUAGGAAAAUCAAUGGAUACUCAAAUCGACCAUGCACAUAUGGGAUCAAAACAUGCAUAAAGAAUGACCAGAAUGGGAGUUGAUGCGUACCUGGGCCACGAACGAGCAAUGCGCUAUCAUAAAAAUGGGGUCGGUGUACAAUAAAGAGCACAAAACAUAUCACACGCGUCACCAAAUAGAACUUAAAAUUGUUCAAGGGAAAACUAGAUUUUUUAAAUUUUAUUUGAAAAUUGGAGUCUUAGAGAUUAUUUGAAAAUUGGAGUUUUAGAGAUUAUUUGAAAAUUGGAUUUUUAGAAAUUAAAUAUAAGAAUGAGAAUUUUAGAAAUUAAAUUUGAAAAAAAUUGGAAUUUUGAAAAUUAUUUGAGAGGUUGGGGGUUUUUUUUUUUAAAAAAAAAUUAAAUUACGGAAAUUGGGACUUUAGAAAUAAAAUUUUGAAAGAAAUUAGAAUCGAAAAUUGUUUGAGAAGCAGAAACUAUGAAAAUUGAAUAAAAAAAUUGGAAAUCUUGAAAAUCAUUUUAAAGCAUAAUUUUUAGAAAUAAAUGAAUAAAAUGAUAAUAAUAAAUAAGUAACGGAAUAAAUGCGAGAAUUGGAACAUUGGAAACUGAAAAAAAUUAAGUUCGGAAAUUGAAAAAUUGGAAUUUCAAAUAACUAAAUUUGGAAAUCGAAAUUUUAAAGAAUUAUUUAAAGACGGAAUUUCAAAUAAAUGAAUAAGUGAUUAAAUAAAUUAAUGAAAUAAUAAUAAUGACGAAAUAAUAAAGAUUAGGUAAAUAAUUGCGAAAAAUAGAAUUUUAGAGAUUGAAGAUUGAAUUUAGAGAUUGAAAAUUUGAGAAAUUAUUUAGAGAUGAGAUUUUAAAUAUAUGAAUAAGUGAAUAAAUAAAUGAACAUGAUAAUAAUAAUAACGAAAAUAAUCAUUUAACAACUGAAUGUGAAUAGUGAAAUUUUUUAGAUUGGAAAUUAAAUUUGAAAAACGGAAUAUUGAAAAAUUGAACUUUAAUUAUUAGAAUUUCUAAAAUAAAUGAAUGGAAUAAUAAUAAUAAUAAUGAAAAUAAUAUUUAAAUGAAUGAAAGUGAAUAGUGGAAUUUUUUAGAUUGAAAAUUAAAUUUGAACGUCAGAUUUUUCAAGAAUUGGACUUUAGUGAUUGAAAUUUUUAAAAGAAAUAAAUAAAUAAAUAUGGAAUAACAAUAAUAAUUAACAAAAAUAAUAUUUAAACGGAUGAAAGUGAAUAGUGAAAUUUUUUAGAUUGAAAAUUAAAUUUGAAAGUUAGAUUUUUGAAGAAUUGAACUUUAAUGAUUGAAAUUUUUUAAAGAAAGAAAGAAAUAAAUAUGGAAUAAUAAUAAUAAUAAUGAAAAUAAUAUUUAAACGAAUGAACGUGAAUAGUGGAAUUUUUUAGAUUGAAAAUUAAAUUCGGAAGUCAGAUUUUUGAAGAAUUGAACUUUAAUGAUUUGAAUUUUUAAAAGAAAUAAAUAAAUAAAUAUGGAAUAAUAAUAAUAAUAACAAAAGUGAUGUUUAAACGAAUGAACGUGAAUAGUGGAAUUUUUUUAGAUUGAAAAUUAAAUUCGGAAGUCAGAUUUUUGAAAAAUUGAACUUUAAUGAUUGGAAUUUUUUUAAAGAAAUAAAUAAAUAAAUAUAGAAUAAUAAUAAUAAUUAACAAAAAUAAUAUUUAAAUGAAUGAAAGUGAAUAGUGGAAUUUUUUAGAUUGAAAAUUAAAUUUGAAAGUCAGAUUCUUGAAGAAUUGAACUUUAAUGAUUAGAAUUUUUUUAAAGAAAUAAGUAAAUAAAUAUGGAAUAAUAAUAAUGAUUAACAAAAACAAUGUUUAAAUGAAUGAACGUGAAUAGUGAAAUUUUUUUAGAUUGAAAAUUAAAUUCGAAAGUCAAAUUUUUGAAGAAUUGAACUUUAAUGAUUGGAAUUUUUUAAAGAAAUAAAUAAAUAAAUAUGGAAUAAUAAUAAUAAUUAACAAAAAUAAUAUUUAAAUGAAUGAAAGUGAAUAGUGGAAUUUUUGAGAUUGAAAAUUAAAUUUGAAAGUUAGAUUUUUAAAGAAUUGAACUUUAAUGAUUGGAAUUUUUUAAAUAAAUAAAUAAAUAAAUAAAUAAAUAUGGAAUAAUAAUAAUAAUUAACAAAAAUAAUAUUUAAAUGAAUGAAAGUGAAUAGUGAAAUUUUUGAGAUUGAAAAUUAAACUUGGACCUUGGAGAACUAGACCUAAAAUUAGAACCUUAGAAAAUUAUUUCAUGAAUGGAAACUUGGAAAACCGAUUUUUUUUUUUGUUUUUUUAAAAAGAAAACAAAGUUUAGGUAAAUUGAAUUUUCGAGAAUCAAAAUUUUAUAAAUCGAAUUUAAAAUUAAAUUUUAGAAAAUUAUUUCGAAAAUGAUAUUUUGUAUAAUUAAAUUUAAAAUCUUCAUAAAAAUCAUAUUUGUAUCAUUAGAAAAAGGACUUAAGAGGGCCAAAUACUUGGCCCAUUAGGGCCUACACUAAUCUGGCCUAAACUUAGAGGAUGGGGCUUAAGGCCCACCUGAACCAAUCUAGGCCCACAACUUAAAGCUUUGGGAGCCCACCAACAAAAUGGCUACCAUGAAGAUCAAAGGGUGCCACCUCCUCAUUUUUUAAAAGCUAGAGGGAUGGCUAAUGGGUAGCAGGUUAGCGGUGAAGAAUAGGGCCUGCAUGUCGAUGAUGGCUGUGAUGAAAUAGAGGAAUGGAGUGGGAGUUGCUGCCCAUGAACUACCGCGCGGGCAAGCGGACAAGAGCAUGGGUGCGGUGGAGGGCUUCGUCGUCUUCACCGCCAAGCGCCACUACCUUACCGCCACAAGUGCCGGAGGAGGUGAAACAGAAAGCGGAGAAGGGGACAACUGCUCCCCCGCCGACGCUAUCGUCCAUUUUAAUGACGACUCUUGGAGGCGAACCCAGCGGCACCUCUCUCGGCCAUUUUCACGAACCCUUCACGCUCUGCUCGGAGCUUCUUGAUGCUGCCUUUGAUGCGACUUUGGAGCUACGUCGGCGUGGCUGCGGGAGUGAGGAAGACUGCCACCUUAGGAUCUUUUGGAUCGAGCGGCCCAACCUUGGCUGUUAGGCGGUAGUUGUGUGGCUGUCCAUGAAGGAUGGGAACGUGGCAAUGGAGGAAAAUGGGUACAUAAAAAAAAAGGUGGGUAUGAAAGGUAGUGAAGGCAUGAAGGGUGUUUAACUUUGGAUUUGGGUCCAUGCGCGUGGAUAAAGUUGAUGGUGAGCAUAUGUUGGAGGGGGUUCUCGGUAGACAAGAGUCUAAGAUUUUCAUGGAAGUUUCAAAUGGAUCCUCAGGAACAGAGCAGGUUCCAAAGUCAUGCUAAAUUCAUUUUCUUGCUAUACCCGGUGGGUGAGGCGAACAACGAGCAUCCAUGCUAUUAAAUGAAUAUCAAAAUAAAUAAAAAAAUUUGAUACCUUACUCAUUUAUAAGAGAAAACGAAGAAGCGAAAAAGAAGAACAAAACAGAGCAAGUGAAGCGAGCUUAGGCUCAACAAGGUCCAAUCCUCAACAAGUGACGUUCAAGACCAGCAAUGGCAAAUGAGGAAGAAUAAAAAAUAAAAAUGAAAUGAAAUAAAAGAAAUCUGAAAGCAAAGGCAUCCAAUAUGGCCAUACCUGAGUUUCCCUAGUGAAGCUUUGUCUCGCUUCCUUUGACUGGUUUUUUUCUCCAGCUGCUUUCCCCCCUUCUGAAAAGUCCUUCGUUCGAGCUCACCCUUUUUUCUCUCUCCUCUCGUCUGGCUUCUCCUCCAAGCUAUUACCCACUCCCUUGUUCACCGAUCAGCAAGCAUGUCAUCUUCAACCACCACCAUGGCUAGCAAUGCUCCUUACCACCCAUCUAUGCAAUUGGUUCUCGGCAUAAGGAAGGGUUCCCCCACUCGUCUAAGGUGCUGCCCGCUCCUCCAGGUGGUGAGAAAGCAUCCUCCUAAUGCUAUAAAAUCCCUCAAAAAAACUAAUAGCCUUUAGUUUUUAAAAAGGGGUCUACACAUUUAUAAUUACUAAAUAAAUUAUUUUAAUAUACAAAUUAUUACUCUUUCUUUUUAAAUUGAUUAAUACUAAAAAAAAAUAUAUCUCUUAAUGUUGAAAUUUUUAUUGAAAUUUAAUUUUUUUUUUUAUUUUAUUCCUUUUACAAUGAAAUUUUAAAUUAAAUAUUAAUAUUUUUAAUUUUAAAAUUUAUAUAAUAAAAUUAAUUUAAAAAUUAAAAUAAAAUAUUUAGUAGUAUUUGGGCUUUGUAGUAUUGAAACUUUGGUAUAAGAAAUUUGAAAAUACUUCUAUAAUUAUUAAAAAAAAUUAGUAGAAUAAGAUAGUCCUUUCAACAUAAUUGAGACAUUAAAUUUUAAGCACUCUAAAAUUAUAAUCUUUACAAAUAAUAAAGAAGUUUUUGCAUCGAGACCAACUGAAUAUGAUUUGUAUGUUCUUAAUUUUCAUUUUCUUAUCUUUUAUCUUCCUAUACCUACAAGCCUAUUUAGAGAAAGACCUUUUAUUGAAAAAUGAGAGUUCAGAGUUAUUUCCCUUUGAAAAUAGAGUGGAUCGGAAGGUCUUUAUUAAAUAUAGGGUUUCUUCUAAAACGAGAUGAAGUAAAUUAGCAACUCUGAACAAUCUGAAGGAAAAGGAAUUUGAGUUAAGUUGAUGGGGCGUGCGACACUUUAUUAGGACUUUAAGAGAUAUUUUCUCUUUCACGCUAUCCUUUGAAAUUGAGUUGUGUCCGUUUUCAACUUAAUUUUUUGCUCUCUGUUUUUCUAAUGAAAAUAUAUCUUUUGUUGGGAGAAAAUAUUUUGUUGAAUAUAUAUAUUCAAAUGGAAGGUAAGCAAAAAAAAAUGAUAAAAAAUGGGUGUGAUGAAAUUUCAAAUUAUUGAUCAUCAUAUGUAUUUAACCUAAAUCUUAAAAAAGUGAAUGAAAUUAACUCGUUAAAUUUGUUCAAUACCACUUUUUAUAAAUAAUUUUUUAAUCAUGUAGCAUUCAAAACAAAAAACAUAUAAUUAACGAUAACAUGAAAUUAUUAAAAUAUUUAAAAUUAAAUAAUAUAAAGAAACAAUAAAAUGGUUCAUUUAUAUUGUUAGAACCAUUGUUUUAAAAACUGGUCACUCCGAUCGGUCGGAUGGUCCAUCAAUGCCCUUUCCAGUCUGAUCUAGGGAAAUGGACAGAGACAACUGACAAUCAGACCAUCGACCAUUCUUCAUGGACCAGUCAAGGUCAAAACCUAAAUGGCCUUGCCCAAAUCCAUUAAUUCCUAACCCGUUUGCUUGUUCCCAAGGUUAACUGACAUACCAUCGACCAUUCUUCAUGGACCGGUCAAGGUCAAAACCUAAAUGGGCUUUGCCCAAAUCCAUUCAUUCCCAACCUAUGUGCUUGUUCCCAAGGUUUGUAAGUAUAAAUACCCAUCUAUUGGCCCAAAUUCAUUAUUUCAAGCCCAUUUGCUUGUUCUCAAGUUCUACAGGUAUAAAUACCCUAUAAGUGGUUUAUAGAUUUCCAAUGUGGGAUGAGUUUUGAUAAUAAUGAAAGGAGCUUUGCAUGGUGGGGAAUUGAACCUAGGACUUAUUUUUAACAAAAUGUUAGCACACCACUAUGUUACAAAGCUAUUUGAUUAAUAAUUUGAUAAAUAUCUAUAUAUCUGUUUUUUAAUUUCUAUCAUAUAAAACAUUUAAACAAAUAUAAAUAUUUAUAUCUACUAUUAUUUUUAUAAUAAUUAUACAUAUCCUAUUUAAUAAAAUUUAAUAUAUUAAUACAUUUAUAUUUAUAUUUAUCAUUUAAUUUGACAAAUUGAACAUAAAAAAUAAAAUAUUAUUAAAAUUUUUAAUAAAAUAUAUUUUAAUUUAUUUUAAUUUUAUUAAAAUAUAAAUUAUAUAUUUAUAAUGUCAUCGAUUUGAUCGCGGUUUGACCACUGGUUCAACUAGUGAACCAUGAACUGGUAACUUUUUCGGUUCAAUAUUCGAUCCAAUUUUGAAAACAUUAGUUAAAACUUUUUUAUUUAUAGAAAAUGGUAAUAUGCUUUAAAGUUGUAGGAUGUUAAAAGCCCAAAUACAUGCCUACAUAUUUUCUUAUUUAUCUCCUAGUAUUUUUACCAAGUGAUAGAUAUAUUGGUGGCCAAGCAUUAUCAUCAUCAUUAUUUAUCUCCUAACAUCUUUAUGAAGUGAUAGGUGUAGGAAGAGUGUAAAUAAUUUUUAUUUUUAUUUUAUUUUAUUCUAUUAGUUUUAUAUUUUUUGGGAAGAGUCCUAUUGGGAAUUAUUUUUAUUUUAUUUUAUUCUAUUAGUCUUAUAUUUUUGGGAAGAGUCCUAUUGGGAUUGUGCUAGUGGAGUCCCAUUCCUUUUAUAAGUAGAAUCCUCUUCCACUUUGAGUUAUCUUUUGAUUACAAGCAGAUUCCCAUUAGGAUUGUGUUAAUGACCUAUAAAAGCAGGUCACCUUUUGCUCUCUAUAUGCCAAUACCAAUUUUUCAAAGAAUUUUUCAGAGCGUUUUUCAACCAUCUAUUUGGAUGAAUUUUUUCAAAAACCCGAACUGUAUACAUCUCACUUACAGAAUGCACCCAAGGCGACAUCUAGGUGUUGAAUCCCGGAGAUAGACCAUUGGUACCCUAGUGUACCGAAUUUGUCUUCGAGUAGGAUGAAUCUAUUUCAAGGACAGUGUUUGUCAUGCCUCAUUCGAUAAGUUUUUCUUCUUAUUAAUUAUGUUCUUUGUUUGUGUCUUUUGGGCUAGUCAUUUGUUUCCAUACCCUUAAUCCAACAAUCUUGAAAUAUAUCCAAAUGUAAGCUUCUCUAGUUCACACCCAUCCUAACACCUCUAAAAUUGAUCCCUUCAAUGGGACAUUCUUUAAGAGAUGGCAGGAAAAGGUUUUCUCUACAAUUGAUGUAGUGAACUUAGGACACAUUUUGACUGACCGAAUACCAAAAGAUAGUUCUCAUUUGUUACCAACCUGGGAAAUUGGAAAUAAACAAGUUAGGCAUGCUAUUCUAAGUACCCUUUCUAAUGAACUUUUUGAUAUUUAUUGUCAAUUUAAAGUUGUAAAAGAAAUUUGGGAUGCAAUGAAUAAAAAAUAUAGUUUGGAAGAUACAGGAACUCAAAAAUAUGCCAUAGAGAAUUUUAAAAAUUUCCAAAUGACUGAGGAUAGAGAUGUAUCAUCUCAAAUCCAUGACUACCACUUGUUGAUUAAUGACUUAGCUAUUGAAGACAUUAAAUUACCCGAACCUUUUGUAGCUGGUUAUUUAGUAGAGACUUUUCCAGAGUCUUGGAAAGACUACAAAAAUAACAUGAAACAUAAAAGGAAACAAAUGUCCCUAGAGGAUGUCAUAAUCUAUAUUAAGAUUGAGGAACAAAACCGAAAUAGGGAUAAUGCUGAGAAAGUUAAGGACUUGUCUUCUAAGGCUAAUGUAGUAGAAGAAAAACCUAAACCCAAAAACAAUAGGUCCAGGAAACAAAACUCUAGGAACAAACCCAAUGCAUCAAACAAGAUCCAAAACCCAAUUAUUAAAAAGAAAAAGAAAAAGUAAGGAUCUUGUUUGACUCUAAUAAAAUAGUUUUAACCAAGAAUGAUGCAUUUGUGGGGAAGGGCUAUUGUAAUAAGGGUUUAUUUAUGUUGAAUGUUUAUGAUAUUAUCAAUAAUAAUGCAUCUUCUUCUUUUUCUGCUUACAUAGUUGAUUCUUGUGAUAUUUGGCAUGGUAGACUAGGACAUGUGAACUUUUCAUAUAUGAAGAAAAUGGUUGAAUUGAGUUUAAUCCCUAAAUUGUCCUUAGAAAACCAUGGAAAAUGUGAAUCUUGUGUAGAAUCUAAAACCACAAAGAAAUCUUGCAAAUCAGUUGAAAGAGAAUCAAAUGUACUAAGUUUAAUACACAGUGACUUAGGAGACCUAAAAAAUACAAUGACUAGAGGUGGUAAACGAUUCUACAUAACUUUCAUAGAUGACUACUCAAGGUAUACAAGGGUAUAUCUUUUGAGAAACAAAGAUGAAGCAAGAUAUGCUUUCAUCAAGUACAAAAAUGAAGUGGAAAAUCAACUAAGUAAGAAAAUUAAAAGACUUAGAACUGAUAGGGGAAGAUAGUAUGAGUCCAACCUCUUUAAUUCUUUUUGUGAAGAUCAUGAGAUCAUUCACAAAAAUACUCCUCCUUAUUCUCUUGAGUCUAAUGGAGUAGCAGAAAGGAAAAAUAAGACCUUAAAAGAAAUUAUGAAUGCAAUGUUGGUAAGUUCAGGAGCACCCUUGAACUUAGGGGGGAAGCUAUCCUAUCUGCAUGUCAUAUUCAAAAUAGAAUACCUUAUAAGAAAACUGGAAAAACUCCUUAUGAGUUGUGGAAGGGUUAUGCACCUAAUAUAGCAUACCUGAAAGUGUGGGGGUGUUUAGCUAAAGUUCUUUUCCCUGAACCUAAAAAAUGAAAACUAGGUCUUAAAACCUUUGAUGCAAUGUUCAUUAGCUAUGCUGAGAAUAGUGCGACAUAUAAGUUUCUUGUUACUAAGUCAGAAAACAGUCUUGUAGAUGUCAAUACUAUUAUGGAAACAAAGAAUGCAGAUUUCUUUGAAAACAUCUUUCCUAUGAAACUAAAUGGUGAACAACAAGUUUAGAAAACAAGUAGAGACAAGUCUAUUGAACCUUCUGAAUUUGAACCUAGAAGGAGUAAAAGUGAUAGGAAAGAAACAAACCUUGGAGAUGGUUUCUACACCUUCCUAAUAGAUGAGGACCUUAAUCCUACAAAGAAGCUAUAACUUUUCCUAAUGCGCCAUUUUGGAAAGAGGCCAUUAACAGUGAAAUCGAAUCAAUCAUGUAUAACCAUACGGGGAGUUAGUAGAUUUACCUCCUGGUACAAAGACUAUUGGUUGUAAGUGGAUCUUUAAAAGAAAGUUAAAAUAAGAUGGGUCCAUAGAGAAGUAUAAAGCUCAUUUAGUUGCCAAAGGCUUUAAACAAAGGAAAGAUGUAGAUUACUUUGACAACUUUGCCCUUGUGAAUACAAUAGCAUCAAGUAGAGUAUUGAUCACUCUAGCUUCCAUUCAUAAUUUGGUUAUACACCAAAUGGAUGUUAAGAUUGCAUUCUUGAAUGGGGAUUUGGAAGUGGAAAUUUAUAUGGAACAACUUGAGGGUCGUGUAGUUCCAGCGAAGGAGAAAAAGGUGUGUAAGUUGGUUAAAUCACUAUAUGGGUUAAAACAAGCUCCCAAACAGUGGCACAACAAGUUUGAUCAUGUGUUAGUAACUAAUGGAUAUUCCAUUAAUGAUGCUUAUAAGUGUAUCUACAGUAAGUAUGAGGAUAACACAUGUGUAGUCAUCUGCCUUUAUGUUGAUGACAUGCUGAUCUUUGGAACUAGCCUAGAGGUUGUGUGUGAGACCAAGAAAUUCCUAGGUCCUAAGUUUGAUAUGAAAGACCUAGGAGAGGCAGAGGUGAUUUUAGGAAUUAAAAUAACUAGAACACCUAAUGAGCUUAAACUUUCUCAAGAGCACUAUGUAGAAAAGAUCCUAAGGAAGUUUGAACGCUUUGAUUGUAAACUAGUGUCAACUCCUUAUGAUCCCAGCUCACUACUGAAGAAAAAUAAAGAACAUAGUGUUGCCCAAAUAGAGCAUGCUCAGAUCAUAGGGGACCUAAUGUACUUGAUGAACUGUACUAGACCUAACAUUGCUUAUGCAAUAGGUAGAUUGAGUCGAUACACCCAAAGUCCUAAUCAGGACCAUUGGACUAUUGUUCGUAGAGUCCUUAAGUAUUUGAGAGGCACCAUUAGUGAUUUAGUGGAUUUCCAAGUGUCCUUGAAGGAUUUAGUGAUGCAAAUUAGAUCUCGGAUUCAGAUGUGAUGAAAUCCACUAGUGGAUAUGUUUUCAUAUUUGGUGGAAGUAUAGUUUCUUGGAAGUUUACCAAGCAAACUUGCAUUACUCGGUAUACUAUGGAGGUUAAGUUAAUUGCCUUAGAAAAGACAAGUUUUGAGGCUGAGUGGCUUGAAAACCUCUUAGCAGAUAUCCCUUUAUGGACGAGACAAACCUCGCCUGUGUCUAUGCGUUGUGAUAGCCAAGCUACAAUUGCUAAGGCUAAGAGUAAAAUAUUUAAUGGGAAGAAUAGGCAUAUAUGGCUAAGGCACAAUAUUGUGCGGUAGCUUCUUGAAACGAAUUUGUGAGGUCAGAGUUGAAUUUGGUCGAUCCUUUGACCAAACCACUAAAUAAGAAACUAGUGGAAGAAACAUUGAGGGGGAUGGGGCUUAUGCCUAUUACAGAAGUUAAGAGUGGUGGUAACCCAACCUAUUAGAAUGGAAAUUCCAUGAAGUAGGUUCAUAUGGGUAAUAACAAAUCACUUGUUGACUUGAGGUGCUAUAUCAACUCUAAUUGUAUGAGGGUCUAUCCCUAUGGUGUAGAUAGAGCGUAUUUUGCAUUGAUUAAGGUUGAGUGUUUACUCUUAAUGAAUACCAUAUUCCUUAUGGAUGGUAUGUUUAAAUGCAUAACAUACUUGAUGGAUUCACCUAUAUGAGAGUGGAGCCGGGGCCGCUUCCUAUGAGAACUUAGGUAGUUUCUCUAGAACUCUCAUGAAUAUCCAGGUAGGGCGCAUGGCCUAUUUGUGCCAACCCAUUUUGUACAACUCGUAGUGUAAUUGAGAAAACCAAUGUGGAUAAAAGUUCAUUGAGUUACAUCAAGAAACACUGGUUCAUAGAAAUUUAUUUUCACCCUGUUUUGUGAUUCAAUACCUAUUUGUCUUAAGACUAGUUCAUAGCCUUUGGGUACCAGUACUAAUGCAUUGGAUUUUUUUUCCUCAAAAAAUAAAUAAAUAAAUAAAUAAUCACGUUUACACUUUGUGGGGGAUUGUAGGAAAAGUGUAAAUAAUUUUUAUUUUUAUUUUAUUUUAUUCUAUUAGUCUUAUAUUUUUGGGAAGAGUCCUAUUGGGAUUGUACUAGUGGAGUCCCAUUCCUUUUAUAAGUAGAAUCCCCUUCCACUCUGAGUCAUGCUCUGAUUACAAGUAGAUUCCCAUUGGGACUAUGUUAGUGGCCUAUAAAAGCAGGUCACCCCUCGCUCUCUAUAUACCAAUACCAAUUUUUUAGAGAAUUUUUUUAGAGAGUUUUUCAAAUAUUCUUUUCAUACAUCUAUCUAGACGAAUUUUUUCAAAAACCCGAGCUGUACACAUCUCGCUUACAAAGUGCACCCAAGGCAAGAGCUGGGUGUUGAAUCCUGGAGGUAGACCACUGGUACCUUAGUGCACCGAAUUUGUCUUCGAGGAGGGUGGAUCUAUUUCAAAGACAAUGUUUGCCACACCUCAACCGACAAGGCGGCACAACGUGCACAACCAUUUUUUGAUUUUUCUUUGGGAAUUUUGCUUUGUUUAGGAACUUUGCUAAAAUGGGCACUUGACCUUGAUGAACAUUUUUCCUAGAUGGACACUCGGCCUUGGUGGGCAUUUUACCUAGAUGGGUGCUUGGCCUUGAUGGACAUUUUGCCUGGAUAGGCACUUGUUCUUGAUAGGUAUUUGCUUAGAUGGGCAUGUCACCUUGUUGGGCACUUGGCCUUGAUAGACAUAUCAUCUAGAUGGGCAUUUUGCCUUGAUGGGCACUUGGCUUUUAUGAGCAUUUUGCCUAGAUGGGUAUUUUACCUUCUUUGAUCUUUCAUAGGUUGGAACUCUAUAGGUGGUGGGGUUGUGUUUUGGGUUGUAUUUUCCAGGCACACAUGUGUAGGGGUAGGGAAAUGCUGCAUUUCCUCCUGGUUUUAGCUCUAGAUGUGCUUAUUGCCAUGCACACAUGUAAGUAUUGUUCUGCUUCUUCUUCUUGUGUUUAAGGGUAAGUUGAGUUUUUUUUCGUACUCUUACAUUUUCUCUCCAUCUUUCUUUGUCUUUAUUUUGUUGUGCAGAUGAAGUGUGGCAUCAAGGAUUUUAGUAGGCGGAAAGGUGAGCUUCACUACCACGUUGCUGAAACUGACCAACUGAGGUAAGUCAGGUACUUUUUUUGCAGCUAAAGCUUUUGGUUGGGUGCUUUCUUGGCACUUGACGAUUUGACCGAGUGCUUCUUGGAACCUAAGGCUAUGGUCGGGUGCUGUUCGGCACCUAAGACUUUUUGGUUGAGUGCUUUUUUGGCACUUAAGGCUUUGUUGGGCUCUAUGCUUGGCUGGGUACUACUUAGGCACCCUAGGCUUUGUUGGGCACUAGGCCCAACUGGAUGCCACUUAGGCACCUUAGGCUUUAUUGGGCUUUAAGCCUGGUUAGGUGCUACUUGGGCACCGUAGGCUUUGUUGAGUGCUAGGCCUAGCUAAGUGCUACUUGGGCACCCUAGGCUUUAUUGGGCUUUAAGGUUGGUCAGGUGCUACUUGGGAACCUUAGGCUUUGUUGUGCUCUAGGCCCAACUAGGUGCCACUUUGACACCUUAGGCUUUAUUGGGCUCUAAGCCUGGUUAAGUGCGACUUGGGCACCUUAGGCUUUAUUGGGCACCCUAGGCUUUAUUGGGCUCUAAGCUUGGUCGGGUGAUAUUGGGCACCUUAGGCUUUAUUGGGCUUUGGACUUAGCCAGGUGCUACUUAGGCACCUUAGGCUUUGUUGGGCUCUAGGUCUGGUCGGGUGCUACUUGGGCACCCUAGGCUUUAUUGGGCUUUAGCCUUGGCUGGGUGCUACUUGUGCACCUUUGACUUUGUUAUGCUCUGGCCCUGAUCAGGUGCUACUUGGGCACUUUAGGCUUUGUUAAGCUCUAGGCUUGGCCGGGUGCUACUUAGACACCUUAGGCUUUUAAAGUCUAAUGCUUCUUUAUACCUAAGGUUUUUUUUUUUUUUUUUUUUUUUUUUUUUUUUUUUUUUUUGCGGUCAUGCGAUGCGUAACAUAUUUGAUUUGAAAAAUACAACAGUUGACGAUAUUGCUUCCCCAUUUGGGGAUCUUUGCUUUUAGAUGGAUUAGGCCAUUUGGUAAGAGUAGGAAGUUCUUCUUUGGUAGAUCCACCAGCGCCUCUUUGUCCACUGAUAGUGUCUAGGCAGUUGCAUUGAGUCAGGCCACCAAGAUCUAGUUCUCCCUUUUGAUUCGGUUAACAAGUCUUCUCAGUUUGUCCAACUACCUUCGAUACUUGUUAGCUACGGUUCAGUUGUUUGUUGUGGCCACUCAUAAGUUGUUGGGAUGACACUCUCACCAUCAACAUAGUUAGCUGCCAAUGUAGUCACCAUGGUUGGCUUUUGUUUCAUUCCCAUAGAUGAUGCCAAUUGUUGGUGCACAAUCUUUCUAGAUGUGAUGAUUUGGUGACUAUCCGGGUCGCUAUCCAAUCUUCUAUUGUCACCUCCUCUAUUGGUGGGUGUCUUGGUUCUCUAGGAAAAUGAUAUUUUUUUUCCUUGUUCUUCUUUCUCCUUUAUAGGUUAGAGUUAGACGUUGGAGGUUGUGUGGAGUACACGAUUAGCUUGGCAGGUUUGUGUUAGGCAGUGUGUGGUCGACUAUCCCUAACGCUUCAUGUUGAUGUGACAAGAUGAUGUUUUCCUUAGAGAUUUGUUCCUCAUACAUGUCUUGUUGUUGCCUUUGGUAUUCAUGCCACAUGAUCCAUGUUGGCAGCCUAAAAACUUCUUCCCAGUGACCAAUUUUUUAGUUCUUCUAGGAUCAGUUGGAGUGGGCUCUCGGAUCACUAUAGGUUUAAAUAGAGUCGGGAUGACUUCUCGAUCGGGAGACAAUAUUCAGCCGAUACAACAUCCGGGUACCCCUUCUUGGCAAAAUUCGGCACCCUCAGGAGGCAGCUUUUAUAGCGAAAUCUGCCACCCCCGACCCGAGUAAGCAGGUAGACCCACAGGUUGGCUGGCUUCUAUGGUUUGUACCUCCAAUUAUAAUGGAAGUAUAAAUUUUAAAAAGAUUCAGUGAUUGUAGGAUUCAAUUCUAAUGCUCUUAUAGUAGCCAAGGGUCCUCGGACUCAUGGUAGCACACAGACAUGUCCUCUUCUAUCUAUGCAAAUAGUCAUGCAAAAUACAAAUAUUCCCUCAUACAUUCUUAUAGUUUUACAUGUAUAUGAAUUUAAUUAUUUUAUGUUCUGACUAGUGAGUAGAAAGUGAGUUAAGGUCUCCGACAACAAGGUCUCCAAGCAACCAUAUUUCCCCAUUUUAACCUCGCUACUGCCAUUGAUGCGGUAGUAGAGUAUAACUGGCACAUAUAGAUAUGCCAGAAGAGCAAUCGAGAGCAGAUAGCUUCAAAUUCUGAAUGUGAGGUUCAGUUGGAGACUGGUUUUAUUAGCCUUUUAGAUAUGAUUUGAACCUCUAUUUUAGACAAGAACUUGGAGCUUCUGAAUAUAUGUAGUACAACUCCUUUGGUCAUGUAUAUAUGUGCAUAUUGCGUUGAGAUAGACAACAUACAAUCACUUGGCAACACAAUAUUAAAACUUUCAGAAUAUCACAAAAUUUGAUUGAUGUCAAAGACUCAUUCUGGACAUUUAGGAUAGGAGGUUACAAUAAAGCCAUUAACUGUACACAUAAGUUCAUUUGCAAGAAUUGGGAACCAAUUUAGAAGGUCAAGUAUAUUCGCUGUCAACAAGAAUGACGCCCUCCGAUUUAAGAUCUCUACUGAGGAGGAACCCAGUUUGAUCAAGAUUCUAGGAUCAAACAACAGAGUCAAAGUCAAAUCAAGAGCAACGUUCCAACUUGUCAUGAAGACCAAGAAUAGUAAUUGCUUUUGAGCAAGCAGUGAAAUUAUUUGCAAUCAGACAAUCAUCUUCUUCUUCAAGAAAUGCUGUAAUGAAAUUCUUACCAGUUGUGUCUGAUUCUUCGAAACAUGAAGUUAGCAAACAGAUUGUUCAUAUAUAAUGUCAGUUGGCAUAAAUGUAGUGUUCAAUCACCAAGCCACAAAGAUGAUACAACAGAACAGUUGCAGCAGGAAAACUUGGUUGUUUAUUCAAAAUCAAGUAAAUCUCUAGGUCCCUCAUACCACGAUUGCUCCCAAUAUUUAGGUCUUGGCGUAGACAAUUCCUUUCGUGUCUAUGUGGACAGAACAAUGCUUGGUGUUCUAGUUGUUGUCUUUCACCAUGGUCUAUAGAAAAAAUGUCCAGAAAAACAACUAAUGAUCAGUAGAAGUGUAAAAGGGAAGAAAGAAAACUACUGAUAGAUUGGAUCAUGACAGAUAUUUAUUUUUCCUAAAAGAAUGUAAAUGUAUGGUUGCUCUUUGAGUACAGCUCUCUACAGCACAAAAAUAAGGCAAUCAAAUGAAACAAACCAAGAAAACAACAAUAUUAAAAGAGUUAUGAAAUAUCACCAGAUGAGAUCCAACAGUAAAUUAAGAAACUUUAUAUAAUCUUGUUUACCUUAGGGCCAUGUCUGGAGGAGUUCCAAUUGUAGGCCUAGGGCCAAUGUUGAUAGGCACAUGCCCAGAUCUUAGACACCCUCAAGAUGAACAGUAGCAGCUACUCUAGGCGCUCCUACUGCACAGGCAAAAAACAAGUUAGUCAAUGUUUCUUGGCUAUUGGCUUUGGCUUGGACCUUGGUGGUUAUGUCAAUUUUAGAUAAAUAUGUUAAUAAUCCAAUGACUAUACUCCAAGAUUGAUGAUAUAUAUGCAAUAUAUCAAUUUGGAAAUGUCGAUAUAAACAUUUAAGGAAUUUAAAUUAGUCAAUUUUCAACAAUCUAGCAUUCAAAAGUGUACAAAAUGGUUAUAACUUGAAAGUUUGAAUAUAAACUGAGGUACAAUAUUCCUAUAGGCUCAAGUCUCCCUAGAACAAGGCAUCACAUCACAUAUUUAUGUGGCCUUAUGUUUGAGGUAAGCACCUUAUCUAUUGGCGAGUUCAUCAAUAAUAAGCUUUUUGCAAGAAAUUGGAGACCUAAAAUUACUCUAAUACUUCUUUUAUUGAACAUUAAAUUUUCUUAAAAGUGUUAUCGAUUAUCAAACAUUUAUAUCAAUGGUGGAAACUAGUUUGCUACCAAAGUGAAGGUCAAAGUCCUAAUUAUCAUUUCACUAAACAAUGUAAUAUAGUAUUAUACAAUUAUUGCUUUUAAAAGAAAAUUUACAAGCUAACUAGCGAAAUUUAUGAUUAUACCUUUUUCCGACUUCACUCACGCCAUUGAGCUUUAUAAUUUGAUGAAACAAGCCUAAAUCAAAAUUAUACAAAAAAAAAUAAAGAAUUGGAGAAAACAAACUUGUAAGCACUAAAUUUUGUACUUUAAAAGAGGAAAUAGGAUGCCAAUUGUAGGUUUAAUUUAAAGAAACCUUAAAAAAAUAUUUUUAAAAUUAUAGGAAAACCCCCAUACCUUAGAAAAGAUUGGGGCGAACAGUCUACCUUUUGGCGAUGUUCACAUCUUGAGAGGAAUGACUUCUUUCUUAGUAGAUCUGAUGAUGGUGUUGAUCUUUGGGAAGAGAUGAUUAGAAGGCUACGUUGAAUUUUAGUGAGUGAGAGAGAAAGCAACACCCAAAACCCUAAAGCAAAAAAGGAAUUAAUAACUUAAAUAGAUUCCAUUUUUUCCUUAUGACAUGUCUACCUUAGUAAGGUUUUUAUGGCAGUGAUACCAUUUGGAUAAUUAAGUCAUUGAUUUUGAUGGAUCUUUUCCAUUUGAAUUUUUAAUAUAUAAACUUAAUCUUUUUACUUGGGGUAAUAUAUUUGGUAUUUUAGGAUUUCCUUUUUAAUAAUAUGCUUUUAGUAGAUGGUUUAACUAUGUCCUAGUGUAAUAAGUAGUCUUGCAUUACAUUAUCUACUAUGGAGUAGGAGUGUGUUGCUUGUUCAAGGGAUGUAUGGGAAGUUGUUUAUUUGAUGAUAUACUUUCAACACUUAGAGUCACGACUUGAGCUAAUAAGUUUAUCAAGAUCUAAGCAUUGAUGGUGUUGCUACUCUAUUGUAUAGCAAGGAUCCAAUUAGUCACAUUGUAGGACAAAACACUUAUAGACAAUUGAUUCUACUACAUUCAAGAUAUUGUUGCUUAAGGGGAGGUAGAGUCAAAACAAGUAGACAAUUGAUACAACUACACACACAACAUAGAGACAAAACACAUGAAUAAUACUAUGGUUGAAUAAAUUAAUUGGAUGACAUCAAGCUAACAUUGAUCUAGUAUAAUUAUUUGGAGCCUAAAUGAGGGUAUGAUGAGAUGAUAAUUAUUUUGUCAUCAACAUAGUGAACAACAUAAAUUAAAAUCUUGAAAUGUCACCUUAGCCAACCUAGUAGAAAUGAUUCAUCAAAAUAUUUGAAUGUGAGAUCUUAAAUUGGUGUUUGACAAAUAAAUAUGGUAAUAAACAUAUAUUAAGUAUAUAUGAAGUGACCAAGCUGAGAUUUGUAUCAUGUUAUUAUAGGGAAUCCCGAAUCUCUUUGUUCCUUAUCCUAUGAUUAGGCUAGGUACAUGCGAAUCUUUCUAAGUUUUUCUAAAUCGUAUGAACAAUGGAAAAAUUGUGUUUUAAAAUAAUAACAAGAUUUAGAAUUUGCAUUAGAAAACAUUACCUUAGAUUUGGAUGUUCCCAAAUCUAAUUCACGUAGUAAAGGAGAAGAUUGAAGUUUUCAGAGGUCUUGAACACCCAAGAUCUUCCACCAGAUGACUUUUCCUUGAUUUUAGAUCUUAAUUGGUGAAGAGGAAGGAAGACUAAAAAGGCUAUGGUUCUCUCUCUCUUUGAAUAGUGAAAAAUGGCUCACUUCAAAAAAGUAAUGAAAACCUUAUUAUUUAAGGGGUAUUUAUUGGGUUCCCUAAUUGGGUGUAAGUGACUUAAGCGUACUAAAGGUUUGAAUCAUUUAAUUUAGCUCAAAAUGAGUCUUAAUUGAUUAAUUAACCUAACAUAGUUAUCUAAUUAAUUAAUUAGCUAAAUUUGGAGACUUUGUUCACUUACCCCUAUGCAACCUUGCAUAAUUACCAAAACACCCUUAUACGUAAAAGUGAACCAAGAGUUGUGUCAUCAAGGUAUAUGAGCUUAGGUGGAGACCAUUGAGACUUAUAGGACAGUACUAGCUACCCCAAAAUCUAAUUUUGAAGUUGAUUUAACAUUUCACUAUAGAGAAUCAAUUGCACUAUAAUACCUUAUGUAAAUAACAAUGAGAUGCUAAGUGGUCGAGCCCAUGACUUAUUAUCCAUUGCAUUCAGUCUCCCUAUGAACUGGUGUUUGUAGUCUAAUAAGGUGAAAACUAUCAACCUUUCAAGACUACCUCUACUAUCUUUGAAUUACAAAUCCUCUUAUUAUGUAUUUAAUUGAUAUAUCUUAAGUCUCCAAGAGUCUAUGUCAAGUUCCAUUUAAGAAACUACUAUGACCAUAGUUUACAUGAACAUACCUCCUUAGGAUCACUUAAGGGGACACUCUGUCUCAAUCCUCUUAGAUUUCAUGGUACUUCUGUUACAAAUACUCAUUGUCAUAGACUUGGAUCAAUAGUGAACCAAUCCAUAAGGAACAUAUCUUACGAUUUCAUUAGUAGGUCAAAGUCACUACUAACUUUAACACAAAUUCUAUAUUCUCUCAAGGUUAAGAGAUAAAACAAUGAAGCAACUUGGUGAAAUCAUGACUAUUUAAUAGCUUUAUGUCAUGAUUCACCAUAAGUCUUGUCUAAUGUGUAACCAUAUGCACUAGUAUACUCACCAUGGAAAACCCAUCCUGAUAACCAAGACCAACCAUUCCUCUAAAUAUGAAGUAGCAUACUAUAACCUCUAAUGGGUUACCUAGGCCUAUGAAUCGGUUGUGAACAAGUCAUUUACUUACAAUGAAUCCAUUUCUUAAAUUUUUUUUGCAACUCUUAAUGCACUCAAGUCCUGUACAAUACAAGAUAUAUAUAUUAAAAUGCUUACAAGGUAUAAUGUAUAGGAUUAGGAUAAAUAAAAGUGAACUAAAAGUUUAUUAAUAAAUAAUAAAAUUUUAAAUUUAUUACAUCGUGUCAUGCUUUUAUGAAACCUUUAAAAUACUAAGAGCAACCUUUCAUAAUCAUGAAUUAAACUUUAGUUUCAACUUCUAUCAAAGGCUAAAUGAGAAAAGCUAUCAUAGAGGAGGCCUCAGCCAAUGGGUAAGAUGCACUGUUAUACCAAACAAUAAGUGGAAAAUACAAUUUUAUUAAUACUUGAGAAAAAAAAAAAGAAAGAAAUAAAAGGAAGAUUUUACACUCAAACCAAGCAUUUAUUUAUAAUGAAGUGCAGUCUCCGUACGCACAUGUGGACUUAUUGGAAAAUCAUACAAAUUAUUGAAGGACGACCUUAGCUAGGCUAACAGUCUCCUAAAUAGGCUAUCUUUUAUAUAUCUUUGCAUUCAUCCAUCUCCUCAUUGUCUUUGAUUUUAGAUGGUGAGGAUGUGAAAGUAACAGGAAGCAGUGGACAAUUGUUCACAGUGAGGCUUAGCACAUCAGCUCUCGAAUAAUGUCCUACCACAUCGAACUGGAACUUUGCUUUAGGAAUCUCUCCACGAACAUCUACAUAUCAAGUGAUCACAAAAAUAUUUCAUCGGUCCAUGAUAAAUAUCAUAGAAUAUCAAGUCUUCGAUAAAACUAAGUUUGCAGUCCUCUUAAACCUAAAGAAUCAACUCAUUUGCCUUAUCUGCAUACUGAAAUAUUUGGAUAUAUAAUUGGAGAAGUUAGGGCCAUACCAAGAUCAGCUGUGAAGAGGCCUUCUCCUUCAUAAUUCGGUCCUGCUAGAAUUUCGCCAUGGGGCGAAAUGAUGACACUACCUCCAGCCCAAACAAUAGAAUCUGGAGUGACAUCUUCUUCUGUAGGACUGUAAAGAUACUCAGGUGGAGGUGGGUAAUCUUUCCUCCGACAGAACUGGAUGGGUGAAAGAACAUAGCAUCCACCCUCAAUAGCGACGUGUCUCAUUGUAGCUACCCAUGUAUCCCCGGAAUCGGCAGUAGGAGCACAAUAUAUCUCAAUACCUAUAGAGAUGUACAUUCGUAUUUUGUGAUCAAUCAAUCCCAUAUCAAAGCCAUAAUGUAUUUCAAGCCUAUUUAUAGGCUAAAACCCUAACAACUUAAAAAAGAGUACUGAAGUAUUUCAAGCCAAACCAUAUUAGUUAGUGAAGAAAAAGACAUACCUUUGCCAUACAUUGAUGUCCUGAAAAGCGGCAUUCUAUUUUCCCAACAAAUGACCGAACCAAGUUUUCCAUAUGGAGUAUCAUAAACUGGAGUAGUCGAGCAAUCUCCGAAACCCCAGAACAGCCGCUCCCAAUAUGUUGGCAUGAGUUUCCUAUGUUUUCCAAGGUAAUUACCUUCAGGAUCAAAGAAGAGAACAGUGCAAUACAAUGUGUAUCCAUCUCUCUCAACAACACCUGUCACUAAGUAGACUUUGUAUUUCGCAGCCAUUGAUGCCAAUCUAUCCACUUCAGGUCCUGAAAAUACAUUAAUAUGAGAUCAAAGAUGAAAUAUGUAAGCUGAUGGCUCAUCACAAAGCAUAAGUAGAUUUUUUUUUUCUUGGUUCAUUCAUCAAACGUGUCUUGUUUCAAUAACUAAUUAAGUGGUUCAGUUCUUUGGCUAUUUAAGGGAGAAAGAGAGAGGUAACUGACCCGGCACAUUAAUGGCAGAAGCAUGGUACUUGCGGAAACUUUCUUUCCCUCUUGGCGACUGGUCGGCGAAAUUGUAUCCCCGGGGAUACCCACCGAUAAAUGCUUCAGGAAACACAACCAGUUGGGAUCCUAGUGCAGCUGCUUCUUUCAAAAACCUCUCAGCCUUAUCUGCUCUCAAAAUCACAUUGCAAGAAUUAAUAAUCCACGACUUAGUAAAUUAAUUGGUUGAAUGGACAGAAUGAAAAUUAACUUCAAGAGAUCCCGAAUGACUUUUUGGUUGCUGAGAAAACUCAAGGAAAAAGAGACCUAGAUGAAACUUGAAACUCUCAUAUUUUCAGCUGUUUUGUAACUAAGAAAAGAGAAACCACCUCAACCCAACUCAUUAAAAUAAUUGUAAAAGCAGUAAUUCCUUGAUUGGCAGCUGAAAAUAUGAUCAGGGUUCAAUCAUCCUUUUCUUUUUUUCAGUCUCUGAGCAACCAAUUAGAUCACAUAUUCCAUUACACAAGUUGAACAAUUGAAAGAAAUGGUACGUUACCUAGAGUGGCAGGAGUAUCAUAAAAGAUACUAGAAGCUUGAACAACGGUGGCUCUAACAGUUGAAGACAUUGCAGAAAUCGUAUGCUUUUUCGUUUCCCUUUUGUUUGAGGAUUCCUUACACAACGUUCAGUAUAUAUAUUGCCCAUGAACAUGAGGUUCUUCUGCCAUUACUUGAACGAGACGAAGAGGCUGUGAAAAGUCUACCUUGGUUUUCUAUAUUCAUUGUGAGCUUUUCUCCUCAUCACAAAUUUUGAAGUUAUCCGCAGACAUUGUGGACCAGCCACAUGACUUGUACAAAUUGAAAAUGACUGUAAGAAAAUGACUCAGCCAAUUCAAGAUAUUUGUCAUUAAAAGAAUAGUCAUUAAAAGCACAAGAUAUUUGUCAUUUUUUUUUUUACAAAAACGACUGAGUCGUACAUAGUGUUAUGGUUAUAGACGCCCAAAAGAAGUCUUUUUGUGCCUUGUAAGAAAACCUUAGCCAAUUCAAGAUGACCACAGAAUCAAAAUAAGUUUUAUCGCUUUCUUUUUUUUCUACAGGUACGAUGAUUAUCUUUGAACGAAAAGAGGGAGCCGCCCACAUGCACAUAAAAAGGGAGUAAUGAGUGAUUCAAUGGCAGCUAUGGUAGAAAAAUAAAAAGGGAACUAUGCUUACCCUCACGUUGAUUCAAGCAAAUAUAUUUUUUAGGAAUUCUAAUUUUCAUAUUUCACCCCAAACACAUAAUCAAUAAAUUUAUUCUUCAAAUAUGUAUUUUAAUAACAACCAAAAUGAGAAUUCUAUAGUUAUCCCUUUUAAAAUCUUUAAUAUGACAAGUCAUCAUUUGAUCUGUUUGAUAUCCUCUCCAUAUCAUGUCUUUGAUAUCCUAACUUUGACAUUUUUUUAUUUAUAUACGCUGAAGUGAAUACACUUUCAUAUUUCUUUUUAUUCUUUUAAUAUUUUCAUAUUUAUUAACUUAGUCAUUUUUUUGAAACAUUAACAUAAAAUUAUAAUAUAUGAUCAAUAACUAAUAAGAACAAAUUAAACAUAAAUAUAAGUACGGAAUGGACAGAAAAUAAAAAAUUUAUCCUACAAAUAAUACACUAUAUAGUUUAAAAUAUUAAUUAUAAUAAUAUAUUUGAUACUUUAGGGUUUAGAUUAAAAAAUUAUGUUUUAUUUUUUAGAGGCUAGGAUAUAGGAUUUCCAUUAACCAAAGAUUUUUUGUAUGAAUCCUAAAUAAAAUGUGUAUUUAUUUUGCAAAUUCUUAUCAUAUAUAAAUAAAAUAAAAUAAAUAUAUUUUUAUCAUAUUAUUUUUAAUUUUUAUUAUUUUGUGUCAAAAUCACAGUCAAUGAUGGUGGUUUUUGUUAUGAUAUAGCUCUUAAAAGGAUGUUAUGAUGCAAUAAAUAUGAAGUUUAUUAUUUAUUUAAUGGUAUUUUGAUUUUACUUUUAUUAAUCUUUAUUUCAUGCAUUUUACCUUAUGAGUAUUCUAGCUUGACAUUUCUUGCACUAUACAUAACUUGGGUGCAUUAAAAAUUGCAUGAAAGAUCCAAGUUAUAGGUUCCUUGCAAGUAAAUGAUUUGUUCACAACCGCUUUGUGAACUUAAGCAAUCCAUUUGAUGUCGUAGUUCACUACCUCUUCAUUAGAGGAAUGAUUUAUCUUGACUACCAAGAUAGAGUUCUCAUGGUGAGUACACUAGUAUGAUGAGUUAUAAUUUAUAAUGUAAGGUUGUUGGGUAGUCAUAACUCACUAAGUUGUUAUAUUGUAUUAUCUUCUCAACCUUGAGAGGAUACUGAACUUGUGCCAAAGUCUAUAAUUGUUUGACCUAUGGGUGAGAUUCUAAAGUGAUUAUAUAUUCCUUACAGAUUGGUCACAGUAGAUAGAAGUCAGUAGUAAUAAGUAUUCUCAAUACAAACAUCACGAUAUCUCAUGGAAUUUGAGAUAGUGUUGGGUCAUAAUAAGGACAUGUGAUCAUGAAAUCUAUGGUCGCAUUAAUUCUUUAAAUGAAAUUUGAUAUAUGCUUUUGUGAGUUAGAGUAUGCUAGUUGAUCAUAUAAUAAGAGAAUAUGUGACUCAAGAAUGGUAUAGGUAAUCUUGAAAGGCAAAUAUCUUUCACCUUAUUAGAUUAUAAACACUAAUUCCUGGGGAGACUAUAUGCAAUAGAUAGCAGGUCACGAACUUAAGCACUUUGUGUCUUGUUGUAAUACACAUAGGGUAUUGAAGUGUAGUUGACUUUCUAUAGUAAGAUGUUGAGUCAAUUUUAAAAUUUGAUUAUAAGGGAGCUAGUACUAUCCUAUGGGUCUUAGCAGUCCUUGCUCAAGUUCAUAUAUCUCAAUGGCAUGGUUUAUGAGGGUUGGAUUAACUCAUGAUUCACUUAUGUGCAUAAGGCUGUUUUGGCAAGUAUGCAUGAUUACAUAGGAGUUUGUUGGGACAAAACCUUAUAAAGUAUGACAUGAUGUAAUAGAUUUAGUUUCAUUAAUAAAUUUAUUUAUUUACUAUUCUAGUUCCCUUGUAUUAUCCCAUUGGCAUUAAUUGGUUAUCAAAGUAUUUACACCCAUAUCACUUGCAUUGUACAUGACUUAGGUGUAUUUAGAGUUGACCAAAAAAUCCAAGUCAUGGGUUCUUUGCAAGGUAAUAAAUAGUUUAUAGUAGGUUCAUGGAUUUGAGCAAUUUAAUAGAGACUAUAGUGUACUACUUCCCAAUUGGAGAGAUGACUAGUCUUAGUCACCGAGAUGACUUUCCCAUGAUGAGUGCAAUAAUGUGUAUAGUUACACAUUGGACAUGACCUAUGGUGAAUCAUGACAUUAAUUGUUGGGUAGUCAUGAUUCACCAUGAUACUAGAUUGUAUAAACUCUCAACCUUGAGAAAAUAUUGAGUUUAUGCUAAAAUCAACAAGAAGCUUUUAUCUAUGGGUGAGAUCCUAAUGUGGUCAUAUAUUCCUUACAAAUUAGGUUACAGUUGAUGAAGGUUGGUGGCAACAGGUAUUCUUAAUAGAGACAACAUAAUAUCUUAUGAGAUUAAGACAACGUGUCUCUUGGGUGAUCCUAAAGACAUGUGAUCAAGAUGACUAUGACCAUAGUAAUUCCUUUAGUAGAAUUUGACAUAUGCUCUUUGUAAGCUAAAGUAUGUAAAUUGAUCAUUAAUAAGAGGAUUUGUAACUCAAGGAUUGGAGAGAUAAUUUUGAAAGGUUGCCAUCACUACCUUGUUAGAUUACAGACACCAGUUCACGGGGAGUUUACAUGCAGUAGAUAGUAGGUCAUAGACCUAAACUUUUCCUUAUUGUAAUUAUAUAGGAUAUUGGAGUGUAGUUGACUUUCUUUAGUAAGGUGUUAAGUUAACCUUAGAAUUGGAUUCAAAGCGAGCUAGCAUUUUCCUAUAGGUUCCAAUGGUCCCUGCUCAAUCUCUCAUUUAAUGGUGUCACAUUUGUUUAAGGUAUUUUAGGUUUGUAGUUAACAAGUGUGCAUUAGGGGGAAUUUAAUAAAAAUACAAGGUUGGACUAGAUAUUGUGAAUAGACUUUCUAGAUUGGCCUAAUUUAUUAAUGGAUUCCAAUAUGGCUAAUUAAUUAAUUAGGAUCUAAGUGAGUUAAAUUAGGUAACCUAAGCCCACUUUAGGCUUAAGUCACUAAAGUUCACAAGGAAGCUUAUAAAUAACUAUUUAAAGCUUAUUGGGUUUUAUGAGUAACUUAAGCUUGCCUUGGGUUUGGGUAAGUUAUCAUAACCUAAAAAAGUUCUUAAUUGAGCGCUUAGAUUAAUCAAUUAGCUUAGUCCAGAAAUACCUUUCACCAACUCUAUUGGAAACUUUGAAUUACUCCAUUUCAUGAUCUAGGAUCAAAUAGGGUGCAUGCAACUAUCUUUAGGUUUUUCUAGAUCUAAUGCACUAGAAAAAUAUGGAUAUAAAAUCCAUAAAAUGUACUAGAUUUAUAGAUUAAAACUCAUACCUAUGAUUUCAAUGUUUCUAAAUUAAAUCCAAUCCCUAAAAGAUAUCAAAGAUGUUUUAAAAGUCAUCUAUCAAACAAUUUUCCACCCAAUCUCUCCCUCCACAAAUAGACCCUAGCACAAAAAAAGGUGAAUGCUGGAAUUUUCGUCAAUUAUUGGAUCAAAACAAAAUUUAUAACCUAAUUCACUAUUCUAUAGCAGCUUGUACCCGAUCAAAAAGUGGUUUUAGUACAAACUAUUGUAGUAUAGUGGUUUUUAGGUGUCGUCCACUAGGAUGGAUUGUUCUCGGUAAUUAAGGCUUGAAUGAGAUGAUAAGAAAUUAUUGCAAUCAAGUGAAAAUGAUUUGACAAUUCAUGAUAAAAGUUCAACAUAACAAUGAUUUCAAAUUUAGAGGAAAAUGAAGGGUAAAAGAGAAGAAAAUUAAUAGAAGAUGAAAUUCUUGGAGGUAGGAUUUUCUAGAAAAAAAUUUCCACGGUGAAUAGAUGUUGAGAUCUAAUUUUCAUCAAGUUAGAUUGAAAACCUAAAUUUUCAUCUAAACCAAUUUUUGAUUUAGCUUUAGGUCUAGAUCUAAUUUCUCUUCAAAUUAGGUCAUUUAAUCCAAGAGAUCAAUUCAAAUUAUAUAUUCAAUUCAUCUUAAACUAUCUUCCAAUGAUUCACAUAAUGCAACUAUUCAAUCUCAUCAAAUCUAGCUUUAAGAAUUUGAUGAAUCUACCUAGCUUGCAUUGUAGUAAUCAUCCAAGACAAUUUGAAGAGAAAAAUCCUCAAAUUUCAAUUAAUCAAUCAAUUGGAUCAAAUUACCUUUUCAAUUCAAGCUCAUUUCUCUAAUUCACCAUAGAUUUUGCCUCUAGAUCCUCCCUCCUUUGAGAAAAAUGAGAUUUAGCCACUCAUGCUUGGAGAUUUUGCCUCACAAAACAUUUUUGGCUAGCGAGAAAAUGAAGGAAAGUGGAAAAUUCUAGAGAAAGAGAAAAUAUGGAAAAUUCUACAAUUAGAAAAUGUCUAAUUUUUUUUGAAAAUGAGUAAAUCAAGUUUCUAUUUAUAGGCCAAGGUCAAGAGGACACUUGGCAUCAUCUAAGAGGUCUUUUAAAGGCUUCUUCAUCAAGAAAUUUGGAGUUUAGUAAUAAAAUGUCCAUUUCGCAAGAGAUCCAGCACUUUCACACGAGCUCCAUCAAUUUCGCAUGAGUGUGCGAAGUGGAAAAUGCAUCAGCACCAAUUUCGCCUUCUUAGAGCAUUUCGCAUGACUGUGCGAAAUUUUCGCAUGGUCGUGCAAAAUCAGCUUCAAGAUUUCCCUUUGAGCUGUAGCCAAAAUUGCCUUCUGGUCCAUUUCAAUUUUAUACUCUGUGUUUUUGGGAUGAAUGACAUGUGAAAGUUGGAAUUUGCUAAAAAAAUAUACAUAUAUUUUUUUGAGUUAAUGUUUGUAAGCAUAAUUCUCCCAAAAACCGGUCAUGCUUCAUCAUAUUGUAUGUUUGUUUUUUUUUAUAAUGUGUGGUUAUUCAUCUUUAUAUUUGUGUAAUGGAUUGAUAUCUAUAAAUUAAGAGUAUCAAUUGAUAGGUAGAUGAAUCAAUUGAUUGGGCAUCUAAGAGUCUUAUGUGUAGAAGACUAAAAUUAUAAAUGGGGAGUUAGAAAACUUUUCAUUUAUAUGAAUAGGGUGUUACAAUUUUUGUAAUCCUAUCAUUAUGAGAUUUAAUUUGUAUAUAAAGUUUAUGAGUAAUGGAGGAAGAUGGAAAAGUAUAACCUAUGCAAUUAUAUAAAUGCAUUCAAGUUGGUAACCCACAAUUAUCCAUUAAUUUGUACAUAAUGUUUGUAAAUAAUGAAUAUAACUCCCGUGUAGUCUUUGAUGCAUGAGAAGACUAAGAGAUAUAAAUCUCUUUUAUAAGAUCAAGAUCCUAAGUCAUACUCUCAUUCUUAUGUCUUUUUGUUAUUUUACUUAUAACAACAUAUAACACACAAGUGACCCGUCUACUAUAUGAGAGUAGUGAGUUGAAGAUCUUGAGCAAAACAAUUCACAAGAUGACUCAAGCUCACUUCAAAAGUAUUAUCAAUAUCAUGGAUGAAGGUAAAAAUAUGAUCAUUAUAUUAUCAUUGCUUUAGCAUUUAUAUCUAUUAUGUUUUAUGCAUCCAAAAUUGAUUUUCCAAAAUAAUUGUUUUCACAUAAAGUUUAGUUAACAUGUACUUCUAUUUUAAAAUUUUAAAAUUUUAAAAUAAAUUUGCAGAAAUCACUUUUAAAUGUUUUUUUAUAAAAAAAAAUUUAAAAUAUGAAAGAAUCACAUAUUUUUUCAACUUUGAAAAAUAGACCUAAUAAACAUAUUUAACAUUUAUAGCAAUUAAAAAUUAAUUAAUAUUUUUUAAAAAAAAAUUAAAUAAAAGCAAUGGUGUAUCCAAAUAAUACCUUAUUCACCCAAUUUAGUUAUCAUAUGCCUUUAGUACCGAAGUGGCUGACUAAAUUUUUUCUCAAGGUAUAAUAAUGCUAAAAGAUCUUUAACCAAAACAUGGACUUCACUCUUAUUUCUUCCUACCACUUUAAUUUCACCCAACUUCACCUAUAGAAGCUCAUUCAUGUCUUAUCUUGUUUGUCUAGUUUGAACCUCAUGUUGCUCAAGUCCCAAAAGGAAUAAAAUUUCAUUCAGAAUAUAAUUAUGCACAAAAUCCUCAUUAGGGUUAGAGUUUGCUCCUUCAUUAAUUAAUUAUAAUGGUUUAGGGUCAGAAUAACAUACUUUAUUAUGUUAAAGUAUCCUAAACUUUGUUAGCAAACACAUAUGGCUGAAAGCGAAGAAUGAUCAAGAGUCCAAGUACUAACAAAGGGCACUUAUGAACCAUAGGUUGAGGAAAGUGGCUUGAGCCCAAGCUUGGGGCUUAGGUUAUUUUUUGUUUAUGCAAUACUUAAAUCCAAACUUAAAGGUGACAUUAGAAACAUAUUUCAAUCUCAUAUUUUAUCCUCUUAACUAUUGGACCUAAUUGCACUCGACAUGGAACUUGUUUAUGCAUUUUGGGAAUCACAUGCAUUUUAGUCCCAAAAUAGCUAUGCAACUUUUUUUUCCACCUAAUUAAGUUCAAAAUUAAGGGGGUGUUUGGUAAAACUUAAUACCUUUUACUAAUGACUUAAAUUGACUUUAAGUUAAAUUAUAUUUAACUUGCUAACUUAAAACUUAUUAUUUAAUUCUUACUUCAAGUAUUAAGGUUGUUUAAUAAAAUUAAUUUAAAACAUAUUUUAAAUCAUCAAAUUGAUAUAUUAUCCUCAUAAAUUAUAACUAGAGUAUAAGAGGUUGAGUGACAAUGAAGGUCGUGGAGUAGUAAAGAAAAUUGUGGAGGUAACUAGGAUAAAUGAGAAUAAAAAAGUAGAAUGAAAAUAUAAAUUUUAAAAUAAGUUAAUUGGUUUUACUUUUUCUUAAAAUUAUUUUUGAUUUUAAGUCAUACCAUUAAAUUAUUUUAAUAAACAUAAUUUACUUAAUAACUUAAAUUAAAUUAUUAAGUUGUUAAUUUACCAAACACCUACUAAUUUUCAAAUUCUAAGUUUAGCUUUGCUUUGCAGUGAAUGCAUUUAGGAUUAUCAAAGAGGUCAUCAAGGGUUUCAAACAUAUUUUAUUGCUCAACUUCUCGAAGAGGGACUUCAGAAGAGAAGAUUCCAUAAUUCUAGUUUUGUAUGCGAUUGUAUGUAUCCUACCACAUGGAGACGAUUCCUCAGCAUGCUGAUUUAUUAUUAAGUUCAUGUGAAUUACGUAUGGAAUUCCAAUUGAUGUGAACAUAAAAUUAAUUGAAUUAUGUGACAUUUUUUUUACGCAGAAUAAAACAUAUACAGUUGGAAGAUAUCUCGAGAUUCUGAUUUUAUAUCUGGCCCUCAAAAUUCUAUUUCACUGUCAGGUUGUGGACGUUCCACCCAGCUGGAGCAGAUCCCUUGGCAUGCUGAUAUGCCAACUAUUGAAAAGUCUGCACCCAUUUUCUAUAUUCAUGAGCUUUUCUCCUGUUCGAAUUAGUUUUGAAGUUAUCUACAGACAUGACUUGUACAAAUUGAAAAGUUUUAAUUAGGGCAGCAAAAGUAAUCCCUUCAAUUUUAUUAUUAUUGUUAUUAUUAUUACCUUAUAAAAAGAAUUUACCCAAUCAAAAGUGAUCGCAUAGUCAAAAUAGAUUUUAUUUUUUCUUAUCUUACAAUAAUAUAAAAAAAUAUAUAUAUACUUUCAAUCAAUGUCUCAUAUUUCUAACACGUACGCGCUCUAGAAUUUCUCGAAUUGUAGUCUAGAGUGUCAACUUUUAGUGUUUGAUCAAAAAGGCCAUAAACAAAUAUAUGAAAAAAGUAAUCAACAAGCAGAGGAUUCUUUUUGAAUAAAAAAGACCCACUUACAAGCAUGGAUUAUAAAUUGUCUUCAGUUGCGGCUGAAACUUUCUAUAUGACUUUAAAGAAAAAAGAGGUCAUAAAUAGAUAGCUGAGAACAAGUUGAGGGAUUCAAAGGCAGCUAUGGUAUAAAUAUUGUUUUAUAAAUUAAACCUUUUGUACCGCCUCUACAAAGGAACACAAAAUUGAGAGAUUCAAAGGCAGCUAUGGUAUAAAUAUUGUUUCAUAAAUUACUUUUCAAAUUUAAUUUGAUAGCAAAAAUUUAAAAUAUAAAAGUAUAAAAAAUUUGUUUCAUUCCCAAAAUUUUUGCAAAUAAAAUUUAAAGUAAUAAAUUAACACCAUGACUCUUUUCACAUCUUAUUCUCAUUUCUAUCAAAGCAAUGAUAGUAAUUGUCUUAUCUAUAAAUUUUAAAUGAUGUAAGAUCAUUGAAUUUUUAUUUUCUUUUAAACUUCUUGUUAUGUAAUUAUCAAACAUAUUUUUUUAAGACAAGAAAAAAAUUACACCGAACAAAUAGAUUUGAUACUUAGAAUAAUUGAAAACAUAAUUCGUAUUUUCCAUUUUUAAAAAUAAUAAAAGCAAAGGUGUUUCAAAACAAUACCUCAUUUGCUCAAUUAAUUAUCACAUUUCCUAAGUACAAAAGUAGGCAAGUAAAUUUUUGCUCAAGUUACAAUAGUGCUCCAAAUCCUUAUCCAAGAUUUUGAUCCUAUUUCACAAUUGUUUUUUAAAACAGUUUUUUUCUUCUCUACAACAAAAAAAAAAAAAAAACAAGAAAAUGUGUUUGAGAAUUGGAAAAUAAAGUGUUUUCAAAAAAACAUAUGUUAGUUGUUUUUAGUUUUUCUUCAUUAGCUUUUUUGAAGGUUGUUUUUAAAAAUAAUUAUACAAAUAUGAAGAAUUAUUAAAAAUAUAAUUUUAUAGACAAAAGUUAUUUUAAAAUUAUAUGCACGAGUUUUGGAAAGUCUUGCAAAAUAAGCAAAACUAUAGGAAAAAUAUGCAAAUAAAAUUUGUAUUAAAAUCAUUGGGGGCCCCCGCAUUUCGGCUCAUGCGCUUCCACUCGAUGGUGAGCUCGAUUUUUAUUUUGAAAAAUGAUUUAUUAUUUGAAAAAUGACUUGAAGUCGCCACUUAUUUUUGUUUUAUUUUUAAAGGGUAAACAAAAUAAGAAAGAAAACUCUAAAUGUGACUCCUUAUUUGGAAAAGGUGGUCUGUGAAAAACCGGAUCGGGCUCGGGGGUUAGGUUACUUAUUGGGAAGGUACGGUAAAAACCGUAGCACCCCUCUAAGUCCCCAAAAACGGGUCUUUACUAAUGAAAUGAAGCAAUCAUGACAAUUGAUAAGUAAAUCAAUGGAUACCGAAUGAAAAUCGAAACAAAAUACCCAAAUGAAUUUGAGAGACAAAGAACGUACCUGAGUGACGAGCUGAUUUAUUUCAUUGGAAACAAAGGUUAGUGAACAAACACAAAUGAUCGUGUGCAUAUCAUAGAAUAGAACAAAUCAAUCACAUAUAGCAAUCAAAUCAAUCAAUCAUAAAAUCGCAUAUGUUGGGCCCCCACUAAAACCCAUUUAUUUUUGCAUGAAUUAAUUCUGUAAAUUCCAUCACUCGGAAUUAUAGAAUUUAAUUCAUGCUUAUUUUAAAACAUUUAAAAAACAGAGGAGAUGUGAGUAUUGCUCAUCAGAAAAGAAGAUGGCAACAAAGUUUUAUUAAAAAUGGGAUUUUUGGUACCUAAAACUCUAAGGAUGAAAAUUUUGGAGUUGAGAUUAUUUAAAAAGUUAGAAUCUGAAAAAUUAUUUUUAAAAAAAGAUUUAGAAAGUUAUUUUCAAAACCAAAAGGGAGAAAUAGGAGGUGGCAUGUGGCCCAAAGGUGGCCAUGCGGAGGUGGCCAUGCAAAAACAUUUUCUUCUGGGCCAAGGGAGAGACUGCGCUAUAGGGAUCAAUGGUAUUGUUGGGCUUGUCAUAACUCUAACCAGGAUAGGAUCCCAGCCACAUAUAGCUGUAACUAGGUUGCUACAUUGAAAGAGUACCAAGAGAGGCACCCUAGCUUAACGGAGGUCAGGCCUGGUAGCCUUGCGGAGGAUAUCUCUAACCAUUGCCAGAUUUCUGAUAUGAUUCUCACUGAUGACUUCGUUGACCAACUGUUCAGCAAACUCAAUCUGUUCACUGGUACUGCCUAUGUGUGCAAUUCUCUCCAUUGAUAUGUCACCAGAAAGGAAAUGCAAAAGUAUAAACUAGAUACGAGCUCCUGUCUUGGCUUGCAUAUUUCUAAUGAUCUCACCGCCCUUACCAACUAUCAGACCAACCUUGUUGUUUGGUACUUUCAUCACGAGCUGUCCAAACCCAGUCCAACCAAUUAACCUUCAAGAAAUUAUGCCAAACCUCUUUGCUUAUAUCUGUUGUGUCAUUCCAUAAGAAUUGAACGCACCCAUAUGUAAGCACCCGUGAUGUGUCGUCACACUCCAACUGCAAAUUAAAUCGAACAAGACCUUUCAUGGAAGCAUCUCUGACAUCUAAAUGAGACCCUGUCAAACCUUGAAUUAUCUGGAGUUCAUCAAGUGCAUCAUCAAAUGCUCUUCAUUCAGAGUGUCCAACUUAGCAAUAGCUUCAUCAAAAACCUAUUUAUCCAGAUUACAAGCAUGAUCCAGGGGAUUCAGAAUCUUAUAGUAAAAGACGGAGAAGUUAAGUGCAAGCCUCAAGCAGAUAAGACGGGUUGAAGCCAAUUCCACAGCUGCAAUAUCCUACGCUGAUUUUAUAAGCUACGAGAGUGCUCUCCGUCGCCUCUCUCAUCUCGGCUCCGGUCUUGAAUGCUGAUAGAUAACAACGAUAAUCGCUCUUCAUCUUUAAACAAAGCGACUUUGGGUCACUAGCCAUAGCCGAAUGAAUAAGCUACGAAUCCAGCAGACGAAGAGUAUCGUCACAGAUGGAGGAUUGUUGAAACAUAACACGCAUAUAAUGGAAACAGACUCGUGUUGGCUCCUGCCCGCUCCCAAUGGGUAUGGCCCUCAUGCUCAUUGACAUGUUCGAAGACGUCAACAAGCGCACCAUAGACCUUCUGUAGGCAGAGGAUUGGGUUUAAUGGGUUUAGAAAGAAUUUGUGGCAUGUAUGGGUAUGGAAAUAGGUGUGAAUGAUAGCCUUGCAUGCAUGAGGAGUGGUGAAUAGGUUGAAGAGAGUGGGUUUAGAGGAUAGAAAUAUGGGUAUAGUUGUGGGUUUAGAAAAUGGGUACAGUAUUAGUGGGACGGGUAGUGGAAAAAUGGAUUGGAAGGCAUUGGAAAAUGAGGUCUCUAUGGUGGCCAUGCAUGCGUCAAAAAAUAGAAAGGAGUGCAUGGAGGUUAAAUGGAAGGAUGAAUGAUGGAAGUAGCAGCUUGGGUAGGUGUAAGCUUUGGAUUUGGGUAGGUAAAAAAAAUGAGAGAUAGGUAUGAGAUAGCCAAUGAGAGAUCUGCACCAUUUGGCAUUGUGAUCGCUCGGUUUUUGUCGUUUAUUGGAUCAAAACAAAAUUUAUAACCUAAUUCACUAUUCUAUAGCAAUUUGUACUCGAUCAAAAAAUGGUUUUAGUACAAACUACUAUAGUAUAGUGGUAUUUAGGUAUCGUCCACAAGGAUGGAUUAUUCUCGGUAAUUAAGGCUUGAAUGAGAUGAUAAGAAAUGAUUGUGAUCAAGUGAAAUUGACUUGAAAUUGCAUGAUAAAAUUCCAAAAUAACAAUGUAUUCAAAUUGAGAGAAAAAUGAAGUGUAAAAGAGAAGAAAAUUAAUAAGAGGUGAGAUUCUCGGAGUUAGGAUUUUCUAGAAAGCAAUUUCCAUGGCGAAUAAGUGUUGAGAUCUAAUUUUCAUCAAGUUAAAUUGAAAACCUAAAUUUUCAUCUAAACCGAUUUUUGAUUUAGCUUUAGGUCUAGAUAUAAUUUCUCUUCAAAUUAGGUAAUCUAAUCCAAGAGAUCAAUUUGAAUCAUAUAUUCAAUUCAUCUUAAAUUAUCUCCUUAUGAUUCACACGAUGCAACUAUUCAAUCUCAUUAAAUUUAGCAUUAAGAAUUUAAUGAAUCUACCUAGCUUGCAUUGUAGUAAUCAUCCAAGACAAUUUAAAGAGAAGAAUCCCCAAAUUUCAAUUAAUCAAUCAAUUGGAUCAAAUUACCUUUGCAAUUCAAGCUCAAUUCUCUCAUUCACCAUAGAUCUUGUCUCUAGAUUCUCCCUCCUCUGAGAAAAACAAGAUUUAGCCACUCAUGCUUGGAGAUUUGAUCUCAUAAGACAUGUUUGGCUACCAAGAAAAUGAGAGAAAAUGAAGGAAAGUAGAGAAUUAUAUAGAGAAAAGAAAUCUGAAAAGUUCUACAAUUAGAAAAUGUAUCAAAAGUCUUUAAAUGAGUCAAUCACAUUUUUAUUUAUAGGCCAAGGUCAAGAUGACACUUGGCAACAUCUAAGAGGUCUUUCGGAUGCUUCUUCAUCAAGGAAUUUGGAGAAAAUACAUUUUCGCACGAGCCUUAGCAAUUUCGCAUGAUGGUGCGAAGUGGAAAACCAUCAGCUUCAUUUUUGUCUUUCUGGAGCGUUUCGCAUGACUGUACAAAAUUUUCGCAUGGUUGUGCGAAAUUGCUUUUCACUUUUCCCUUAGUAUGCUACAGCCAAACCUAUUCUGUUUCAUUUCACAUGGUCAUGCGAAAUUGAAAAACAUGUUUUUUCGACUCCUCUUUGCAAUUCUUUCCAUUUCUUCAUUUUUAAUCCACCUCUACCACUUUCAAUUCAACUCCAAAUCCCAAUCCAAACCGAUUGCAUUGCUUAUUUCAUUAUGCAUUUGGAUCAUCAUCAACUUUAUUUGUUUUCUUCAAUUUGGUUCAUCUCUUUUGUCACCAAUUUAUCAAAAUCAUACCUUAAAAUGACUUUAAAACUUCAUAAAACUUGUUAGUAACUAUUGCAAGGGCAAAAACAUGUUAAUUGAGUGUUUUAGGCAUAAUUACUACUCAAAAGAUGUGAAAAUCAUGAGAAUUAUUAUCUAAAAUAUGCUCUUUUUGAGUAGUAAUCAUUCCCCCCAACCAACACAUUGCUAGUCCCUUAGCAAUUGUAUGACAAAAAGAAAGAAAAAUAAGGCCAAAGAAAAGAAAUCAUAACUCACAUAAGCAAAUCAUUUGAAAAAAAAAAUGUUUGAAAUUUCCAUAGCAUAAAUGGUUGAUAAACAAGCACACCCUACUAUCCAUAGGUAUCAACAAAAUCCCAACUUAUUUACUAUCUCUAAUAGAAAUAAUAUCAUGCUAAUCAAGGUAUCAAAAACAUAUCCAUCUUCAUUUCCCAAACAAUCUUUGUAAACAAGUCUUGAGUGUAAUUAAGCUAGCUCCCGAAUAUAGUACUCAAAACUAAUCCUCCCCCCAACCUAGCUCAAUUUAUCUCAAACAACAAAAAUCACUCUCUCAUAGGUUAAGAACACACCUAUCUUUAUUUUAUUAUUAUUUUUUUUACAAAUGACUUAUUGUAGGAGUGCAAUGCUAAAGGUAUCUCCAAGUAUAUGGUCCAUGUAGCGGGGAUUCAUCGAUGACUCCCAAUCAUAAGGCAUAGGGCACCAAGUUUAUAGGACUAUUUAACUAGCCACUAACUCCUCAGACUUCACCCCGGACUCCUCAAAUUAGGAUCCAAUACAUUAACACCUACAAUUGAGUUCAUACCCCACCUAUCCACCCAUGUAACAAGCAUUGAGGUCGGUGGCUCCCAACCAAAAUGGCUUAGGGCACCAGGCUUUAAAGACCUUUGGGCCAUAUACCCCUCGGACCUUGCUCAGGUUUCAAGGCAAGCAUAACUCAACAUUUUUAUUCAUCAACUCUUUUUUUUUUUUUUUUUUCAAUUGGGCACAUUGGCCUCUUUUUAAGGUGUCUCAACUCAGUUCAAGAGUAAUCAAUGUUACAAGAUAAUUAAGUCUAAGUCUUAAGGUUAGAAUAGUUUUUCAUCUUAUAUCUGGGGUCUAGAGUGCAUAGUAUGUGUCAAGACUCAAAUAGAAAUGACAAUUUGGAAAAUGAAGACUUUAAAGUCAAAUCAACUUUAAUUCACAUAACCAAUCUUCUAAGAUCAAGCAAAUAAGCUAGUAUUCUAAAUCAACUUUUUUUAAGUUAGGUUUGCUCAUUCAUCAAUCACAAAUGCUAUAGUCAUCUCAAAAAAAUCUCACCAAAUAAGUCACAAAUGUGAUUUAUGAAAAAAAAAAAUUAUAGAAAAACUAAUAACAUAUUUCCUUCUCUUCAUUUUUAACCCUCCCCCAACCUAACUUGUACAUUGUCCUCAAUGUGUAAUGAAAAUAUACAAAGAAAGGAAGGAAAGAUACCUCAAUCUCUCAUGAAUUUCAGUUUCAAUAGCUAAAACAAAAAUAAGAUCACACAUGAGAAUUGUUGGAUAUGAAUGACAUAAGAGAAGAAAAUAUGAAAACAAAUCUAUUAAAAACCAAAAAAAAAAAACUAUGUUAGAGACACAAUGUAUGGAGUAAAAUCAAGGUAUAGAUGAUGACAAUGUCCAAAGAAAACAUGAUUUCAAUGAUAAGUCAAUGAUUCUCAUGGAGUUUUUGAAAAUUUCAGACAAGUGUGCAAACUAGACAAGAAGGUGGUGUGUGUUGCAACCACUUUUUCUUUUGAAAUAAUUUGGCACAAUCAUGCGGAAAUUCGCAUGUACAUGCGAAUUGGUCAAGAGAGCUUUAUCUUAUUAUAGUCUUCAGCAUAAUUUUCGCAUAGUCAUGUGAAAAUUCGCAUGUUGAUGCGAAAUGGAUCUGAGGCUUAAAACUGUUGUAGUCAUCCACAUUAGUUUCGCACAGUCAUGCGAAAACUUCACAUGAGUGUGUGAAGUGGUCCAGAUGGCUCAUUUUACUACAGUCUUUAAGAUGGAUUUCGCAUAGUCAUGCGAAAUGCUCUAGAGGGUUCAUUUUUACAACUAUCAUUUUCAGUUUUGCACAGUCAUGCGAAAAUUUUGCAUGACCAUGCGAAUUGUGACAAAGACUCAUUUUGUACAUUUCCGAAGAUAUGAAAACUCCCCUAUUUUGGCAUGACUGUGUUAUUUUGGCAUGACCUCCCUGUUUUGGCAUGACUAUGCAAAAUGGUGAUGGGCCAUUAAAACUCUUUUUUCCUUUGCUUCAUGCAUUCCAUCCAUCCAGAAAGUCCUUCAAAACACAAGUCAAAGAAUUGAGAUGGAUUUAUUUAAUGGAAACUAAAAAAAAAAUCAAAAUCCAAAGGAAAUGAUAAACCAUUGGGCUAGCUAGCCAUUGACAUGACUAAGCCCAUUAACCUUUGCAUCAAUACUCAAUUUGGAUAUGGCUUGCAAACAAUGAAUGGACCAACUCCUUGGUACUUAAGCUUUCCCAGAAAAAUAUGUGGCUUGAAAUAACCUUCUUUGAACUUGUUCUUUUGAAUAAGUUGGUCAUGCCAUUCCUUGAGUUUCUUUUUCAUGGUCUUUGGAUUAUUUUUCAUACCAUGCUUCAUUUUUUUCACUUUCUUGAAGCUGAAAGACCAUUUCAUUAACUUCAAAGGUUGAAUUUCUUUAUUGAUCCUCCAAACUUCAAUCCGUUCAUUGGAAAUUGCUUCACUAAGUUUUGAAAAAUUAUCUUCAACCUUUUCUUUCACUAGCACUUUCAUAGGCAAUUCAAUCAAAUAAGCCUCCUUAAGUUCCUCCUCCUCCUUGGUACCAUGCUUCUUAUAUGAAUGAAAAAUGUUUAGCUCAAUUGUCAUGUUACCAAAGGUAAGUUGCAUCACCCCACUUCGACAAUUAAUUAAUGCAUUUGCUGUGGCAAGGAAAGGUCGGCCAAGUAUAAUAGGAACAUGGUUGAGUCCACUAGUUCCUUGUUUCAUAUCAAGCACCACAAAAUCAACCGGAUAAUAGAAGAUAUCGAUUUGGAUCAACAUAUCCUCAAUAAUUCCUCUUGGAAACUUAACCGAUCUAUCCGCCAAUGAAAGUGUGAUGGAAGUAGACUUUAGUUCUCCAAACCCCAAUUGCUUAUAUACCGAGUAGGGAAGAAGAUUCACACUUGCCCCCAAGUCUAAAAGUGCUCUUUUCACAAAAGUGUUGUCAAUCUUCACCGAGAUAGUUGGACAUCCCGGAUCCUUAUACUUGAUUGGGGUUUUACAUUGGAUGAUUGCACUAACUUGUUCAGUCAAGAAAGUUUUCUUUUUCAAAUGCAUCCCUCUCUUUAUGGUACACAAAUCCUUAAGAAACUUGGCAUAGGUUGGAAGUCUUAUCAUGUCAAGGAGUGGUAUAUUGACUUUGACUUGCUUGAGAACUUCAAAAAUUUCUAGAGCAUUAUUUACCACUUUCUUGGAUUGAAGAGCCAUAGGAAAAGGUGGAGCUAAGAGCAUAUCUUUCUUCUUAACCUCUUCUUUAACAAUCUCAUCUUCCUUUGAUCUAUCAUCCUCAUUCACCUCUUUCCAUUUUUCUUGUUCUUUCACAUUUUCCUUUUGUUCCCCUCUUUUAUUCUCUUUUGGUUUUGGCAUAGGUUGAUCAACUUGCUUACCACCUCUUAAGGUAAUGACUGCUUUGACUUCAUCCUUCUCAAUAGAACUUUCACUUGUCUCUCCAAUUUCAUGGACUCCACUUGGAUUUUGUUGGGGUUAUGAAGAGAAUUUUCCUUUUUCUUACACUGUAUGCAUGCUUGUGAGUUUAGAAAUAGCAAGCUGCAUAUUAUCAAUCUUUUGUGUGAGAUUGGUUUGCAAGCUAUCAAAUUUCUGAUUGAAAGAUGUCUCCACAUGAUCUAUUCUUUGGUUUACUUGAAUAUUGAUAUUCUUUUGAUCACCAAUAAAAUCACCCAAAAUUUUACUCAAGCUUACAAUAGCUUGCUCAACCAAAGAAAUUUGUUGUGGAGAGUCUUCCAUGACUUGUUGGCUUUGUGAGUAUUGACUUGAAGAAAAUUGUUCUUGUCCACAAUUCCAUGACAUGUUUAGAUGAUUCUCAACAAGUCUUUCCCCCAUAGCUAGUAUUGUAGGACAAUCACUCACUUCAUGUUCUAUAGAUUGACAAUUAGAACAUUGCUCCUUGUAAAUUGGAUUAUCAUAUAUUGCAUUCACCACAUGAAAUCCCUUAGCUUCAAGUUCCUCUAGCCUUUUUGUCAAAGCUACCAUUUUAGCUUGUAGAUCAACAUCUUCAUUCAACAUAUACAUUCCUCCAUUUGAAUUGCUUUGAGACUUGGACUUGUGUAAAUCCCUUUCAUGUGGCUCAUUCCAUGACCUUAAUAUUUUAGCCACAUAAUUCAAGAAUUCAAAAGCUUCAUCGGGACUUUUGCUCAUAAAGCCACCUCCACACAUGGUUUCUAGCAAUUGCUUCAUAGUUGGCGACAUGCCCUCAAGAAGUAACUCACCAACAUCCAUGUGUCAAAACCAUGAUGAGGACAAACAUUGAUUACUUCCAUAUAUCUUUCCCAACAAGCAUAAAAUUUUUCAUUGUCCAAUGCCACAAAGUUGGUAAUUUGCCUCUUCAAGCCACUUGUGCGAUGUAUGGGGAAAAUUUUCUUUAAGAAGGUUGUUUGUAGUUCCAACCAUGACCUUAUGGUUUGGGGCCCCAAUGAGUUGAACCACAACUUAGCCUUAUCCUUCAAUGUGAAUGGAAAAAGCUUCAAUCUCAUAAGCUCAAUGGAUGUGUUUCCCUCAUGAAAUGUAUGAAAAACCUCUUCAAAAUCCUUGAUGUGAGUAUAAAGAUUCUCAUUCUCCAUUCCAUGAAAUUGAGGUAGAAGGGGUACCAAGUGAGUUUUUAUCACAAUAGCCUCAUUAGGAAGAACUAUACAUGAUCCCAUGCCUAUCCUUUGAGGAUGCAUAUAUUCUCUCAUUGAUCUAGACAUGUGAGAAUUGCCAUUGUUUGGUCCUUGUUGAGUUUGUUGAUUUUCCCCUUGAUUUUCCAUUUCCUCAACAAUUGGAUCACAAAACAAAGAUGAUUAGCAAUAUAAGUUUUUUUUCAAUCUCUCCCUUGAAUUUUAUUCUCAAUGUAGUAUGCAAUGGAGAGCCUACAAAACAAGCUUAGAAAAACCAAAACAAACCAAGAAGAACAAAAAGAGAAAUAAAAGAUAAAAAUGGAAAAAAAAAUAAUAAUAAGAAAAAUGGAGAAUCGAUAAAGAGAACUUCACCAAUCUUGUGAUGUGGAUCACAAGGGCUAAUCCUCACCAAAAAAAAAAAUGCCUCAAUCACCUAGGCACCAUCCCCGGCAACAGUGCCAUUUUUGAUUGCUCGGUUUUUGUCGUUUAUUAGAUCAAAACAAAAUUUAUAACCUAAUUCACUAUUCUAUAGAAAUUUGUACCCAAUCAAAAAAUGGUUUUAGUACAAACUACUGUAGUAUAGUGGUAUUUAGGUAUCAUCCACAAGGAUGAAUAUUCUUGGUAAUUAAGGAUUGAAUGAGAUGAUAAGAAAUGAUUGUGAUCAAGUGAAAUUGACUUGAAAUUGCAUGAUAAAAUUCCAAAAUAACAAUGUAUUCAAAUUGAGAGAAAAAUAAAGUGUAAAAGAGAAGAAAAUUAAUAAGAGGUGAGAUUCUCGAAGUUAGGAUUUUCUAGAAAGCAAUUUCCAUGGUGAAUAGGUGUUGAGAUAUAAUUUUCAUCAAGUUAGAUUGAAAACCUAAAUUUUCAUCUAAACCGAUUUUUUAUUUAGCUUUAGGUCUAGAUCUAAUUUCUCUUCAAAUUAGGUAAUCUAAUCUAAGAGAUCAAUUUGAAUCAUAUAUUCAAUUCAUCUUAAAUUAUCUUCCUAUUAUUCACAUGACGCAACUAUUCAAUCUCAUUAAAUCUAGCAUUAAGAAUUUAAUGAAUCUACCUAGCUUGCAUUGUAGUAAUCAUCCAAGACAAUUUGAAGAGAAAAAUCCCCAAAUUUCAAUUAAUCAAUCAAUUGGAUCAAAUUACAUUUGCAAUUCAAGCUCAAUUCUCUCAUUCACCAUAGAUCUUGUCUCUAGAUUCUCCCUUCUCCGAGAAAAACGAGAUUUAGCCACUCAUUCUUGGAGAUUUGAUCUCACAAGACAUGUUUGGCUACCGAGAAAAUGAGGGAAAAUGAAGGAAAUUAGAGAAUUAUAUGAGAAAAGAAAUCUGAAAAGUUCUACAAUUAGAAAAUGUAUCAAAAGUCUUUAAAUGAGUCAAUCACGUUUCUAUUUAUAGGCCAAGGUCAAGAUGACACUUGGCAACAUCUAAGAGGUCUUCCGAAUGCUUCUUCAUUAAGGAAUCUGGAGAAAAUACAUUUUCGCACGAGCCUUAGCAAUUUCGCAUGAUGGUGCGAAGUGGAAAAUCCAUCAGCUUAUUUUUUGUCUUUCUGGAGCGUUUUGCAUGACUGUGCGAAAUUUUUGCAUGGUCAUACAAAAUUGCUUUUUACUUUUCCCUUAGUAUGCUGCAGCCAAGCCUAUUCUAUUUCAUUUCGCAUGACUAUGCGAAAUUGAAAAACAUGUUUUUUCGACUCCUCUUUGCAAUUCUUCCCAUUUCUUCAUUUUUAAUCCACCUCUACCACCUUCAAUUUAGCUCCAAAUCCCAAUCCAAACUAAUUGCAUUGCUUCUUUCAUUAUGCAUUUGGAUCAUCAUUAACUUUAUUUGUUUUCUUCAAUUUGAUUCAUCUCUUUUGUCACCAAUUUAUCAAAAUCAUACCUUAAAAUGACUCCAAAACUUCAUAAAACUUGUUAGUAACUAUUGCAAGGGCAAAAACAUGUUAAUUGAGUGUUUUAGGCAUAAUUACUACUCAAAAGAUGUGAAACUCAUGAGAAUUAUUAUCUAAAAUAUGCUCUUUUUGAGUAGUAAUCACAUUGCAACACCCUUAUUUUGUUAUACCCAUUUGUAUGCUUAUCCUUUACAUAAGGAGCUUGUCUGACACCUUUAUAGAAGCGGACAAAAAGCAUGGCUUGCUUGUAGAUCCAGUGCAACUUUCAGUAACACCCAACCCCUAUCAUUUUGACCCAAAAGGAUCUAUACCUAUGAUCAUUGAACUCAUUCCAUUUUGAGAACAAUCUUCAUGAACUCAUAAACGAAAUAACUUAUUGAAACUGAAGGUAGCACCUGUGGUAAGCCGAUUUCAAUAUAUCAUGCACACCAUAGAAAAUUGCACCUGAAGGUGCCAUACUUAUAGUGGAAGGCACCAAACCCUUGUAAAUGGAGAAGAAUCCUUCAGUUCGGAUCAUAUGGAGGAAAUGCCAAUAACACUACCCAAGGCUUUACCACCCGGUGCCACCAUCUUGGUCUGGAUUUAACAUGGUACCCAAUAGUAAGCGGAGUAUGGUAGUAGUAAUUCUAGCUGCAUCACCAGCAAUUGUCUUAAUUAGCUCAAAUAUAUGCUUCUGUUCACCAUGAACUAUAUAUUCCAGCUUUAGUCUCCUUUGAUUGCAUAUCAUUUCCUCCACAAAACUUUCGUUUACUAUCAUCAAACUGCCAUCCUAUACCACAAUGGUCCCAUCAACCCUACUGACCAUCCAAAUGUCAUUAAAUGAGCUAGAAGCUGGGGACUCUCAACAGCAAGAGCACCUUGAGGUUGAAUGAAUUUAGAAUAACCCACUGAAAACUCUUAUAUAGCUUCUUUAGGUGGAGAUGAGGAAGGAGAAUAGCCAAAAUAGAGCACAACAGAGUGAGCAAAGCAUUAAGUGGGAUCCCCCUUUCAUAUUGAAAUCAAGGGGUUCCAGCCAGUGGUGCAACAGGAGAGUUUAAAACAAAGAUCCAAAUGAGAGCAUCAAUAAACUCCCACCAUGGGAGUGAGCCAUAUUCAAAAAAACAAAUAUAAGAGAAAAGUAAUGCAUCAUCACAUACCCAGACAAUCGUCCAAUGCUUAGAAAAAAAAAAAAACCAAAACAACCAGAGAAGAUGGAAGAUAAAGAAAACAGAGUGAUGAGUGAAAAUAAUCCAAAAAGCUAUAUCAAAUGUACCUAGAAAUGCUCUUUCCAAUUUUCUUUUCUUCCCAACUACCUUCAGCAAACUAGAUUUGCUUUCUCUCCUCUGCUCCUAAUCAAACUACACCCUCAAGCAAUCUGAAAAAUGCAAUCCUCUCUCUCACAACCUCAGCGCACCAACCAUCUCUACUUCUCUCAUUGUUGCUCCAACUCCUUACAAAAAUAUCCCCUCUUUGUCUCUCCUCCCAAGCUCUUUCUCUCUCUCUCUCUCUCACUUCUCCUCAGCUAUGCUCUCUCAAUCCCUCUAAAAAAAAACAUCCUUCUCUCGCUCCUCUGUAACCUCAAACUUUUCUCUCAAGCUAAAGGAAACUUCUCCCCCCGAUAUCUCCUCUCCUCCCUAGCAACCAAAAAUACCCCUCCUCUGCCAGAAUGCCUCACCUUCUCUCUCCUACGCUCCUCCAUAACGGCCUGAAGAUUCUUAUGCCAUGCAUCAGCCGCUGAUUGCCUUCAGAAAAGAUCACUGCCUAUCCAUCCUCUCAUGCACAUGUUGCCAAAAAUAAAAAAAGGUGGUAAAGAAUGCUCCCUAAAAUGCCCUUACCUAUAAACCAAAACGAGGGUUUUACAGGCGCACAAUAUUUGUGGAAAAAUAUUCUUUGCUGAAGAAUAUUUUUUAAAGAUCAAUUGAAAGCCUAAAGCAGCUUGUUCCCAAAUGAAUUUAUUGAAUGGUGAAAAACACGUGUGUUGCGAUUUUUUGGAUUUGUAGGGGGUAUUUUAUAAAGCUUUUUUCUCUUUGUGAAACUCCUUUUCAUAUGUGAAAUUGUUUUAUUUUUAUUUUAUCAUUUUCAUUGAAGGAAGUUGCAAAUAUUUAUAGAUAAAAUUUUAAAAAAUAAAUUUAGAAUUUCUAAGAUUUGAUUACUUAAUUAAAAAAAAAAAUUGGUUUCUUGAUUUUAGCAACUUGUCUUCUUCAUUAAGGAAGUUUGCUAACAAGAGAAUAUUUACUUCUCAUUUUAUUUUGACUUCAAUUGGAAGACUUGUUUCAUUUGUUUACAAAAUUUUCCAACAAGAAAAUAUUUAUUUCUAAUUCUCUUUUGAUUUCAAUUGUUUGAUUUGAUUUGAUUUUGCAAGACUUUAUUUUAUAGCCUUCCAAAUUUCACUACGUGUCAUUUUUUGAAUUGAAUGCCACAUGCUCAAUAUAUAUGACUCAUCACUUAUUAAGCCUGAGUUUUGUUGAGCUAAAGAGUUACAAUUUUGAAGACUAAUUUGGUAGUAUUUUAAUCCACUAAAAUUUUUUGUCUACAAAUGCCCCCUCUUCAAAAUAGAUCACACACAUGCAUUGUAAUGUAUAAGAGGUGAGUCUUGAAGUUAGCCUUUUGAAUCUUCAAUAUCCUUCUUUGAUUUUUUUUUUCGAAGAAAUAUUUUAAUAGGAAUUUCCUAUUCAAAAUACUUUUCUUCAACUUUUUUCGAACAUUGCUUUAUUUAUUUAUUUUUUUUCUACCUCGUAUCAAAGAAAAACCUUGUGUUAAUGGGAAAGCUUCUUAUUUGAACAUCUAUUGUCUUUUCUCAUGGUAUUUCACUUCCAAUUUGUCAACCUAGAAGAAGUCCUUCACCCUAGCUUGUUCAAUUGCAUCUUAGACUUGGUCACAUGCCUUUAACUUGCAAUUCUUCCUCCACUUUGUCUUUUUCUUUUUUAUUUGUUUAAAAAAUAGUACAAAAUAUUUGAGCAAGACCAUAAGCAAGAGAAGAGAGGUGGUGAAUGGAGCACCAACUAACCUUAGGUCAAGAUCUUGAGCAAGAGAAGUAAGGUGGAGCGUAGAGCACAAACUUCUCUAGAGCAUGGUAGGCAUACCAUCAUGGAGUUGUCUUCUGCAUGGAGCAUGGUAGGGCAUUAUAUAUAUGAUAGGGUGGGCCAUUAUGUAACAAUGAAGAACAAAAAUCCAUGGUGUACAAUUGGGAACAACAAUUCAUGCUAUCAAGCUUCAACCUUUUUUUUUUUGUUUUUUUUUUAAUCCCUAUCUCCACCCCCCGACCCAAUAUUUUUUCAAGUUUCCAGAUUCCUUUUGAUUCUUUCUCAUUUUAUUUUUUUCAACUCUUUUUUUUCCUCCCUUUUUAACCAUUGUUUUUAAGGAAGAAAUAGAUUCACCAUCCCUUACCACAAGGUCAAUCUCCAUUGCUUGCAAAGACAAAUUUGCUUUUUGGUGUUUUUUUUCUUCAAAAAUUAUCUUAACAUUUUAAGAUAUAUAUAUAUAGAUAUAGAUAUUUAAAAAACUUAAAUAUCCAUAAUAAAAAUAAAUAUUUAAGGCUCUUGACUUGUUUAAAUUGGCUUGACUUGGAUACUUAGCGGGACCAUACUUAACACCCAUGUAGAUGAGCUAUAAUCUUGAUGGUAGGUUGUGUUGUAUUUUUUGACAUUUAAUGUGGCUUAAGAGUUAAAGUCUUCACUCAUGCAAAUUAGCUUGGUUUGGAUGCACAAUGGUCUCUAACUUCUUAAUGCUUAAUUAAACUUGGAACCAUAUUUAACACCCAUGUAGACAAGUCAUAAUCAUGACAUGGAGCACUAUUUUAUUUUAACUCUUAAUGCAACUUAAAUAUUAAAGUCUUCACUCAUACAAAUUAACUUGGGUUAGAUGCACAAUGGUGUUCAACUUGGUAAAAUUAAUUAAAAUUGAAACAUUUAACACCCAUGUAAACAAGUCAUAACUUUCACAUGGAACAGUGUUGUAUUUUUAGCUUAAUGUCGCUUAAGUGUUAAAGUCUUCACUGAUGUAAAUUAGCUUGGCUUAGAUGCAUAGUAGCAUUCAACUUUUUAACACUUAAUUUAAAUUCAUACCAUAUUGAAAACCCAUGUGGACAAGACAUAAUGAGAAAAUAAAUGGCUAAUCUAAAUAGAUAAAAAUACCUAACAAGGAAGGAGGGGGGUGAAUUGGAGUUUAAAAAAAAAAUAUAUUUUUAAACACAAUAAAAUUAAGUACAAGAAGCACAAAUAUAAAGAGAUAAGUUAUAGAAAUCAAACUCAGAUUUAUAGUGGUUCGACACUUCCUUGCCUACAUCCACUCUCCUCAAACUCCUAACCGAGUGAGGGUUCCACAUAUACUUGAAGCUUCAACCAAGCUUCUAAUCACUUUUUACACUUGGAUUUUAGCUCCAAUGGGCUCUUACACAUUCUCUUCAAGUCUCUACUCACUUGAAGAUUUUAACACACAAUUAACAGUUUGAAACUCUCAACCUAGCUCAACAAUGGCUCAAAUACAACUCAAGGCUAGGAUGAAUCACAAAGGUGCAUUAAAUAAUAUGCAAAUGAAGAUUUAAUGCACUGAGAAAAGAAUGAGAGCUUUUAUGGCAAGAACAAGUAGGUAAACAAAUCAAUGGAGGUGUUCUCUUACUCAUAAAUGAAGUGGAACUCUCAAUUUAUAGGUUUCUAAUCUCGGAAGCUAAAAAACCAAAAAGUAACCUCGAUUGGUCGAGUUAGGGGUCGACAGGUUCACUAGUCGUUAGAGCAUUAAAUGCGUGGCAGGUGAUCGUUACCCUCGACCGGACCUUGACUGGGAAGGCAAAUCUCUCAACUGGGAAAGAAAGGCUAUUGGAAGAGAGAAGGCUUUUUGCAUCUUUUGACUAGACCUCAACCGAGAAGGAGCAACUGAUCGACCAGUACCCUAGCCGGUUGAGCCGGUUGGCCAGUGCCUCAACCAAUUCACCAUUUUUUGGCCCUAAAACCUAUCUUUUUGUGGUCUUUUUUGCUUCUAACACUUAAACAAGGUCUUUAGGUAAAAUAAUAUGUCAAUUUUGAAACGCUUUGCCUAAGGUUCAUUUGAUAGAACUCGGAUUUUGAUGGAAAUGUGACUUUAAUGCGUAAACCGAGUUUUAAAAGAUGUAUGAAAUGAUAUGAAAAUUCUAAGUACACUCAUGCAUUCAUUUUACAUAGUUUUCUAUAAUUAAAAAGUCUUUCAAAAGUCUUGAUCUUGCAUCCAUUAGAUCAUUUGAUUAAUUUCCAAAUUAAUAUUUGAAAUUCUUUAUAAUUCAAACCAAUUAGUAACUUAACCAUGGUUUGUUAUCAUCAAAACAUGAUUAGGAGAACCCUUGGGCUAACACAUAACAUUGUAGCAAUGUUAUAUUUUUUACACUUAAUGCAGUUUAAGUUCUAAAAUCUUCAUUUCUAUGAAUUGGUUCACCUUGGAUGCAUAGUGGUGUCUAAAUUAUAAUACUUAAUUAAAAUUGAAACCAUAUUUAACACCCAUGUAGACAAGUCAUAACUUUGACAUGGAGUGGCAUUGCAUUUUUGACACUUAAUGCAACUUAGGUGCUAAACUUUUCACUCAUGAGAAUUGGUAUGGGUUGGAUGCAUGUGGUGUCGAACUUUUUAACACUUAAUUAAAAUUGGAACCAUAUUUAACACUAUCUAGAUAAGUCAUAACCUUGAUGUGAAGCGACAUUGUAUUUUCAACACUUAAAGCAACUUAGGUGCUAAAGUCUUCACCCAUGCAAAUUAGUUCAUCUUGGAUGUACAAUGGUGUCCCAUUUUUUAACAUAUAAUUAAAAUUGGAACCAUAUUUGACACUCAUGUAGACAAGUCUAGCCAUGAUGUAAAGUAGUGUUGUAUUUUUAAAACUUAAUGCAGCUUCAAUGGUAAAGUUUUUACUCAUGUGAAUUGGCUUGAUUUGGAUGCACAAUGAUGCCUAACUUUUUAACAUUUUAUUAAAUUUGGUAUCAUAUUUAACACCUAUGUAGACAAGUCAUAACCUUAAUGUAGAGGUGCUGUAAUAUUUUUGGUACUUAAUGCCGCUCAAGUGCUAAAGUCUUCACUCAUGUGAAUUUUUUUGGUUGAGAUGGACGUCUCUAACAUUUUAACAUUUAAUUAAAAUCAGAAUCAUAUUUAACACUCAUGUAAAAAAGUCAUAACCUUGACACAUAGUAAUAUGCAAUGUUUUAACAUUUAAUAUGACUUAAGUGCUAAAGUUUUCACUCAUGUGAAUUGGCUUGGCUUGGAUGCAUAAUGGUGUCUAACAUUUUAACACUGAAAUUAAAAUUAGAGUUAUAUUUAAUAAUCAUGUAGACAAGUCAUAACCUUGACGAGAAGCAAUAUUGUCAUUUUGACACUUAAUAUUGCUUAAAUGCUAAAGGCUUCACUCAUGCAUAUUGACUUAGCUUGGAUGAACAAUGGUAGCUAACUUUUUAACACUUCAUUAAAUUUGGAUUAUGGUUAACAUCCAUGUAGAAGAGUGAUAAACUUGAUGCAAAGUGAUGUUAUAUUUUUGGUACUUAAUAUAGCUUAAAUACGAAAAUCUUCACUUCUAAUAAUUAACUUGGCUUGGAUGCAUAGUGGUGUCCUACUUUUUAACUCUUAAUUGAAAGUGAAAUCAUAUUUAACAUCCAUUUUAUGCUAGUCAUAAACUUGAUAUAGAGCAAUGUGCAACUUUUUAACAUUUAAUGCAACUUAGGUGCUAAAGUCUUUACUCAUAUGAAUUAACUAAACUUAGAUGCAUAUUCGUUUCCAACUUUUUUAAUACCUAAUUAAAAUUAAAACCAUAUUUAAAAACCAUGUAGACAAAGGCAUAAUCUUAACAUGGAGCAGUGUAUAACUUUUAGCACUUAAUUAAAAUUGGGAUUAUACUUCACAACCACAUAUUCCUCCUCCUAUUUUUCAAUUUUUUCUUGUGGUGAUGAUUGAACUCAACUAGUUUGUCCAAGUUACCUGCAUACCUUAACAGAGAGGGGAUCAAGUCAAACUUAGUUCAAAGUAUUUUUUUAAUAUCUAACUUUUGCCAAGGCUAAUGAUUUUAAUCUUGAAAGCUUGUCUUAACUUUUGACUAUAUAUGUAGUGUUUUCAAGUUUCAAUUUAGCGACCUAUGAAUUGUACAAAUUGAAAAUGACUUCACUCAUGUGUAAAAAUAAAAGAUAUUCAUUCAUAGUUUUAGGGCAACGAAAAGUAAUCGACCCUUUUUUGCAUUAUUAUUAUUAUUGUUGUUGUUAUUAUUAUAAUUAUUAUAUUACCUUAAAAAAAAGACCUUCUCCAAAAAAUUUAAUCUACAAGUACUUGGAUUCUAUUUGAAUAUAAAAAGAGCCACUCAUAUGCAUGAAUUAAAUAUAUGUCCCAUGGAUAAGUUGUACUUAGCCACGGCUGAAGCUUUCCAUUAUGACUUGAAGGGAAAAAAAAAGAGAGGAGAAUAAUGUCAUUAAAAAACUGAUUGCCAUGUGCCUAUGCCUGCCAGUAGAUGGCUGAAAACUAGUUCUAUUCUUUUGUUUUUGCCUCUACUAAUGAACCAUAAUUGAGAGAUUCAUUGGCAACUAUCGUAUAAACAAUGGUUCAUAAAUUACUUUUAAAUUUUGAUAGCAAAGACUCAAAAUGUAAAACCAUAAAAAAUUUGUUCUAUUCCCAAAUUUUUUUAAAUAAUAAAUUAAUGCACAUGACUGUUUUCACAUCUUAUUCUCAUUUCUAUCAAUGCAAUAAUUGUAAUCAUCUUAUCUAUUAACAUGGCCUAGAGCCAUAGAGCUUCCUUUUCUUUAGUCCUAGAGCCAUUUCAGCUAAGAGUAGUCUUUCCUUAGCAUUUCCGGUCCAAAGCUUCCAUUUCUUUAGGCCUAGAGGCAUUUUCAGUCCAGAGCUGCUGUUUCUUUCGGCCUACAACCAUUUUCAGCCUGAAGCUGCCUUUCUUUAGCAUUUUCAGCCCAGAGCUACCUUUCCUUGGCAUAUCAGCCCAAAGCUUCUAUUUCUUUAGGCCUGGAGCCAUUUCAACAUACAACAUUGGUUUCUUUGGCCGGGCCUUGAGCCCUUUUCAACCCAGAACUGUCAUUUCUUCUAAAUAACUUCUCUUUUAAAAAACUUCAAUUUGUCUUUCCAAUAAAAAAAUUUAAGGCUUUGUUCUAGGUUUCAAGAAGCUGGCAUAGAAAAAAAAAAGGAAAAAAAAAAUUCUUGAUGGCAUAAAGUAGGACAUGGCCGGGAUAGUUUGAAAUACAUAAUUUUCCCCAUUCAAAUGCAAAACAUAUUAAAAGAACAUUUGGCAUGAUUUUAUGAAGUGAUUCUAUCUUUUCUAAUACUUCAAAGUUAUGAAGUGAUUCUAUCUUUUCUAAUACUUCAAAGAUAAAUUUUUUUGAAGUAUUAGAAAAAUUAGAAACAUUUCUUAAAAUCACUACCCUUAACUAUAUUUAGAUACUUUAACCAUUUCAAAUGCUACAUGUUGUUUCCUUCUACAUUUCCUCUUUAUUUUGUUUUUCUCUUACAUUUUUCCUCAAAUUUUCUAAAAACCAAACAUAACCUAAAAGAAAAGAUAAUUUGACUUAUUUUGAAAGUUCUUUAUAUAUAUAGUUUAUAUGGAAAAUUGUUUCAUGUUAAUUUAAUAAAGCAUUUAUAAUAUUGAGAUCGCUCUUUCAUAAUCAUAAAUUAACCUUUAGUUUCAACUUCUACAAGAGGCUAAAUGAAAAAAGCUAUCACAGAGGAGGCCUCAGCCAAUGAGUAAGAUGCACUGUUGUACCAAACAAUAGGUGGAAAAUACAAUUUUAUUAAGACUCUGAGACAAAAAAAAAAAAAAAAAGGAUGAUUUUACACUCAAAACAAGGAUUUAUUUAUAAUGAAGUGCAGUCUCCAUAUGCACAUGUGACUGCAUUUACAGCAUAAAGAAAGACAAGGAAAUUAACAAAUGUUGGACUCAUUGGAAAAUCAUACAAAUUAUUGAAGGAGGACCUUAGCUAAGCUAACUGUCUCCUAAAUUGCCCAUCUUUUAUAUAUAUUUGCAUUCAUCCGUCUCAUCAUCGUCUUUGAUUUUAGAUGGUGAGGAUGUGAAAGUAACAGGAAGCAGUGGACGAUUGUUCACUGUGAGGCUUAGCACAUCAGCUCUCGAAUAAUGUCCUACCACAUCGAACUGGAACUUUGCUUUAGGAAUCUCUCCACGAACAUCUGCAUAUCAAGUGAUCAUCAAAAUAUUUGAUCAGCCCUUUUAAAUAUCAGAGAGUAUCAAGUCUUCCAUAAAACCGUGUUUGCAGUCCUUUUAAACCUAAAGAAUUCACUCAUUUGCCUUAUCUGCAUACUGAAAUAUUUGGAUAUACAAUUGGAGAAGUUAGGGCCAUACCAAGAUCAGCUGUGAAGAGGCCUUCUCCUUCAUAAUUCGGUCCUGCUAGAAUUUCGCCAUGGGGCGAAAUGAUGACACUACCUCCUGCCCAAACAAUGGAAUCUGGAGUGACAUCUUCUUCUGUAGGACUGUAAAGAUACUCAGGUGGAGGUGGGUAAUCUUUCCUCCGACAGAACUGGAUGGGUGAAAGAACAUAGCAUCCACCCUCAAUAGCAACGUGUCUCAUUGUAGCUACCCAUGUAUCCCCGGAAUCGGCAGUAGGAGCACAAUAUAUCUCAAUACCUAUAGAGAUGUACAUUCGUAUUUUGUGAUCAAUCAAUCCCAUAUCAAAGCCAUAAUGUAUUUCAAGCCUAUUUAUAGGCUAAAACCCUAACAACUUAAAAAAGAGUACUGAAGUAUUUCAAGCCAAACCAUAUUAGUUAGUGAAGAAAAAGACAUACCUUUGCCAUACAUUGCUGUCCUUAGAAGCGGCAUUCUAUUUUCCCAACAAAUGACCGAACCAAGUUUUCCAUAUGGAGUGUCAUAAACUGGAGUUGUCGAGCAAUCUCCGAAACCCCAGACGAGCCGCUCCCAAUAUGUUGGCAUGAGUUUCCUAUGUUUUCCAAGGUAAUUACCUUUAGGAUCAAAGAAGAGAACAGUGCAAUACAAUGUGUAUCCCUCUCUCUCAAUAACACCUGUCACUAAGUAGACUCUGUAUUUCGCAGCCAUUGAUGCCAAUCUAUCAACUUCAGGUCCUGAAAAUACAUUAAUUUGAGAUUAAAGAUGAAACAUGUCAGCUGAAGGUUCAUCACAAAGCAGCAUAAGUAGAUUUUGUUUCAACAACUUAUUAAGUGGCUCAGUUCUUUAGCUAUUUAAGGGAGAAAAAGAGAGGUAAUUGACCCGGAACAUUAAUGGCAGAAGCAUGGUACUUGCGGAAACUUUCUUUCCCUCUUGGCGACCGGUCAGCGAAGUUAUAUCCUCGGGGAUACCCACCGAUAAAUGCUUCAGGAAACACAACCAGUUGGGAUCCCAGUGCAGCUGCUUCUUUCAAAAACCUCUCAGCCUUAUCUGCUCUCAAAAUCACAUUGCAAGAAGUAAAUUAAUUGGUUGAAUGGAGAGAAUGAAAAUUAACUUUUAAGAGAUCCCGAAUGACUUUUUGGUUGCUGAGAAAACUCAAGGAAAAACAGACCUAGAUGAAACUUGAAACUCUCAUAUUUUCAGCUGUUUUGUAACUAAGAAAAGAGAAACCACCUCAACUCAACUCAUCAAAAUAAUUGUAAAAGCAGUAAUUCCUUGAUUGGCAGCUGAAAAUAUGAUCAGGGUUCAAUCAUCCUUUUCUUUUUUUCAGUCUCUGAGAAACCAAUUAGAUCACAUAUUCCAUUACACAAGUUGCACAAUUGAAAGAAAUGGUACGUUACCUAGAGUGGCAGGAGUAUCAUAAAAGAUACUAGAAGCUUGAACAACGGUGGCUCUAACAGUUGAAGACAUUGCAGAAAAUUGUAUGUUUUUUCGUUUCCCCUUUGUUUGAGGAUUCCUCACACUGCGUUCAGUAUAUAUAUUGCCCAUGACAUUGUGGACCAGCCACUUGACUUAUACAAAUUGAAAAUGACUGAGUCAUCUGUGAAAAGCAAUUUAAGAUAACAUUCAAAAUUAAUAAGCUUUAAUUUUUAUUUAUAUAUAUAUAUACAUAAUCUACAAGUUGUUAUCAUUAUAUUUGAAUAAAAAGAGGGACCCGCCCACAUGCAUGGAUUCCAUCCAUCUAGCACACAGAUAAAUUGUCUUUAGUGGCGGCUGAGGCUUUCUAUGACUUAUACCAUAUAUCUAUACACCCCAGUAUAUAGCUAAAAACUGGGUAAUGUAUUGGCCCCUACCUAAAAUUAUUGAUUGAUUCAAUGACAGCUAUCUGAGAAAAAUAAAAAAGGGAGAACUAUUCUUACGCUUGCCUUGAUUUAAGCAAAUAUACUUUUAAUUAGGAAUUCUAAUUUUCAUAUUUUACCCCAAACAGAUAAUCAAUAAAAUUAUUCUCCAAAUAUGUAUUUUAAUAGCAACAAAAAUGAGAAUUCCAUAAUUAUCCCUUUUAAAAUCUUUAAUAUGACAAGUCGUAAUUUAAUGUGUUUGGUAGCUCUCCUUUUUCUUUUUUUCUCCUCUACAUCACUUUCUCCAUAUAAUGUCUUUGAUAUCCUCUCCAUAUCAUGUUGUUGAUAUCCUACCUUUGACAUUUUUUUUUAUCUAUGUGUUGAAGUGACUACACUUUUAGAUUUCUUUUCACUCUUUUAAUAUUUUCAUAUAUAUUUAUUAACUUUAAUAAAUUUUUGAAAACAUUAAACAUAAAAUUAUAAUAUAUGAUAAAUAAUUAAUGAUAACAAAUUAAAUAUAAAUAUAAGUAUGAAAUGGACAAAAAAUAAAAAAUUUAUCCUACAAAUAAUAGACUAUAUAGUUUAAAAUAUUAGUUAUAAUAAUAUAUUUGAUACUUUAGAGUUUAGAUUAAAAAAUUAUGUUUUAUUUUUUAGAGGUUAGCAUAUAAUAUUUCCAUUAAACAAAGAUUUUUUUAUAUGAAUCCUAAAUAAAAUGUUUAUUUAUUUUGCAAAUUCUUAUCAUAUGCGAUAUAUAUAUAUAUAUAUAUCAUGUUAUUUAUAAUUUUUAUUAUUUUGUGUCAAAAUCACAGUCAAUGAUGAUAAUUUUAGUUAGUAUAGAGCUCUUAAAAGGAUGAUAUGAUGUAACAAAUAUGAAGUUAUUAAUUAUUUACUGAUAUUCUGGUUUUACUUUUAUUAAUCCUUAUUCCAUACAUUAUAUUUUAUGAGCAUCCUAGUUUGACAUUUCUUAUACUAUACAUGGCUUAGGUGCAUUAGAAGUUGCACGGAAGAUCCAAGUUAUAGAUUCCUUUUUUAAUUCAAUAUUUUAAAAAAAAAAUUAUACUUUCAGUCAAUGUCUCAUAUUUCAAACACGUACACACUCUAGAAUUUCUCGAAUUGUAGUCUAGAAUGUCAACUUAGUGUUUGAUGAAAAAAGGUAUAAACAAAUAUAUGAAAAAAGUAAUCAACAAGCAUAGGAUUCUAUUUGAAUAAAAAAGAGCCACUUACAUGCAUUGAUAAAGGAAACUCCAACUCAGCUAGCAUACAAUCCAUGCCAAAGCAGAAUCUUUACGUAAGAAGUUGAUAAUGCAAUUUGCCAGGAAGGAAAACUACUCUCCAUAUUUGUAAUGUGGAAAAUCAAGGUUGGAAGGAAAUUUUCACUUACUUAUUCUGUAUAAUAUUCCCUUUUUUUUUUUUUUUUGUAAAGAAAGUAUGUAUUGUUUAUUUAUUUUUUAGAAAACAAUUAGUAAAGUGUGGUGCGAAUUCAACCUUUCAAAAAUAGUUUCUAUUCUUCAUGGUAUCGGAGCUAGUUAAUCUAAAACAAUCCAAAGCUUCCAUGGAAACCCCAGAAAAUGUUCUUAGCAUUCAGGCUUUUCAUCAAUGCUCGAGCCUCAUCUCCAUCAAACUGAAUAUGUCCAAUCUCCUUUUGUGGCACUCACAAGUUCUUCCUCUUGUGCGAAGCCUUGGAUUAGUCCAUCAUCUCUCUGAAAAUAGACACGCAUAAGAGGGGAUAAUGGAUAGUGAAACAAAGGAGACCUAUGAUUAGUCAAUAGAGACAUGGUCUCACAAUGAUGAUCUACUUACCUCCUGGCUUCUUGGACCCAUGACAGAAGAAGUGAUUCUUUUAUUGGAUGGAACAGAGAUUGCCUAUGAUGUUUGGAACUCUCUGGAAGAAAAACUCCUUCCAAUGACCAAAGAGAAGGAUAUGCAAUUGACCAAUAGACUCCGAGGGCUGAAGAAAGGCACAAGGUCCCUUGAUGAAUAUCUAAGGGAGUUCAAAGAAAUUUUUGAUGCAUUAGCUACAGUUAGAAAACCAGUAAGUGACCUAGACAAAGUUUUUCAACUAGCUCAAGGUCUCAUAACUAAAUACAUGGAUUUUCGGGUGGCCAUGUUAUCAAAGCCACCAUAUCCCUCUUACAAUCAAUUUGUUCUGGCUCUACAAGGGCAUGAACAAAUGAUUAUGAUAGAAAAUGAAGAGAACAAAGAGUCAAUAAACCAUGAACAAGCCUAUUUUACCCAAUGAGGAAGACGAAGAAAUCAAGGAGGAAGAUUUCUUUCUAGAGGUCAUGACUUCAUUCUAGCAAGACGAUUCAAUCACAAUGCUACCAAUGACCAAAGGCAGAAUGUUCAUCCCAACACCAGAAAUCCAAGAAAUAGCUUCAACAACCAGCUUCCACCAGAACAAAAACUCCAAAAAUCUAAAGGUACUCUUAUUUACCAAAUUUUUAAUAAAGCUAACCAUUCAGCUUUGGAUUGCUAGAACAGAUUCAACUAUUUGUAUCAAUCAGAAGAGAUUCCUCAAGCUUUGGCUGCUAUGGCUCUAAAUGAAGAAGAUAAGGAUCCUAAUUUUUAUGUGGACUCGAGAGCAAAAACCCAUAUAACAAAUGACCUAGGUAAGAUUACCCAAGUAAUUCCAUAUAAAGGGCAUGAUGCAAUUUUUGUUGGAAAUAGAGAAGCUGUAAGAAUCUCACAAAUUGGUGAAGCUAGACUAAAAACUAAACAUAUAGAUCUAAAGCUUAAAAAAUUAUUGGUUAUUCCAAAAAUUAAGAAAAAAUUGUUAUCCAUUGGACAACGUACCUCUGAUAACCCAUGCUCCAUAGAAUUCUCAUCAACUAGUUUUGUCAUUAAGGAUCAACUUCAACAAGUGCUAGCUAGAGGAACUAAGAAGAGAGGUCUCUAUGCAUUGGAGGAAAAUGUGAUUCAAGCCAUGAUAGUUACUAGGUCUAGCAAGGCACCAUAAGAAGUGUGGCAUCAACGCAUGGGGAAUCUGCAAACAAAAUCUAUAAAGCUUCUACAAGAUAAGAAUUUCAUUGAAGUAUCUAGUUGGAUGAAAUCAACAAUAGUUUGUGUUAGUUUUCAAUUAGGAAAAAGUUGUAAAGUUUCUUUUGGCUUAAAAAAUAAAAUUUCCAGCAAUCUUCUUGAAAAAAUUCAUUGUGACUUAUGGGGACUUGCACCAAAUAAUUCAACUCAAGGAUACAAGUAUUAUGUUGUCUUUAUUGAUGAUCAUACUCACUAUACAUGGCUUUAUCCCUUGAGAAGAAAAUCAAAUUUCUAUGAAUGUUUUUUGAAGUUUCAAAAUCUGGUUGAGAAUCAACUUGAAAGAUAGAUAAAAAUCUUCCAAAGUGAUGGUGGAGGUGAGUUUCAAUCAAUUAAAUUUCAAAAUCACCUAAGCAAGUGUGGAAUUUUGCAACGAGUCUCAUGCCCAUGAACUCCAGAACAAAAUGGGGUUGUAGAGAGAAAGCAUAAACACAUUGUUGAAAUGGGUUUAACAAUGCUUUUCAAUGCCAAAUUACCAUUGAGUCUAUGGGUAGAUGCAUUCCAUACUGUCGUAUACCUUAUUAAUCGACUGCCUUCCAUGGUGUUGAAAAUGUAGAGUCCAUUCUUUAUGUUUUUCAAACAAUAUCCAGAAUAUAGGAGCUUGAGAAUUUUUUGUUGUCGAUGUUUUCCAUACCUUUGAGACUACGGGAAGAAUAAAUUCUCACCUAAGAUAUCUCCAUGUGUUUUUAUUGGAUAUAGCUCUCUACACAAGGGUUAUAGAUGCUUGCAUCCUUCAACUAAAAGAGUUUACAUAUCUCAUCAUGUCAUCUUCAAUGAAAAUUGCUUUCCUUAUGCUAACUCUCUUGUUAAGAAAAAUCAUUUACAGAUUCCUAUAGAAAUGGUAUCAUUCUCAACUUCAGAUGUUUUUUGUGAGACUUAAAAAAUGGAUCACCAAACUAAGUCUUGGAAGGAGAACACUGCUAACCAAUCAAGCAACUCCAAGAAGUUCAACCAUUGGUCAUGCACUACUAGGUAAAGAAACUGGUUUAGUGUUGACGGAAGAAUUUCUACUAGUUGUAUUACUAACCAAAAUACAAAAGCAUCAUGUGUUAAUCCGACUGGAACUCCCACUACUAUUACUGUUGAAAUUUCCACUAUUGUUACUAGUAAAAAUGACCAUAAUACCGUCAUUACUACUGAAACUCCCACUGAUGUUGCUCUUGGUUCUAGUGGCCACAAUUUCAACACUGCAACUACUAUUGGAACACUCUCCUAGAUUGAGUCUACUAGUAGCUACAAGCCUGCCAAUGUUAGUAAUUUUCCUUAUAUCAGUAAGCACCUAGUAGUUGAUCUCUCUUUCCCUUAAAAAUGGCAGAAAAAUGAGCAUGUUGGUUCAUCUCCGCAAAACAAAUCCACCAGUCACAGUGUUGAUGAUGAAGUUCCUGAUAUUAGCAAGCAAAUUGUUGUUGACAUCUCUUCUCCUCAGGGCUAACACAUAGAUAACAAAGAAACUCAUAUGAUCACCAGAAGUAAACUCAAGAAUGAUCCCAGUUUAAAGUCUCAAAUGGUUACUUUUGUUGCCAUAAGAAGUAAUAUUAGUGAGCCAAAAACAUAUUGUACAACAUUGAAAAUUCCCUAUUGGUUCAAACAAUGCAAGAGGAAAUUAAGGAUUUAAUCCAAAAUCGAACAUGGGAUUUGGUUCCUAGGCCUCCAACUGCAAAUAUUGUGGGUUCUAAAUGGGUGUUUAAAACAAAGCUAAAGGAAGAUGGAACCAUAGAUAGAUACAAAGCACAAUUAGUUGCUAGAGAUUUUUCUCAAAUACCGGGUUUGGACUUUGGAGAGACCUUCAGCCUAGUUAUAAAGCAUACUAUAAUCAGAUUGAUCCUUUCAUUAUCAGUAACCUUGGGGUGGACAAUGAGGCAAUCAGAUGUUAAGAAUGCCUUCAUACAUGGGUUUCUAAAGGAAAAAGUACUCAUGGAACAACCUCCAGGAUUUAUAAACAAGGACUUUCUGAAUCAUGUCUACAAAUUGAAUUGUUCUCUUUAUAGCCUUAAGCAAGCUCCAAGGGCCUAGUUAAAUAAACUAUUUCAAUGUCUUCUUCAUCUGGGGUUUUACUGUGGUAAAAUAGACUCGUCUUUAUUUAUUCUUCGCAAAGGUCAGUCUAUUGUUUUGCUACUUAUCUAUGUUGAUGAUAUUAUAGUCACAGGCAAUGAUAACAACAUCAUUAGUGACCUCAUCAGCACCCUGAGUAGUGAAUUUUCUCUCAAGGACUUAGGAUUUUUGCAUUAUUUUUUGGGAUUGGAGGUUAAAUAUCUUCUUAAUGGGUUGUUUCUUUCUCAAACAAAGUACACUAGAGAUCUCCUAGAGCACACAAAAAUGAUGGAGUGUACUCAUAUCAACACAUCCAUGGCUCUUAAGUCCAUCAUCACACCUUCUGAUGAACAACCUAUUGAUCCUACAUGAUAUAGGUAACUUGUUGGAUUCCCCUAAUAUUUAACCUUCACAAGGCUUGAUUUUGUGCAUGCAGUAAACAAGGCCUACCAACAUUUCCAAGCACCCACUAAAGUUGACUUGCAAGCUGUCAAACGCAUCCUUAGAUAUUUGAAGGAAACAAUGGAGCAUGGAAUCAGGUUUUUCAAGCAAAGUUCGCUUCGUCUCACUGGUUUUUGUGAUGCUGAUUGGGCAGGAUGCACAAACACAAGAAGAAGCACAUCUAGGUAUUAUAUUUUUCUAGGAGCCAAUUGUAUCUCAUGGUCCUCAAAGCGACAACCUACAAUUUCUAGAUCAAGCACCGAGGCCAAAUAUCGAUCCCUUGCGUCCAGUGCUGCAGAAAUAACUCGGCUUACUUUCCUUCUCCAUGAUAUUGGCAUUCAACUAUGUGAACCUUCUCAAUUUCUAUGCGAUAACCUCAGUGCCCUUCACAUGACAGUACAUCUCGUCUUCCAUGCAUGGUCCAAGCAUAUUGAGUUGGACUAUCAUUUUAUUCGGAAAAAAAGUUGCAAGUGGAGUUUUGAUUACUUGUUUCCUUCCAUCGUCCUUACAAGUAGCUGAUAUAUUCACAAAGACACUCCCUAAGACUUCAUUCCAAGUCUUUCGAUUCAAGCUAGGAGUGCACAAGUUACCACUCACUAGCUUGCAGGGGGCUAAUAAAGGAAAGUCAAACUCAACUAGCAUACAAUCCAUGCCAAAGCAAUCUUUACGUGAGAAGUUAGUAAUGCAAUCUGCUAGGUAGGAAAACUACUCUCAAUAUUUGUAAUGUGGAAAAUCAAGGCUGGAAGGAAAUCUUCACUUACCUGUUCUGUAUAAUAUUCCCUUUUCUAUGCAAAUAAAGUAUGUAUUGUUUAUUUAUUUUUUAGAAAAAAUCAGUAAAGCGUGGUACAAAUUCAAUCUUUCAAAAAUAGUUUAUGUUCUUCAUGCAUGGAUAAUAAAUCCCAUGGAUAAAUUGUAUUUAGCAGCGGCUGAAGCUUUCUAUAUGACUAAAGAGAAAAAAAGUCAUUAAAAAACUAAUUGCCAUGUGACUACGUCUACCAGUAGAUAGUUGAGAACAAGGUCUAACUCUUAACCUUUUGUACUACCUUUACAAAGGAACACAAAAUUGAGAGAUUCAAAGGCAACUAUAGUAUAAAUAUUGUUUCAUAAAUUACUUUUCAAAUUUAAUUUGAUAACAAAAAUUUAGAAUACAAAAGUAUGAAAAAUUUGUUCCAUUCCCAAAAUUUUUGCAAAUAAAAUUUUAAAGUAAUAAAUUAACACCAUGACUCUUUUCACAUCUUAUUCUCCUUUCUAUCAAAGAAAUGAUAGUAAUAAUCUUAUCUAUAAAUUUUAAAUGAGGCAAGAUCAUUGAAUUUUUAUUUUCUUUUAUUUUCUUGUUAUGUAAUUAUCAAACACAUUUUUUUUUUAAGACAAAAAAAAAUUAGACUGAAGAAAUAUAUUUUUGCCCUGAUUUAGUCACUUGGAUUGCAAUUCGAAGGAUGGAAAUAAAAGUGUAUUCUUGGAGUUAAAGAUCAAUUGAAAGCUUAAAGCGGCUUGUUCUCGAAUGAAUUUAAUGAAUGACGAAGAAUACAUGUGUUGUAAUUUUUUGGAUUUGUAGGGGAAUUUUAUGAAGCUCUUUUCUCUUUGUCAGGCUUCUUUUUUUGUAUGAUUUUUUUUCUUCAUCAUUUUCAUUCAAGGAAGUCGCAUAUAUUUAGAGAUGAAAUUAAAAAAUUAAAUUUAGAAUUCCUAAGAUUUGAUUACUUAAUUAAAAAAAAUUGGUUUCUUGAUUUUAGCAACUUGUCUCCUCUAUUAAGGAAGUUUGCUAAUAAGAGAAUAUUUAAUUAUCAUUUUCUUUUGACUUCAAUUAGAAGAUUUGAUUCGUUUGUUCAUAAAAUUUGAAAACAAAAAAAAAAAUUAUUUCUAUUUUUUUAUUUCAAUUGUUUAAUUUAAUUUGAUUUUGGAAGACUUUAUUUUAUAGUUUUCCAAAUUUUGUUACAUGUCAUUUUUUGAAUUGCAUGUUACAUAUUCAAUAUACAUGACCCAUCACUUAUUAAGCAUAAAUUUCGUUGAGCUAAGGAGUUACAAUUUUGAAGACUAAUUUGAUAGUAUUUUAAUCCACUAAAAUUUUUUAUGUCUACAAAUGCCCCGUCUUCAAGACAAACACACACAUGCAUUGUCAUGUAUAAAAGAUGAGUCUUGAAGUUAGCAUUUUGAAUCUUUAAUAUCCUUCUUUGAUAUUUUUUUUUUCAAAGAAAUAUUUUAAUAGGAAAUUUCCUAUUUCAAAAUACCUUUCUUCAACUUUUUCCAAAAACGACUUUAUUUUCUUCCUUUUUUUCUACCUGGUAUCAAGGAAAGACUUUGUGUUAAUGGGAAAGUUUCUUAUUUGAACAUAUAUUUGCUUUUCUCAUGGUAUUUUCACUUCCAAUUUAUCAUCCUACAAGAAGUCCUUCACCCUUGGUCGAUUGUAUCUUAGACUUGAUCACAUGCCUUUAACUUGUAAUUCUUGCUCCACUUUAUUUAUUUUAUUUUAUUUUAUUUUAUUUUUAAAAAAGAAUACAAUGUAUAUGAGCAAGACCUUGAGCAAGAGGAGCAAGGUGGAGGGUGGAGCAUGAGCUAGCCUUAGGGUAAGACCUUGAGCAAGAGAAGUAAUGUGGAGUGUAGAUCACAAACUUCUCUGGAGCAUGGUAGGCAUACCGUCACAGAAUUGUCUUCCACAUGGAGCAUGGUAGGGUUUAUACAUAUGAUAGGGUGUGCCAUCAUGUAACAAUGAAGAACAACAAUCCAUGGUGUACAAUUGGGAACAACAAUUCAUGCUAUCAAGCUUCAACAUUUUUUUUUACCCCCAUCUCCAUUUUUUCAACUUCUUUUUUUUUUUUUUGUCCUUUUUUUUUCCCUUUUUUUAAGCAUUGUUUUUAAGGAAGAAAUAGGUUUGCCAUCCCUUACUAUGAGGUCAAUAUCCAUCACUUGCAAAGACAAAUUUGCUUUUUGAUAUUUUUUCUUCUUCAAUAAUUAACUUAACAUUUUAAUAUAUAUAUAUAUAUUUUAACAAACUUGAAUAUUCAUAAUAAAAUAAAUAUUUAAUGUCUUUACUCAUCCAAAUUAGCUUGACUUGAAUACUUAGUAGAUCCAUACUUAACACCCAUGUAGACGAGCUGUAACCUUGAUGGCAGGUUGUGUUGUAUUUUCGACACUUAAUGUGCCUUAAGAGUUAAAGUCUUCUCUCAUACAAAUUAGCUUGGUUUGGAUGCACAAUGGUGUGUAACUUUUUAACACUUUAUUAAACUUGGAACCAUAUUUAACACCCACGUAGACAAGUCAUAAUCAUGACAUGGAUCACUGUUUUAUUUUUAGCUCUUAAUGUGGCUUAAAUAUUAAAUUCUUCACUCAUACAAAUUAAAUUGGGUUAGAUGCACAAUGGUGUUCAACUUGUUAACAGUUAAUUAAAAUUAGAACCAUAUUUAACACCCAUACAAACAAGUCAUAACUUUGACGUGGAGCAGUGUUGUAUCUUUGGCUUAAUGCCGCUUAAGUGUUAAAGUCUUCACUCAUAUGAAUUAGCUUCACUUAGAUGCAUAGUUGUAUUAUACUUUUUAACACUUAAUUUAAAUUUGGACCAUAUUGAAAACCCAUGUGAACAAGACAUAACCUUGUAGUGGUGUUAUAUUUUUGACACUUAAUGUAGCUUAAAUGCUAAAGUCUUCACUUCUAUGAAUUGGUUCACCUUGGAUGAAUAGUGAUGUCUAAAUUGUAAUAAUUAAAAUUGAAACCAUAUUUAACACUCAUGUAGAUAAUCAUAACUUUGACGUAAUGGCAUUGUAUUUUUGACACUUAAUGCAGCUUAGGUGCUAAAGUUUUCACUCAUGAGAAUUGGUAUGAGUUAGAUGCAUUGUGGUGUCCAACUUUUUAACACUCAAUUAAAAUUGGAACCAUAUUUAACACCAAUGUAGAUAAGUCAUAACCUUGACGUGAAGCGAUAUUGUAUUUUUGACACUAAAUGCAACUUAGGUGCUAAAGUCUUCACCCACGCAAAUUGGUUCAUCUUGGAUGCACAAUGGUGUCGAAUUUUUUUAACAUAUAAUUAAAAUUUGAACCAUAUUUGACACUCAUGUAGACAAGUCAUAACCAUGAUGUAGAGUAGUGUUGUAUUUUUAACACUUAAUAUGACUUUACUGGUAAAUUCUUUACUCAUGUGAAUUGCCUUGAUUUGGAUGCACAACUAACUUUUUAACAUUUUAUUAAAUUGGGUAUCAUAUGUGUUGUUUUUUUAACACUUAAUACGACUUUAGUGGUAAAUUCUUUACUCAUGUGAAUUGUCUUGAUUUGGAUGCACAAUGAUGCCUAACUUUUUAACAUUUUAUUAAAUUGGUAUCAUAUUUAACACCAAUGUAGACAAGUCAUAACUUUAAUGUAGAUGCGGUGUAGUAUUUUUGGCACUUAAUAUUGUUUAAGUGCUAAAGUCUUCACUCAUGUGAAUUUUCUUGGUUGAGAUGCACAAUGGUGUGUAACAUUUUAACAUUUAAUUAAAAUUGGAACCAUAUUUAACACUCGUGUAGAGAAGUCAUAACCUUGACAUGGAGUAAUAUGCAAUUUUUUUAUAUUUAAUAUGACUUAAGUGCUAAAGUUUUCACUCAUGCGAAUUGACUUGACUUGGAUGCAUAGUGAUGUCUAACAUUUUAACACUUAAUUAAAAUUAGAGCUAUAUUUAAUAAUCAUGUGGACAAGAAAUAACUUUGACGUGAAACAAUAUUGUAAUUUUGACACUUAAUGUUGCUUAAAUGCCAAAGUCUUCACUCAUACAUAUUGACUUAGCUUGGAUGAAAAGUGGUAUCCAACUUUUUGACACUUUCUUAAAUUUGGAAUUAUGUUUAACAUCAAUAUAGACAAGUAAUAACCUUGACGCAGAGUGAUGUUAUAUUUUUAGCACUUAAUAUAGCUUAAGUGCUAAAAUAUCCACUUCUAAGAAUUGACUUGGCUUGGAUGCAUAAUGGUGUCCUACUUUUUAACACUUAAUUGAAAGUGAAAUCAUAUUUAACACCCAUUGUAUGCUAGUCGUAAACUUGAUAUAGAGCAUUGUGCAACUUUUUAACACUUAAUGCGACUUAAAGUGCUAAAGCCUUUACUCAUAUGAAUUAAUUGAACUUAGAUGCACAUUUGUUUCCAACUUUUUAAUACAUAAUUAAAAUUAAAACCAUAUUUAAAAACCAUGUAGACAAAGACAUAAUCUUAACAUGGAGCUAUGUAUAACUCUUAACACUUAAUUAAAAUUGAGAUUACACUUAACAACCACAUAUUCCUCCUAUUUUUCAAUUUUUUCUUGUGGUGAUGAUUGAACUUAACUAGUUUGUCCAAGUUGCCUAUAUACCCUUAACAGAGAGGGAAUCAAGUCAAACUUAGUUCAAAGUAUUUCUUUUAAUCUCUAACUUUUGCCAAGGCUAAUGAUUUUAAUCUUACAAGCUUGUCUUAACUUUUGACCAUAUAUGUAGUCUUUUUAGGUUUCAAUUUAACGGCCUAUAUAUGACUUGUACAAAUUGAAAAUGACUUCAAUCAUGUGUAAAAAAUAAUAAAAGAUAUUCAUUCCUAGUUUUAGGGCAACGAAAAAUAGUUGAUCCUUUUUUAUAUUAUUAUUAUUGUUGUUGUUAUUAUAAUUAUUAUUUCACCUUACAAAAAGACCUUCUGCAAUUAAUAUUUUAUACAUAUAUAUAUAUAUAUAUUUUAUCUUUUAUAUAUUUAGUUUUCAUAGUAUUUUUUAAUUCAAUAUAUAUAUUUUUUAAAUAUCUAUACUUUCGGUCAAUGUCUCAAAUUUAAAGCACGUGCAUGCUCUAGAAAUUCUCAAGUUGUAGGCUUGUGGCCUACAAUGUCAACUUAGAGUUUGAUGAAAAAGCGCAUAAACAAAGACAAAAAAAUUAAUCUACAAGUACUUGGAUUCUAUUUGAAUAAAAAAGAGCCACCCACAUGCAUGGAAUAAAUAUAUAUCCCAUGGAUUAGUUGUAUUUAGCCACGGCUGAAGCUUUCCACUAUGACUUAAAAAAAAAAAAAAAGAGGAUAAUGCCAUUAAAAAACUGAUUGCUACGUGGGUAUGCCUGCCAGUAGAUGGCUGAAAACUAAGUUCUAUUCUUUUCAAUAGUUGAGAGAUUCAAUGGCAACUAUCGUAUAAACAAUGUUUCAUAAAUUACUUUUAAAUUUUGACAGCAAAGACUAAAAAUGUAAAACCAUAAAAAAUUUGUUCCAUUCCCAAAUUUUUAAAAAUAAAAUUGAAAAUAAUAUAUUAACGCCCAUGACUGUUUUCACAUCUUAUUCUCAUUUCUAUCAAUGCAAUCAUCGUAAGCAUCUUAUCUAGAAAUAUGGCCUAGAGCCAUAGAGCUGCCUUUUCUUUAGUCCUAGAGCCAUUUCAUGAGCUAAUAGUAGUCUUUCCUUAGCAUUUCCAGCCCAAAGCUCCCAUUUCCUUAGGCCUAGAGACGUUUUCAGCCCAGAGCCGCUGUUUCUUUCGGCCUAUAACCAUUUUCAGCCUGAAGCUGCCUUUCUCUAGCAUUUUCAGCCCAAAGCUUCCUUUCCUUGGCAUAUUAGCCCGAAGCUUCUAUUUCUUUAGGCCUGGAGCCAUUUCAACCCAGAACUGUCAUUUCUUCUAAAUAGCUUCUCUUUUAAAAGACUUCAGUUUGUCUUUCUAGUCACAAAAUUUAAGGCUUUGUUCCAGGUUUGAAGAAGCUGGUAAAAAUCUGGCUGUUGACUAAGCUCAACUAAAAAACAGUAAAGCUUGCUGACCUGGGUAAUAAAUAACAGCUAUCUUGGCAGUAUUGUUAGUUAGUUAGAGGUUUUUUUUUUACUAUUAUAAAAGGUGCAGACUUGGGAAAACUGAAAUAAGGUAUUCAAUUGUACAGAAUAGAGAGCAAGAAAAGCAGAGAGCUUUGAAAUCCAUAACCACAGGUCUGUUUCGGUUUUCCUAUAGAGAAAAGAAAGAAACAGAGGUGAGGAGGGUUCUUGGGGAAAGCCUAUAAGUUCUUUGUUUUUUAUUCUUGUGUAAAUUCUGGUUGGUACAAUUUAAUAAAGGCUUCAGGAAAUCAGUGUGAAUGUAGAUCAAGUUGAUCGAACCACGAUAAUUCUCUUGUGUUCUUGAUCUUGGUUGAUUGUCUACAAGCUGUUUGAUUUUAUUCCUAAGAGAAGUUCUUGCAAACUGGUUGUCUUUUUCUGGUUUAGUUUCUGCUCUAAUAGUCCCUAAUUCAAGACUGGCUUUUCUCAACAGCAUGGUUUGAAACACAUAAUUUUCACCAUUCAAAUGCAAAACAAUUAACUAAUUUCAAAUGCUAUGUGUUGUUUCCUUCUAAUUUCCCCUUUAUUUUUUUUUCUCUCCUAUUUUCCUUCAAAUUUUUGGAAAACCAAACAGAGCCUAAAAGAAAAGAUAAUUUUACUUAUUUUGAAAGUUGUUUCAUGUUAAUUUAAUGAAGCAUUUAUAAUAUUAAGAUCGCCCUUUCAUAAUCAUGAGGUAACCUUAGUUUCAACUUCUACAAGAGGCUAAAUGAAAAAAGCUAUCACAGAGAAGAAGGCCUCAGCCAAUGAGUGGAAAAUACAAUUUUAUUAAUACUUGAUAUCAAAAAAAAGAAAAAAAAAAAAAAGGAUGAUUUUACUUUCAAACCAAGGAUUUAUUUAUGUUGAAGUGCAGUCUCCAUAUGCACAUGUGACUGCAUUUACAGGAUAAAGAAAGACAAGGAAAUUAACAAUGUUGGACUUACUGGAAAAUCAUACAAAUUAUUGAAGGAGGACCUUAGCUAGGCUAACUGUCUCCUAAAUUGCCCAUCUUUUAUAUAUCUUUGCAAUCAUCCAUCUCAUCAUCAGCUUUGAUUUUAGAUGGUGAGGAUGUGAAAGUAACAGGAAGCAGUGGACGAUUGUUCACAGUGAGGCUUAGCACAUCAGCUCUCGAAUAAUGUCCUACCACAUCGAACUGGAACUUUGCUUUAGGAAUCUCUCCACGAACAUCUGCAUAUCAAGUGAUCAUCAAAAUAUUUGAUCAGCCCGUGAUAAAUAUCAUAGAGUAUCAAGUCUUCCAUGAAACCAUGUUUGCAGUCCUUUUAAACCUAAAGAAUUGACUCAUUUGCCUUAUCUGCAUACUGAAAUAUUUGGAUAUACAAUUGGAGAAGUUAGGGCCAUACCAAGAUCAGCUGUGAAGAGGCCUUCUCCUUCAUAAUUUGGUCCUGCUAGAAUUUCGCCAUGGGGCGAAAUGAUGACACUACCUCCAGCCCAAACAAUAGAAUCUGGAGUGACAUCUUCUUCUGUAGGACUGUAAAGAUACUCAGGUGGAGGUGGGUAAUCUUUCCUCCGACAGAACUGGAUGGGUGAAAGAACAUAGCAUCCACCCUCAAUAGCGAUGUGUCUCAUUGUGGCUACCCAUUUAUCCCCGGAAUCGGCAGUAGGAGCACAAUAUAUCUCAAUACCUAUAUAUAUGAACAUUGGUAUUCUGUGAUCAAUCAAUCCCAUAUCAAAGCCACAAUGUAUUUCAAGACUGCUUAGAUUAAAACCCUAAUAAUGUAAAAGGGUGCUGGAGGUCCUAUUUGGUAAUUGUCUUCGGAACAGUUUUGAGAAAUAGUUUUUGAAAGUUGUUCUUUAAUAGUUUAUAAAACAUAAGAAUAUUUGAAACCUAAAAUAUAUUCAACUUAUUAAAAAUAAUUUUUAUAUUUAAUACUUUAUUUUUAAAUAUUCUUCAUAUUUAUAUAAUUAUUUUUUAAAACAACCUUAAAAACAAAUGAAAACAAUGAAGAAAAAAGUUUAAAAAAUAUUAUCUGAAAACAUUUUGUUUUAUGUUUCUAAGAAAAAACAAAAAGCGGUAUUCUAAUUGUCAAUUGUGUUUUCCUAAAUUUUUUUUGGAUAACAAAAGAUUCCUCUAAAAUAUAAUUGUGAAACAAAGCCAAACUAUUUCAAGCCAAACCAUACUAGUUAAUGAAGAAAAAAAAAUGGUAAAAGAUGUACCUUUGCCAUACAUUGAUGUCCUGAAAAGAGGCAUUCUAUUUUCCCAACAAAUGACCGAACCAAGUUUUCCAUAUGGAGUGUCAUAAAUUGGAGUUGUCGAGCAAUCUCCGAAACCCCAGAAGAGCCGCUCCCAAUAUGUUGGCAUGAGUUUCCUAUGUUUUCCAAGGUAAUUGCCUUCAGGAUCAAAGAAGAGAACAGUGCAAUACAAUGUGUAUCCAUCUCUCUCAACAACACCUGUCACUAAGUAGACUUUGUAUUUCGCAGCCAUUGAUGCCAAUCUAUCAACUUCAGGUCCUGAAAAUACAUUAAUAUGAG
This 200158-nucleotide long non-coding RNA is filed under the name Vitis vinifera (wine grape). RNAcentral describes it as "long non-coding RNA (VVIN_LNC000544)". Lineage: Eukaryota; Viridiplantae; Streptophyta; Magnoliopsida; Vitales; Vitaceae. The record is from RNAcentral.